This 283713-nucleotide long non-coding RNA is filed under the name Coffea arabica (coffee). RNAcentral's name for it is "long non-coding RNA (CARA_LNC005658)". The record is from RNAcentral. Lineage: Eukaryota; Viridiplantae; Streptophyta; Magnoliopsida; Gentianales; Rubiaceae.
AAUAUUUUGGACCUAAUAAGAAAUGCUAAUGCCGCAGCUUUGAAAGAUAAUAAAUAGGACGAUAAAAAGGGAGAAGAGAAAAUUGUGAAAAUAACCACGGAGACUUUUUAGGUUUUCUCACGAGAAGGUUAAUCAGAGGGGGAGGUGAAGAGAACGGGAGAUUGAUUGCAAAGCAAAUUAAGAAAGUGGUUAUUGAAGGCAAUCUUACGUGAUUGAAUUUGAUCUGAAGAUGAAAGUUGGUUAAUCAUCGGUUAUGUCUAGGUCUUGAAUGUGAGAAACUUUGGACCACUGGGAGUCGGGGCCGCUGCUCCCAGGAGUGCAUCUUUCUUUUAACAGAGGAGAACCAUGGACCUGCAGACGUUUUAGUUUGGUGAGACUUCUCAUGGCAUCCUCAGAGGGUAGAUGUCCAAGCCCUUUGAAACCAGUUAACCGCAGCGCUUCAAGAGUAGCGAAGUUUCCGAACCAAUCUGGCAGAGCUUUUAUACCUCCAAAGCCACGUAGCGUUAGUGACGUGAGAGUGGUCAAGUAUUGGAUCUGAGGUGGCAGUGACUCCAUGUGUGGCAACCCAUAUAAUACUAAUCGACGGAGUGCGCAUGACGAAGAGGAGGAGGAGGAGGAUAUCAAUCCAGACCAAUCAAACUCAUUGUAAAUUGAAGAAUUUUCAUGAUCAUCACCAUCAUCUGAGAAGGGACCAAUUUCAAGCUCCCUUAAGCUAGUUAGGAAACCAAAUCCUUUGGGCGUCAUGCUUGUUUUCAGUUUGGGACACCCCAAUAAUUUCAGCUCCGAGAGAGAAGGCGUUUGUUGCAAAUCAGGCGGAAAGGAGAUAAGAUUGUCGCACCCACUCACCUCAAGCUUCUGGAGAGAGGCACAAGAGUGUAGAAUGUCACCGGGCAGAUUCGUUAACCCAUCACACUUAUAAAUCUCCAGCUCUUUAAGAGACGUAAAGUUUUGUAGGGGAUGGAGUUCUCUGCAUCUGUUGCAGCAAUUAAAUUCCAAACGCGCUAACUUGGGGAGUGUUGUUGCUAACUUGGGGAUUGUUGUUGUUGUUGGCAAAUCCAUUAACCAUCGAGGAAAUUGAUCGCCCAUAAAAUUCCAAAUUACCAACUCCUCCAAAUUUGGGUGGGGUCGAAGGCUGUCUAACACAUCUUCGUCGUUGUAAUUGUCGCCUUCUCGAUCAUCUGCCCACUCAAGUUCCAGCCUAAAUAGAUUUGCCUUUUCAGAUAGUUUUGCUUCCUCAGCUCCUUUCUUAUCCGUUACUAGUUCCAGAUUGCGUAUCUCCAAUUUGCCUUUGAGGUUCUUCAAGCUUCCAAGCUCUCCAAUUCGCCGACCCUUCUCUCGACCCACGUUAAAGAACUCUAGCGUCCGAAGGCAAGUCAGCCGUCCCAUCUCUAGCGGCAUUUGAAAUGUUUCAUCAAAUGUGUAAUAGUGGAGAUGUCUCAAACUAAUCAAAUUGCACAUCCUCUCCGGAAGACGGUCAACAUCUGAGUGACUUAGCGUCAAUGUCUGCAGAUUAUAAAGCUUGCAAAGGGAGUCUGGCAAAAUACUGAUUGCAGACCACUUAAGGUUAAUGUACCGCAAAUGUAUCAGUUUGCCAAUUGAGACUGGUAGCUCUCGAGUUCUUGUAUGAGACAAAUUCAAAACAUACAAGUUCUUCAACUUCAUUAACAUAUCACCAGAUAAGUAACCUUUUACAAACAAUGUAUGAAGCGAAGUUGAUAGACUCUCCAAAAGUUUUUCUCUGUCUUCUCCACCACCAAAUAAGUCUGUUGCAAGGUAACGAAUCUGAUUACCAUUGCCUACUAUACUCGUAUCCCUAUCAAUAAUGACUUUGGUAGACUUUGACAUUAACUCGGCAAGGUCGUGCACCAGAUCAUGCAUCUUAUAAGAUGUUGAUGUUUCUGACUCAUCAAUUAUUUCUUCAAACAAUGAACUCUGCAAUAAAAUUCUCAGAUAAUUAAUUACAUUUUCCUCCAUCAUCAUUUGGCUGUUGAUGUCUGCUUGGAGGAAACCUUCUGCCAUCCAAAGCUCGAUUAGCAUAUCUCCUUCCAUCUCAGUAUCCUUAGGAAAUAUAGAACAAUAUGCAAAACAUUUCUUAAUGUAUGGAGAUGGCAAAUUAUCGAAACUCAACUUAAGUAUUUGCAUGACACGAUCUUCAUCUCCACUCAAACUUGAAAGCCUAUUCUCCAAAAUUGAUUGCCACUCCUCUUUUCUCUUUAAAGAUAAUAGACCUCCAAUUACACUUGCUGCCAAUGGUAGACCAUCACAUCUUUUGAUUACUCUCUCUUUAAUUGCUUUUAGUUCAUCAGGUACUUCUCCGCCUCCAACUACUUUUUCUUUUAGGAUAGACCAGCAAAGAUCAUCAGGUAGCCUUCCUAAGGCAUAGGCUUCAUCAUCCAUCCUCAGAACUUUCAACACAAUAUCUGCCAGUUGACCAAUACGAGUAGUGACAAGACACCAGCUUCCAUCAGUUGGAUUGAGCCCCUUCAAGGUGGUGAAAAAGUCAUCCCACAAUGCCUGAUUAUCAUCCCACACAUCAUCAAGGACAAGGAAAUAUCUUUUUCCCUCUAGUUGAUUCUGAAUUUUUCCAACGAUGACAUUCCUAUCAUCCACUUCAACCUUUUCUCCCGUCAAUUGCACUAGUAUGAGUUUGAAAAGUUCCACUACUGGAACUUUUUUUGAUACGCAAACCCACAACUUUUUCUGAAAGUGCCCAUCAAUUUGGUGAUUGUUGUAUAUCGAUUUAGCCAAAGUUGUUUUGCCUAGACCUCCCAUACCAGUUAUGGGAAGACAAGAGACAACCUUCUCAGAUGGGCUCAACAGCAUCUUCACUAUCUUUGAUUCAUCAUCGGCUCUUCCAGUCAUUGGAACAGCAACCGAGUCGGUCUGCCUAUUUCUUCUGUCUCCAGCAUCAGCAGCAGCAGGGAGGGCAGCUGUCAUGACUGCCCUGCCGAUCAGUCCCAAUCCAUCGGCUUCUUGAUUGAUCUCAUUCAACUUAAGCUUGAUGUCCCUGACCUUAGAAGCCAUUCUCCAACGGAAACCAACGGAGUUAGAGCAGGAGAAGAAGCAACAUACCUUGCUCUUGGGUUGGUUCCGGGACUCCACCUUGCAACGAAGAGAUUCGUAGUUGAGCUCAUCCAACACAUUGCCAGCAUCAUAAGCAACUUCCUCCAGACUCUUCAACCAUUCUUGGACUCCCCGGUCCUGGUUUUGUUGCCUUUCCUCAGCAUCAGCCAAGAGAGCAUUGAUAAAGGUAAGAGUUCGACUCAUGCUGGCCAGAUCCUUCUUGAACCCAACUAACAUACCAAUCCUAUCAGUGGCAAGAGAUACUGCCGUCUCCAAGGCAACCUGAAUAGUGGCACUAAUGACAGCGUCGGCCAUUUUCCUUUCCUUGUAUGGGGCUUAAUAGCUAGGAUGCUUUGUUCAUAUCAGAUUGGUGAUUUCGUUGUAUGUAGCUUGCUAGGAUGCUUUUUCCUAUCAGAUUAUAAAGAUGGGGAUGGACAGAAGGGUAGAGGCUUUCGUCAAAGUUUUGGUGAGAACCGAUUUAUUUAUUUAUUUUUCAAAUUUAGAAUGGGACCGUGGGUUCCGGUGGUAUGAACUGAAGUAUGGUGGAGCCACUAAGCGAGUUAUGUAAUUUACCCAAUUUAUAAAGGGUUAUAUGUAAUUUAUCCAAUUCAGAAUGGGCUUCUUCCCCGGUUUUAGUUAAUUAUAUUGUUGCAGCUAGUGCUUCAGUUCACGCUAAUGACAGGCGGACUCAGGGCCGGAACGGUUGCAGGUGCAACCGUUUCGGAAGCUCGUGUGCAUUUUGCACACGAUGUAACAUCAUUUGUACGCGAACAAUAUUUUAUGGAAUCUACACAUAUUAAAAUCUGGACCUUACAAUUUUUAUUGGUCAAAUCUUGACCAUUAACUGGCAGGAACGGUUACCCCUUCUUAUGCCAGGCCAGGCCCUUGGGUUGCUGAAAAUAUGUCUAAUCCUUGAUAUUUUUUAAAAAAGAAUACUGGAAAAAAUCGAACUGGAUAUUAAAAGUACAUUUCCAUCUAAAAUAUUCCAACAAUAAAACUACUAGAAAAGUAGUAUAUAGAACAGCUAACAUUUCCAGCUAAAAUAUUAACAAUAUACAAAACUAGCAGGAGAAACUAUAUAUAUAGAAAUGGAUGGGUCACGUUCGCGUCUCAAUUGUUAAUUUGUUAUUGUGUCAGCGCGGCGGCUUUGGCCAUCUCAAUUAUUACCGCUGCACCAACGACGAGUGUAUGCAGAAAAAUCCUAAACAAAUCAUCCAAUGAGGGUUUCUCAGCUUAGAAAGAAGAGCGCUGCUUCUUUUGACAAACUUGCAAAUGCAUUCUCCACAGAACCAACUAACAUUUCCAUCUAAAAUAUUACCAACAACAAAACUACUAGAAAAGUAGUAUAUAGAACGUACUCUCAAUUGUUCUUAUAUUAUAUUAGGGCGGCUUGGCUAUCUCAAUUAUUGCACCUGCACCAACUAGUUUGUCCAGAAAAAAAAAAUCUAAAGAAAUUAUCCAAUGAGAUCUGCCAUUUUUUGUCCCCGUGAAACGAUGAGAGCGAGUGUUCGGAUCAGGAUGAGUUUUGCAGCAUGGAAGGUAUUAGUAGCAUUGCAAGGGCUUGCUGUAUGGAAAAAAUCCUAAGGAUAUUUCGUCGUGCCAGCUACAAACAAAUAGCACCAGCAAGCGCUAACUGUUUGGAUUGCAUUUUUUUAGAUUUUUUGUAGAAAAAUUACUGUAGCAAUUUAAUAUAUGUGAGAUAAAAAGGUGAUAGGGAAAUGUGUUCACGAAAAACGUAACAAUUUUUUCUUGAAAAACUGUUGUCCAAACAGGGCCUACUCGGCAAUUUUGUGCUAGCGUAGUGAGAGCCUGCAGGGUCACGCUAAGCUGAGUCUACUGAGUGUAAAGAUACUCGGCUCGUCAAGACAGCUCCAUUUUAAAUAUUUUUAAUAAUUUUUAUUUCAUGCAUCUCUCUAAUAUUCUUUUGGAUUAAAAAUAAAAAAUCCCCUUGUGGUAUACCUAAUAUAUAGAAAAACCCUCCGUAAUUUCAAAAUAUACAAAACGACACUUCAUGUUUUGAACUAAAUUGUAAACUAACAGAAUUUAAUCACCAACUCUAAAUGUGUGACUUUUUUUUAACAACUUUGAGUGCCAUCCAAUUUUUAUUUGUCAACCUUUUUUUUUCAAUCAAAAGGAACACUAACUCAAAAAGAAAUGCUCAAAACUACUACCAAAAUAUGGUAAUUCCAUCAAUCUAAAAUGCAGUAUGAUGAUGAUAAUUUCUUCUCCAAUUUAGAAAGAAAAUGUAUCCCCUGUAAAGCACCAUUAAAAGCAUUCUAUCAUAAUGUGAAGCUAGUGGUCGUAAAUGCUGAUCAAACAAUAGAUUUGGUAAUGAAAACUUGACACUCUUUCCUUAUAUUUGUGCUAAGAAUUGCUUUGGAAAGUAAUUCAUCUUUAUAAUCUAAGGGUAUUUGCUGACAAAAUUUAAACCAAGCUAUUUAGAAGUUGGUAUGGUAGUUUUGGAAUUAGAUUUAUUAUAUAGUAACUAGAUUUAAAUUGAUAUCAAAGUUGGUUUAGAAAAUAGAGUUGAGUUAUAUUUUAGUGUUGGAAUUAGAAUAGAUUUAGUAAUAUAUGCAUCUUAUAUAAGGACUUGAAGGAUUCGUACAUUUAUAAUUGAGGAAAGUUAGCAUCAAGAGAAUAAAAUCCUAAAUCCUCGCCUGCCUAUUUGUUCGUUAUUCAUACUUCUUUUUUUUUUUUUUUUUGUAGUUGCUAACAUUAUUGACAGUUUGAAGGCCCCAUAUUCACAGCAACAAAUCCCAAGCUUAGGCCGGCGGAGACAGAGAGAGUCAAAGGAGAUUGCCAUGAUGUAUUAUUUCAACAAGGAAUCCAAGGAUUUUCAAAUGUGAAAAAAAAAAUACUGGAAAAAAUGGUAGGUACAAGUACAACUGGCAUUUCCACAUAGAAUAUUAGCAAUUACACCAGUUGAAAAAUUACAGAAGUGCAUGGCUAUAUCGAUUAUUGCACCUAAAACACAACAAGUGUGUACAGAAAAAAUGUAAAGAAAUUAUUGCUUCUCAGCGAAGAAGAAGAUUGCUUCUCUUCACAAACUCGAAUACAUUUUCCACCGAAGUUGGUUGGAGUUUUACUUGAACGUUUCUAAAUAAAUGCAGGGUAUUUCUUGUUCUUUAUUUUUUUUUUCGGCCAAAUUUUUGUUUGUUUUGUGCUUAAAUGCUGGGCCUUUUGUUCCUCGAAUCUUGCUUGGUUUUAGUUAAUUAUGGUUACAGAGACUACUUAGUUUACGCUAAUUCUGGGGCCUUGGGAUGCUCAAAAAGUCUAGUCCUUGGUAUUUAAAUAAAUAAAUAAAUAAAUAAAAAGCUGAAAACAAAGGUACCUACAGUACAAAUGUACAACUGGCAUUUCCACCUAAAAUAUUAGCAAUAACGAUAGUAGACAAAUUCUCAAUUGUAUAUUAGAGCGGCUUUGCUAUCUCAAUUAUUGCACCUAAAACAACAAGAAGUGGUCUUCUCAGCGUAGAAGAAGAGAGUGCUUCUUUUACUCUUAUGUUUCCAAAUCAAUGCUGGGUUUUUUUUUGUUCUUUAUUACUUUUUUUUUGGAAAAAUCAUUUAAAAUGUUCCACACAUUUCAUUAGAUAAAUUUUUUUCGUCUAUCAUUUUUAAAAGGACAAAUUCCACUUUAUCUCCUGUGAUUUAGUGUUUUUCUACAUAACCCCCCUAUGGUUUUAAAAACUAUACAUAACCCUCUCAUAAUUUGGAUGAAAGUGUCAAAGUAAUGGAAAUGGUCUUUCGUAAUAGAAUCAUUUAAAAUGUCAAAAUAGCCUUAUGUAAAGGUGAAAAUUUUUUAUUGAUCAAGGGGGGUUAUGUGUAUAUUCCUAAACCAUAAGGGGGUUAUAUGAUAAAAUAUUAAACCAUAAAGGAAUUAUAUAGUAAAAUAUAAAAAUCACACGGAAUUAGUGUGCCAUGUAUUUAUAAGGGUAAUUUCGAUAUUAUCAAAAGUUUCAUUAUGAAUGACUAUUUCCGUCAUUUUGACAUUUUAAUUCAAACCAUAAGGAGGUUAUGUACAACUUUUGAAAGCACCAUUAAAAGCAUUCUAUCAUAAUGUGAAGCUAUUGGUCGUAAAUGCUUAUCAAACAAUAGAUUUGGUAAUGAAAACUUGACACUCUUUCCUUAUAUUUGUGCUAAGAAUUGCUUUAGAAAGUAAUUAAUCUUUAUAAUCUAAGGGUAUUUGUUGAUAAAAUUUAAACCAAGCUAUUUAGAAGUUUGUAUAGCAGUUUUAGAAUUAGAUUUAUUAUACAGUAACUAGAUUAAAAUUGAUAUCAAAGUUGGUUUAGAAAAUAGAGUUGAGUUAUAUUUUAGUGUUAGAAUUAAAAUAGAUUUAGUUUUAGAGUUGAGUUAUAUAUGUUAUGUAGAAAAACACUAAACCAUAAGAAUUCUUUUGAAGUAUAAUUAUUACUAAUAUAUAGUUUCCAUUUCUCGUGGAUUGUUCUUAAUCUCUCCUAAAGAAUUGUUGCAAACUUUUUUGGUUUGUGCGUCACUUUGCAUCUAAGAGUUCUAAAUUUCACCACCAAUUAAAUAGUUUCCCUCGCAACUUUAGUUUCCUUUUCUCUUCUAUUUCCAAUUUCUCCUUACUUAUGUUUCCUUGUUGCAAGGCUUGCCAAACUAAAUAAGAUAUUUGUUAUCGAUUUCUUUGAUUCCUAAAACACAAGAAAAUUUUCAUUCCUAAUAUGUAUUCCUGUUUACUUGUUUAAUUGAUUUUUAAAAGAUAUUAGCAAAGAAUUUUGGGCAAAUUACAUUUUACUCUCCUGUGAUUUAGCAUUUUUUACAUAACCCCCUAUGAUUUUAAAAGCUAUAUAUAACCCCCUCAUAGUUGGAUUAAAGUGUCAAAAUGACGGAAAUAGUCAUUCGUAACGGAACUUCUAAAAAUGUCGAAAUUCCCUUAUAAAUACAUGACAGAUUAACCUCGUAUGAUUUUUAUAUUUUACCAUAUAACCCCCUUAUGGUUUAAUAUUUUAUCAUAUAACCUCCUUAUGGUUUUUAAAAUAUACGCAUAACCCCCCUUGGUUAAUAAAUAAGUUUCAACUUUAUAUAAGGGUAUUUUUGACAUUUUAGGUGACUCCAUUAGGUGACACUUUAAUUCAAACCAUGAGGGGGUUAUGUAUAACUUUUGAAACUAUAGGGGAGUUAUGUAAAAAAAUGCUAAACUAUAGGAGGGUAAAGUGGAAUUUGCCCAAGGAUUUUAGAUCCAAUUUGGUGCAGUGCUACUUUGACAAACUGAAUCGGAUGCUUUUGCAACGGAAGUCGAUUCGCAUUUUCAGUUCACCUUUCUUAAUGGCAUGGUCGUUGCUGGGAUUCUUCAUCUGCUUUUGAUCCGCACGCUUAAAGAAAAUGCCAAUCAUCAUUGAGACUCUUAAUAAAUCUCACGAUGAAUAAUUUGUUGGGACAUGAACGUAAGAUGAAUAAUUUCAUCUAAAUGGCUGAUCCUUGGUGGAUCAGAUUUCAAACAUAAUUUAAGUACGCCUUACUUUUUGUUUGCUUUCUGCAGGGGACUAUGCUAACAGUACUGUGGCAGUGUGGCUUAAAAUCCUCCAAUUUCUUUAAAAUCCAGAGACACCCGGAGUUCUCCAUUUCCUUUUGUGAUUUUGCAACAUUAAUUACCUCAUUCUCUAAUCCUUGGGAAAUAGGCUAAAAACUGAAAAAAAAAAAUCGCUAGGUUAGUUAUAAAAAACAUGAAGUGGAGUCAGUAAUCAGGCUUGACACGUAGCUACAUAAUUGGUCAGUGAUUGCGUGCUUUCCUAGCUUUUACAAUUGCGAAAAUUUCAAAAUAGUCUCUUGUAUUUCCAAAAGUUCUCUAGUGAUACGGUGCAAAAUUACUAUUCAAUUUAUGAUUAUUUCCCCUUGAUUGUAACCAAAUAUUAUUUUAAUUAAUGGAUUCUACUUAUAUUUUGUUAAUGGUGCUAAUCGCUAGGAUUGUUUCUUUGUUAGAGAAGUAGUUAAUGUGCAUACUUUAACUAUCGAGACACUAAAGAAAAACUGAUUGUUUAUCACGUAUAUGACAACUAUAACCUAUUUAUUAGCAAAUAAUUUAGAUAAUUAUUGCAUCGAUGAUCAGUUAUUUGAACCACUUCCGGAGUUAUGUCUUUGGCUAGAGCUUGUUUAUUCUUAAGUUGAAUUUAAUUUGCUUUAGUUUAAUUUUUUUCAAUCACAUUGAUUAUUUACUUUAGUUUUAAUUCUCCAAACCUCUCCCCUCCCCCCCCCCUCCCAACAACACCAAUUAGCUUUUACUUAGAAAGAAAUAGAUUUUUCCUCUAAUCCCUGUGGAGAUGACCCUACUUGUUAUUAUACUCAUUUAUAUCUUUUUGUGAGUAGAAAUUUAUUAUUGCACAGACACGACUCUUGUCAUCUAGCACUUUAAAACAUCGGACAUUUUGAAGCAAAUGUCUUGUUUAUGUACAAUAUACAAAAUUUAAGUGGUGAAAAUUUGAGGAGCUUGUUUAUUAUGAAAAAUUGGAGAUCCCUUGUUAUUUGUAUUCAUCUUUGUUCCUCCAUUUCACAAUUAGUUUGCAUGCAUUUUAAUGGUGAUCAAUUUGUCCACAAUUUAUAAUCAUUUAAUAAAACAUUUUGUAAUGACAUCGAAAAUACACUUUGAGGGUAAUUGAGGCAACCCUCUUUUAAAUAAAUCAAGAAAAAGAAAAUGCUACAGCUGAUUGACAGUUCGAACUUUGGAGGCACCAUAUUCACAGCAACAAAUCACAAGCUUUGCUUUAUCCAGCUGAGACAUGAAAAAAAAAAAAGAUAGCGCCGAGAUGUGAUCCAGCUAAGAAUCAAAUGAAUUUCAAAAGGAAAGGCAGUAAUGCCAAUUAGGGGCCAACAAGGUCUAUCCAAUAUGCUUUCUCGAUCGGCUUAGAAAAAAGAGUACUGCUUCUUUUGACAAACCUGCGCGCAAUUUCCUCCAAAGCUCCUACUGGGCGUUUCACUUGAAAGUUUCCAAGUCAGUGCUGGGCUUUUCUUACUGCUUCUUUUCCUUUUUCGAAUUGUUCGCUCCUUUUGCGCUCGAAUGCCGAGCCUUUGAUUUGUGGAAAAGUAAUUUAGUGAGUAAAUUCCAGCACUUGGUUUUCAAUGUCAAAGACCUCGAAUGUUCUGGUGAUUCUUGGAGUAGAAAUCAAAGAGGAAAACUAUUACUUCGAUCCUUAAUUAAUAAAGGAGUACAAUUAUCCUGUUUUGUGAGAAAUUUUAAGUGGCAUGGCACAAAUGUUAAAAUCCCAUAUUUCACCUCAACUUCUAAUUACUAGUAACAUGUCAUGUGUUUUGCACCGUGAUCAUAUUAACCUAACAUAUAACAUCAUUGAGAUACUAAAUUCUUUGUUAAAUUUUGACUUUAAGCAUCAAAAUAGAGCAAUUCUUUUGGUUUUCAGUUUCUUUAACUAGUUCUUUGAAAAAUACUAGUUUAGAUGUACAUAUAUUGCACGCCGCAUUUCUCCCCGGUUGCUAUGACUAAUAACUUAUUCAAAAUUCUUUACACAAUUGAACUUUAAGUAAAUGAAACAAACCUUCAACGAAGUACUCAAAUUCAUAUAUAUAAAUCAAAAUGCACUCUUCUAGUAACCACUCCAACACUAUAUAGCCUUGACAAAUAGAACAUAGAAUUCAAACAGAACAAUAAAAUGUAAUAAAAAAUAAAUGGGCUAAUUAAGGAGGUUCUGAUUUAAUGAUUAAAGUACUUCAAUAAUAAAAUGUCCUAGAUUCAAUUCUCUGAAUUUUUACUUCUCAUGUAUGAAAAUAAAGUAUGAACAUAAAAAUGAGCUAACCUAAUGUUUCAAAAAAAAAAUUAAAAAAAAGAAACCACCUAAAACUACAAAGGAUCUUUGUAUACUCUUAAAACUUAUGCCUAUAAUUUCUUCUUAUUAAUUUACAACCUAAACCUUUUAACUUUUUGAGUAUCUUUCAGUUUCAAAAAAUUGGAGAUCCUUGAUAUUUGUAGUUGUCUUGACCGAUUCGAUCUUCUUUCCUCCAUUUCAUAAUUAGUUUGCAUGCAAUUUAAUGGUGAGUUUAUCCCCAAUUUGUAUAGAAUACACUAGGGCUGUCAAUCUAUCUUUGAGCUUGGGGUUGCUUGAUUAAUUUUAAAAAAAUCUUAGGUCGAAUGAACUUUAGCAAAGAGUAAUUUGAAAUAUGCAUUUGCAAACCCGUUAAAAAUUUACCUUCAUACCUUUUGCAAGGUCAUUGAAAACACACUUUGAAGGUACUUGACGUUACCCUAUUUUUAAAUAAAAUUAUUAGACUUUAGAAAAUAUAGAAGCAAGAAUUAUUAAAGUGGAAAUUUAAGAGGUACUUUGAAGACAUAAAAAAUACGCUUUGAAGGUACUUGAGGUAAAUCAUUAUUAAAAAUAAAUCAUUAGCAUUAGAAAAUUAAGACGCAAGAAUUAUUAAAAAUAGAAAUAUUAAAAAAUCUAUCUAAUAUUUUUUUAGAAUAAAUUAUAUAUAUAUAGACAGUGUAUAUACAAGCGAAGCUGAAUGCACGCUACCUUUAUUGUGGAAGCAAUAAGUACAUCAGCCAUUCUUUUUGUUCCCCGGAUACUUUUUGCAGUGGAAGGUUUUAGCUCUUGGUAGAAGCAGCAAGGAACUAUUCUUUGCUUAGUAGAAGUAGGGCUGCAAACGAAUAGAGCCGCUCGCGAGCGGCUCGAGUCAAGUUCGAGUCGAGCUCGAGUUGGCUCGAGUCGAAAUCGAGCUCGAACUCGAGCUCAAAAUAUGAAGCUCGUUAGGCUCACGAGCUCGAGUAUAUAUAUAUAUAUAUAUAUAUAUAAUAUUUUUUAUUUUUUUAAUUUUAAGUAUAUAUAUAUUUUUUAAUUUUAAGUAUAUAUAUAUAUUUUUUUUUAUUUUCUUAUUUUAAUAGUAAAAUUACAUAUAUAUCCUUAAUAUUUUAUUAUUUAUUAAGAAAAAAAUUAUUUUAUUUAUUUUUUAAAAAAUAAAAUAAUUUUAAAAUUUUUUUUUUCGAGCUCGAGCUUUAAAUUGCCAGCUCAUCGAACUCGAGCUCGAGUUCGAGUUGGUAAAAUUUAAUCGAGACUCGACUCGAUUCGAUUAACCUAAAACUCGACUCGACUCGACUCGUUUGUAACCCUAUGUAGAAGCAACAAGACUUUGACAAAUUUGGAUGCUUUUGCAACAGGGAAGAAGCUGCUUAGAAUUUUCACUUGGAAGUCUUCAAUACUUGUCGUUGCUCGGGCCUUUCAUGACCUGGCAGGCACCUUUUUUUUUUUUUGGGUUAAAUACAAAAAACCUCCUUAUGAUUAAUCAAAUAUUCGAAUUAACUCCCUAUACUUUAGAAACCUUUAUAAAACCCCCUUAUACUUUUGAUUAAAAUAAAAUAUUAAGUUUUCAGUUGUAGCUAACAGUCAUAAAGGGUAACUUGGUUAGUUGAUUAUAAGGCAAUUUAUAUUAUAUAAAAUGGGAAAAUAGAAAAUUUUGUUCUCUUCUUUCCAUCCACACGCCUUAUAGUGUAUCUCUUUUUUGUAUUUUUUUUGUUAAAACAUUGUAUCUCUCCUUCUCACCACCAGACCUUCCCUUUUCUUCUUUUUUUUUUAAAAAAAUUUUGUUCCUAUUCACUUCUGAGUCACCCAUAAAUUAGUACUAUUCAAACCCGAAAUCUUAUGACCCAAAACGAUGGCGUCUUCAAAAUAUCAGAAAUGGAUGGAGUGGUUGAUCUACUUCUUCAUUUGUGGGUAUAUGGUAUUUGUGUCCAUGGUUCCAGCUUAUUUAUGUCAAGUAAUUCCGUCCGGUGGUUGCUUGCGGUGCAUAGGAGCGGUUGUCUGGAGAAGAUGAUCAGAGAAGAAGAAGCUUUUUUGUGAUAUUAUGUUUUUACCUUAAAGGCAACGUGAAAUAAUGAUUUGACCCAGUUUUUCCUAAUGAUCUGAUUGUAACCAUGUUUUAAAUGGUAACUUAGUAAUCUGAUUAUUAUUUCAUUUAAAAAACUAUUUUCCUUCGGCUGCUAAAUUUGAUGGAAAAAUUAACAGUUUCGAUUUUCUAAAAAUCAUGAGGAGGAAAAAUGUAGGUUUCUAAACAAUAGAGAAUUAAUGUAAGCACUUGCUUAACUCUUCACCAAAAGGAGUUAUUUCCUAUUUAAUCCCAUUUUUUUUUAUCUAAUUUGUUAAUUCUUACGACAUAAGGAUAGAAUUGACUUCAUGUAAAUUAAUAAUUGCUUGAGAAAAUUGGAUGCUAUAAAUUCCACGGAAGAUGCUUGGUAAUUUCACUACGGUCUUUCUUAAUUGAUGCGUGAGGCUUCUUACAUGUUUGACAAAUUUGAAAGCUAUCUCAGAGGCUCGUUGAAAUAGCGGUUUGACCCAAGAGCGGAAAUGGCAAUCAUAGUUGGUGACAUUGGCAACAUCAAUCAUGCCAUCUGUUAAUCCAGAAAUAAAUUGGAAAAAAAAAAUUUGUUCUUACUGACUGUCCUUGAGAAUUAGACUGAAUAAUUAUUAGGGUAAAUUAUCUUUUACCUUUCCUGUAGUUUGGUGUUUUAUCACGUAAUCUUUCAUAGUUUAAAUAUCUAUAGUUUAGCCAACUCCCUUAACCAACUCCCUCUAGAGGAGUUGGCCACCACAUUAUUUGUGGGGUGAGAGGUCAAUGAUUCAAACCUUGCUUCCCAUCAGUGUGUCUCUAUAUGAGAAUUGUUCUAAAUCCAUAAAAAUCAAACUAACAAAUAGAUAAAUUCACUUUUUCACUACUUUUUUUUUGCUUCUCUCUCUACCUCUCUCUUUUGGAAGAGAAGAGAUGAUUUGAAAAUCUAUCCUUUGACCUACAAAAUCUUAAUUUUCUCCAAAUAUAAAAAAAUUGAAGAGAAAUAAAAAAAUAAUUAAGAAACAAAAAAGAUGGAAGGAAAAUACAAAAAUAUAUAAAUAAGAAGCAAGAAAUAUGGAAGGGAAAUAUAAAACAAAUAAAUAAGAAACAAAAAAUACCAAAUCUUUGUUGACUAAAAAUAUCAUUUUAGGUUUUUAGACCAAAUCUUUAAUGUUAUUUUCUAUUUCUUAUUUAUUUAUUUUUACUUAUAUUUAUUUAUUUCCUUUUUGUAUUUGGAGGGAAAAAAAGAAGUAAUGAAAAACUAAAUUUGUUAAUUCAUUAGUUUGGCUUUGACUUUGAUUUUUUGCUAUUAAUUAUUAGUUUUAACGGAAAAAUAGAUGGUGACGCGUUAACUAAAAUCGUGAGGGGUUUAUAUGCAGGCUUUUCAACCAUAGGAGUGAAUCACAUCUAGUGAGUGCCACGUUUGGGCAGUGAAUUUGGUAAUCAAAUCUUAUAAUAAGAUAGUGAUAACUCUUUGAUAGAGGCCUGAAGAACCAUAAUAUGAUACGAAAAUAUAGUAGACCAUAGGAGAGAAGAAAAGAGAAGGUGAGUCUUUGUCUACUUCCUGUCUUGCAUGUACUUCUGCUGCAAUUCAUAGGCAAAAGUACAUGGUUUGCAAAAGUACAUGGUUUGGUACUCAUUUCAGUAGGUUUGAAGUAGCAAAAACAAGCAAUUUGUUUUUUUGACUAAAUGAAGUUGUCACAUGGAAGAGGGAUAUGGAUUUCUUGUAUCUUCUCAGGGAGAGGAUCAACAUCGACUUUUUCACAUGAUUUAGUUGUUUGUGUAGAAGUUUACUGAUUCAGUUGAUUUUUGUCCAGGCCUAGUUGACCAUAUUGAACAGGAAUUCUAAAAUAAGUAGGAUUUUUUGUUUUCUUCUGGUUGGCAGGAUGAGUGCCCUACGAAUGGGUUGUUUUCCUUACUAUCCACAUGCAUAACUUUUCAUGUUCACUUUGUUGCUUAGUAAACUAUGUUUUCCAGCGGUUAGUAAUGGAACCAAUCUUUACCUUCUAUAGGUUGCAUAGUUAUACAGAUAAUGCCGUUUGAACAAUGGAAACUGGAACGUCCAGUGUAAACUACAGCUUGGGCUGGAGCCUGGAGAUAUGGUUAAGAACUUUUGAUGCUGCCAUUUUGCUCAGUUAUUGGUCGAAGAUAAGCUGGUCAGAACUUUUGACCAAGCAACCUUGGGAAGUUUAAGAAACUUUUAUUGAUCAUAUUACUUACCUUGUUAAACCUUCUUUUUGUCACAUAAAAUGCUGGCAUGCUUUCUUGGAAAUAUGCUUUUGAGUUAUUAAUACAUGAGAGUCGAAGCAUGCCUUUGUAAAUGUAAUUCUUGCAAUAGUAUUACAUACAAUCAGAGGAAAAGAAAGAAUCAGGUGUUUCUACGUCCUACCAAAGUGCAUGCCUUUGUAAAUUUAAUUCUUGCAACAGUACUACGUACAGUCAGCGGAAAAGAAAGAAUCAGGUGUUUCUGCAUCCUACCAAAGUACACAAGGUUUUCUGGACACAUCAGAGGUUUGCCUGUUGAUUUUAUCAAAUGUAAACCCUGUCUUCUUUUCUUGUCUGCGCAGGUUUUUAACUGUUUUGGCCACCAAUUCUGCUUGCACUUUGAGGCGUUUCAUCUGGGAACAGCUCCGGUUUAUAUGGCAUUCCUGAGAUUCAUGGGCACUGAUGAAGAUGCAGAAAAUUUUGUUAUAGUUUAGAAGUUGGUGGAAAAGGUAGAAAGUUAACAUGGCAAGGUGUUUCUAGGACGAGAAAUGACAUUGUCCAUUGGGCUACAUCAAAAUCUGCAAUGCCAUCUUUUAACAGAUUUCAGGUUUAAUCAUCUGAAGAAAUUGUAUCAAUAUGUCAAAAACUACAUUGAUUUGUUAUUAAAGCAUCUUCAUUUACAUAUAUGCAUUAUAGGCAGCAAGAAGUUCAUCCUUCUAAUCUUUUAAAAUAAGGACUGGUCUCAGUAUUCCUCUGAAUCUGAAUCUGAAUGUAAACAUAAAGAAGUAUUCACAAUAUUCUUUGAUCUAAGACGAGGAUUUUCAGAUUAACAUUUCCCCAGUUCAUCUGUUCUUCCUUAAUCUCUUGAACCAAACUUCCAACAUGGCCUGGACACCGAUGCACCUGAAUCAAUUCAAGAGUUGGAAUUUCCCCCAAACAAGAAGGGAGCUCCUCCAAGUUCCAGCAGCUUUCCAAAACCAAUUUCUGAAGACAGGGGAGAUGAUCACCAGAGCACGUCCACCUGACAAUGCACAACAAUUCCAAUUUCAAGAAUUUGAGUUUAGGGAAUUCCCCUUCUUCCAUGUUCCAUAUUUUUUCCCCACCAGCUUUUGUACCGAGUAAUUUGAGAACCUCAAGAUUAGGUAGGCUUCCUAUUGAGGAAAUCAUACUCCAGGGAAAUGCUUCCAGGGUCAACUUUUUUAGAUUCAUGGGGAAGCUGAACUCAUAAUCCUUCUCUUUCACACGGUAAAAAGACAACUUCAGUGACUCCAGUCGUCUCAGAAAGUCCAUUGCCACAAUCUUGUUCCAAUCCCCAAAAGAUUCUUCUGUUUCACGGAGACUACAUUUCAGCUUGCGGAUAUUUGGAAACUUCUGCAUUAUCUUAUCCAUGCUUUGCCCAGGGGCGGAGGGAAGGGGGGGGGCCAGGGGGGGCAACCACGCCCCCUCCAAUUGUUAAAAAAAAAAAAUUUCUAAGUAAAAAUAUUUUUAUUAUAUUGUUUUGCCCCCCCAAAUAUUGAUAAAAAAUUUCACUUUGCCCCCUCUCUCAAGGACCCAAACAAUAAUAUUUGAAAGUUAUUUGGACUUGGUCCAAAUAACAGAGACUCGCCCCCCCCUAAUUGCAAUUCCUAGCUCCGCCACUGGCUUUGCCCCAAAUCAAGCUCAAGAGCUGAUAUAGUGUCUAGGUUACACAAAUCUGAGGAGCUGUCCAAGUUGUCUUUGGCCAAACUAAGAUCAAAAAACUUACCACUUAUGCAGAGACACCUCAAUGUCUGCAAAUUCCAUACGGUAUCUGGAAGAAAAAGAAUACCAUGCAAAGAUUUUAGAAUAAAAGUUUCCAAAUUCCAAAGGUUUGCUAUUGAUGAUGGGAUGUAAUUCAUGCUACCUGCAAACGCCAAGUAUCUCAACUGAACAAGUAACGUAAUUUCGCUGGGAAAAACAAAUCCCAGAUUAAUUUUUCCCAAAUCCAACACUCUCAGAAGUUUGAAGAUGCGAAAAAUGGAUGAGACAUUGUAUGGAGUUCCAUAUUCCUCACUCUGGGUGGAGACCACUAGAGAGCUUAGAAGAGGACAAAAUAGCCUUGACUUCUGAAAAUGCCUUGCUUUAGAGUAAAUAAACAAUCGACGUGUAUUACUUGGCUCAUCAAAAUUAGGAAUUCCUGCAUCAUCACGUCUCAACCUUAGAAGAUUUUCGUCUGUGGCUUUUCUCAAACAAAAUUCAUGCAACAAGUCAUGAAUGCGGCAAGUUUUGAUUCCACCUGUAGAUUUUUGUUUGUCAACCAUAACCAAGCUUCUCCCAAUUAGAUCCAUUAUGUAGUCCUCAGCUCUGUCCUCUAUUCUCUUCGCCUCUGUCUUUUGGACAAAGCCUUCAGCAGUCCACAACCGCAUCAAUGUCCAUAUAGGUAUCUCUUGGUCUUCUCGAAAUGGUCCAAAAUAAAGAAGGCAUGGCUUCAAAUAAUGAGCUAAAUGUUUGUAGCUCAGCUCUAAUAUACUUUUGCAAUGUUCUGUGCCACACACGGUGUCCGAACUUAGACGUUCUGCAAUUUCUUCCCAACCAUCUUGCUCUAAAUUUGCAAGAAUCCCAGCUGUGAUAACAACUGUUAGAGGUAAACCUUUACAACCUUUUGCUAUAUGCUUUCCAUGUAGAAACAGUGCUGGAGGAUUUCCACCUCUUUCUGCCAGCUUCUUUUGUAGUAAUUCUAAGUACUCAUCAUCAGUAAGUUGGCGAAGAUGAAGAGGUUUACUUGCAGGUUUAACUUCCAAAGCCAACUUAGAAAUUCGACUUGUUAAAAGAAUUCUGCUUCCAUUGGCAUCAUUUGGGAAUGAAACUUUUAACGCAUUCCAGGCCGCAAUGUCCCAAACAUCAUCCAAAACUAGGAGAUACCUGCCCCUUUAAACAAUGGUAGGUGCUAUAGCAAGAUCAUCAGCAUCCAUCCUAGGGUAUUCAUCAGAGUCCGAAGGAUCAAUGCAAGCCAAAAUCUGAAACAACACCUCUUUCUUUCCAUAUACUUGAGAAAUACGACACCAAGCACGAAUAUGGAAGUGGCAUAUAAUCAUAGGAUCUUGGUAAACUUUAUUACCUAAAGUAGUCUUACCCAGUCCAGGCAUGUCAACAAUAGAAACACCGUCCAACGCUCCUGAUCCUCCUGUCAGCUGAAAGAUUAUUUGUCCUGCCUCAUCAUGAAAUCCCACCACAACUUGAUUGGAUGUUGGCAUAGUCCAUUGCAACCAAGAAUGGGGUGGAGUCUGCGCUUUCUUUUGAGCUCCACAGGUGAAUUCAUCAUCACCAAUCCCCACAUAUUCCUUAUUAACAAGAUUUACCUUUCUCAUGUGUAGACACCAAAUUUUUGUAAAAAUUUUAACGUUUUCUUGAAUUUUUUCUAUUUAGUAAUUUAUUUAUUUUCUUACAUUUUAAUGUGCAUUUUUCUUAUUUUUACAAGUUUAUUUAAAAAAAAAACAAAAAAAAAAAGAAAAUCAAGAAAUCAAAUCAUCCUAAUCAGUUUUUUUCCACCAAAUACACUUAAUCCAUUCCUACACUCAAUUUUCUUGACCUUUCUUGUCAUUUGGUAAAAUCAUGAUUUUUGACCAACCUAACACUCAAACUCCACUUUGGGCUCAAAAAAAAAUACAUCUCUCGGCUCUCUCCCUCUCGGCAGAGAAGAAGAAAAAAAGGGAUCCCCUCAAUUGUCUCUCUCGGUUCUCUUUUUCUCCCCAAGACACAAGGACUCAACAGACAAGCAAAAACAAAACCAACACUCCAAUUUUUUCUUCCCAAAAAAUCCCUCUCGGCUCACUUGGGCAAAAAGGAAAAAAAAAAACACACAAGAGAAAAAAAGGGAGGCUCUCGGCUCUCUCUCUUGGCUCUCAACCGAAAAAAAUAAGGAAGAAAGGGCACUCUUCCUCCUCCCAGCUCCCUCUCAGCUUUUUCUUUGCUCACUUCACACAACACACUCACACACAACUUCAAACAUCAAAAGAGAGGCAGCAACCGGUUGGAUAAUUGGAGCUUUGCAUCAGAAACUUCAACCAAGGGAUUGCCAUCUACAUUGAGGUAAUUUUUUUUUAGUUUUGUUUAGCACAUUAAAUCCAUGCUUCAUUGUUUAAUUUUCUUUUGCUUUUGCUGGUUUCCUUGGUUGUUGGGUUGCUGAAUUUUUGGGACAAGUCAUGCACAGAAUUAAGGAAAAAGAAACGGGCCCAUGAAUGCAUGUCAAGUGCUUGUGAAAAUGCCAAAUUGGAAAAAACGAAUUUUAGGGGUUGUUUUGCUUUAUUCUAGCCUUUUUAUGUCGUUUUCUUGUCAAAUUAACAUCAUAGUUGUAAUGUAGAAGUUGCAAGGAGUGUUGUAGUAUAAAUUUUAUGUUUUUUAGUGAAGAUUUGAGGGUUUAAAAAUAAGUAAAACCGCGGCUGUUUUUGGGCAUUUUGGCCAACUUCGGGUUUUUUUUGUAAAAAGUAACUCCGGAAAUGAAAUCUACGCGAAAAAUGGAGUGAGAAGGUGUAUUUUGAGAAAUUUUGGCGACCGGAAAAUUCGCCGGUGCCGCCGGCAGCCGCUAUGGCCGCCAGCUGAAGCUUCUUCAGCUGGCCGAAGAAGAAGAGAAAGAAACGGCUGGAAGUGGAGGAAGAAGGAAGGAUGAAAAGAAAAGAAAGAAAGGAAGGAAAGAAAAAAAAAUGGAUUGGGCUAAUGUUUUUUUUUGGUGGGCUUGUAAUUGUUUUUUUAUUGGGUUUUGGAAAUGGGUUUUGGUUUAUAUCUUUUGGAUUUUGGUUUGGCUAGGAGGUUGGAGCCCAUGUGUUUUUUGAUCGGGCUUGAGUUAUAAAAGACUGGCUGGCCUGUGUGUUUUGACUUGGACUUUUGACUGGGCCUACGUAGGUUCGGCCCAAGUAAAAUAAAAAGGGAGGCCCGAUGCCUUUUUCUUGCCCAAAUCAGAAACCGAAAGUUUCACUUUAACACCUGAUCUUUGGAGUAGUUUCACUGUAGCCCAGAACAUUUUAAUUUGUUUCACUUAGGUCCUUAAAUUAAUUGCACUUUGGUCCUUUAAUUUUAUCUUUCAUUUAAUUUUGACCCCCAAACUUUGGAAAAAUAUAAUUUCUGUCCCCAAAAGUUUUUCCAAUUUUUGCAAUUCAGUCCCUGAUGAAUUUUGACUCUCUUUAUUAUAAUUGCUUCUUUUCUUUAAUAGCUAAUUAUGUUACUUUUGAGUAUAUUUAACUUGUAAUUUUUAGAUGUUCUUAAAUUUCUUUGCUUUUGACAUGUUAAGGAGAAUUUAGUAUUUCUAUCAUUAUUAUUAUUUUCAAUUAAAUUGGUGCCAUGAUCCUUUUGUUCAUUUUGAGUAUAAAUAGGGCAAUUUGACUCCAUUUAGUCACCACUUCAAAUGGGAGGUACCCCUAUUAUUAUUUCAAUAUCAAUUAUGUGCUCUUAUGUGCUCCUAUGUGUUCCUAUAUGUUUAUAUGUUUUUAUAUGCUUUAUUUAUUUGAUUUAAAUGUUCAUCCAAAUUUUCUUAUAUUUAUUUAGUUAGUUUUUAUAAUUAUUUGAGAGGCAUUUAAAUACCUCAAAAAUGUAAUAGAUAGAAUAAUUAUAUUUGUUUUAUUAUAUUUUUCCCUUUUAGAUUGUAGUUAGAUUCUCCACUGUAAUAGAUAGGUCUUUGCGUGUUUAUGUGGCUUAUGUGUUAUAUGUUUUACCCGCUUUCUUUAGGAUUUUUUCAUCUAGAUAUUAUGUUUACGUGUUAUGUGCUUCGUGCUUUUAUGUGUUUAUUUGUUUUAAUUUAUGCUUUAUUUGUUUUACUAUGAAUUAUUAAUGCAUGGCGUCACCACACUGGUCCAACGCUAGUUGUGAUUUCUCCCUUCGUUUACUUGCUAGUCCAACGCUAGUAAGGAUUUUUGAAAAUGAUCCAGUCCAACGCUAGACCCGUAGAUUGUUCGUGCGUUAGACUCAUUUUUGUGUGAUAUUCAUUACAUUUUCACGCAUAUUUUCAUUUUUAGGAUCUUUUUCCAUUUGCAUGAUAUUUCCUAUUAUAUUAUCCCCUAUCCUCUAUAUGUGUUAAUCAUGUCAUUUAGAAUUGCAUUUCAUUUAGGACAUUAUAUAAUAAGUUAGUUCAUUUGCUUGUGCAUAUUAGGAGAAUUUUUUUUCAAACAUGAGAAAUGGGUGAUUAUAACUUUUUAGUUUAAAUAUUCCAUUAAUCCCUGUAUAAGAAAAUUAUUGUCACGAGUUUUUGCCUCCCGUACCCUUUAUGUUGCAUUCCCUUUUUCUUUGAUCACUUAUAUCUAUGUAUAUAAUUUAAUUUAAUUUAAUUUCUUUUCUUUUAAUUUCAUCAUUCGCAUAUUCGUGACCCCUUCAAGGAAUUAUUUUGGCCUUUGCAAUUAAUGCGAUUGGUAUCAAUUAAACCCUUGAAUGGAUAUUUUGUCCCUCUCGAUAUUUUUAUUUGCAUCCAUGUAGGAAACAUCCAAAUGUGAUAAAUUUAAGGGUUAGAUUAAGAAAAUUUUGACUAAACCACGCAACUAGCUUAGACUAGGUUGAAAGGGUGCCUUAGGUUUAAGAUAAUUGAACCUUUGCCUUCCCUUUCUUCAACCGUGACUUUCGAACUCAUUUUCUCUGUUUUCAAAGACCUGGAGUUGUAGAAAAGGGUUUUAUUUUAUUUUAUUUAAAAACACUUUUUGGGUGACUUGGUACACCCAAAUUCGAUACCAAGUGGCGAUUUCUAAUUUUUCUUAAAAACCCUUUUAGACUAAAUUUUGAGCUCAAAUUGUCGCAUUUUUAAAGUCCCAUUUUAGGUCCCUUUUUUAUUUUUCAUUUAUAAAAUCAAGUCUUUUAUAAACCCUUUUAUUUUUUCAUUGCGAAAAAUGGGGCGCGACACCAUGAUGGUGCUUACAUAAUGUCUGUCUCCAUUUUCUGCCUUAAUAAGCUUAAUAUUUUUUUGAAAAAGCAAAGAACACAUGAUCCAUAUCCUUGGUUGAGUCCUCUUUCAAUUCAUGCAUAAAAAGUGAGUGGAUCACACUUUUAGCUUCACCAACAGCAUCUCCAAUAAUAUCCUUCACGUUUUCAGGUAGCUUAUCAAAGUUCUCAUGCUGGUUUUUAAGAAUUGUUCUCAAGAAUCUCAGUCCCUCAUAGACUAUAUGCAUUUGACUGGUUGUAGAAUCCAUUAAGCCGGUAUUGCAAUUAAGUAGCUCCCAAAAAUUAUCUAGGAGAGCAUCAACAAAAUUCCCCAAUCUAUGCUUAUUAGUCUCCUUUGACAUAAUGCAUGAUCCUGAUGAAUUAGAAGCUACUAGGACUUGGAUAUAAAUGUCACGGACUUAAGGAUCAAAGGGGUUGAUCUUCUGUAACGGUUUUGAAAUCUAUCUUGCACUUGGACACUUGUUCACAUUUUAUGUCAAACCAACAGAUGGAAAAGAGGUCUGCUGCAUUCAGAUCCACAGAAUUGAUGUGGGAUAAGGCAGCUCCCAGUUGCCUUUGCUCAACAACUCGCAACACAGCAAAGCGAAUCAAACUAUGGAAGAACCUCAGCUUCUCCUGGAGGUCUUUGCAUAGUUCCAGCAGGUCUUGGUCAUCAUAUCCAAAUAUGCAGAGAAGAACAUCCACCAGAUUCUCGAGCACAGAGUCGAUGAGUUCCAUCAACUCAUGUCCCGUCAGACAAUUACUGGUUUGCGACAAACUAUUCGAGAAAAUGAAGUAAAAAUGGUUGAUUGUUUGCUUAAAACUUUUGAUACUACUUUGAACCCUACGAGUCAAAAUAAACAGCCGUUUAUUGAAUACUCGGUCUGUUUUCUGCUCUAUUUGAAGUCUAAGUGCAAGUUUAUGGAUACCAGCUUCAAGUUUAGACAUGAAAGAUUCUAGAUAGCUUACAUGCUCGUUGUUGUCAGAAGUGCUCCAUAUUCUGGCGCAGAGAAGAAAUGUCCUCAUGAGUCUAUACUCCCGCUUCAGUUGCUCAGAUUGAUAAACAUUUAAAUCCCAAAGGCCAUCCAGAUUUUCCAAAGCAUUCAAGACUGAAUCUACACAGUUGGAGGAGGUGGAAGUGGAAGAGGCCAUCUCUUAGUGGGGUGUUGGAUUGCUAAGCAGCUAUGGAACAACAACGUUCAAAUCUUGAACAGCUAAACUAAUCGAUUGAUGCUAAACUCAAGAAUGAAGAAGAAUUCUUCUCUGCACCUCAGAAAAUCCUUUUGGCCAACCUCCUUGUUCAGCUAGAAAUGUAAUGGUUGAAAGUUUUCACUCAAGUUUGAACUUUGAAGCAAUGAAGUGGUUUUAGUCGAUUGGAGAUCUAGCAGCCUUGGUGAGACUGUUGACCGGUCAAAUUCAUGCGGCAUAGAGUUAGGGAUGGGCAAAAUUAUGCGCUAACCGAAAAAUCGUCAUAUCCAAUCCGAUCCAAUUUGAAAAUUAGUUCGAUUUUUAUUAUUUGAUCGGGUCAAAAGAGGAUCAGAUACCCGCUAAGAUGCAGGGCAGAUUAGGGUCACAUAAUUAAAAACAUGCGAGAACCCGAUCCGCCCCGCAUAUAUAUAUAUUUUUUAUUUAUACACACACUAUAAAAUAAUAAGUUAGAACUAAAUAAGUAAUUUUAUUGAACAAAUUGCAUUACAAAUAUGAGAGACUAUAGUUUAUUUACAAGAUUCAUUUGUAGAGACCAUGAUCUUAUAUUUUAUAGAAAAAAGUUUAAUUAAUGUGAAACAUAUAUAUUAAAAAUUGUGCUACUUAUUUCAAACUUUUAUUGAUUUUGAAUUCUUUUAAUUUUUUUCCUUUAUCUUAUAUUCUCUUCACAUGCUUGUUUCUUGGUAGGAAAUCUUUUUAUAGAAAUUUUUUUUUAUUAAAUCUUAGAUGAAUGUGUAACAUGUAAAAUUAAAUUGGUAUAAAUCAUUUUUUAAAAAAAAUUAAAUAAUAAAUGAGGCGGGUCGGAUACCCGCUGAUAUGCAGGGCGAGUAAAGGUCAGAAAAUAACUGACCCGUAAGGUGCGGGUUGGAUCAGUCAAAUGAUAAAUGAGACGGGUACCCGAUCCGUGCCCACCCCUACAUAGAGUGAUUGGUCAUUUGGUUUAGUUAGGCAAUUUGAUAAGCCACUUCAAAGUGGCUUGCCAUAUUUUGUGACCAAUAGUGGGAGGCAAGGUUUGAUCCCCUAACCUCCCACCCCACCAACUUUGGUGGUGGCUGGUAGUGGUGGCCACUGAGCUAAGGAACUAAUUUGGUUGGAUGAGUUGAUUCCUCAUUUCUGUGAUAGAAAAUUGCCAAACACCCAAUAAGUUUUCCUACUAUUUUAAUUAAUUUUUCAUCUCGCAUAAAGGUUUUUGGAAGUGGAAUCCUAACAUAAACUUUAGUGAAAAUAAAUCUAAAAAAAAUUCCAAUAAUAAAAAUGGAAGAUUUGCAUAGUCUAGUUCUCUAAAAACAUACUCUGUAUAACAAUUAUUGAGUAUAGUUAUUUGAGUAUAGUUAUGUCAUAUCGCCUCUAAUCACUUUCUCACAAACUUAUUCCCUCUUAAUAUGCGAUGCUUCGCUUUGUGCCUCAGCGUUUUAUCCUAUGUUUCAGCUACCCCGAAGUCCACCUCUAUCCAAAUUUUAAUACCAUUUUUGGCUUUGGCGAAGAGGAUUACCUGCUUUUGCGAGAAGCUGAAUGUCUCCACUGUAGUUUUCCCCAUGCCUAAUUGAAUACUCAUGCCCUGCCCCCUUGUAAUGGUCCAGUACCCCUAAUAGCAAGGACCCCCAUGUACCUUGUGACCAUGGCAUGACACUCUGCAAGUGUAAAAGAACACCAGUCCAUUUUAGGAUUUAAGGUUUAGAGUUUAGAGUUUAGAGCUCAGGGUUCUAGGUCAUGAUGUCUGGAUUCAUGGUAACACCAUGCCCUUGAAUCAUGGCAUCCAUAUCUGCCCGGGCAAACCAAAAGUUUAAUAACAAUUCUCAAUGCAUUAAGUAGAAUUAAGAGAAGAAUGAUGACACUUAGUCCAGUGACUAAAACUAAGAUAUCAGGAAUUAGAGGUUCUUUGUUCCAAUCCCCCUGUUCUCUCCUCCUUCUUAAAUACCCACCCCUCUCAUGCUAGAAUUGGAGGAAAAAAAUAGGGAGCAAAUGAUGAAAGCAUGAAACAGCCAUCAUAUUGAUUUGCCACCAUUUCAUAUCAUCUAUAUGUGCCAUCAUUUAUCCAAAACCAAGGAACUCAGUCACGAACUAAAAGCUACCAACAAAGAAGUCCAUCAAUACUGCAAACACGUAAGUUCAUGAGCACAAGUACUACUUCAGCUAACACUGGAGCAUAAACAGCUUUAGCAAAUCCAAUAUCCAACCAUACAUCAUGAUAUCUGAUAUCCAAACAUAAGCAAUAACAUAGCACGAUGACAUGGUGAAUGCAGACAAAAUGUCUACCUUGGACUAGGGCCACAGCGCUUGACAUCUAAUAUCCAAGCAUAGUACAAUAACAUGGCACAAUAACAUAGCACAAUGACAUCUUCCGUUUCAUCCUCUAACAAAUCCCCUUCAACUGCCGCUAGAUAUGCUUCGACCGCUUGCAAAGCUGUCCGACAAUGGAACAUGUCAUCGGUAGGGGCAGGAGGGGAAGGAAUACCAAUUGAUGGAGACAUGCAGGACUCUUUCCUCUUACUGAAGUGGGAGCUAAUACUGUCAAUUUCAAAUGACUGAGUAUUUACUUCCCCAGGGCUUGAAUUGCCAAACUUCCUCGUACGUUUAGGUAUUUUCAACUUCCCCUUAUUCAUAGCUUUUCCCCUCUUUGGAGCCACAACCUCAACAUGAUCAUCAGUUGAAUCUAACUGGAUUGCUCUCUUUCCUUUUUGAAGUUUUGCCAUCUUAUUUUCCAGCUCACGCUCAUCAUCAGUACAAAGAGGUGCCUGGCCAGAUUUCUGACUAUACUUCCCUGAUGCACCCUGAUCAUGGAACAACUUGGUCAGCACAUGAAAUUGCAAACAAACAUUAAGCUUCUUGUUCUGAUGAAGCAGACUUAACUUACUUUAGUCAACUCAUCUUUAAAGGUUUAAGUUUGGGGGAAAAAAAAGGACACAACACUAAUAAAUUGCAAGGCAAGGCCAGUGGGUGUUAACAUGAACCAAUUAACUCAUACAGAAACCAAUAGAUUUAUACCUUGAAGUAAUUUGUAAUGCAGAGUUUCAAGUCAUUUUCGCCCGAAAUGGACUGUACACUGUCACAGAGAACGCCAGCUUUUUGUCUGGCUACUGCAAGUAUAAAGAAGGCAUGAUAAGAACCUAUAAAUCGAUUUAACAGGCACAACUAAUCAUAGUCAGCGACAUACCCAUCAAGGAGGACCUUGUACAGGGAGGCAUGAAAAUACGUUACAACAAAACAACAUUCAACACGAAUAGCCAAAUAUCUGAGGAAAGGACACGAGGUGUCAGAAAAGAUAGCAAUCAUGAUACUUAUGCAAUAGCAAUGAAAUGGAGGCUACAUUUCCAAAAGACGGCAGUAAAUGCAACAGCACAAGUAUGAUCAGUCUGGAACAAAAUUUUCAUUAUAUGCUAAUUCAGAGCUAGCUACAAUGUCACACAGUAACAGGCAAUAGACAUGAAACUUCCAAUACAAGCCCUCACAUAAACUCCCAAUUACAAGGCUAAUUUCUAAGAAAUUCCUGGGGAAGUGUUACCAUAGAAAAAGGAAAAGAAAUUGUUAACUGAUUUAAUCCGUUUCUUUGGAUUAUAGGGAUAACAGCACAUUUUCUGUGUCCUAAUUGGUCCGAACAGAGACAAAAGAAAUCUGGGCAAAUUAAAACAGAGAUGUCGAAGCUACAAUCUUUGCAAUUUCAAGACCUAUACAUUUAAAAUAACGUUAAUGACUACCGAUGAUGAUCUUCUUUCAUUUAAAUAGGUUUUUGGAACCUUUUCAGUUCAAAUAUGUCUGAAAUUUUCUAUAUUUCUGUCUAAUUUCUUUCCAUAACUUUCCAGAGAAAAAAAAAGUGCAUAUAAAAAGUAGAAAACACAAAACAACAUUUUAGCAAAAAAAAAAAAAAGAAAUUUCAUAACGAAUCAGUGAUCAAAACUUGAACUUCAUAAACGUAUAUUUACUACAGUGUCUUGACCUAAUGUAAGUUUCCCGGUGUCAAGUGAAAAGAGCGAAUAAUCUACAACUCUAACCAUCAAAUGAUACCACCACGAGAUAGGCUAGAAAAUUUCUUCCAAACGCAGUUAAGAUCUAAGUAGAAAUUGCAGAAACCAGUUACAUUGCUCGGAAAUUUAAAAAGAACAAAAAAAAAGAAGGGAAAAAGGAAUUGCUUAGAAUCAGAGGGAGAGGAGGGACUUCCGAGACCAGCACUAAACGGCGGGGACAACUCCAGCAGGUGGAUGGCGAUUGCCGGCAAAUGGCAGCGGCAGCUGUGGAGGAGAAAAAGGAAUAGAGUUUCGAAGAAAUUCAAAUGGAAGAGGAGGAGGUCCAAAUCGCAUGUAUAAAUCUUCAAACGGUAUCGUUUCCUCUAUUUAUUUAUUUAUUUUGUAAAUUCACCUGAAAAAAAAGGCCCCUUAUUUUUUGUGCAGAAAUAAGUUCAUCUGAAAUUGUGAUGAUUCUAGUGAAUUAAACCAAAAAAAGAACAACUAGUUCAUUGCAUUUCAUCAAUAAUUAAUAAUGUCAAUUAUAUGCCAACAAUUAUAAGAACGAAAAACAUUCCCCUGAGUUAUAAUGAAUUAAAUCAAAAAAAGAAGAACAAAUUUUAUUUAUAAAUUAUAAAAAAUACACUCCUGUUUAUAUUAGUUUCUGUGAUACCAAAUACACUCCUGUUUAAUAAAUGGACAAAUUGUUGCAUUUCAUCAUUAAUAAAUAAUAUCAAACAUGCCAGUGGUUACAAAAUAUGAAAGAUUCCAUACUUUUUUAUUUACCAAAAGAAAGAAGAACAAAUUUUAUUUACAAAAUCCAAGUUUAAAGAGUACUUCAAACAUGAAACAAAACAUAAUAAAUUGGUACUAUAAAUCUCUUAAAAAGUACCACGAAUCUUUUUAUUUCUUAGAUACAAAUAAAUUAAGCCUUAAGAGCACCUUUUUAAUAUGCGUAUAUUUGUAUUAAGUAAAAAAAAUUAAUACAAAAUAUAAUACGAAAUGGAAUACUAAGGUAGGCAAAGAGUUUGAUGUUGGGAAUUUAUUUAUUUAAAUUGCAAUAUAGAUUAUAUUUAAUGAACUUUAUCAAUCAUAUUCUUGUAUCAACUAAUAGUAUUAAACUACAAUUAAUGAAUAUUAUAUUCAUCAAUGCCAAUCAUAAUAAUAAUUACAAAGGUGAAGCAUCCUUUGAAUUAUGGUAAUAAAAAUAGAUCCAAGUUAGUUUGAAUAUUGUAUAAUAAAUAAUCUUAACAUCUUACAAUUUUUAAUGAUAUUAACUCUAUAAUCAUAAAGCAUGCCAUCAUGGAGAAAUACAAAUAAGUUUCACCAAAUCAAAUCAUUUCUCUUCAAAGUUAAGCUAUUUAAAUUUGAACAAUGGAAUUUCAAUAUAUUCAGAUAUUACUAUAAUUACAAUAACAUUAUAGAUCAUUUUACAAUCCACUGUUAGCAAAAUAAUAAUAAUAAUAAUAAUAAUAAUAAGAAAAUUUCACUAAAACUAAUAAACAAUUCAUAGAAUGACUUGAAAGGGAGCAACAAAUUAUUCAAAAAUUAAAAGUUUAAACUCAAAUGGCAUAAAAAUGAACAUUUAGGUCAUCUAAAUUUAACCAAAACACAAAAGUAUUGAUACUAUUACAAAAUAAAAGUACUCUUGGAACAAAGAAUGAUUUAUUGUUUGUGCAUUUGUAUUGAUUGGGGCAAACUAAGUUCAGAAAAAGUAUAAAAUAACAUAAAUAUUAAAUAUCACAUUUUUUUGUCUCAAUUACAUUUAUUCCUUCAAAAUAAUAUAAAUUUACAAAUCUCCCUUGAGAUUUUUAACAAUUACAAAGAGCUCUCUUUAAGUUUUAAAAAUUACAUAUACCUCCCCUAUUUUUACUAUUUAGUAACAAUGUAGGUCUAACCAACUAAAUUUUCUCUUAAAAAUUCUAAAUUGCCCUUUUGUACAAAAUUAAUAAAGAAAAAUAUACUGUACUCAAUCAUUUUCUUCCACACUUUGCACAAAUCAACAAGUCUAAUUCCUAACAACCAUCCAAACAUAAGUUCUAAAAUCAAGUAACUGUUCAAAAGAUUCCAAAUUGCAUAUACAAUAUCAAUACUUAUCACGCAAAAAAAAAAAAAGAGAAAAAAAGACAAGCCCCGUUGAUAACCAAUUUUAUACCCCCAAAAUUAAAUAUCAAAUCUCAAAUACCUUUUCAGUACAAGCUAAUUUGAUCUAGAACCACUAUUACAACCCCUCCUAUGGCCUUAAAAAUAUUAAAAUCUUAAAAUAGAGAUAAAUUCUACCUCGACAAUAAAAUCAUAAUAACAAAUUCUAAUUCAAUGAAAGAGAUCCUUAUGUAACUAUUGACAUUUUAUCAAAGUUUUUUGACAACAAGCAAAAUAUGACUAAUUUCACAUAUUUAGUUUUUCUUCCUAUUUCAAUCAUCAAUUUCAUUAUUUAUUUCUCUAUCAUUGCGAGUCUCUUCAUUUCUUUCUAAUUUGACACAUAAUCUGCUCCCUUGGUGAUUUUAUAAUUUUAAUUUGCUAAUAUUAACAAAAAUGAAGAUAAUAAAAAUAGGUUAUAUUAACUAGAAAAUAAAGGAGCGAAAAUAGACAAGAGACAAAAAAAAUAGAAUAUUUCUUUUGGGUUUUGUAAAUGUAUUGCCUUAAAUUUAAAAUUGUCUGUCAAGUGGAGGGCAUUAUAGGUAUUUUACUAUGUCAAGGGAGGUAAGUGUAAUUUCUUAAACUUAAGGGGAUUUGAGAGCAAUUGUUAGAAACCUCAAGGGAGGUUUCUGAAAUUAUCCCAAAUAAUUGAUUUUCUAAAAAUUUUAAAUCAGGUUUGAUAGGGCAUAAUUUGUUGUUAAUUUUAUGAUUAAUUUUCCUCUUUGUCCUUGUCAAAUAUUGUUUUAAUUGUUGAAAUGUACUUAUAUUUGGUAUUUGGCCUUAAUUACAGGAAGUGGAGCAAACAAGUGCUAAAAAGGAGACUUUAUUAAGAAAAACACUCCACACAUGGGAAGUUCUAAAAGGAAAUACAAGCCGGGCUCCACAGGAUGCUACAAAAAGGGAUUUCCUAUCUUUAUGCUGAAAAGGGUGGACUUGUACUAGGAGUCUUACGGGUAAAGAGGAAACUAAAAACAAGGACUUUGGCAAAGCUCCAAUUCUUUGGCCCUUGGACUCUCAAUUCAGUGGGGACCACUAGAGAUAGCAUUAGACUUUCUUUUGGCUUUAAAAAGGGAGAAACGUACAGGAGGUUUUGUUAUCAAUAGUUUUAGCUUAGCCUUUAGCAUAGUUUUAGUUUUCUUUUCUUUCUUGGCUCUUUUGAUGGCCUGGACCUCAGUUAAAUUACUUGGAGAUUUUCUCAUGAGGCGUGGCUAAGUUUUUCUAGUCGAGGAACAACGGAGGACUUGGUUCUACUAAAUUUGUGAGAUCGAAUUAGUUUUUAUUUAUUUCCAUUAUUCACUGGUAUUCGUCUAUCUUCUGCUUUAUGUUCAUAUGGUUGUUUUAUUAUUCGAUUAUCCUGGGCCCGGAUUCUAGAUUAAUUCAAUAACCUGAAGCCAAUUAGGGUAGUUAAAUCCGUAAUUGUUUAAUUAUUCUAAACUGGUGGCAACUGGCAUGAUUGGGUUUGUGUCAGGGAGAUAGACAUGCUAACUUAAAGAGACCCUCGUAGCGUGUUGAUUGGUUAGAAUUAGGCUCUUCUAAUUAUUCAUGCAAUUAGGGAAUUGAACUUCUAUGGUCGUACCUAGGGUUGUUUCCUGAUUAGAGAAAUAGUCAACGGUGGUACCUUGGCUAUCGACAAAUUGAGGAAGAGUUGGUUGUUUAUCGCGUGUAUGACAACUAUAACUAAUUUAUCAGAUAGUAACUGGAAUAAUCCUUGCAUCUGUGAUUGAAUUAAGUGAACCAACUCCGAAAUUGUCUCUUGGCUAGAGUUCGUCCAUUAUUAUUUUUAUUGUGAUAAUUAGUUAUUUGAGUUGUAGUUAUUUUAUUUUAUUUUAAUUUAUUCCAAGUAAUUUAGUUACUCUCAUUUUCAAAAACCCGCCAUAUCUGGAAUUUGAGAAGAAAUUAAAUUAUCCCCAGUCCCUGUGGAUUCGACCCUGCUUACCGCUAUAUACAGAAUUUUUAUUUUAUUUGAGCAGGUAUUUAUUAUUGCACAGGCUUGACACCUGUCAAUUUUUGGCGCCGUUGCCGGGGACUGGUCCCAGAUUAAUUUGUUUCUUUUUGAGUUUAUUUUUUUUAUUUUUUUUUAUUUUUCUCUUAUUUUUUUUUAUAUAGUUUAUGGCUUCUAACACUCCGUAUUUUAGUGAUAUACUAAAUUUUAUUUCCGGGGAAGGCGAUGAGACUAGUUUUUUUGCUAAGUCUGCAUAUUCAGAGACACUAAACUCUAUUAGAGAAAGAAUGGCUGCUGCAACCUGUAAAAUUUGUUAUGCCAGGGAUCAUUCAACCGGUAUGUGCCCCGAAUAUCAAGAUAAUCUGAGUGUCCCACUCAAUAAUUAUGGAGAUUUUUCACCCUGGUCUCAAACGUGGUAUAACCCUAAUCCAAACGGGUAUGAUCAAGAAUGGUGGGAUAACUCCGAUUAUAAUUAUACAACGGGGCCAAUGAAUUUUCAGCAGUAUGAGUCUCAAGAAUCGUCAUCUAUGUCAGGUAUGUCUCUUGAAGAAAUAGUUGAACCAAUAGCUACUAAUACAUACCAAUUCCAACAGGAGACACAAAUGAGGAAUGAGAUGAUGAAGGAUGCAAUGAGUUAUCUGGCAGAUCAACUAUGUCUAUUGACAUCCAGAAUAAAUCGAUUGGCUUCUCAAAUGGAAGAAUUGCCCUCGAAAACCAUUGUUGAUCUAGAAGAAAAUGAGAGUGCAAUUUGCUUGACUAGUGAUGAGGAGAUACAAGAGUGUCAAAAUGAGAAAUCUACAGAUGCAGUUGAAAAAGAAGCCGAAAAGGAAGAAAUAGAACCCCAACCGCAACCCAUUCAAGUGAAAGAAUCCAGUGAAGAAUCAUCAAAUGUGGUGACACCACCUCCAUUCCCUAACCCGCAUUUUCUUAACUCUUACUCCAUGAUUUCUAUUAAUGAGAUUGAUUUUGUUAUACCAGAAGUUUUUGAGUCUCAUGGCAGAAAUAAGUUAAGAAUAGCGAUGGUCAAAUAUCUUGAACCGUUGUGUGCUCUUGAUGGAGGAGUGGAUGAAGAAUUGAGAUCACUGCUUGAUUAUUUGACGCCAUCAACUAGUCCAUGGAAGACCGUAGCUCGUGUGUUCAAAGAUUACUCCAUCUAUGAGGGUUACCAGGAUCACAUUGAAGAUGAAGCAUUGAAGCGAGCCACAAGAUUUUAUCCUCCAUGAGCAAAACAUGAUAAUGUCUAGCCAAAGACAUUAAAGAAAUGCGCUUUUUGGGAGGCAACCCAAUUGUUAAUUUUAUUGUUUUAGUGCUUAAUUAUUUAAUUAUGUCGUUUUUCACGUGGGUACUAGUCACUCUUGAUGUUUUCUAACUCUGAUCAGGAUAGGUAAUCUUAGCGUGCCCACGCGAGGAGGGCACGCGUUAAAGUGCGUAAAGUAACUCUCGAAGUCAGUGGAUGCUCUCUAAUCUUGGCGUGCCCACGCCAUGUUUGACGACCCAAAAACAAAGGAAAUAAUUUUUCACUUUAAAAAAAAAAUAAUAAAUUUUUUUUUUAAAAAUAAAAGUAAUUUCGUUUUUCAUUUUCAGUUUUGGUAUUCAAAAAUCGAAUUUUCCAAUCUCAAUUCAAUUUAAAAAAAAAAAAAUUCCAAAAAAUUUUUUUUUUUCUUUCUUCUUCUUUUCUUUCUUCUUUUUCUUUCUUUCUUCCUUCUUCCCCGCUGCUUUCCCUUUCCCCCUGUCCUUUUCUACUUCAGUCGCAGCCUCCAUGCUCCACCGUGCCUCCACGCCAUCAGAUCGCGGCCUCACCUCACGGUCGCCACCAGCUCUGCCAAGCCGCGCCUCUCCUCCACUCUCACCUUCCAAGAGCGCCGCCUCCUUAGCUUCGCUCGCCGCACCCCACCCACGGCCUGCUCCAGUACCAGCUCUCCACCAGCUCGCGCGCCUCUCUCCGCCUCACGGUCCACCACCACGCGAGCACCGCCAGCUCUCAAGCUCGCCGUGGCCUCCUCUCUCCACCACCAGCUUGCAACCCUCUGCUUCAACCCGCCGCCACUCUCUUCGCCACUGUCUCCACGCAGCCCGCCGCCACCUCACCUCGCUCACCACCAGCCUCAAAGGCCUUCCCCCCAUCGCGAGCCAUCUGCCCAACGCGCACGCUGCCACUCUCCCCUCCCGACUGCCCCAGCGCGCCUCCUCCUUAGCUCAGCCCGCCGCCUGGUGCUGACCACCACGCCGCGCGCCGCCAGCGCUGGAGCCGCCUGCGCGCUACCACUUCACCUACUGCGCGCCUCCACCUCAGCUUGUCCGCCAAUGUCGCGCGGCUGUCACCACCUGUCCUAUUUAGACAGGUGGAGGUAUUGUGAAUUCUGCCCCAAUUAGUUUCACUCUCUGAAAUUUGUGGUUGGAUUUCUUGAUUGAUAAAAGAAGGUGAUAAUUUGGGCAUUUUCUAGGGUCAAUUUUGGACAGAAUUGGGUUUAAUUGCUGCCAUAGUGGGGGUAUCUUCUGCUAUUUAUUGAAUUGUUGGCCUUUUGAUUACUCUUUCCCUGCGACUCACCAGGUACUGGUUGAGAUCUUUUGCCUAUCGUUGUGGCUUAUAUUUGAAGAUACUUGCUUAUUUUGCCGUUUCAGUUCUUGUGGUUGAGUUGCUGCCGUUGAAUUUAAUUCUUUCCUGUUUGUGCACCAGUGGUACUGGUUGCGGUGUUGCUUACAAUUCUUAAAUUUUCUCGAAUUCUAAUCGGUAGUUGCUGGAAUUGCUUGUUUGCUGGGAUUCUUAAAAUUCUUAAGGCUUGGUAUCUUGAAGUGGGUACUUGAAUGUCCACUUGGUGACAUUUGUUGAGUUUCACUUGCUCCAAUUGGUUGAAUUCAUUGCUCUGUUGGGGUCCCUACUGGUAUCACUUGACUUCUGCUUUGUUAGUUUCUGUAUCGUGCCCCUUGAUCUUAUUUUGACUGAAUUGGAAACCCAGUGCAUAUUCAUUCAAUUUGCUGUAUUGUUAGGGUACUUUUCUAGCCUUUGGGGUGCCUCAGUUGUGCUUUUUAUUAAUUGGGUUGGCCAUGUGGUUCCCUCCUUUCCUGUGUAUACACCAGUGGUACUGGUUGUGCUAAUUUGCUUACAAUUUCUUAUUUCGAUAUGAUUGAGCAUCUGUGACUGAGUAUCCUUCGAUCUUGUUGCUUUGUUGGGAUCGUUUUUGGUGUCAAUUGAGUAUCAUUUGGUACUUUCUGCCUGGAGUCUAUUGAGCUGCCUUUGGUUGGGGUGUAUUGCAUUUAAUUGGUGCAUUGGACGGCUCCUGUGCCAUUUCCGUUGCUUAUUGAAGUAGGUUGCCUCUAUUUGCCUUGUGUGGGAGUAUUUUGUCCUUUUCAUUUCAAUUGCUAAAUUCAUUGGAGCACUUGUUGCGGUUUUGGGAUGCAUUGUUAUUGCAUUUGGCUAAGCAGGGGACCACCCAGGGGCUAACGACUGGGUCCAACUCCGAAUGCAAGUUGCAUAACAUGGCGCAGAAUUUGGCAGCACUCCGCCCGACCCACUCCUGUUUUGACAACUUCAGGGAAGUACCGUUACCCUUCCCCUUCCUUUUGCUGUUAGUUUAUCACAUUGAGGGCAAUGUGAGAAUUAGGUGUGGGGGGGAUCAGUUUGGGUGCUAGUAUUUCCAGUUUUCGAUUUUUAGGUAUCUUUCCUUUGUUUUUAGUUUGAUAUUUAUCUCCUUUUCGUUUAUUUCUUUUAUUCGUGAUCAGGUCUUAUUGAAUACCAAGUUUAAUGUUGGAUUGUUGUCUCUAAUUCUGAUAUUGCCAAGUUUUAGUAAUAAAAAGGUAUCAAGUUGAUGUGGUUGAGUUCAGGAACAUCUCUUUGGUGAAUAUCAGUAAUUGCUUGACUUUUCUAAUUUUUAGUUAACUUUUCUAGGCAUAGAGAAUGAUUGUUGGCAUUUUUCAUGUGAAUUGGUCCAAUUAUUAAUUUUAGUUCUCCAUAUUUGGAAAUUUGAGGCUGGCUGCUGUUAUUUUGUGUCAUUUUUAGUUAUUGUGCUAUAUGGUUGUAAAUAAGAGUUGACUGUACUCCGCUAGUGGUUACUACUGAGUAACCGGGGAUCUUCACCUAAAGUGUUGAUUUUCGCGUCAAAAGGUAGUAGUUGCUAUAAGUGCGUGGUCCCGUAGCGAUUGGAGCUGAGUAACCGGGCUCCUCCAUCUGGCAAAUGUUGGAGUUCGCGUCAAAAGGCUCUAAGGGCUAUAGACUAAGUCUUUUGUUACUUCAAAAAAAAAAAUAAAAAAAAAAUAAAAAAAAGAAGGAAAAAAGUAAAGUAAAGAUUGUGUUAGUAUGUGAAUAAGUCAGCUUGCCGGUUUGUGAUCUUAAUGUCGAUAUUUUAGUUAAUAGUUGGACCAUUUGCUAAUAAAUGUGAGCAACUAUUCCUUUUUCUUAGAUUAGUUUGCUUUAAAUUGGAGGAGUUGGUGGUUGGGAAGCUAACCGGAGUGGUCUUUCUUGGAUCUUAACUGUGAUGCUUGAUAUAUGUUUUUCUGGGCAUCUUGGCAAUAUGAUAGUUAGAGCAAUAGCCAUUGUCGAAUUUUUGGUGUUCAAUUGCUGUUCUUAUGCUUGAGGGCAAGCAUGAUUUAGGUGUGGGGGGAAUUGAUAGGGCAUAAUUUGUUGUUAAUUUUAUGAUUAAUUUUCCUCUUUGUCCUUGCCAAAUAUUGUUUUAAUUGUUGAAAUGUACUUAUAUUUGGUAUUUGGCCCUAAUUACAGGAAGUGGAGCAAACAAGUGCUAAAAAGGAGACUUUAUUGAGAAAAACACUCCACACAUGGGAAGUUCUAAAAGGAAAUACAAGCUGGGCUCCACAGGAUGCUACAAAAAGGGAUUUCCUAUCUUUAUGCUGAAAAGGGUGGACUUGUACUAGGAGUCUUACGGGUAAAGAGGAAACUAAAAACAAAGACUUUGGCAAAGCUCCAAUUCUUUGGCCCUUGGACUCUCAAUUCAGUGGGGACCACUAGAGAUAGCAUUAGACUUUCUUUUGGCUUUAAAAAGGGAGAAACGUACAGGAGGUUUUGUUAUCAAUAGUUUUAGCUUAGCCUUUAGCAUAGUUUUAGUUUUCUUUUCUUUCUUGGCUCUUUUGAUGGCCUGGACCUCAAUUAAAUUACUUGGAGAUUUUCUCAUGAGGCGUGGCUAAGUUUUUCUAGUCGAGGAACAACGGAGGACUUGGUUCUACUAAAUUUGUGAGAUCAAAUUAGUUUUUAUUUAUUUCCAUUAUUCACUGGUAUUCGUCUAUCUUCUGCUUUAUGUUCAUAUGGUUGUUUUAUUAUUCGAUUAUCCUGGGCCCGGAUUCUAGAUUAAUUCAAUAACCUGAAGCCAAUUAGGGUAGUUAAAUCCGUAAUUGUUUAAUUAUUCUAAACUGGUAGCAACUGGCAUGAUUGGGUUUGUGUCAGGGAGAUAGACAUGCUAACUUAAAGAGACCCUCGUAGCGUGUUGAUUGGUUAGAAUUAGGCUCUUCUAAUUAUUCAUGCAAUUAGGGAAUUGAACUUCUAUGGUCGUACCUAGGGUUGUUUCCUGAUUAGAGAAAUAAUCAACGGUCGUACCUUGGCUAUCGACAAAUUGAGGAAGAGUUGGUUGUUUAUCGCGUGUAUGACAACUAUAACUAAUUUAUCAGAUAGUAACUGGAAUAAUCCUUGAAUCUGUGAUCGAAUUAAGUGAACCAUCUCCGAAGUUGUCUCUUGGCUAGAGUUCGUCCAUUAUUAUUUUUAUUGUGAUAAUUAGUUAUUUGAGUUGUAGUUAUUUUAUUUUAUUUUAAUUUAUUCCAAGUAAUUUAGUUACUCUCAUUUUCAAAAACCCCCCAUAUCUGGAAUUUGAGAAGAAAUUAAAUUAUCCCCAAUCCCUGUGGAUUCGACCCUGCUUACCGCUAUAUACAGAAUUUGUAUUUUAUUUGAGCAGGUAUUUAUUAUUGCACAGGCUUGACACCUGUCAAGGUUCACGUGCAAAGCACGUGCUCCAUUACUAGUGAGAUAAUAAAAAUAUGCUCAGAAAAUGUGAUCAUAAAAAAUAUAGAAACUUUAAUCCAGACAAAUAUUUAGACAAUCACUAAUUAGUUAUUGCUAUUAUUAGUACUACUUUUUAUACUGUUAUAGAUAUAAAAGGAUUUACUUAUAUUGGCCUUCGAAGUUUUAUAGGCAUGGAAAUGUAGAAAUGCUUUUCUUGUAACAUAUCGCUGAGCUAUCAAGGAAAAAGAUUUGAAGCCAAGAUGUGUAAGAUCGAUGUCACAUUGCUGCUUCGUGGAACAACAUUGAUGCAUAAGGACCAGUUCGCAUGAAAGCAAUUUUGCAACUAGACACCAUGUAAAAUGUCACUUUGAUGAACUAAGGUUGACCCUAUAUGUUCCCAUUUAAUUCUUGUAAAAUUGAUUUCCAUAAUUUUAUCUUUCCAACGUUCCCAUCCACCAACUGGGAUCCUUUUUUGAAUACAAAAUUGUGCCUUAGCAAUUCAGUUUUCUAAAUUGCUCUCUGAUUAACAUAAAGUAGAAGGGCUCAAGCUGACUGAUUCUUGUGCUCUGAGUCCUGUCCUGAGCUUUACAGAUACAACGAGCAAUGGAAAAGAAUCACUGGACACAACCUGCAGUCAACUGCAGAACAUUGAGAAAAAAUACGUUGCCUGUUACAAAGCUAAGAUACAACUUCAAGAAGGAUGCAAGCACCUAUCAGGGUUCAGCUAAUCCACAUCUUUCUGCGACAAAAUACCGGCUACUUUGAACUACAAGUAAUAAGGAAGAUAUGGCAAAUGAGUUCCAAAAGAAGUAAAAAGCCACCUCAUUAACAUGCCUACAAAUUGCUGAAUCGGUUGGACAGUUUAAAAGAACCACGCCAACAGGGAAGAUCUUAGGCUUUGGCCAUCCGAGGCAGGGAGCAAAAGGGAUUUCCAUCCUGGAUGUUUUCAUUUGAUCUGACUGAAACAGGAUCUUGUUCAGCAAGGGAUCAUAUUAAAAGUACCAAGGAUAGUAAGUAAGAGCUAUCAGGGUUAAUGUUGAUCUUUGAGUGCAAAACACAAAAACUCAAACUUAAGAAACUCGAGACAGCAUGUAGGUGGCAGAAUGAGCUUAAUAGCCUUCAUCACAGCGGAUGAAAUAAUUGCAGCAAGUAGCAGCAGCCAACCAGGAUGCUUGGCAGUCUCGACUAACCAUAGCAAUAUGCUUAGACGUGCUAGUGCAUAAUCAGGAUGUUUCGUUUUGCAGGUUAGACUUGAUUGUGUUAGAAGAUACUCUAACAAGUCUGUGCAGCUUCGCUGCAUGAACAGUACAUCUUCCGUGGCUGCUCCCAAAAACAUUUUCAUUAUGAGAAGAUUUCUCAAGUUUUGGUUGCAAUAUGUUCAGAAUCAAAGUAGUCAAAAGUCAAAUUUGAGUAGUAAAAGAAGAGUAGUAUAUCUGAACUUACCAGACUCUUAGAACCAGACACCAAUUUGAUGACCAACUGCUCUGAAAACUCCUCAAAUCUUUACUACUAGAAAAUCAUAACCAAGGAAAAGUGAGACAGAAACCCAUUAUCUACGAGACUUAUCGAACAAAUCACUAAUCAAAUGGUUCAAGAAGCUUGAUAAAUGCGCCAUCAAGAGGUGAUUAAACUUUGGAGCAACUAUUUACUCCCACUAGAAUCAUAAGUUAGGGAGCUGAUCACUUUAGCAAUCACAUCUUACGUCCACAAAAGCAGAUAUAUAAAAUCAACAAAACGAAACUCCUAGUGCUUAUUUCAUAUUGAUGGGUAACUUGGAGGAAAUGCAAACCAAAAAUUAAUUAAUACCAACUAUAAAAAUCUAAUCUAAGUUCAUCUGCUUGUUAAGUGCAGGAGGAAGGAGUGCAGUAGAGAAUUGCGGGUUUAAAGUCUUAUAGAAAAGGUUUGUAGAAUUGCUGCUUGUGGUAUCAAAUCUAAAAUGUCCAAUGCAUUUUCAAAGGGUGAAACUUCAGAGAGAACAAUCAUUUCAUCCUGGUGAAAUCACAAGUUUAAGUGCACCGAUGUUAGCAAUCACGACGUACAAAGGACAGUAACUGACAUACAUCAUAAACAAAACUAAAUUCUAAAUUCCACCCACAUUAACGGAUUUGUUUAGUGCUGGUUCAUCCAAAACGUUAUUCAGUUAACCCAAGAAAAUCUCGUUCAUUUUGGUCACUGAAAAAAAUAUGCAACUGAAGCUUGAAAUGUAGUCUUGAAACAUGGAUGGUAUUGAAUUGGACCACCAUUUGCCAUGUUUCAUCUUUGCAACAGCAAAUGAGAUGUGAUACAACGGGAGAAAUACCAAUUUGACAUUUUAAAUUAACCAAAAUGAUUGUUUAAUUCCGUUAGUUUAGAUUGGUAUGGAACCAUGCAUGGCUUAUUAGUGGUGAAGGUUAUGAAAUAUUGCGCUUAUUCAUGAUAAGAGUUACCUGGAAGUUUCAAUCGUAAUGAAGAGAGAGAAAGGACCGUGUAACGACCCCAUUUUCCCCUUAGGCGAACCAGAGAGGUCAACGGGCCGCCUGCCCAGCUCUCGCCAGGACUCAGUCGUUCACUACAAUCCUCAAAUAAAUUACAAGAAUAAACCUCAAAUAUUACAAUAUAAAUCUCCAAUAUUUAAUUACAUGGUCCACAAAUAUACAUCCAAGUCUCCAAUAAUUACAUGUCACAAAUGCAGCGGAAACAAUUCCUAACUAUACAUAAAAUGAUUCCAAAUCAAAACUGUACAAAACAUAGGCCAUCCAAUCACGUGCACAAGUACUAUAAGUCCUUCCUUCGCCUUGAGCCCUGUGGAGGGGAAUAAAAUAGUUUUUUGGGGUGAGCUAAAAGCUCAGCGAGUAACCAGCAAAAUCAUUAAGCACAUAUAUUUCACAAUGUUGCAUUUCGAUGAUUUCGAUGAUGUCAUGAUUCCAAGAUCACAUGUACGUUUAUUGCUCUCGUGAGCCAGUGAAAUCAUUGCACUUGAACACCCAACGCUCAAAUAUAUCAUUUAACAUUAACUCACGAACUCACGAAAGUGGGAGCAACAUUGGUGCUCCAGAUAACCAUGAACAUGAACCAUAAACAAGGUGGAGACGUUGGUGUCCAGCACAAGACUUUCCCAGAACUCAUUGAAGCCAAAUCAUGUCAUGAAUUCACAUGCAAGCACGCAUGAUAUGCAAUCGAAUAAUUAAUGCAAGAAACAUUUCACAAAUAACUUUGGAAAUAGUUUAGGGUCACUCACCUCCACGCCUCAGAACCCAUCCGUCAUAUACCAUUAUCUUGUCCGAAUCCAAGCCCUAAAACCCAAAACAGAUUUGAUGUCCUUUUGCGGUAAUGGUACCAAAAGCAGUACGAUGGUCGGAUGAAGGUGCAAGACCCACCGUUUCGAAGCUAAGAGACAGGGCUACAACAAUGUAGAAGGCCUCUCAGUCCAAAUCCUAGCACAACUAGGUCAAAAGUGCCAAAUACCAAACCAGAAUUACCAAAACAGGUUUGCAAAACGCAGAAAACUGUAAUCGAUAUAACUCAGUCCAUACAAGUCCAAAUGCCGAAAUUCCAAAGGCAUAAGUUAUUUAAGACAUCCAGCUACAUUUCAUCAGAAGACACCAACUUUAAAAUCCAAACCAAUACCAGUCCAAACAGGCAAUUACUAUCGCAGUUCGGACAUUCUGUGCACCAAAAACAGCAACAGUAAAGACGGCAUAACUCACUCUACGCAGGUCCAAUUGCCCUGAAAUUUUGCAGGCACACUAAACUCAUCAAUACCUACAACUUUCAUGUUUUGAGAAAAGUCCAAUUCGGCCUCUAGCUAUGACCUAAAAUUUCGGACAGAAUAGGGGUUCAAGAACCCUAACUUUUCACAUUUCAUUCCAAAUCCAAAAUUGAUUGCAUUUAACAACAAUUCACACCUACUAGAGCCAAAGCCCCUUAUUACCAACCAUCAUACUAGUCCAAAACAUCAAAAUCAUAUGAAACCAGAAAAUUCAUCAUAAAAUGGAAAACUUCACCAAAUCAAGCCAAACCAAGAAAUAAAUCAUAUAAUCCAACACUCAAGCCUCUGCUAAGCAUAAUAUAACCAUAAUUAGGUGUAGUAGGGUGUUCAAGCAUCACUUACCAAGAAAUUAAGAGAGAUAGAGAGGUUGGCCACCUUAGAGCUUCAAAACAACUUCACCAAGUCACUUACUAGCACCUAAUGGAGUGAUUUUAUGGAGCAAAUCUAAGUUUAAUUGGUUGGAAUGGAAGAUUGAGAUAGUUUGAAGCUUGUAAAUUGAAGAAGUUUUUCUUCCUUGUCCAAGAGAGAGAAUCGGCCAACAAGAGGUAAGAAAGAAUGAAUUUUUAGUCAAUUUUUGAGAUAUUUAAUCCAUGAUAAGAAAAGUCAAAAAUGUCCACCAAGUGGACCAAUCACAUAGUGCCACUUGGCACUUCAUUUAAUGCCUUCCUAUCACUUGGUUCCUCUCACAUCAAUGCCAUGUCACCCUCUACUUAUCUCUUAACACCCGAUAAAUUUCCACCAGUAUCCGAAACUUAACCUUAUUGGCCGAAUUUUGCCGUACUUUUCGCACUAGUGGGUCCCACGUCCAAAAUAUAUUCUUAAUUUUCUAAAAACUCACCAAUACUAGAAAAAUCAUUUGAAAAUGAUAUUUGCUCAUAAACUUUAUCUGGGGAAUUUUUCUAAUCAAGAAAAUGUAGAAAAUGCGGGCGUUUAAAAAAAUAAACCCUAGAAAAUUAGAAAAUUUCCGGGUUCUCAAACUCAUUUUUUUUCGGGGCGUCACAAUCUCCCCUCCUUAAAAGAAUGUCGUCCUCGACAUUCCCUCUUGUACCAAUCAAGUCAAGACAUCCCACAAAAAUCUCUCAAGAGUCAAAUCAAACCCACAGUCCGGCAUCCUAAACUUCAAGCCUAGGAUACACUACAGAGAUCUAAAGCCUAAGCUCUGAUACCAACUGUAACGACCCCAUUUUCCCCUUAGGCGAACCAGAGAGGUCAACGGGCCGCCUGCCCAGCUCUCGCCAGGACUCAGUCGUUCACUACAAUCCUCAAAUAAAUUACAAGAAUAAACCUCAAAUAUUACAAUAUAAAUCUCCAAUAUUUAAUUACAUGGUCCACAAAUAUACAUCCAAGUCUCCAAUAAUUACAUGUCACAAAUGCAGCGGAAACAAUUCCUAACUAUACAUAAAAUGAUUCCAAAUCAAAACUGUACAAAACAUAGGCCAUCCAAUCACGUGCACAAGUACUAUAAGUCCUUCCUUCGCCUUGAGCCCUGUGGAGGGGAAUAAAAUAGUUUUUUGGGGUGAGCUAAAAGCUCAGCGAGUAACCAGCAAAAUCAUUAAGCACAUAUAUUUCACAAUGUUGCAUUUCGAUGAUUUCGAUGAUGUCAUGAUUCCAAGAUCACAUGUACGUUUAUUGCUCUCGUGAGCCAGUGAAAUCAUUGCACUUGAACACCCAACGCUCAAAUAUAUCAUUUAACAUUAACUCACGAACUCACGAAAGUGGGAGCAACAUUGGUGCUCCAGAUAACCAUGAACAUGAACCAUAAACAAGGUGGAGACGUUGGUGUCCAGCACAAGACUUUCCCAGAACUCAUUGAAGCCAAAUCAUGUCAUGAAUUCACAUGCAAGCACGCAUGAUAUGCAAUCGAAUAAUUAAUGCAAGAAACAUUUCACAAAUAACUUUGGAAAUAGUUUAGGGUCACUCACCUCCACGCCUCAGAACCCAUCCGUCAUAUACCAUUAUCUUGUCCGAAUCCAAGCCCUAAAACCCAAAACAGAUUUGAUGUCCUUUUGCGGUAAUGGUACCAAAAGCAGUACGAUGGUCGGAUGAAGGUGCAAGACCCACCGUUUCGAAGCUAAGAGACAGGGCUACAACAAUGUAGAAGGCCUCUCAGUCCAAAUCCUAGCACAACUAGGUCAAAAGUGCCAAAUACCAAACCAGAAUUACCAAAACAGGUUUGCAAAACGCAGAAAACUGUAAUCGAUAUAACUCAGUCCAUACAAGUCCAAAUGCCGAAAUUCCAAAGGCAUAAGUUAUUUAAGACAUCCAGCUACAUUUCAUCAGAAGACACCAACUUCAAAAUCCAAACCAAUACCAGUCCAAACAGGCAAUUACUAUCGCAGUUCGGACAUUCUGUGCACCAAAAACAGCAACAGUAAAGACGGCAUAACUCACUCUACACUAGUCCAAUUGCCCUGAAAUUUUGCAGGCACACUAAACUCAUCAAUACCUACAACUUUCAUGUUUUGAGCAAAGUCCAAUUCGGCCUCUAGCUAUGACCUAAAAUUUCGGACAGAAUAGGGGUUCAAGAACCCUAACUUUUCACAUUUCAUUCCAAAUCCAAAAUUGAUUGCAUUACAACAAUUCCACCUACUAGAGGCCAAAGCCCCUUAUUACCAACAUGCAUACUAGUCCAAAACAUCCAAAUCAUAUGAAACCAGAAAAUUCAUCAUAAAAUGGAAAACUUCACAAAAUGAAGCAAACCAAGGAAAUAAAUGAUAAUAAUCCAACCUCAAGCGCACUUUUUCUAAGUAAUAUAGACCCAUACUAAGGUGUAGUAGGGUGUUCACGGCAUCACUUACCAAGAAUUAGAGAGAUAGAGAGGUUUGGCCACCUUAGAGCUUCAAAACAAAUUCAGCCAGUACUUACUAGCACUAAUGGAGUGAUUUUUAUGGAGCAAAUCUAAGUUUAAUUGGUUGGAAUGGAAGAUUGAGAUUAGUUUGAAGCUUGUAAUUGAGAAGUUUUUCUUCCUUGUCCAAGAGAGAGAUCGGCACAAGAAAGUAAGAAAGAAUGAAUUUUUAGUCAUUUUUGAGAUAUUUUAAUCCAUGAUAGAAAAAGUCAAAAAUGUCCACAAGUGGACCAAUCACAUUAGUGCCACUUGGCAACUUCAUUUAAUGCCUUCUAUAAUUGGUUCCUCUCACAUCAAUGCCAUGUCACCCUCUACUUAUCUCUUAACACCCGAUAAAUUUCCACCAGUAUCCGAAACUUAACCUUAUUGGCCGAAUUUUGCCGUACUUUUCGCACUAGUGGGUCCCACGUCCAAAAUAUAUUCUUAAUUUUCUAAAAACUCACCAAUACUAGAAAAAUCAUUUGAAAAUGAUAUUUGCUCAUAAACUUUAUCUGGGGAAUUUUUCUAAUCAAGAAAAUGUAGAAAAUGCGGGCGUUUAAAAAAAUAAACCCUAGAAAAUUAGAAAAUUUCCGGGUUCUCAAACUCAUUUUUUUUCGGGGCGUGACUGGGCCUAAUGGGACUUGGACUGGGCCCUGGUUCAUGCACACAUCACCGAAACUCUGAAAGAUGACCAGUUGAGUAAUUUAGAAAAAGAGAUGCGGCAGCCAACAAGUAUGACAGGCAGAGAAAGCUAAAGAAUCUUCAUGAAGUGAAUUCCUAGAACAGCAACCAAUUAUUACCAUUUGAUGCUUCAAAGUUCAAAUCAUCACAGUUAGACUUAAACUUCAGUAAAGGAUAAUCUGCCAAGUCUUUGCAGCUUCAUUGCUAGAACAAUACUAUUUUCCCUUGCAACCUCAAAAAAUGACUUGAACAUGUCCUUUUUUUUUUGAAAGGGGGGAGGGGCGAGGGGUUAGUUAACAAAUUGAGAAUCAAACUGCUUAAAACUCAAUAUUACAUAGUUGAAGAAGAAAGUUUAUCAUGGAUUAGGAGCAUUUCUUAAAAAAAAAAAAUUGGUAUUGUAGAUUACCAGUCCAUUUGGCAUGAUGAUAAGAAUAAGAUAAUAACAUUUUCUAGAGGUGAAAGUUCAGAGUAACCAUUUUUUCCUCAUAGAAUCUCAGGUUUAGGAAUCAAUGUACAGCUUGCAGUAGCAGACAUAUGUGAUGAGCAAAUAUAAACUGCUACUCUUUAUUGAAAGAUAGCGCAGGCAUAAAUCUGAGGGCAAAUGGUCUUUAACUAUCAUAUUAUGUUUGACUGUCCGCAACAAAUAAUUUGUUUGUAAAUAUCUGCAUUCUAUGAUUGAGGAAGGAAAGGAUAGAAGUGAAGUGGGACUAUUUGCCAGAAGCAAAAUACAAAAUGCUCAUCAAAUGGAUCCUUUACAUUUGGACAAGGCACCUAAACCACAAUUAUACCAAAAAGGAUAGAUUGGAUGAUGAGGUCAGUCUCUCAAGGAGUGCUAUGUGUGAGCCGUGAUGCGUAUUCUGUGUGUGUGAGUGUGCAGUUUGUGUGUCGAGAUGCUAUAGUAAGUGAUAGUGUUUACUUUGAUGACUGCAGUUGAACCUUUUCAGACCGCCUAAGACAAGAGAAGUUCAUCAAAGCAGACCUCUGCCUUCAACAAAGUGAAGUUGAGCAGUUACAUCAUUUCCAAGACUGGCAAUUUACUUCCAUGAUUAAAAUAGCUUACAAGAUAGUACAAUCAACAAUUGAGAUCUCUAAUUCCAAUCUAUUAUCAAUUUGAACGUGCACAGCAGAAUCCUCUCAAAUCCUUGCUAUUACAUGGCCAAACAACAUUCCUGGAAGCAGACCCUCGAAAACUUUCAAACUCUGUUACUAAUAAUCAUUUUAGUCACAAUACAUAUAUCACCUCACCUCAGGCAAUAAAUAAAAAUCUUCUUAAGAGUUUCACUGGAGUAUGUUCUCCUACAGAAAAAAAAAAGGAGAAAAAAUCCUAUAAGUUAAAUAGUUUGAAAUCUUUCUGUGUUAGAAAAUCCACAAAUUUCUGUGCUGGGACGUACUUUCAUUUGACACUUUAUUCCAUGAAUGCAAAACAAUAAGUAAAUUUUGGUGAAUUUUUCCAUUUUAUGAUGAAUUUUCUGGUUUCAUAUGAUUUUGAUGUUUUGGACUAGUAUGAUGGUUGGUAAUAAGGGGCUUUGGCUCUAGUAGGUGUGAAUUGUUGUUAAAUGCAAUCAAUUUUGGAUUUGGAAUGAAAUGUGAAAAGUUAGGGUUCUUGAACCCCUAUUCUGUCCGAAAUUUUAGGUCAUAGCUAGAGGCCGAAUUGGACUUUGCUCAAAACAUGAAAGUUGUAGGUAUUGAUGAGUUUAGUGUGCCUGCAAAAUUUUAGGGCAAUUCGCCAAGUGUAGAGUGAGUUAUGCCGUUUUUACUGUUGCUGUUUUUGGUGCACAGAAGGUCCGAACUGCGAUAGUAAUUGCCUGUUUUGACUGGAAUUGGUUUGGAUUGUGGAGUUGGUGUCUUCUGAUGAAAUGUAGCUGGAUGUCUUAAAUUACUUAUUCCUUUGGAAUUUCGGCAUUUGGACUUGUAUGGACUGAGAUAUACCGAUUACAGUUUUCUGUGUUUUGCAAACCUGUUUUGGUGAUUCUGGUUUAGUGUUUGGCAUUUUUGACCUAGUUGGGUCAGGAACUGGAUUGAGUGACCUUCUACAUUGUUAUAGCCCUGUCCCAUAGCUUCGAAACGGUGGGUCUUACACCCCCAUCCGAUAAUUGUAGUGAGAGUUGUGCCAUUACCGCAUUAGGACGUCAAAACCGGUUUUCAUAUCAAGGCCUUAGUUAAAGCCCUUUCUUAAUUUCUGGUUUCCUUUAAUGUUUGUAAAUGCUUAUGGAACCUUAUUGGGGUCAUGUUUGGCCUUGGUUUAUGACUCGUUAGCGAGUCUUAUUGUAUUUGUUUACAUGUUUUUAGGUCGUGACGGUGGUGCAACGUUCUUUUGACUAAAGUGCUUGAAACUACAUUUGCUAGCUUGGUGAGUGUACUACUCACUUAUGUGCUAUUAUAUGGCUUUGAUAUUUGAACUUGAGAUGUUGAAUGUUAAUUAAUUGAAGUGAGAGUGUACUUUAUCAUUCUCACUUAUUGUAUCGCAUGUUAUUGAAAAGUUAUUGGAAUUUUACAUGAAAUGUUAUAUGAAAUGAAAUACAUGACUUCAAAUGUUAUCCAUGAGCUCAACCCCAUUGGUAGUUGAUUGAAUCGAGCCAGCAAGGGCUUGGUCGUGACAAUUAAUGAGCCUUGGGUAAGGUUAUAUGGAAUCGUGUAGUAUGAGAGACUCUCGAUUCCGGUAUACUCGAGUAAUACCACAAUGCAUGCGUUUGGAUUUCGGGCCCGGUUGAGGAAUGUUAGGAGGAAGGGAAUGGAAGUUAAGUGGGUCUACAGUUGGUUACUUUUCAAACAUUGACGGAGAGUCAAUGAGACCGAUCAAGAAUUCAAACGAGGAAAAGGGCUCUUGAGAGCCACCCGUAUCCUUUUAUCCUCAUUAUUAAUGUGUGGCUUUAUUUAUUUUGGUAAAUUGGACUGUUAAGCUUGAUGUAUCCAUGAACUUGGUUGCUUGAGUUGUAUUCUCACUGGGCAAUUAGCUCACCCCGUUCCUUUUGUUUUCCUUACAGGAAUAUGACUCUUUUGGAAUGAAUUUUGAUAAAUGGUUGCCAAAUGAACUAGAUGAAUGACUCUUUUCUAUUGUAUAUAAAAUGGGACCCUAAAUGUAUCAUUAGGGCCGUUUUCACUUUUGUUUUGGCAAACCAUAUAAGUAGUGACUUUUGUAUCACUUUUAAAUGUCAUUUUGGUUUGUAAAGGCUAAAUGUUAUGGGGUAUAUGUAAUUCGAUGUUUGGUUGGGUUCGGACGAGUCGGUUACUAUUCAUGGCCGACUCCGGGUUUCAUUUUCUUUUAUUUUGGGUUAUUUUGCCCUUUUGCCUUAUUUGCGCGCGUUAUAAGUUCCGGAACGUGAAAGAUCGCUCUAUACUGUACCGUUAGUCCUGGCGAGAGCUGGGCAGGCAGUCCGCUAACCUCUUUGGUUCGCCUUAGGGGAAGGUGGGGCUGUCACAGGUGGUAUCAGAGCCACGUCGCGUGGUCUCUGCGCGAAGUGAGACUGGGCCAAGUGGUGUUGUGGUCCUAAUUUCAUGAAUAUGUGUAAGUGCUCGUUUGAGCAUAAGUUAUGAAUCUUGAAGUGUUAUAGGUCUUUAAUCUUUCUCAUGGUAUUUAAGGACCCUAGAUAAGUAUGUCGGACAGGAAUUUUGAUUUGUAGAUGGUUUACUCUUGGGACUGGCCAGCUCGAGAUGUGAACUAUCUUAUUUCGGAUUCUCGUGCCCGAGUACCCCAGAAUUGAGGUGAUGCAAGCUACUAGGUAUUUGAACCCUGUGUUUUGGAAACAAGCCUUGUAUUUUGGAAACGUGAACAGGCUUUGUCUGACUAAGAUGAGCACAAGAGAUCAAUGGACAUCUAGUUUGGAUAGUUAGUGACGUGAGAGACCAGACGGGCUGGUACUGGGAUGACUUUUCGACUGUAUAUGACUAAGUCUAUAUUUGCUUACCUGCUUAUCCGUCUUUUAAUAUAACGUGUUAUAUGCGAUAUGUUAUUGGUAUGAUAGAUUUUGUUAUGUUAGUCAAUUUAUUGCAUUCAUGCAUGGAAGUACCCUUUUGGAAAAAAAAAACCCGCGGACAUGGUCAUAGCAGUGACACAAAACGAGACCAAGAGUCAAAGAGAAGAAAGGGAGGAAACAACACCUGAACCGAACAUGGACCAAGAGUGCUACUUGUAAUCAAGACUUUCUUAUGACCCAUUGUUUUGCCGACAGGCUACCAUCUGAGGUCCAGCAACUCUGUAAAAUGGCACGUAGGGUUGAGAUGUAUAAUGAAAUCGGGGGUCUUCGAGACGAAAUAAAAGUCCAAAAGAACCUAGUCGCAUACUGGGAAGGGCGCUGGAAGCACGAGUAUACAGAGAAAAUUGAGCUCCUGCACAAAAACUUAGAGCUAAAAAGGAAAUAUGAAGGGAUUUCCGAGGAGGCCCUGGAAAAGGCUCAAUGCAUCAAGAAUGCAAAGGUGCAAGUGAAAGCUUCCCAAAUACGGAAAAGGGGUGCAGUGGGUAGCGUGAGUGAGGAACCUUCUAAAGUACAGAAAGUGAACCAGUUAUUCGGGCCGCCAUGGACAAUGGGGGCGGUAGAUAAAAGAUUUGUCAAUGAAAGCCAAACCAGACAGGGGGAGAUUUCUCCGAAAAGCAAAAAGAUGACUUUCCACUUGACUUGUGACUAUUGCGGAAAGGCCAAUCACACUGAGAAUGAUUGCUGGAGAAAGGGGAGUAGAUGUCUGCGCUGUGGGAGCAUCGAGCAUCGAAUUGCAUAUUGCCCGAUUAAAGUGCGGAAAAAGAAAAGAACUCAACAACCAACCCAGACCGACCCUGCACCGUCAAGUGGAGAAGGGACUGGAAUGAAGAACCUCGUUUCUUCUGACUCUGAAGACGGAGAAGGUACAGGCCAUUGGAUACUUUAAAUUUGAAGGAAAAUUUCGAGGACGAAAUUCUUUUAAGGGGGGGAGAGUGUGAGAACCCGUAAAACCCUAAUUAUUUUCCUAGGGUUUAUUUCCCCUUAAUUGCAUGUUUUCUGCAUUUUCGGGCCUAGGAAUAUUUUUCUGGUAGAUUUUAUGAGUAAUUAUAGUUUUUAGAUGAUUUUUUCUAGUAUUGGUGAGUUUUUAGAAAAUUAAGAUAUAUUUUGGACGUGGACCACUAGUGCGAAAAGUACGGCAAAAUUCGGCCAAUAAGGUUUAAGUUUCGCGAUUUACUGGUGGAAUUAUCUGGUGUUAAGAGAUAAGUAGCAGGGUGACAUGGCAUUGAUGUGGAGAGGAACCAAAGUGAUAGGAAGGCAUUAAUGAAGUGCCCAAGUGGCACUAUGUGAUUGGUCCACUUGUUGGACAUUUUUGACUUUUCUUAUCAUGGAUUAAAUUAUCUCAAAAUGACUUAAAAAUUCAUUCUUUCUUACCUCUUGUUGGCCGUUCUCUCUUUGGACAGGAAAAAACUUCUUCAAUUUACAAGCCUUCAAACUAAUCUCAAUCUUCCAUUCCAACCAAUUAAACUUUAGAUUUGCUCCAUAAAAUCACUCCAUUAGGUGCCUAGUAAGUGACUUGGUGAAGUUGUUUUUGAAGCUUCUAAGGUGGCCAACCUCUCUAUCUCUCUUAAUUUCUUGGUAAGUGAUGCCUUGAACACCCUACUACACCUAAAUGAUGGUUAUAUUAUGCUUAGAAGAGGCUUGAGUGUUGGAUUAUAUGAUUUAUUUCUUGGUUUGGCUUGAUUUGGUGAAGUUUUCCAUUUAUAUGAGAAUUUUCUGGUUUCAUAUGAUUUUUGAUGUUUUGGACUAGUAUGAUGGUUGGUAAUUAAGGCGGCUUUGGCUCUAGUAGUGUGAAUUGUUGUUAAAUGCCAAUCAAUUUUGGAUUUGGAAUGAAAUGUGAAAAGUUAGGGUUCUUGAACCCCUAUUCUGUCCGAAAUUUUAGGUCAUAGCUAGAGGCCGAAUUGGACUUUGCUCAAAACAUGAAAGUUGUAGGUAUUGAUGAGUUUAGUGUGCCUGCAAAAUUUUAGGGCAAUUCGCCAAGUGUAGAGUGAGUUAUGCCGUUUUUACUGUUGCUGUUUUUGGUGCACAGAAGGUCCGAACUGCGAUAGUAAUUGCCUGUUUUGACUGGAAUUGGUUUGGAUUGUGGAGUUGGUGUCUUCUGAUGAAAUGUAGCUGGAUGUCUUAAAUUACUUAUUCCUUUGGAAUUUCGGCAUUUGGACUUGUAUGGACUGAGAUAUACCGAUUACAGUUUUCUGUGUUUUGCAAACCUGUUUUGGUGAUUCUGGUUUAGUGUUUGGCAUUUUUGACCUAGUUGGGUCAGGAACUGGAUUGAGUGACCUUCUACAUUGUUAUAGCCCUGUCCCAUAGCUUCGAAACGGUGGGUCUUACACCCCCAUCCGAUAAUUGUAGUGAGAGUUGUGCCAUUACCGCAUUAGGACGUCAAAACCGGUUUUCAUAUCAAGGCCUUAGUUAAAGCCCUUUCUUAAUUUCUGGUUUCCUUUAAUGUUUGUAAAUGCUUAUGGAACCUUAUUGGGGUCAUGUUUGGCCUUGGUUUAUGACUCGUUAGCGAGUCUUAUUGUAUUUGUUUACAUGUUUUUAGGUCGUGACGGUGGUGCAACGUUCUUUUGACUAAAGUGCUUGAAACUACAUUUGCUAGCUUGGUGAGUGUACUACUCACUUAUGUGCUAUUAUAUGGCUUUGAUAUUUGAACUUGAGAUGUUGAAUGUUAAUUAAUUGAAGUGAGAGUGUACUUUAUCAUUCUCACUUAUUGUAUCGCAUGUUAUUGAAAAGUUAUUGGAAUUUUACAUGAAAUGUUAUAUGAAAUGAAAUACAUGACUUCAAAUGUUAUCCAUGCGCUCAACCCCAUUGGUAGUUGAUUGAAUCGAGCCAGCAAGGGCUUGGUCGUGACAAUUAAUGAGCCUUGGGUAAGGUUAUAUGGAAUCGUGUAGUAUGAGAGACUCUCGAUUCCGGUAUACUCGAGUAAUACCACAAUGCAUGCGUUUGGAUUUCGGGCCCGGUUGAGGAAUGUUAGGAGGAAGGGAAUGGAAGUUAAGUGGGUCUACAGUUGGUUACUUUUCAAACAUUGACGGAGAGUCAAUGAGACCGAUCAAGAAUUCAAACGAGGAAAAGGGCUCUUGAGAGCCACCCGUAUCCUUUUAUCCUCAUUAUUAAUGUGUGGCUUUAUUUAUUUUGGUAAAGUGGACUGUUAAGCUUGAUGUAUCCAUGAACUUGGUUGCUUGAGUUGUAUUCUCACUGGGCAAUUAGCUCACCCCGUUCCUUUUGUUUUCCUUACAGGAAUAUGACUCUUUUGGAAUGAAUUUUGAUAAAUGGUUGCCAAAUGAACUAGAUGAAUGACUCUUUUGUAUUGUAUAUAAAAUGGGACCCUAAAUGUAUCAUUAGGGCCGUUUUCACUUUUGUCUUGGCAAACCAUAUAUGUAGCGACUUUUGUAUCACUUUUAAAUGUCAUUUUUGGUUUGUAAAGGCUAAAUGUUAUGGGGUAUAUGUAAUUCGAUGUUUGGUUGGGUUCGGACGAGUCGGUUACUAUUCAUGGCCGACUCCGGGUUUCAUUUUCUUUUAUUUUGGGUUAUUUUGCCCUUUUGCCUUAUUUGCGCGCGUUAUAAGUUCCGGAACGUGAAAGAUCGCUCUAUACUGCACCGUUAGUCCUGGCGAGAGCUGGGCAGGCAGUCCGCUAACCUCUUUGGUUCGCCUUAGGGGAAAGUGGGGCUGUCACACAGAACCCAUCCGUCAUAUACCAUUAUCUUGUCCGAAUCCAAGCCCUAAAACCCAAAACAGAUUUGAUGUCCUUUUGCGGUAAUGGUACCAAAAGCAGUACGAUGGUCGGAUGAAGGUGCAAGACCCACCGUUUCGAAGCUAAGAGACAGGGCUACAACAAUGUAGAAGGCCUCUCAGUCCAAAUCCUAGCACAACUAGGUCAAAAGUGCCAAAUACCAAACCAGAAGUACCAAAACAGGUUUGCAAAACGCAGAAAACUGUAAUCGAUAUAACUCAGUCCAUACAAGUCCAAAUGCCGAAAUUCCAAAGGCAUAAGUUAUUUAAGACAUCCAGCUACAUUUCAUCAGAAGACACCAACUUCAAAAUCCAAACCAAUACCAGUCCAAACAGGCAAUUACUAUCGCAGUUCGGACAUUCUGUGCACCAAAAAUAGCAAUAGUAAAGACGGCAUAACUCACUCUACACUAGUCCAAUUGCCCUGAAAUUUUUCAGGCACACUAAACUCAUCAAUACCUACAACUUUCAUGUUUUGAGCAAAGUCCAAUUCGGCCUCUAGCUAUGACCUAAAAUUUCGGACAGAAUAGGGGUUCAAGAACCCUAACUUUUCACAUUUCAUUCCAAAUCCAAAAUUGAUUGCAUUUAACAACAAUUCACACCUACUAGAGCCAAAGCCCCUUAUUACCAACCAUCAUACUAGUCCAAAACAUCAAAAUCAUAUGAAACCAGAAAAUUCAUCAUAAAAUGGAAAACUUCACCAAAUCAAGCCAAACCAAGAAAUAAAUCAUAUAAUCCAACACUCAAGCCACUUCUAAGCAUAAUAUAACCAUCACUAGGUGUAGUAGGGUGUUCAAGCAUCACUUACCAAGAAAUUAAGAGAGAUAGAGAGGUUGGCCACCUUAGAGCUUCAAAACAACUUCACCAAGUCACUUACUAGCACCUAAUGGAGUGAUUUUAUGGAGCAAAUCUAAGUUUAAUUGGUUGGAAUGGAAGAUUGAGAUAGUUUGAAGCUUGUAAAUUGAAGAAGUUUUUCUUCCUUGUCCAAGAGAGAGAAUCGGCCAACAAAAGGUAAGAAAGAAUGAAUUUUUAGUCAAUUUUUGAGAUAUUUAAUCCAUGAUAAGAAAAGUCAAAAAUGUCCAACAAGUGGACCAAUCACAUAGUGCCACUUGGCACUUCAUUUAAUGCCUUCCUAUCACUUGGUUCCUCUCACAUCAAUGCCAUGUCACCCUCUACUUAUCUCUUAACACCCGAUAAAUUUCCACCAGUAUCCGAAACUUAACCUUAUUGGCCGAAUUUUGCCGUACUUUUCGCACUAGUGGGUCCCACGUCCAAAAUAUAUUCUUAAUUUUCUAAAAACUCACCAAUACUAGAAAAAUCAUUUGAAAACGAUAUUUGCUCAUAAACUUUAUCUGGGGAAUUUUUCUAAUCAAGAAAAUGUAGAAAAUGCGGGCGUUUAAAAAAAUAAACCCUAGAAAAUUAGAAAAUUUCCGGUUUCUCAAACUCAUUUUUUUUCGGGGCGUCACAGACCGACUCUGCAUCCUACUCUGUUGUUGCUCCAAUUAUCACUUGAUAUACUUUAAAGGAAGGAAAGGACUUUGAAAAGUAAAGGUGGUGAUUAGGAGCCAUCUAUAAACCUACAGUCACUGCAAAACAGAAAACUCAGACUCAGGACUUCACAUAGCAAAUCAUGAGGCUAACUUGAAAUUGCAUGACAUUUUUGUUUAGACAAUUAUUCAGAAAGCUAAAUCAAUAUUUUUUUUUUGUUCCUCUUUUCCAACGUAAAUCAGUAAGCAGAUAUCAAAUCUUUCUGUUCAUUCCACAAGUACCAGAAGCAUCACAAAAACUAUAUAGCUUUUGUUCAAAACACUGAUAAAAGAAAAGUUCUAUAGCAAUAAUGAGAGGCAGAGGUCCCAGAAUUGCCAUAAAAGCAAACUAUUUGAGACUGCAAGAUGCAACAAGAAGAGCUAAUUACAACUAUUUUACUCUUAAAAUCUCAAAUCAUUGCAUUUGAACUUAAACUUCAGAAGAGGAUAGUCUACCAAGUCUCUGCUGCUUGAAAAUGUCUUAAACAUGACAAUUUUUUUUAAGGUCUUAGUUAAUGCAUCGGUUAUUAAACUGCUUAAAACCCAAUGUUAAGUAGUGAAAGAAGAUGGUUGGUAUUAUAAAUUAUCAGACUACCAAUCUCACAACCAAGGGCAGUCAGAGUAACUCGAUUGACCAUUGGAUUUAUGUAAAGAGAUCACAGCUGAAGAAAGUAGAAUCCCAUCAUUUAAGAGACAUAAUAAGAAUACCAAUAAUCAGAUAAUUUGGAGAAAGAUGAUAAAUACAUUCCUAAGAGGUGGAAGUUCAGAGUAAGCAUUUAAAUCCUCGUAGAAUCUCAAGUUUAAAGAGAAUUAGCUCCUUUCAGCAAUCAUGAUAUACAACUGGAGGUAGUAGACAUAUGAGCUGAGCAAAAGUAAUCUGCUAGUUCUUAUUUAACACAAAGAAUUUUGUACCGUAGAUGUAAAGUUUUCAGCUUUGACUUUGCUUAACUGUCCACAUCAAAUAAUCUGCUCUUGAACACGUAUUCCAUAAUUGAAUUUAAUACAUGGUUAGCGACAUUGUUUUCUUCCCGAAACAGCACUUGUUAAGUUUCUCUGAAUCAGACUGAAAAAGCCAAGAGAAGUUCAACAAAGCAGACUACUAACCUUCAACAAACUAAAGCUCCAAAAUUGCCAAUUUACUUCUAUAAUUCGCAGCCUAUAAGGUAGUACAAUUAACAAUUGAGAUCUCUAAGUGCAACCUGCAAUCAACUUGCUAAAUGAUAAUUCUUCAGUCCUUACUGUUACAUUACUAGACAACAUCUUGGAAGCAGACGUUUUAAAACUUCAGAUAUUUUGCAACUAAAUCAUCUUGCUGUACAAUUUUUAUCACCUGAUAUUGGAUGGAUUUAAAAAAAUUUAGUAAUGUUUUCACUGGAGUAUGUUGUUCUGAAGAGACAAAAAAACUAGAAAUUGACUCUUAAAAUCUUUGUCCAUCAUUGCCUACUUAUAAUUUUCUAUGUUCCGUCAAACUUUGAUUUAACAAUCUAUUUCAUAAAUGUAAACACAUUAUCAUUCUUUCCUAGCAAAUUGAUAACCAAAUGAACUUUUAGAGUACUUAGUUGGAUGAGGAGCUUUUAGAUUGAAAAUCUCAGGAAGGCAUGUUUGCCUGCAUUACAAUAAAGAUAGAAGAGCAAAUUCCAUGUCAUUUUUGAGCUAGGAAUCUUACAGAAAGAAAGGGUUUCUUUUUGUUACCUUUGUUCUAAGACUAAUGAGCAGGAAAUAAGACUUGAUACUUAGUACAUCUACUAAUCCAUUUAAAACAAAUUUGCUAACCUUACAGUACUUCUUGAAAAUUUUCAAGCUCCUCAUUGUCAAUCUGUUUCUCUAAUAGAAGCUCUAUCACCAACCAAACCCCCCAUGAUCAUUAGCAGAAAUUCAUGUUAAUGAUCGCUCUUGAUGUUGAAAGACAUUACAUAAGCUGGGUAAAGAAAUUCAGGUGGGUAGUUUGUAGAGGCCAGCUGACAAAGAUAGAGCAUUUUAUCGGGUUUUAGACACCAGGAAGAAAGAAAAGUGUGCCUGUAGUGUGCCAUCCUAAUCAUUUCUGUCCAAUUGAAACAGAAUUUGAUUCAACAAAGUUUUCAAAAGUUACAAGCUAUGUAAUUCAAUCAAUAAGUAAGUGCAAUUGUAGAUUCUAGUCCACAUUUGAGCCUGAGAUCAUUGCAGAACAGAAAACUCAAGUUGAGACAAUAUGUGAACAAGAAAGCUAAUCAGAAAGUUCAGAAAGUUCAACAAUAAUUUUGUUCUGUCAUUCCUACAAAAGGCUAAAAUAUGUCUUGUUUGUUAUCAAAAUAAAUAGAUAAGCAAGUACUAAGUCGUGUUUACAAUUACAGUAUUUUGGUUCCAACCACAAAGCAAGUAAUUACAACUCAUAAAAAGAAAAUAAUAAUGGACAAUUUGUAGUGCAGGCAAAGCAUUUCACAUUGAGGCAUUGAGAAACAAUAGAGGUGUGGGCCACUGAGGCACAAUAGAGAUCCACAUUUAAUUGCUACCAAAACACCAGUUAGUUCUAACUUCUAACUCUGAGCAGUAUGCCGGAGAUGACAAAUUGAGUUCUAAAACAUGUAAAUCAGCACCUCAUUAUCAUGACUACACAUCACUGAAUUGUUUCGAUAGUUUAAAAGAACCAUACCCCAAUGGAUAUCUCAGACUUUGACCAUCUGAGGCACAGAGAAAGAGAGAAUGCCAUCCUAGAUGUUGUUAUUCAGCCGAAGCAGGCUCUUGUUCAGCAACGAAUUGUAGGACUCUCAAAAAGUAAAGACAGUAGGUAAGAGCCAUCGAUGAGGUUCCCUGUUUGUGCUCAAAAUCACUGCAAAGCACAAAAACUCAAACUGAAGGCGGCGAAUAGCAUAGAAUAAAACUAAUGGAAAUUUUCAGAUAAUUGUAGCUUUUCUGUCAUUGUAACUGAAGCCCCAAAAGGAGAAACUUACCUUAAAAAAAGAAGCAACCAACAAUCAUAAAAGCAGAGAGAGCUUAAAAGCCUUUAUCAGUAGCAAUGCUUGUCGCAACAAGCAGGUGGAUUCAUUAACAGUAGCAAGUCGCAACAAGCAGACUUGACCAACUACCAGAAUGCUUCAAAACUUUGCGCUUAGAGUUAAAUGUUGGAAGAUACUCCACCAAGUUUUGUGCAACUUCAUUGCUCAAACAGUACACACCUUCCUUGGCUACCUCAAAAAUAUGAAAGUUCAUUUAUGACUCUGAUAAAGCAAUUACUAGUCAAAUAGUUCAGAUAAAUAUGCAGAGCACGUAAAAGUUCAUUAUCAAGAGGUAAAAGUUCAGUCCCCUUAGAAUUACAAUUUUAAACAGAGUGAGAUGACUUUAGCAAUAAUAACUUGAAAUCCACAGAAGCAGAGCACGUAAAAUAAACAAAAAUAGACUAUUUGUAGGCUAUGCAGGCCAAAAGUUGAUAGCCUAUGCUAGUUGUUCUAAACGUUGAUAGGCUAUUGCGGUCUAGCCAUAUAGACGGUGCUGAAGAAGCUUCAAAAUUCUAACCAGUUCGUGAAGCUAUUCUUCUAUCAAUCCUACAAAAACAAAGCAUAGAACAGAAUAUGAACAAAGAUACAGUAAAACAUCAAAGCACGAAACAGAACAGAGUAUUACUAUUAUGUUGUAAGGAGUAAAUGAAGAGCACCAAUAUUUUGGACCUAAUAAGAAAUGCUAAUGCCGCAGCUUUGAAAGAUAAUAAAUAGGACGAUAAAAAGGGAGAAGAGAAAACUGUACAAAUAACCACGGAGACUUUUUAGGUUUUCUCACGAGAAGGUUAAUCAGAGAGGGAGGUGAAGAGAAGGGGAGAUUGAUUGUAAAGCAAAUUAAGAAAGUUGGACAUAAUCGAGAACUUGAUUAGCGGUUAUGUAUAGGUCUUGAAUGUGAGAAACUUUGGACCACUGGGAGUCGGGGCCGCUGCUCUCAGGAGUGCAUCUUUCUUUUAACAGAGGAGAACCAUAAACCUCCAGACGUUUUAGUUUGGUGAGACUUCUCAUGGCAUCCUCAGAGGGUAGAUGUCCAAGCUCCGUGAAAUGCCGUAAAUGCAGGAAUUCAAGAGCAGCGAAGUUUCCGAACCAAUCUGGCAGAGCUUUUAUACCUCCAAAGUCGCGUAGCCAUAGUGACGUCAGAGUGGUCAAGUAUUGGAUCCGAUGUGGCAGGGACUCCAUGUGUGGCAACCCAAUUAAUGCUAAUUCAUGGAGUGCAGAUUACGAAGAGGAUAUCAAUCCAGACCAAUCAAACUCAUUGUAAAUUGAAGAAUUUUCAUGAUCAUCACCAUCAUCUGAGAAGGGACCAAUUACAAGCUUCCUUAAGCUGGUUAGGAAACCAAAUCCUUUGGGUGUCAUGCUUGUUUUCAGUUUGGGACAGCAGUAUAAUCCCAGCUCCAAGAGAGAAGGCGUUUGUUGCAAAUCAAGCGGAAAGGAGACAAGAUUGUCGCACCAACUCACCUGAAGCUUCUGGAGAGAGGCACAAGAGUGCAGCAAGUCACCGGGCAGAUUCGUCAACCCAUCGCACUCAUCAAUCACCAGCUCUUUAAGAGACGUAAAGUUUUGCAGGGGAAGGAGUUCUCUGCAUCUGUUGCAGAAAUUAAAUGCCAAACGCGCUAACUUGGGUGGUGGUGUUGUUGUUGACUCGGGGAGUGUUGUUGUUGUUGGCAAAUUCAUUAACCAUCGAGGAAAUUGAUUGCCCAUAAAAUUCCAAAUUAUCAACUCCUCCAAAUUUGGGUGGGGUAGAAGGCCAUCUAACACAUCUUCAUCGUUGUAGUUGUCACCUUCUCGAUCAGGGGCCCACUUAAGUUCCAGCCUAAAUAGAUUUGCCUUUUCAGAUAGUUUUGCUUCCUUAGCUCCUUCCUUAUCCUUUACUAGUUCCAGAUUGCGUAUCUCCAAUUUGCCUUUGAGGUUCUUCAAGCAUCCAAGCUCUCCAAUUUGUCGACCCUUCUCUCGACCCACGCUAAAGAACUCUAGAGUUUGAAGGCAAGUCAGCCUUCCCAUCUCUCGCAGCAUUUGAAAUUCUUCAUCAUAAUCUAUGUAAUAGUGGAGAUGUCUCAAGCUAAUCAAAUUGCACAUUCCCUUCGGAAGAUCUUUAACAUUUGAGCCACUUAGCGUCAAUGUCUGCAGAUUAUAAAGCUUGCAAAGGGAGUCUGGCAAAAUACUGAUUGAAGACCAUGAAAGGUUAACAUACCGCAAAUGUAUCAGUUUGCCAAUUGAGACUGGUAGCUCUUGAGUUCUUCUUGCACGAGACAAAUUCAAAACAUACAAGUUCUUCAACUUCAUUAACAUAUCACCAGAUAAGUCACCAUUUACGAUGAAUAAUGUAUGAAACGAAGUUGAUAGACUCUCCAAAAGUUUUUCUCUGUCUUCUCUGGCACCAGAUGAGUCUAUUGCAAGGUAACGAAUCUGAUCACCAUUGUCUACUAUAUGCGUAUUCCAAUCAUUAAUGACUUUGGUAGACUUUGACAUUGACUCUGCAAGGUCGUGCACCAGAUCAUGCAUCUUAUAAUAUGUUAUCCCAUAGCUUCCUGUUUCUUCAAACAAUGAACUCUGCAAUAAAAUUCUCAGAUAAUUAAUUCCAAUUUCCUCCAUCAUCGUUUGGCUGUUGACGUCUGCUUGGAGGAAGCCUUCAGCCAUCCAAAGUUCGAUCAGCAUAUUUCUUUCCAUCUGAGUAUCCUUAGGAAAUAUAGAACAAUAUGCAAAACAUUUCUUAAUGUAUGGAGAUGGCAAAUUAUCAAAACUCAACUUAAGUAUUUGCAUCACACGAUCUCCACCUACACUCAACCUCAGAAGCCUAUUGUCCAAAAUUGAUUACCACUCCUCUUUUCUCUUUAAACGUAACAGACCUCCCAUUACACUUGCAGCCAAUGGUAGACCGUCACAUCUUUUGAUUACUCUCUUUUUAAUUGCUUUUAGUUCAUCAGGUUCUCCUUCCCCUCCAACUACUUUUUCUUUUACGAUAGACCAACAAUGAUCAUCAGGUAGUUUUCUUAAUGGAUAGGCUUCAUUUUCCAUCAUCAAAACUCUAGACACACACUGCGCCACUGGACCUGGACGAGUAGUGACCAGACACCAGCUUCCAUUAGUUGGAUUGAGCCCCUUCAAGGUGUUGAAAAAGUCCUCCCACAAUGCUUGAUCAUCAUCCCACACAUCAUCAAGGACUAGGAAAUAUCUUUUUCCCCUAGGUUGCUCCCAAUUUUUCCAACGAUGACAUUCCUAUCAUCCACUUCAACCUUUUCUCCCGUCAAUUGCAAUAAAAUGAGUUUGAAAAGCUCCACUAUUGGAACUUUUCUCGAUACACAAACCCAAAUUUUUUUGUUAAAGUGUUCAUCAAUUUUCUUGUUGUUGUAUAUGGAUUUAGCCAAAGCUGUUUUGCCUAAACCUCCCAUACCAACUAUGGGAAGAACAGAAACAACCUUCUCGGACGGGCUCAACAACAUCUCUAGUAUAUUUAAUUCAUCAUCGGCUCUUCCAGUCAUUGGAACAAGAACAGAGUCGGUCUGCCGAUUUCUUGUGUCUCCAACAGCAGGAGCAGCAGGGAGGGCAGCAGGCACGACUGCCCUACUGACCAGUAGCAAUCCGUUGGCUUCUUGAUAGAUGCCAUUCAACUUACGUUUGAUGUCCCUGACCUUAGAGGCCAUUCUCCAACGAAAAGCAAGAUUAAUGUUAGAGCAGGAGAAGAAGCAGCAUACCUUGAGCUUGUGUCGGUUUCGGGACUCCACCUGGUGACGAAGAGAUUCAUAGUGGAGCUCAUCCAACACAUUCUGAGCAUCAUAAGCCACCUCAUCGAGACACUUCAACCAUCGUUGCACUCCUCUGCUUUGGUUUUGCCUUUCCUCAGCAUCAGCCAGGACAUCUUUGAUAAGGCCAAGAGAUUGUGCCAUGCUGGCCACGUCCUUCUUGAGCCCAACUAACAUACCAAUCCUAUCAGAGGCAAGAGACAGUGCCCUUUCCAAGGUGACCUGAAUUGUGGCACCGAUAACAGGGUCGGCCAUUUUUUUUUCUUUUGAAUAUACAACUUGGAUUCAGUCUUGCGAUCAAGAUGGUUUUUUAAAAUGGGAGGUUUUAGCAGCCAGAAAUUGGUAAUGUUACAAGUGGUUAAAAGGAGAAGAGCAUUGAUAUUUGGUCAGCUAAAAAAUGCAGAGUUAUUCUUAACUUUGAUGCCUUCCUUUGCAAUGGAAAUAUAUAUUCCUUGCUUGGCAUCUUCACUUUAAAUUUCUUGGAUGCUUUGAAAUGCAGCGUCAUUCUUAACUUUGAUGCCUUCCUUCGCAAUGGAAAUAUAUAUUCCUUGCUCGGCAUCUUCACUUUAAAUUUCUUGGAUGCUUUGAAAUGGAAAUUCCUGGCAUGGGAUUUUCACUUUAACUUUCUUGCUGGGGCCUUCAUCUUUAUUCCAAUUUCCAUUGAGGGCUGACAAUUACAUUUGCUGUUUACUUAACCUAUAUUGCAUUCAUUCGUUAAUCCUGGAAAGAUGAACUAAUUAGAACAUGAUUUGGUCUUAACGCACACCUUAUUCUGUUGGAUUUUUCUUCCUUGCUAGAGACAUAAGUUGUGUCUCAAUACAAAAAUCAAUUAGGCUUCUAAUUAUUUUGUUAUUCAGAAUCUGAUAUCGUUGAGCAUUGAGCCUUUUCAACUUUGCAUAAUCAAGAUGCUGAGUCUAAUUUGGUGGUGUUGCCAUCACAUUAUAUUCCUUGCUUGUGUUAAUACCUUGAAAUGUGGAUGAAGUUUGGCAAAGAAUAACUUGAAAUGUGGAUUUGCUUCAAACUUUAUAUUCUGAAAUGAAGUUUGGCACUAGACGCCUAAACAAUUAUUCAGCCUAACUGCUUUAGAAAAUUUAUCACAGUGCGAUGGUGAUUUAUAGAUUGAUUAUCACAUAAACAAACUAACUCAUUAGCUUGUAAUGCAUAUAAAUGAUAUUUAACCAAAACAUUUGAAUUCAGAACUUAUUUUUUCUCUCUAUCCCUACCAAACCUAAGAAAAAAAAAAGCCACUGAUUUGCAUCUUUAUUUACAAAGUUAAUUUAAUGUACACAUGACUGAGCGUUAUUACAUUCCCUUAGUAAUUAAAAAAAUUUAGUCAAUUGUCCUAAAUUUUCUUAAAAUUGGAAACAUUUUGGGACAAAAAUUAUUAUUGAUCAAAAUUUUAGAACUAAAAUAGUUCAAGUGCCAAAAAUUGAGGACCAUACUUGUUUUUGCUAAAACUUUAGAACUAAAACUGUGCAAGUGCAAAACACUAAGGACAAAAACAUUUUUUCCAAAAGUUAAAAGAAACUUCAAAAAACUGGAAAAAAAUAUUUGCAAUCGGGGAGAUGUGAAAUUUAAGAAACCAGAGUUUUGAGGUUCGAACUUCUAAUUCCUAUAAUCUCAACCUUAACUAAUUGACCAAGGCCUAUUCUGUGCAUAAAGGCUCCUCUAGUGAAGAAGAAUGCAAAUUAUUCGACAAUUUUCCAAUGUUAUAGGAUACCAAAUCCCCUUAUUCCUCCAUGAUUAAAUGCCAAUGCAAAUUUGCUGAAAGAAAGAGGAGCCGUGCAAGUCUGGUGUAGUUGUUUAUUUUUGGACACUUUUGAGGUUUUUUGCCAUGCAACUAUUACCCAAGUCCCUUAUUAAUUUUCUUUUCAAUCAUGUACAUUGAGUGUGCCAAUAGGCACCCAAAAUUCCUGCCUAAAUGGAAAUGCCACCCAUAUAGCUAUCAUUUCUGGGCAUUAACGUGAUUUCUUUCAGCUUUUGGACCUAAUCUUUGUGUUAAACAAUUUACAAAGUCAUCUUAGGGAGCAAAGUGUAAAUAUCUUCAGUUAAAAAGGACAAAGUGUUACGUCUUACUCCCAAGUUCAAGAGGGUAAAGCAUAGUUAGCCCUUAAAUUCAUUCAUCCUUCUCUUUGAAUCUUCUUGGUAGCUUCUCAAAGCAUAAAGAAGCAGGGCCAAGAAUCAGAACAAAGAACACAUAAGAUUGCUCUUUGCUAAAAUAUUUGAGAAGAUUGGGCAGGUUGGGCCGUAGCUCGUAAAUCCUCAACCAUAUAUGCUACAACAGCUUUCAAUUGAAGUUCAGAGAAGAAGUUUUACUUGAUCUUAGGCCUAGCUUCAGCAUUAAUACAGAUCUAGAGUCAUCACUAGCUAGAAGUAAGAAAUUCAAAGAAAUAUGACAAAACAUAUUAAUCCGGUAUUUACUAUGGGCACUCGUUGACAUACUUUUUUUUUUUUGGCAUAGCGACACAUCUAGCCUAGCCUAACCUACUCCUACUCCUAAGAGGGGGGACCUACUAUCUAAGGGAAGCGACUCUAGGGAGUGGGCCUAUAGAGUCGGAGGAACCUGACGGGGACUGAAUCACCAUCAGACCAAACGGGUGCACCACUCACCCACAUGGAUUUAGAGAGUCCUCAUAUUGAGGCACAGUGAUGGAAGGUAAGGUUUAAACCCUUGACCUCCCACCCCACUUGUUGACAUACUUAAAUUAAGCAUAACUUAUUAUGUUAAUACACACAAUCACAAUUAAUUUACUCCUUGUGUUAUAUGUUUUUUUGUAUUAACUACAUUUUUUUUAAAAGACUAACGCAUAAAACCACUCUAAAUGAGUGUCAAAUUGGCACCCAUUAGCCAAACUAUGUUAAUCCAAUUAAGUUAUACCAACAUACGAGCAACUUCAAGCCUUCAAUUAAUAAUGGGUGAAUGUGAAAAGGCUUCAUCAAACAUGAUUUAUAUAUAUAUAUAUAUAUAACAAGACAAUUUCAUUCCAAUAUUUAUACUAAUGGCAGCGAAUACAUCAAACAUGACAUAGAUUUAUAUAAAUCUGAAAAUCAAAUAAUAUAACAGAUUUAAAAAUCUAUAAAUUUGACCAUAACGUUGAAAUUUCAAGAAUAUCUUCCAUCAAAUAAAUGUCAGUACAAUUCGACGAAUCUAUAUCCAUGUCUUUUGACAGAUGCAUAGUCAGAUCUGAUAAAAACUAUUUCAAGUCUAAAGAAAAAUUUAGAUCUAACUUCUAGAUUUAAUUGGAGGAGUUUUAGAGAGAAGGAAGAGAGAAUGAGUUUUAGAGUGAAAAAGAAGAGAGCUUUUGUAAUAUCCAGAUAAUUUGCAGCUAGCACUUGGAGUUUGAUUAGUAUCAAAAGCAUAUUCAAUGACCUAAUUUGCAUCUAAAUACAUGCAGGUGACAUCUUUUCACACUGUUAAAGGACAUUCUGAUUGUUAUCUGUAUCCAUGCAAGCCAUCUUGACAGUUAAGAGGCACUAACAUUUUCAACAUUUGCAGCUAGUUUGGGAGUUUAAGAUAGAACAGAAAAGAAGAGAAAGCUUAAGUUAUGAAAGAAAAAAAAAGAAGAGAUUUAGUUUUGAUAUUGUUUGGGAGUUUAGUAAAAAAGAAAAUUGAUAUUGGAUACAUAUGCCAAAAAAAAUUUGUUUAAUAGACAUUUAAGUAUAAAUUUGAUAUUUUAAAAAUUUUUAGAAAGCUUGCUUCAACUCUGUUUUGUUGGAAAAGUAUUAUUAACUGUAAAUGCUAGAACGAUCCAUCCAAAAUCUUCCCAUUUUUUUUUUCAAUCGCUCCACAACUCCCAAACAUCAUAAAAGAGCUAUAUUCUCUCACUUUCUUCUCAUUUCCUGUCAAAUCUAAGCUCCCAAACAAAGUAUUGGUCUCCACAUGAUGUACAAUUAUCUAACAUAAGCUCCAGCGUGCAAAAUCUAAAAUCAAAGGAUGAAUUAGGUAAAUGUAACUUCAACGUAUACCAAUCUUUUAUUGCCUUUCUUUGAUUACUACCUCUAUUUGCAGCACCCUUCAUAUUUGAAAUUUUGCAAUUUUUGACAGCUAUGGUGAAAAAAAAUAAUGGCUCUAAUGUCACAACACAAAUUUUAUUUCCACAAUAAUAAUAAUUUGCCCUUCUCAAGUCCAAAUGUAGUUUGGACGUAAUGCGUCAUUUUAACAAAAUUUGCUCGGAAAAUAAAUUUUGAGCUAUGGCAAUAUGAUUUGUCCUAACUACUCAAGCAAACAAUGACUGCAAAUCAUUAGCUUGUCCUCCCUCAUCUGUUGAUACAUGUGUCAAAUAUCUUUAUCAUUCCAUUAUUCAAGAAUUAGAGUGAAAUAUAUGCUUUAGUUUGGUAUGAGGGACUCAAUCCGUGCAAACACAAACACUAGAGUAAAAUAUAUGCUAUAGGAUAGUAAUUUUUUUUGUAGGAAAAUAGACUGUAGCACUUGUUUUAAUAUGAUGCAUAUGAGCUAAAAAUAUAAUUAGAAAAUGUGUCAAGAUAUAUUCUUGGAAAAAUCUGAAAAAUUUUUCUACAAAAGAAUACAAUCCAAACAAGGCCUAUUGAUGCCUAACUGACAAGUAAGCUUUUUUUUUUUUUUUUUUUCAAAAACGAUAGGUGUUGUAUUGAUAAAAUCAGAACUUUACACUUGUAAAGCAACAGUUCUGAGAGGCUAUACAAAGGUGUUAAACACCUUGAGGAUUGUUUCAUUCCUCUUCAUCACAAAUACUUACUGCAUAAGUACUAAUAGAUUUACUUAUAUUGUCAUUUGCUAUAUCUAAACAAAAUGAGCAUUUUUGAAACAAACAACUUAAAUUGUUGAUGUCAUCCAUCAGAAUUGCCAGCCUAAUGUCUUUGGUUUUUCUGGACAUCAACGAUGAUAGAAGCUGCUCUUGAUCAAAGCUACUCUUACUGUCUCAGCUAAAUCCACUAUUGGUAUGCUUGUGCCUCUAUUCCUCAUGGCCAAACUGUCUUAACUAACUGACAAGUAAGCUAAUUUGGCACCAAAACCCAAUGUGGAUUUAAUCUGGCCCCAUGAACUGGUAGCCUUUUUUUAUUUGACUUGUCCAAGAAAAGAUUUGAAUGUUCACCCCAAAAAUGGUGGCGGAUCCUUGAGCAUCCGGAAGAAGAAGAAGAAGACUUAUUCCACGGUUGAAAGUUUAAACGUGAAACAAAACCAGAAAAAGCAACAGAGCACACGGUGCCAUUUCAGGGACUGGAAAUGAUAGAAGUUCGCCGCAAGCAGAAUCCAUGCUAUCACAGAGAAGGCCAGUUUUUUGUCUGGCUACUGCAAGUAGAGAAAAGGCACAUGCCCUUCAAGGAGGACCUUGUAAAUUUAGUUCAACAUAACGAGGAAAGGGCACAAGGUAUGAGAAACAAUUUUAGAUUCUAGUUGACAUUUGAGCCCGAGAUCAUUGCAAAACAGGGAAUUCGAGCUGAGGCAAUAUGUGAACAAGAAAGCUAAUCAGAAAGUUCAGAAAAUUUGACAAUAAUUUUGUUCUGUCAAUCUUACAAAAGGCUAAACUGUGUCUUGUUAGUUAUGAAACUAAAUGGAUAAGCAAGUACUGAGUCGUGUUUACAAUUACAGUAGUCUGGUUCCAGCUGCAAAGCAAGUAAUUACAACUCAUAAACUUGAAAAUAAUGAUAGGCAAUUUGUAGCACAUGCAAAACAUUUCACAUUGAGGAACAACAGAGCAGUAUGUGAGAGAUGACAAAUUGAGUUCUAAAACAUGUAAAUCAGCACCUCAUUAUCAUAGCAGAAGAGAAUGCCAUCCUAGAUGUUACUAUCCAACUGAAGCAAGAUCUUUUUCAGCAAGGAAUCAUAGGACUUUCAAAAUGUAAAGAUAGUAAGUAAGAGCCAUCGAUACAGUUCCCUGUUGAGCAUUGUGAUAUUAAAGACAUAAGUAAUAGCCAUCAAUGAGGUUCCUUGUUGAGCUUUGUGCCAAAUAUCACUGCAAAGCACCAAAAACUCAAGCUCAGGAUGGCAUUCAGGAUAGAAUAAAGCUAAUGGAAAUUUUCAGAUAAUUGCAAGUUUUCUGUCAUUGUAACUAAAGCCCUAAAACAAGAAACUUACCAUAAAAAAAAGAAGCAGCCAACAGUCAUAAAAGCAGAGAGAGCUUAAGAGACUUUAUCAAGGUGGAUUCAUUAAAAACAUGAAAUCGCAACAAGCAGACUUAAAUAGCUUAAGUAGGUUUGUACAACUUCAUUUCUUGAACGGUACAUCAUCCUUGGUUCCCUAAAAAAUAUCUCUGUGGCGACAAGAUUUCUUUUGUUUUAUACAUAAUAAAUUGGACAUUAAAGUGGUUAAAAGGCAAAAUUGAGUAAUGAACGAAGAGAAGCAUAUCUAAAAUUAUGGGAAUUUUUGAAUCAAAAGUUAAAAGUGAUGACCAACAUGUCUACAAAUUGCUGAAUCGGUUGGAAAGUUUAAAAUCACCACGCUGACAAGGAAGAUCUCAGGCUUUGGCCAUCCGAGGCAGAGAGCAAAAGGGAAUCUGAUCUAACUGAAACAGUGACAGGUGCCGAACCUGUGCAAUAAUAAAUACCUACUCAAGAAAAUUACAAAUUUUGUAUAUAGCGGUGAGUAGGGUCGAAUCCACAGGGACUGGGAAUAAUUCGUUUCUUCUCGAGUUCAGAGUAUGGGGGGUUUUUGAUGGGAGGAAAAUAAAAAAAAUGAAAUAAAACAAACAAAAUUCAAAACUAACUCACAAAGCACAAUUUACUAAAAAUAGCAAUUAAUAAAAGUUCUACCCAAAGGAUCAGCUGUUCAGACACGGUCCAAUUAAAUGAUCAUCGAUGCAAAGAUAUUUCAUCCAUUCAUUACUAGGUUGGUUAUAGUUAUCAACAAACUCUGACAACUAGUUCUUCCUUACUUUUUCGAUAGUCAAGGUACGACCAUUGACUGCUUCUCUAACCAGAUAACAACCCUAGGUACGACCGUAGGAAUUUAAUUAUCCAAUUGUAUUGAAACUAGAAGAACCCAACCCUAACUAAUAAACACGCUAAGAGGGUUUAUUUAAGUUAGAUCUUACGUUUUCCCAACAUAAACCCAAUUAUGGUGGUUGUCACUAGGUAUCGACUAAACGAACAAUUACGGAUUCAAUUUAGUUAAUAUGACAGUAGGCUAUUAAAUAAAAUCAAAUACCCGGCCGUUGAUAUUCAAUUAAUAAAAUACCCAUGAACAAUUAAUUCAGGAAACGUACGAAUAGCAACAAAUUGGAAAAAGUAAUGAAAGUUUGAUUAGAUCUCACAGAUGUUAUGGACCGCGCCUUCGCGUUAACCUUUGGGUAGAAGAAAAACCUAGCCACUCCUCAUCGUAUCAAUUUUGCGUGGGUUGGUUGAUUUCAUCCGCACAGUCAUCAGCGAAAUAUGAACGAUGGAGUGAUGACGAAAAGAAAGAAAAGAAAACGUCUUCCUUGUCUUUGCGUUAAUGUUUGUACUGAAGCCGAAGUACAACGCAAAAACCAACGAAAAUUGUACAGAGCCAAAGCCAAAGCCAAAGAGUCAAAAACGUGAAAGCCAAAAAGCAAGAGAAGAGUCUACAACGUCUGACGGCUAGGGAAAAAGAAAACUAAAGCUAUCUAAUUCCUAAUACGUGAAUCUGGCUUUCUUUUUGCCUUUUGUAGCCGCCGCCAGCCAAAGCAAUUAGGAGCAGGACUUGUCUAUGGGUUUUAAUCCCACGCAUCUGGUUCACAUGGAUCUAGUGCCUUAAUUGGGUCUCCUGCUAUUGGUCCUGCGGAUCCGGCUUUUCGAGAGCAUCUACCUUUUCUGGCGUGGCCACGCUCUGAGAUGAAGGGUCUUCUGGAAAUUUGCCUCAAGAGAUUACUUUUAACGCCAAUCAUCUGUAAUUCAUACAAAUAUGAAAUAUGAGCAAAACCUCAAUACUUAGCACAGUAAGUAGCUAAAAUUAGGACAAAAUAACAGUGCAAAAUGUGCCAAAUAACCGCUCUAUCAAUUCCCCCCACACCUAGACAAUGCUUGCCCUCAAGCAUUUCAGAGCUCAGAAGUACAACCAAGAGAGCAGAGGUCAUGUAGUAGUCUAUACUAACACAAGCAUUUCAGAUCCCUGACAAUAUCACCAAAAUUAGAACACACCGGACAGGUUGUAAUUCAAAGAAAAUAUAUGAAUACUAGGAACGCUCAAAUCAACAUCACAGAAUGGCAUUACCAUAGGCUUGCACAUUUAUCACAUCUCCACCACUCAAAGGUGAACUAAAUACACAAAUCAAAGGGAAUUUAAUAGGGUUGUAAUGGGGUUUAGGUAAAAGGCGGGAUAAGAAGGUAAAAAUAGGGUGUAAUGUGUCAAGAGAAUGUCCAAUAUCUACUACAUAACCACAAUGCUUUAUCGGGACAAUUUCUCAAGUAGGGCGUUUUCAUUUGCUGUUUUCAUUGUGCAAGUGUCGAAAAUCGUUCCUCUUUUUUUUUUUUUUUGGAGAGGACGUCUAGCAAGGCGUGGGCACGCUCUGGAAGACAGAGUCUUCUGCUCACCAGCUUUUUGCCGAUUUCUCCCUUUUUUUUUCUUCUUUUCUCUAUUUUUUUCUUGGCUUUUCUUUCGAUCUCAGAUGUACAGAAACAGCACCAUACAACAUCUUUUUGACAACACUUGCGCCCAUAGAUUUAUUUGUCUUGCACGAGUAAUGAAUUUCAGACAUCCCUUAAUGACACAAGGUUGAACAAGAAAGUCUAAAAAGGUCAUGGGUUAUCAAACACGGCUAACAAGCAAAAGUAAAAGAUAAAAGCUCAAGUUGGUUCACUAUUGGGAAAUAAGAUGAAGGCAUGGUUUGUAGAAAGUUAAAGAAGGUCAAAUCCUAAAUGCCCUUAUCAUUUCAAAUGCAUCCAGUUCAACAAAAUGUGGUCUCGACAUGUAUAAAAUAGCAAGUUCUAGAAUACCGAUACCAUGUGUGAUACCCACUCAAUCAAACAAUAAUAGAGCAAACAAGAAUAAUGUGCUCAUGCAUGACUCAAAAGCUCCCAAAAGUCACAAAAGUGGGUCAAGUCCAGUAUAUCCAACAUUCAACAAUACUGUCAAGGCAAAACGAAAUGCAUAGCUAGUAUAUCUAACCACAUGCCCGUGCACCUUGAUUGAGUUAUUCAUCAUAGCAAAGAAGUCAGCUAACUACACUCUUUUCCUUUUCCUCCUUUUUUUUUUCUUCAUUUUCCUCCUCUUUUUUUUUCAUUUUUUUUUUGUGUUUUUUUUUUUUUUGUUUUAAAAGCAAAGCAAAAGGAGAUAAUAAAGGAAGCCAUCCCCCCACACCUAAUACCUACAUUGUCCUCAAUGUAGAAAAGAUGAAUGAAGUAUAAGGAGAAAAGGAGAGAAACUUCCCUGACCACCGAGAGGGUGCUGUGAGACACUAAGGCGGAGGAGGGUGAGGUGACUGGAAUCUAAUGUGAGCAAAGAAAGCUAUCUGAUGAGAGAGAUAGUGACGGUGGGGAAGGCAGCGACGUGCGAUGGAUGGCGCGAGGAGAAGAGAGAGAGUUUCUAGCAGCGGUGGACAAAGGGGAAACCUUGGACUAAGACAAAACAAAGAAAAUUGAAAAGUAGAAGUUGAGACAAUGGAAAUUGAUAAGACCAUACAAGACAAGAAAAGAGAAAAGUAGAAAGUGGUAUUAGAGAGGAUCCUGGUCAAUCUUUGACUUUCGUUGGCGCAAAGGCUGGAAGGCGUGGGCACGCCUUGGAAGCUAUAGUCUUCUGACCGUCAAUUCCAAAACUUCACUGCUUAGGCGUGACCACCUAGCGUGGGCAUGUCUAACUUCCUGCUUCCUGCCAUAAAACAAAAAUCCAAUAAAUGACACUAACACUGAACAAAAAAUUUCAAAAAUAUAAGAAAACUAAAACAAAAGAAGCCUUGGGUUGCCUCCCAAGAGCGCCUUUCUUUAAUGUUUUUGGCUAGACAUCGUCAUAUUUAUUCACGGAGGAUAAAAUCGUGUAGCUCGUUUCAGCGCUUCAUCUUCUAUGUAGUCCUGAUAUCCCUCGUAAAUAGAGUAAUUCUUGAGCACACGAGCUACGGACUUCCAUGGAUCAGUAGAUGGCGCCAAACAAACAAGUGAUGACCUUAAAUCUUCACUCACUCCUCCAUCAAGAGCACUUAUUGGUCCGAGAUAUUUUGCCAUCAUGACUCUUAACUUAUUCCUGGCAUGAAAUUCAAAAUCAUCUGGUAUAAUAAAAUCAAUCUCACUAACAGGAAUUAAAGAAUAAGAGUCAGGAAAAUAUUGAUCAAGGAAUGGAGGAGAUGUCACCGCAUUUGGAGAUUGUUCACUGGAUUCAUUCACUUGCACCAUUUGAUGUUGGGGUCUCAAUUCUUGCGCUUCAACUUUCUUUUCAACUGCAUCUUUAGAUUCUUCUUCUUGAGACUCUUGCAGUACCAUAUCAUUUGUCAGAAUAAUUGCACUCUCGUCUUCCUCGUGGUCGAUAAUAGUCGGUGAGGGCAAUUCUUCAUAAAUUGGAGAAAUCAAUUUGCUCAUUUUAGAUGCCCAUUCACGCCUUCCUUCUUACAUCUCUUUACUCAUCUUUUGUGUCUCCUGUUGAAGUUGAUGUACCUCCUGUUGAAUUUGAUAUGUGUUAGUAGCUAUUAAUUCAACUAUUUCUUCAAGAGACAUACCUAACAUGGAUGACGGUUCUUGAGACUCUAACUGUUGUAAAUCUAUUGGUCUUUGUUGAUAAUUAAAAUUGGAAUCAUCCCACCAUCCUUGCUCAUACCCAUUUGAAUAAGGGUCAUACCAUGUUUGAGACCAGGGUGAAAAAUCUCCAUAAUUAUUGAGUGGGACACUCAGAUUAUCUUGAUAUUCGGGGCACAUACCGGUUGAAUGAUCCCUGGCGUAACAAAUUUUACAGGUUGCAGCAGCCAUUCUUUUUCUAAUAGAGUUUAGUGCCUCUGAAUAUGCAAACUUAGCAAAAAAACAAGCCUCAUUGCCUUCCCUGGAAACAAAAUCCAAUCUAUCACCAAAAUACGGAGUGUUAGCGGCCAUAAACUAGUAAAGAAAAAAAAAGAAAAAAAAAUAAGAGGGAAAAAAAAUGGAAAUGAAAAUAAAAUGAACUCAAAAAGAAACAAAUUAAACAGGCACCAGUCGCCGGCAACGGCGCCAAAAAUUGACAGGUGCCGAACCUGUGCAAUAAUAAAUACCUACUCAAGAAAAUUACAAAUUUUGUAUAUAGCGGUGAGUAGGGUCGAAUCCACAGGGAUUGGGAAUAAUUCGUUUCUUCUCGAGUUCAGAGUAUGGGGGGUUUUUGAUGGGAGGAAAAUAAAAAAAAUGAAAUAAAACAAAAAAAAUUCAAAACUAACUCACAAAGCACAAUUUACUAAAAAUAGCAAUUAAUAAAAGUUCUACCCAAAGGAUCAGCUGUUCAGGCACGGUCCAAUUAAAUGAUCAUCGAUGCAAAGAUAUUUCAUCCAUUCAUUGUGAGGACCCGUACUUUUCUUAAUUGCACGUUUUCUGCAUUUUCUUUAUUAGAAAAUUUUUCUAGAUCAAUUUUAUGAGUAAAUAUGGUUUUUAAAUAAUUUUUCUAGUUUCGGUUACUUUUUGAGAAAUUAAGAGCGUAUAUCGGACGUGGGACCCGCUAGUGUGGAAAAUUCGGAAAAAUUCGGCCAGUUCAGUUAAGUUUUGGAUACUGGGUUUAGUUUACCGGGUGUUAUGAGAUAUUUAGAGGUUGCCAAGUGGAUUGGUGUAAGAGAGACAAAAAGUUAGGCAAGCAAUUAAUGAAGAGGACAUGUGUCACUUGAGGAUUUAUUCUUACCUUUUUGACCUUUUGACCACUAUUCAUGCCUUUACCAUUUAAACCAAAAUUGACCCAAAAUUCUUCUUAUUUUGAAGCUCUUGGCCGAAUUUCUCGCUAGGAACAAAGGAAAGAAAACUCUCUCAAUUUUCAAGCUCCAAUCUUGCCCAAUCUUUCAAUUCAACCGUUUAAUCUUCAAAUUUCCAUAGAACUUCUUAGUUUGGUGAUAUUGAGGUUGGUUGUGGAGUUGUUUGGAAGAAUUUGGUGCUAAGUUGCUUACUUUCUUGAGCUUGCAAGGUGAGUAACUAGGGAAUUCUUUCUUUGAUCUUGCUAAUGUCAAAUUAAUGGUUUAUGUUGGUUAUAGAUGUGAUUUUAUGGAAGAAUUGGCACAUGAAUGCAUGAAUUUCCAGAUUAGGGUUCCAUUUUUCCCCUUUCUGCCCGUUUCUGUUUGACCGGGUUAGAAGCCAAAUUGGCCGUAGCACAAAACAUGAAAGUUGUAUACAAUGAUGUUUCCUAGUUGCCUGUAAAUUUUCAGCCCAAUCCGAGCUCAGGAACCUGAGAUAAGAUGGAAAUACCCAGACUGGUCUAGUAGGAGUUCAGGGAACAGGGUUGUCUUUUCACCCAAUCUGACCGGGACUUUUGCACCAUGAUCCUUACCGAAUUAGAUUUUGGCCAAAACAUAAAGUUGUAGCCAAUAGUAUAAAAUAGUUUCCUACAAAAUUUCAGCUUGAUCCGACCACUGUAUCAUGUGAAAUGACUGAAAUACCCUUGACUGUUCAUGAAACCUGUUUCGCGCCCAUAAUUCUGGUUUUGGUGUAGUUUUCCAUUUUUGAUCAUGCAAAUGCAUGAUUUGGCCUUGGAGGUCUUCAUAAUAAAUGUAGGGUUGUGUUUUAGCUUCGAAACACCAUAAGAUAUACUUCAAUCGGACUUCGGUAGCCUGAGUUAUUGCUGUUUAACAAUUGUGCGGUUAGCCAACCUGUUUGUGAGUUUCUGGUUUCAUAUAUGUCAAUUUUGACCUAGUUGUACUACAAACUGGACUGAGUGGCCUUCUUCAACAUUGUAGCCCUAUCUGUUAGCUUCGGAACGGUGUAUCUUGCACCUUCAUCCGAUAAUCGUAGCGCCAAUGGUGCCAAAAUCGCAAAAUGGUGUCAAAAACUGUUUUUAUCCGGAAAUGUUUUUUAGCUUGAUUUUUGUAUUUAUAUGACUUUAAGCCUAGUGAACGGCUUUUGGACAUGAGAUUAUUCUAUAUGAGAUGUUGGGACUGUUUUGAGGAAAAUAAUGAAGCCAUUAAUGGCUGGAAAAUAGGUAAACACAAGGGACAUGCCGUCCAUUUAUCUUCUUGUAAUGUGAACAAGUUAAAGUGAUUUUGCGAAUGUAUUUUGUGACGAAUUGGACGUAUUUACUGAAAAUGUUACCGGCUCUUUCAAAAGGUGGCCGAGGGCUAAAUUUCUAUUUGAACCUGUAUAUUUCCGCUUGGCAAAUAAAAUGAUCAUUUUACCAUUCUAAAACCUAAUACCUCUUUAGGUUGGUUUAUGAACCCUAGUAAUUCCCGUCCACGAAUCCAUAUGCUCUAUUGACACUUUAAAAGUCAUUUUAUACGUUUACUCGCGAGUAGUCGGGUAAUCCUUGAUUUCAUCCAAAUCAUGCUAGAUGGAUUGUAAUGUGUUCUUUGUUUACUUUUAGGUUUCAUUGGUGAUUGAGAAGUGGACGUUAUUUUGCGUGUAUAGGUGAGUGUUCCCUGUUUGAUAUGUUUCAUGAUUUUAUGGCUGGUAUGAAUGAUUGAUAACAUGUUAUAUGCUUUCAGUGAUUGUUAAAACGAGUUUUCUAGGCAAGUGUGUACUUUAUCGCACUCGGCCUAAACGAUUGUGAAAUUUUCAAUGAUUGAAUGAUUGAAAUGUUAUUUGUGCAUGAAUGUAAGCCUUUUGGCUGAACUGGCCAUUGCCCCUUGUUACCGGUCGUCUCGAGCCAGAAGCGGACUCGGUUGGGCGAUUAGGGACCUGGGUGAACGUUUUGGUAUACUCGAGUAUUACCUUGUAGAUUGGUGGAGGUUGGUGGAGCCUGGUGAAUGAAUGAAUGAACGAAUGAAUGAAUGAGGGUUUUACUUAUAUACAAAUGCAUUUUCAAAUGAUUGAAGGUAUAAGGGAACGAAAGGAGAAUGAAUGAACGAAUGAAUGAACGAAUGGCUCCUUGUGAGCACGUAUCCUUUUAAUGAAGGUGUUUAUCGCUUUCUUUUGUAUUUGAAUUAUUGGUAACAUGUAAUGAAUGCUUUGAACUUCUUGUUGCCUAUGUGUUCGGAACCUCACUGAACUUAUAGCUCACCCCUUUAGUUUGUUUUCCUUAACAGGGGAAGGCGAGCAAGGACGAGAGCCGAUAUAGACUAGCUGGGUCUAGCCCUUGGUUUUCUUUUGUCAUGGUUCUCGCCCUAGUGCUUGGCACGGGCUGGUUGUAUAGUGAUUUGAGAACCUCUGUAUAUUUGACGGUUGUACUUCUUCUUGAGAUAUUAUUGUAUAUACGUUUUGUUUUAAGUUGGAUCGUGGUUAGAUGUUCUUAUGGUUGCUUGAAGUGAUCGACUGAGUCCCGGCGAGAGCUGGGCAGGCAGUCCGCCGAACCCUUUGGUUCGCCUUAGGGGAAAGUGGGGCUGUCACAACCAUAAUUAGGUUGGUUAGAUGUUCUUAUUAGGUUGGUUAUAGUUAUCAACAAGCUCUGACAACCAGUUCUUCCUUACUUUUUCGACAGUCAAGGUACGACCAUUGACUGCUUCUCUAACCAGAUAACAACCCUAGGUACGACCGUAAGAAUUUAAUUACCCAAUUGCAUUGAAACUAGAAGAACCCAACCCUAACUAAUAAACACGCUAAGAGAGUUUAUUUAAGUUAGAUCUUACGUUUUCCCAACAUAAACCCAAUUAUGGUGGUUGUCACUAGGUAUCGACUAAACGAACAAUUACGGAUUCAAUUUAGUUAAUAUGACAGUAGGCUAUUAAAUUAAAUCAAAUACCCGGCCGUUGAUAUUCAAUUAAUAAAAUACCCAUGAACAAUUAAUUCAGGAAACGUACGAAUAACAACAAAUUGAAAAAAGUAAUGAAAGUUUGAUUAGAUCUCACAGAUGUUAUGGACCGCGCCUUCGCGUUAACCUUUGGGUAGAAGAAAAACCUAGCUGCUCCUCAUCGUAUCAAUUUUGCGUGGGUUGGUUGAUUUCAUCCGCACAGUCAUCAGCGAAAUUGGAACGAUGGAGUAAUGACGAAAAGAAAGAAAAGAAAACGUCUUCCUUGUCUUUGCGUUAAUGUUCGUACUGAAGCCGAAGUACAACGUAAAAACCAACGAAAAUUGUACAGAGCCAAAGCCAAAGCCAAAGAGUCAAAAACGUGAAAGCCAAAAAGCAAGAGAAGAGUCUACAACGUCUGACGGUUAGGGAAAAAGAAAACUAAAGCUAUCUAAUUCCUAAUACGUGAAUCUGGCUUUCUUUUUGCCUUUUGUAGCCGCCGCCAGCCAAAGCAAUUAGGAGCAGGACUUGUCUAUGGGUUUUAAUCCCACGCAUCUGGUUCACAUGGACCUAGUGCCUUAAUUGGGUCUCCUGCUAUUGGUCCCGCGGAUCCGGCUUUUCGAGAGCAUCUACCUUUUCUGGCGUGGCCACGCUCUGAGAUGAAGGGUCUUCUGGAAAUUUGCCUCAAGAGAUUACUUUUAACGCCAAUCAUCUGUAAUUCAUACAAAUAUGAAAUAUGAGCAAAACCUCAAUACUUAGCACAGUAAGUAGCUAAAAUUAGGACAAAAUAACAGUGCAAAAUGUGCCAAAUAACCGCUCUAUCAAACAGGAUCUGGUUCAGCAAGGGAUCGUAUACCAAGGAUAGUAAGCAAGAGCUAUCAAGUUUAAUGUUGAUCUUUGAGCGUAAACCUACUGCAAAACAUAGAAAAUCAAACUUAAGAAACUCGAGACAGCAUAUAGUCAAGAAUAAAGCCAGCACAUGGUUGCAUGACAUUUUUUUGUAUUUGAAACACUAAAAUAAGAACUUACCAUGAAGAGAGGAGCAACCCAACAAGUGUAGAAGGCAGAAUGAGCUUAAUAGCCUUCAUCACAGCUGAUGAAAUAAUUGCAGCAAGUGGCAGCAGCCAACAAGUACGCUUGGCAGUCUCAAAACUUGCACUCUAACAAUUCUGUGCAGAUUCACUGCAUGAAUAGUAUAUCUUCCGUGGCUGCUCCCAAAAACAUUUUCAUUAUGAGAAGAUUUCUCAAGUUUUGGUUGUAAUAUGUUCAGAAUCAAAGUAGUUAAAAGUCAAAUUUGAGUAGUAAAAGAAGAGUAGUAUAUCUGAAUUUACCAGACACUACAACAAACACCAAUUUGAUGACCAACAGCUCUGAAAACUCCUGAAAUCUUUCGUACUAGAAAAUCAUAACCAAGGAAAAGUGACACAUAAACCCAUCAUCUACGAGACUUAUCGAACAAAUCACUAAUCAAAUGGUUCAAGAAGCUUGAUAAAUGAGCCUUCAAGAGGCGAUUAAACUUUGGAGCAACUAUUUACUUUAGCAAUCACGUCUUACAUCCACAAAAGCAAAUAUAUAAAAUCAACAAAAUUAAACUUCUAGUGCUUAUUUCAUAUUGAUGGGUAACUUGUAGGAAAUGCAAAACAAAAAUUAAUUAAUACCAGCUAUAAAAAUCUAAUCUAAGUUCAUCUAGGGGAGAGACCUCAAAAAUCUGCUUGUUAAGUGCAGGAGAAAGGAGCUCAGUAGAGAAUUGGGGGUUUAAAGUCUUAUAGAAAAGGUUUGUAGAAUUGCUGCUUGUGGUAUCAAAUCUAAAAUGUCCAAUGCAUUUUCAACGUGUGAAACUUCAGAGAGAUCAAUCACUUCAUCCUGGUGAAAUCACAAGUUUACAGAGAGUGCACCGAUGUUAGCAAUCACAGUAACUGAUAUGCAUGAUAAACAAAACUAUGCAACUGAAAAACGUGAUUCAGUUAACCCAAGAAAAUCUCGGUCACUGAAAAAAAUAUGCAACUGAAGCUUUAAGUGUAGUACUGAAACAUGGAUGGUAUUGAAUUGGACCACCAUUUGCCAUGUUUGAUCUUUGCAACAGCGAAUGAGAUGUGAUACAACGGGAGAAAUACCAAUUUGACAUUUUAAAUUAACCAAAAUGAUUGUUUAGUUCCGUUAGUUUAGAUUGGUAUGGAACCGUGCAUGGUUUAUUAGUCGUAAAGGUUAUGAAAUAUUGCACUUAUUCAUGAUAAAGAGUUACUUGGCAGACCUACUCUGUUGCUGCUCCAAUUAUCACUUGAUAUACUUCAAAGGAAAGAAAGGACUUUGAAAAGUAAAGGCGGUGAUUAGGAGCCAUCAGGGUUCCCUACAGAGCUAUAAACCUACAGCAACUGCAAAACAGAAAACUCAGACUCAGGACUUCGCAUUAGCAAAUCAUGAGGCAAACACGAAAUUGCAUGACAUUUUUGUCUAGUCAAUUAUUCAGAAAGCUAAAUCAAUAUUUGUUUUUUUUCUUCUUUUCUAACGUAAAUCAGUAAGCAGGUAUCAAAUCUUUCUGUUCAGUCCACAAGUACCAGAAGCAUCACAAAAACUAUAUUAGCUUUUGUUCAAAACACUGAAAAAGAAAAGUUCUAUAACAAUAAUGACUGGUACCCACAAGCAGGAGAGGCAGAGAGUCCUAGAAUUGCCAUAAAAGCGAACUAUUUGAGACUGCAAGAUGCAACAAGUAGAGCUAAUAACUCAAAUCAUUGCAUUUGAACUUAAACUUCAGAAGAGGAUAGUCUACCAAGUCUCUGCUGCUUGAAAAUGUCUUAAACAUGACAAUUUUUUUAAGGUUUUAGUUAAUGCUUAAACUGCUUAAAACCCAAUAUUAAGUAGUGGAAGAAGAUAGUUGGUAUUAUAAAUUAUCAGACCACCAAUCCCACAACCAAGGGCAGUGAGAGUAAUUCGAUUGACCAUUGGAUUUAGGUCAAGAGAUCAAAGCUGAAGAAAGUAGAAUCCCAUCAUUUAAGAGACAUAAUAAGAAUACCAAUAAUCAGAUAAUUUGGAGCAAGAUGAUAAAUACAUUUCCAAGAGAUGGAAGUUCAGAACAAGCAUAAUUUGGAGCAAGAUGAUAAAUACAUUUCCAAGAGAUGGAAGUUCAGAACAAGCAUUUCCAUCCCGGUAGAAUCUCGAGUUUAAAGAGAAUUAGCUCCUUUCAGCAAUCAUGUUUAACAAGCAUGAGCAAAAGUAAACUGCUAUUUUUUAUUUAAAACAAAGAAUUUUGUACCGUAGAUGAAAAUACAAAAGUUUUCAGCUUUGACAUCAUGUUUAACUGUCCACAUCAAAUAAUCUCCUCUUGAACAUCUGUAUUCCAUAAUUGAAUUUAAUAUAUGGUUAGCGAUAUUGUUUUCUUCCCGGAACAACGCUUGUUGGGUUUUUUUGAAUCAGGCUGAAAAGGCCAGGAAAAGUUCAACAAAGUAGACAACUGACCUUACUGUUACAUUACUAGACAACAUCUUGGAAGCAGACGUUUUAAACAUUCAGAUAUUUUGCAACAAAAUCAUCUUAUUGUACAAUUUCUAUCACCUGAUAUUGGAUAGAUUUAAAAGAAUUUAGUAAUGAUUUCACUGGAGUAUGUUGUCCUGCAGAAACAAUAAACUAGAAAUUGACUCCUAAACUCUUUGUCCAUCAUUGCCUAUCUAUAAUUUUCUGUGUUCCAUCAAACCUUGAUUUAACAAUCUAUUUCAUGAAUGUAAAUGCAUUAUCAUUCCUUUCUAGCAAAUUGAUAACCAAAUGAACUUUCAGAGUACUUAGUUGGAUGAGGACCUUUUAGAUUGAAAAUCUCAGGAAGGUAAAGAUAGAAGAGCAAAUUCCAUGUCAUAUUUGAGCUAGGAAUCUUACAGAAAGAAAGGGUUUCUUUUUGUUACCUUUGUUCUAAAACUAAUGAGCAGGAAAUAAGACUUGAUACCAAGUACAUCUACUAAUCCAUUUAAAACAAAUUCGCUAACCUUACAGUACUUCUUGAAAAUUUGCAAGCUCCUCAUUGUCAAUCUGUUUCUCUAGUACAAGCUCUAUCACCAACCAAACCCCCCAUGAUCAUUAGCAGAAAUUCAUGGUAAUGAUGACUCUUGAUCUUGAAAGACAUUACAUAAGCUGGGGAAAGAAAUUCUGGUGGGCAGUUUGCAGAGGCCAGCUGACAAAGAUAGAGCAUUUUAUCAGGUUUUAAACACCAGGAAGAAAGAAAAGUGUGCCUGUAGUGUGCCAUCCUAAUCAUUUCUGUCCAAUUGAAACAGGAUUUGAUUCAACAAAGUUUUCAAAAGUUACAAGCUGUGCAAUUCAAUCAAUAAGUAAGUGCAAUUGUAGAUUCUAGUUCACAUUUGAGCCUGAGAUCAUUGCAGAACAGAAAACUCGAGUUGAGACAAUAUGUGAGCAAAUGUGAGCAAGAAAGCUAAUCAGCAAGUUCAGAAAAUUCAACAAUAAUUUUGUUCUGUCAUUCCUACAAAAGGCUAAAAUAUGUCUUGUUUGUAUGAAAAUAAAUAGAUAAGCAAGUACUAAGUCAUGUUUACAAUUACAGUAUUUUGGUUCCAACCACAAAGCAAGUAAUUACAACUCAUAAAAAGAAAAUAAUAAUGGACAAUUUGUAGUGCAGGCAAAGCAUUUCACAUUGAGGCAUUGAGAAACAAUAGAGGUGUGGGCCACUGAGGCACAAUAGAGAUCCACAUUUAAUUGCUACCAAAACACCAGUUAGUUCUAACUUCUAACUCUGAGCAGUAUGCCAGAGAUGACAAUUUGAGUUCUAAAACAUGUAAAUCAGCACCUCAUUAUCAUGACUACACAUCACUGGAUCGUUUGGACAGUUUUAAAGAACCAUACCCCAGUGGAUAUCUCAGACUUUGGACAUAUGAGGCACAGAGAAAAAGAGAAUGCCAUCCAGCAAGGAAUUGUAGGACUUUGAAAGAGAAAUCGAUGAGGUUCCCUGUUAAGCUUUGUGCCUAAAAUCACUGCAAAGUACAAAAACUCAAACUCAAGAUGGCGUUCAAAAUAGAAUAAAGCUAAUGGAAAUUUUUAGAUAAUCGCAGGUUUUCUGUCAUUGUGACUAAAGCCCCAAAAGGAGAAACUUACCAUAAAAAAAGAAGCAACCGACAAUCAUAAAAGCAGAGAGAGCUUAAAAGCCUCUAUCAUUAAGAUCAGCAAGUCACAACAAGCAAACUUGAGUUGAAUGUUGGAAGAUACUCCACCAAGUUUUGUGCAACUUCAUUGCCCAAACAGUGCACACCUUCCUUGGCUACCUCAAAAAUAUCUUCGUGACGACAAGAUUUCUCUUAUUUUAUAUGUAAUAUAUUAGAUAUUAAAGUGGUUUAAAGUCAAAAUUGAGCAGCGAAAGAAGAGAAGCAUAUCUAAAAUUAUCCGAAUUUUUGAACCAAAACAUGAAAGUGAUAACCAACAGCUGCGAAAACUCCUCAAUUGACCAUUGUCUUCAUGGAUAAAAAGCCAAAAUCAAGGAAAAGUGAGCCAGAAAACCAUCAUAUAUGACUCUGAUGGAGCAAUUACUACUCAAAUAGUUUAGAUAAGUAUGCAAGUUCAUUAUCAAGAGACGAGGUAAAAGUUCAGUCCCCUUAGAAUCAAGAUUGCCUUCAAUAACCUCUUGAGAGAUGAAAGUUCAGUCCCCUGAUUGAAUUUGAUCCAAAGAUGAAAGUUGGUUAUUAAUCAACUUAUGCAUAGGUCUUGAAUGUGAGAAACUUUGGACCACUGGGAGUCGGGGCCGCUGCUCUCAGGAGUGCAUCUUUCUUUUAACAGAGGAGAACCAUAAACCUCCAGACGUUUUAGUUUGGUGAGACUUCUCAUGGCAUCCUCAGAGGGUAGAUGUCCAAGCUCUUUGAAAAACCAUAAGUGCACGUCUUCAAGAGCCGCAAAGUUUUCGAACCAAUCUGGCAGAGCUUUUAUACCUCCAAAGACAAGUAGCGUUAGUGACGUGAGAGUGGUCAAGUAUUGGAUCUGAGGUGGCAGGGACUCCAUGUGUGGCAACCCAAAUAAUUCUAAUUCACGGAGUGCGGAUGACGAAGAGGAGGAGGAGGAGGAUAUCAAUCCAGACCAAUCAAACUCAUUGUAAAUUGAAGAAUUUUCGUGAUCAUCACCAUCAUCUGAGAAGGGACCAAUUACAAGCUUUCUUAAGCUGGUUAGGAAACCAAAUCCUUUGGGCGUCGUACUUGUUUUCAGUUUGGGACACUUCCAUAAUUCCAGCUCCAAGAGAGAAGGCAUUUGUUGCAAAUCAAGCGGAAAGGAGAAAAGAUUGUAGCAAUAAGUCACCCGAAGCUUCUGGAGAGAGGCACACGAGUGUUGCAUGUCACCGGGCAGAUUCGUCAACCCACCGCAAUUUGUAAUCACUAGCUCUUUAAGAGACGUAAAGUUUUGCAGGGGAAGGAGUUCUCUGCAUCUGUUGCAGCAAUUAAAUGUCAAACUCGCUAACUUGGGGAGUGUUGUUGCUGUUGGCAAAUCCAUUAACCAUCGAGGAAAUUGAUCACCCAUAAAAUUCUCAAUUACCAACUCCUCCAAAUUUGGGUGGGGUCGAAGGCAGUCCAACACUUUUUCGUCGUUGUAGUUAUGGCCUUCUCGAUGCCAAGGCCGGGCCCACUUAAGUCGCAAACUAAAUAGAUUAGCCUUUCAGAUAGUUUUGCUUCUUCAGCUCCUUUCCUAUCCUUUACUAGAUGAAGAUUGUGUAUCUCCAAAUUGCCUUUGAGGUUCUUCAAGCUUCCAAGCUCUCCAAUUCGUCGACCCUUCUCUCGACCCACUUUAAAGAAUGCUAGCGUCUGAAGGCAAGUCAGUCGUCCCAUCUCUUAACGGCAUUUGAAAUUCUUCAUUAUAGGUGUAAUAGUGGAGAUGUCUCAAGCUAAUCAAAUCGCGCGUCCCCUUCGGCAGAACCUUAAGAGCCAAGCUGUUUAGCCUCAGUGUCUGCAAAUUAUAAAGUUUGCAAACAGAUUCCGGCAAAGUUUCGCUUUUAGAACCCUCAAAGUUAAUGUACCUCAAGUGUAUCAGUUUGCCAAUUGAGAUUGGCAGAUUCUGAUUUUUUGCACCGGACAAAUUCAAAACGUGCAAAUUCUUCAACUUCAUUAGCAUAUCAUCAGAUAAGCUACCCUGACUCAGAAACAAUGUAUGAAGCAAAUUUGAUCCACUCUCAAAAAGAUUUAUUGUGUCUUCUCCAAAUGAGUCUAUUACAAGACAACGAACCUGAUUACUAUUGUCUCCUGAACCAGUCUCCGAAUUAAUGAAUUUAGUAGACUUUGACAUUAUUGAUUUUGAGACUUCGUGCACUAUAUCAUGCAUUUUAUAAUACCUUCCCCAAGCGUCUCUUAUUUCUUCCAGCAAAGAACUCUGCAAUAAAAUUUCCAAGUAAUAUUCUCCAAUUUCCUCCAUUGUUUUGUUCUCGAGACCUGCAUGGAGGAAACCUUCUGCCAUCCAAAGUUCGAUUAGCAUAUCUCUUUCCAUCUCAGUAUCCUUAGUAAACAUAGAACAAUAUGCAAAACAUUUCUUAACGGCUGGUGAUGGUAAACAAUCAAAACUCAAUUUAAGUAUUUCCAUGACACCAUCUCCACCUGCACUCAAACUCGAAAGCCUAUUCUCCAAAAUUGAUGGCCACUCUUCUUUUCUCUUUAAAGAUAAUAGACCUCCAAUUACACUUGCAGCCAAUGGUAGACCAUUACAUCUUUUGAUUAUUCUCUUUUUAAUUGCUUUUAGUUCAUCAGGUUCUUCUUCCCCUCCAACUACUUUUUCUUUUACGAUAGACCAACAAUGAUCAUCAGGUAGUUUUCCUAAUGGAUAUGGUUCAUUUUCCAUCAUCCCCAAAACUCGAGACACACUAUGUGCCACUGGACCUAAACGAGUAGUGACCAGACACCAGCUUCCAUUAGUUGGAUUGAGCCCCUUCAAGGUGGUGAAAAAGUUAUCCCACAAUGCACGAUUAUCAUCCCACACAUCAUCAAGAACUAGGAGAUAUCUUUUUCCCCCAAGUUGAUUCUGAAUGUCUUCAACGAUGACAUUCCUAUCAUCCACUUCAACUUUUCUUUUCAUCAAUUGCACUAACAUGAGUUUGAAAAGUUCCACUACUGGAACUUUUUUCGAUACACAAACCCACAACUUUUUCUCAAAUUGCCCAUCAAUUUGCUGAUUGUUGUAUAUCGAUUUAGCCAAAGUUGUUUUGCCUAGACCUCCCAUACCAAAUAUGGGAAGAACAAAAACUACCUUCUCAGAUGGGCUCAACAAUAUCUUCAAUAUGUUUGAUUCAUCAUCGGCUCUUCCAAUUAUUGGAACAAGAACAGAGUCAGUCUGCCGAUUUCCUAUGUCUCCAACAGCAGGAGCAGCAGGGAGGGCAGCUGUCAUCACUAACCUACUAACCAGUCCCAAUCCGUUGGCUUCUUGAUUUAUCUCCUUCAACUUCAGUUUGACGUCCCUGACCUUAGAAGCCAUUCUCCAACGAAAAGCAAGAUUAAUGUUGAGAAGGAAAAGAAGGAGAAUACCUUGAGCUUGGGUCGGUUUCGGGACUCCACCUGGUGACGAAGAGAUUCAUAGUAGAGCUCAUCCAACACAUUCUGAGCAUCAUAAGCCACCUCCUCGAGACACUUCAACCAUCGUUGCACUCCUCUGCUUUGGUUUUGCCUUUCCUCAGCAUCAGCCAGGACAUCUUUGAUAAAGCCGAGAGAAUGUGUCAUGCUGGCCACAUCCUUCUUGAACCCAACUAGCAAACCAAUCCUAUCAGAGGCAAGAGACAGUGUCGUUUCCAAUGUGACCUGUAUUGUUGAGCUGAUAAGAGCGUCAGCCAUUUUUGCUGCCUUGGAUUCAGUGUUGAGAACAAGAUGGUUUUUUUUUUAUGGAAGGUUUUUUGCAGCGAGGAACUGGUAAUCUUAUCUAGGCUAGUAUAAUUGGUUAUGAAAAAAGGAGCAUUAAUAAUUUUUCCGCGUAGACGUGGAGUUCUUCUCUGACAAAUUUGUAAGCUUUUGCAUUGGCGUGUUUACAGAGUAACUUUCUCAAUUAUUGUAGUUGUUGGGGCAUCAUGUUUUCUGAUUAAAAGGUGGGGCCUUCAGAAUUUUUGGUUGUGGACCAUAUUUGUUUUUGUCCACGAUCAAAUCGUAAAAAGGAGAGUGAGAUUCUGUUUUGGUUACAUGCAUGUCAUUAUUGUUAAUCCUUGGAAAAUGAAUUUAUGACAUACAGUAUUUUGGUCCGAAUUUUGUUCGGUUUUGGGAAGCGACCACACUGGGAAGCAAUAAUGUUCUCUGUUUUCGCACUAGCUAUGACGCAUUUUGCUUCUUGGCUUUUAAAUUACCUUUUGUACUUUAGCUAGAGUGUUAUUUGAAAUAUUAUUUGAAAUAAUUACUGUAAUACUUUUUAUGAUGUGAUAUAUGUGAGAUAAAAAGGUGGUUAAGAAUAUAAAAGAUUGAGUUGAAAAAUGUAUUUAUGAUGCAAGCGAAAUAUUAUUUAGAAUAAUAUGGAUAUCCAAACAAACCUAUAUAUUCUCUGUUUUCGCACUAGCUAUGAUGCAUUUUGCUUCUUGGCUUAGUAAUCAGGCUUGAGAUUUUAAAUUACCUUUUGUACUUUAGCGUUUCAAACAUAUAUAUAACAUGAUCGGUAUGAAACCCCUAGCCUUCUACUCCUCUCUUUAAAAUCUGAUAGUCUUUAAUUCAGAUCGGUAUUAAUCUUUUUUGUUAUUUUAUUUCUUAUUACUUUCUUUUUCUAGUUGAUUUUGGAUCCUUUUUUUAUUACUUUUCUAAUUUUUUUUCUUUAGCUUUUGCUGACGCGUAUAUUGGUUUCUCCUCAAACUGGAUGUCUCUCAAUCUCUCUUGUGGGAAUUCAACAUACUUUAAGAUGAAUUUCAUUUUGCCAUUAUCAAGUUUGCACUUAAAGAAUUAAAGUUCAUAUGGGGCUAAGUCAUACUAAUUUCAUAUCUUUGACAUUUAUUUAUCACAAACCUCAAUUCUUCUUUCCUCCAGUGUUUCUUUUCUAUAUCAACUCUCCUUAAUCCCAUUAUUGUCUCACAGCAUAAUCCAGAAAGUGUCAGUAUAUAAGAAUUCUUUUGAAGUAAUUAUUACAAAUAUAUAGUUCCCGUUUCUUGUGGAAUGUUCUGAAUCUUUCCUAAAGAAACAUUUUCCAAUUUGAGUUCCAGAAUUGUUGCAAACUUUUUCGGUUUGCGCAUCACUUUGCAUGUAAGAAUUCAAAAUUUCACCACCAAUUAAAUAUAUAGUUUUCCUCGCAACUUGUCCCAUUUGGAUUGCUAUUUUUAGAAAUUUUUUGUAGAAAAAUAUACUGUAGAGAUUUGAUAUAUGUGAGAUAAAAAUGUGAUUGAGAAAUGUAUUUACAAAAAAAAUGUUAGUUUCCUUUUCUCUUCUAUUUCGAAUUUCUCCCAACUUAUGUUUCCUUGUUGCAAAUCUUGCCAAACUUUAUAAGAUAUGUCUUAUCAAUUUCUUUGAUACCUGAAACACUAGAAAUUUCUCAUUCCUUAUGUGUAUUCUUGUUUAAUUAUUUAAUUUGGUUCCUGAAACACAAGAAAUUAGUAAAGAAUUUCGAUCCAAUUUGGUGCAACGCUUCUUUGACAAAUUGAAUCUGAUGCUUCUGCAAUGGAAGUGUUUUUUUUUUUUUUUAUAGCAACAAUAACUUUCCUACAACCUAAUCUAUUCUAUUCUAUAGAGAGGGGGAACUUAAUUUAUUCUAUUCUACAAGAAGGGAAGCCUAAAAAGACUAUAUAAGGGAGUUGAUAUACAUACCUAAUUAGAUCGUAUUUUGACGCUUUCUUAAAUUUUUUUUCAUUAUGUAGAGUUCGAACUCCACAUUUACGAUCCAAAAAAAAUUAAUCUCUUUUUUGUUGCCGCUGAGCCAAAUCUCCUUUGUUGCCGGGAUUCUUCAGCUGCCUUUGAUCCACAUUCCACAUGCUUGUGUGUGUCUUGGGGGGGGCAUCGGAUGUGGAAAAUUCCACCCAAGAAGGAAAAGAAACGUGUUGAAUGAUGAAGAAAAGAAAAUGGCAAUCAUCAUUGAGACUCUAAUAAAUCUCACUCCUCAGUUCUUGGGACGUGAACGUACAAUUAAUAAUUCCAUCUAAAUUGCUGAUCCUAAGUGGAUCAGAUUUGAAACAUAUUUUAUCCUUUGGGGACUCCUUAGUUUGUUUGCUUUCUGCAGGGGAUUAUGCUCCAAUUUCUUUAAAAUCCACAGACCCCCAAAGUUCUCCAUUUCCGUGCUAGCUAUGUAUUUUCCAUUUUUGUUUAGUUCAAAAUAGCUAGAAAUUUACAGUGGAUGCUUUUGUUUGCUCUUUAACCACCGGUAGAAAGAAGUGCUGCAGUAGUACAUCUUUGACAAACUUGGAUGCCAUUAAUUGCCAUGGAGAAGUUUGCAUGCCAUUAUUGACUUGGCCUUUAUUGAUCAAUGCUUGGCUAGGUAUUUCAUCUUUUUCUGAUUGAAAGCUGGCUGGCGCCUUUGGCUGUGGAAAAUAUCUCAAUGGUUUGUCGGAGUAGUGGUUUGACCCAAGACUGACCCCCGCAAAAAAAAAAAAAGAAGAAAAAAAACUAUGUUCAACGAUAAAAAUGUAAAUGAGAAAGAAGAAAUGACAGCCAUAGCUGGUGACUUUGCAACAUUAAUUGCCUCAGUCAUUAAUCCUUGGGAAAUGGACUAAAAACGUUAUUUUGUGGGGGAAAAACUUUAAUAAAAAAUAAUCCGUGGUUCACUUAUCAAAAACAUGAAGUGGAGUUAGCAAUCAGGUUUGGCAUGUAGCGACAUAAUUGGCCAAUGGUUGGGUGCUUUCUUAGCUUUUACACUUGUGAAAUUGCCAAAAUAGUCACUCGUAAUUCCACAAGCUUUCUAGCACUUUAAAAAUUCAAACAUUUUGUUUCAAAAUGUCUUGUUUAUGUACAGCAUACAAAAUUUAAGUGGUGAAAGUUUAAGGAGUUUCUUUAUUACUAUUUCUUUUUUUGAAGUACAAUGUACAAUCAAUUGAAGUUAGAAGUGAAAUAAACCUUUAGUUCACACUAUGAUUAUAAAAUUUGACUGAAUUGGAUGUUUUGGGAAGGGGGAAAUGAGCGUGUUCUUGCGGAUUUUAAUUUUUAUAAUUGAAUUAUUUGCCUAUGAUAUGAUCACAAGUUUAACUUAAAUAGAGUUGCGAUAAUAGAAGAUUCUCGAAAGAAGACUUCAAAAGGUGGAAAUUGAAAAUGAGUGGAAAUUAAUGGGGAAUUAACCAGUUAUUUGGAUACCUAUUUUUGUAUCCGACUCUUUUAUAAUUAGUUUUUCUUAUAGUUUUUCUCGUUCCUAACAAAUUUGAAUUAUUUGUUCUUAUGGUUCCUCUCUCUUCUAACAAUAUGAUAAAUUUGUAUAAAUUUUUUUAUCCAUAUGGAUUAACUUAGUGUUAAAAAAUUUUAACUGUUAGCUGAUAGAUUUAUCAAUAUUGCUGGAAAUUAAAUAUUUUUUGAUGUAGAAAACAAAUCGCAAAAUCUAUUGUACUCGGUUAAGUAGGAAAAUGUAACUAGGUUUAUGGUUAUUAUAAAAAUUGUAAUUAUCUAAAAAAUAUCCGUACACAAAAAGGUAGAAUAUCUAUUGAUUUUUUUAUAUUUGUUAUCAUAUUUGAUGAAUAUUAUUAUAUUAUAGUAAAAGUAUGUAAAGAAGUAUUUAAAAAUUAGUAUGACAGUUAAGUAUAAUUAUUCUAUUAAUUUUCUAAAAUUAAUAUGAAUGAACUUGUAAGAUCAUCAUUAAUUUUUUAUUUAAAUUAUUCAUGCUUGCACGAAUUCAUUAUAAAGUUUAAAAAAAUAAACAUGCCAAGGCACAUGCAAGACGCUAGUUCAAAUUAAUGUUGUACACGUAUAGGAGUCACAAAAUCGGUUUGGUGCACUAGCAAACAGAAGGGGACAUCCAAAGUAUUGGGACAAGUUUUACAUUAAAGGGGGAGAUUUGUAAAGCAAUUGAGCGAAAACAAAUGAGGUUGAAGAAAAUUUUAUAUCAUUUGCAAUACAUUCAUAAAAGCUAUGACACAUUCGUUAAAAUAAGAAAUAUUUAUUAAUUUGGUGCAAUGUAAUAGCAAACCAAGGAAAAAAAAUAUGAAUGAUCCGUAAGAGGGAAAGAUGUCAUUUGACUUAAAAUAAAAGUGUGAUUGGAUAGAGGUUUAGUUGAACAAAAAAAUUAGAUUAAUGUCAUAGCACUUUUUGUUGCUUGAUAUAAUAUAUAUGAGAUAAAAUGAUGGCUGAUAAAAUUAAAAAAAUGAUUCAGGUAAAUAUAAAUAUUUUUUUUCAUAUAUUUGUGUAAUGAUGACAAUGACAGGGUGAAAACAGUGCAUGCAAAGAAUAAUAAUAAUGAUAACUCUUGUGAGAUGGAUAGCAAUUGCAAGUUGCACACCUUAGAUUGAAAGAUAAUAAAUAGGACGAUAAAAAGGGAGAAGAGAAAAUUGUGAAAAUAACCACGAAAGGGAGACUAUUUAGGUUUUCUCACGAGAAGGUUAAUCAGAGGGGGAGGUGAAGAGAAGGGGAGAUUGAUUGAUUGUAAAGCAAAUUAAGAAAGUAGGUAGGAGGCAAUCUUCUGAUUGAGAGAAAUUGUUAGAAACCUCAAGGGAGGUUUAUGAAAUUAUCCUAAAUAAUUGAUUUUCUAAAAAUUUUAAAGGAGAAAUAUCUAAAAGUAUCAGGUUCACAUGCAAAGCAUGUGCUCCCAUUACUAGUGAGAUAAAAAGGUAUGAUCGGAAAAUGUGAUCAUAGAAAACGUAAAAACUUUAAUCCAGAUAAAUAUUUAUACAAUCACUAAUUAGUUAUUGCUAUUAUUAUUGCUACUUUUUAUACUGUUAUAGAUAUAAGAGGAUUUACUUAUAUUGGCCUUCGAAGUCUUAUAGGCAUGGAAAUGUAGAAAUGCUUUUCUUGUAACAUAUCGCUGAGCUAUCAAGGAAAAUAUUUCAAGCCAAGAUGUGUAAGAUCGAUGUCACAUUGCUGCUUCGUGGAACAAUAUGCACAAGUACUAGUUCGCACGAAAGCAAUUUUGCAAGUAGACACCAUGUAAAAUGUCAGUUUGAUGGACUAAGGUUGACCUUAUAUGUUCCCAUUUAAUUCUUGUAAAAUUGAUUGCCAUAAUUUUAUCUUUCCAACGAUCCCGUCCACCAACUGGGAUCCUUUUUUGAAUACAAAAUUGUGCCUUAGCAAUUCAGUUUUCUAAAUUGCUCUCUGAUUAACAUAAAGUAGAAGGGCUCAAGCUGAUUGAUUCUUGUGCUCUGAGUCCUGUCCUGAGCUUUACAGAUACUAGGAGCAAUGGACAAGUAUCAUCGGACACAACCUGUAGUCAACUGCAGAACACUGAGAAAAAAUAUGUUGCCUGUUAUAGAGCUAAGAUACAACUUCAAGAAGGAUGCAAGCAUCUAUCAGGGUUCAGCUAAUCCACGUUUUCCUGCUACAAAAUACUGCUAGUUUGAACGAUGAGCAGUAUGGAAGAUAUGGCAAAUUGAGUUCCAAAAGAAGUAAAAUAGCACCUCAUUUAACAUAUCUACAAAUUGCUGAAUCGGUUGGACAGUUUAACAACACCAGACAGACAAGGAACUCAAUCCCGGAUGUUUUCAUCUGAUCUGACUGAAACAGGGUCUGGUUCAGCAAGGGAUCAUAGGACUUCAUUACAAAUGAUAGUAAGAGCGAGUUAUCAAGGUUAAUGUUGAUCUUUGAGUGUAAAAUCACUGCAAAACACAAAAACUCAAACUUAAGAAACUCGAGACAGCAUGCAGUCAAGAAUAAAGCCAGCACAUAGUUGCAUGACAUUUUUGUUGUAUUUGAAACACUAAAAUAAGAACUUACCAUGAAGAGAGAAGCAACCAACAAGUAUAGAAGGUGGGGUGAGCUUAAUAGCCUUCAUCACAGCAGAUGAAAUAAUUGCAGCAAGUAGCAGCAGCCAACAAGUACGCUUCAAAACUUGCAGCUUAGUCUUGAUUGUGUCAGAAGAUGCUAUAACAAGUCUGUGCAGCUUCACUGCAUGAGCAGUACAUCUUCCGUGGCUGCUCCCAAAAACAUUGUCAUUAUGAGAAGAUUUCUCAAGUUUUGGUUGUAAUAUGUUCAGAUUCAAAGUAGUUAAAAGUCAAAUUUGAGUAGUAAAAGAAGAGUAGUAUAUCUGAACUUACCGGACUCUUAGAACCAAACACCAAUUUGAUGACCAACAGCUCUGAAAAGUCCUGAAAUCUUUACUCCUAGAAAAUCAUAACCAAGGAAAAGCGAGACACAAACCCAUCAUCUACGAGACUUAUCGAACAAAUCACUAAUCAAAUGGUUCAAGAAGCUUGAUAUAUGCGCCUUCAAGAGGUGAUUAAACUCUGGAGCAACUAUUUACUCCCUCUAGAAUCAAGAGUUAGGGAGCUGAUCACUUUAGCAAUCACAUCUUACAUCCACAAAAGUAGAUAUAUAAAAUCAACAAAACGAAACUCCUAGUGCGUAUUUCAUAUUGAUGGGUAAAUUGUAGGAAAUGCAAACCAAAAAUUAAUUAAUACCAGCUAUAAAAAUCUAAUCUAGUUUCAUCUAGGGGAGAGAACACAAAAAUCUGCUUGUUAAGUGCAGGAGAAAGACGUGCAGUAGAGAAUUGCUGGUUUUAAGUCUCGUAGAAAAGGUUUCUAGAAUUGCUGCAUGUGAUAUCGAAUCUAAAACGUCCAAUGCAUUUUCAACAGGUGAAACUUCAGAGUGAGCAACCAUUUCAUCCUGGUGAAAUCACGAGUUUAAAGAGAGUGUGCUGAUGUUAGCAAACACAACGUACAAAGGACAGUAACUGCCAUUAGUGCAUUUCAUCCAAAACAUGAUUCAGUUCACCCAAGAAAAUCUCAUUCAUUUGCCAUGUUUGAUCUAGUACAGAAACAUGGUAUUGAAUUAAGCCUCCAUUUGCCAUGUUUGAUCUUUGUAUCAGCAAAUAAUAUGUGAUAGAACGUGAGCAAUACCAAUUUAACAUUAGAAAUUAACCAAAAAGACUGUUUAGUUCCAUUAAUUGAUAUGGAGCCGUGCAUGGCUUACUAGUGGAAAAGGUUACGAAAUAUUGUGCUUAUUCAUGAUGAAGAGAUUGAAAUGACUGACUCUGUAUCCAACUUGGCAGACCUAAUCUGUUGUUGCUUCAAUUAUCAGUUGAUAUACUUUCAAGGAAAGAGAGGAUUUUCAAAAGUGAAGGCGGUAAUUAGGAGUCAUCAGGGUUCCCGACUGAGCUUUAAGCCUACAGUCACUGCAAAACAGAAAACUCAAGACUCAGGACUUCACAUAGCAAAUCAUGAGGCUAACUGGAAAUUGCAUGACAUUUUUGUUUAGUCAAUUAUUCAGAAAGCCAAAUCAAUAUUUGUUUCUGUUGUGCUUUUCUAACCUAAAUCAGUAAGAAGAUAUCAAAUCUUUCUGCUCAAUCUACAAGUACCAGAAGUGCCAUAGAAACUAUUAGUUUUUGUUCAAAACACUGAAAAAUGAGAAGUUCUAUAACAAUAAUGAUAAUAAGCAGCACCCACAAGCAUGAAAGGUAGAGAGCUCUAGAAUUGCCAUGAAGGUGAACUCUUUGAGACAGCAAGAUGCAACGAGUAGAGCUAAUUACAACUCUUUGACUCUUAAAAUCUCAAAUCAUGGCAUUUGAACUUAAACUUUAGAAGAGGAUAGUCUACCAAGUCUCUGCUGCUUGAAAAAGUCUUAAACAUGAUAAUUUUUUAAAGGUUUUAAUUAGUGCAUUGGAUAUUAAACUUCUUAAAACCCAAUAUUAAGCAGAGGAAGAAGAUUAUUGGUAUUAUAGUCAGAGUCAGAGUCAUCGAUGAGGUUCCAUGUUUAGCUUUGUGCCUAAAACCACUGCAAAGCACAAAAACUCAAACUCAAGAUGGCGCUCAGGAUAGAAUAAAACGAAUGGAAAUUUUCAGAUAAUUGCAGGUUUUCUGUCAUUGUAACUAAAGCCCCAAAAGGAGAACUUACCAUAAAAAAAGAGGCAACCAACAAUCAUAAUAGCAGAGAGAGCUUAAAAGCCUUUAUCAAGGUGGAUUCAUUAACAGUAGCAAGUCGCAACAAGCAGGCUUGACCAACUACCGGAAUGCUUCAAAACAUUCCGCCUAGAGUUGUUCAGUUGGAAGAUACUCCACCAAGUUUUGUGCAACUUCAUUGCUCAAAUAGUACACACCUUCCUCGGCUACCUCAAAAAUAUCUUUGUGACAACAAGAUUUCUUUUGUUUUAUAUGUAAUAUAUUAGAUAUUAAAGUGGUAAAAAGUAAAAAUUGAGUAGUGAAAGAAGAGAAGCAUAUCUAAAAUUACCAGAAAUUUUGAACCAAAACAUGAAAGUAAUGACCAACACCUGCGAAAACGCCUCAAUUGACCAUUGUCUUCAUGGCUCAAAAGCCAAAAUCAAGGAAAAGUGACCAGAAAAACAUCAUAUAUGACUCUGAUAGAGUAUGCAAGUUCAUUAUCAAGAGGUAAAAGUUCAGUCCCCUUAGAAUCACAAUUUUAAACAGUCAGAUGACUUUAGCAAUAAUAACUUCAAAUCUACAGAAGCAGAGCACGUAAAUAGACUGCUAGUUGUUGUAAACGUUGAGGAAAUGCAGGCCAAAAGUUAUUGAGGUCUAGCCAUAUAGAUGGUGCUGAAGAAGCUUCAAAAUUCUAACCUCUGUUCAUGAAGCUAUUCUUCUAUCAAUCCUACAAAAACAAAGCAUAGAACAGAAUAUGAACAGAGAUACAGUAAAACAUCAAAGCACGAAACAGGAUAGGUGCUUGGGGUCAUUCUAAUUGAUAGUUACAAGAGUAUUACUAUUAUGUUGUAAGGAGUAAAUGAGGAGGACGAUAAAGAAAUGCUAAUGCCGCAGCUUUGAAAGAUAAUAAAUAGGACGAUAAAAAGGGAGAAGAGAAAAUUGUGAAAAUAACCAUGGAGACUUUUUAGGUUUUCUCACGAGAAGGUUAAUCAGAGGGGGAGGUGAAGAGAAGGGGAGAUUGAUUGUAAAGCAAAUUAAGAAAGAGGUUAUUGAAGGCAAUCUUACAUGAUUGAAUUUGAUCCAAAGAUGAAAGUUGGUUAUUAAUCAACUUAUGCAUAGGUCUUGAAUGUGAGAAACUUUGGACCACUGGGAGUCGGGGCCGCUGCUCUCAGGAGUGCAUCUUUCUUUUAACAGAGGAGAACCAUAAACCUCCAGACGUUUUAGUUUGGUGAGACUUCUCAUGGCAUCCUCAGAGGGUAGAUGUCCAAGCUCCGUGAAAUGCCGUAAAUGCGGGAAUUCAAGAGCAGCGAAGUUUCCGAACCAAUCUGGCAGAGCUUUUAUACCUCCAAAGUCGCGUAGCCAUAGUGACGUCAGAGUGGUCAAGUAUUGGAUCCGAUGUGGCAGGGACUCCAUGUGUGGCAACCCAAUUAAUGCUAAUUCAUGGAGUGUGGAUGACGAAGAGGAGGAGGAGGAUAUCAAUCCAGACCAAUCAAACUCAUUGUAAAUUGAAGAAUUUUCAUGAUCAUCACCAUCAUCUGAGAAGGGACCAAUUACAAGCUCCCUUAAGCUGGUUAGGAAACCAAAUCCUCUGGGCGUCAUGCUUGUUUUCAGUUUGGAACACCUGUAUAAUUCCAGCUCCAAGAGAGAAGGCGUUUGUUGCAAAUCAAGCGGAAAGGAGAUAAGAUUGCGGCAACCAAUCACCCGAAGCUUCUGGAGAGAGGCACAAGAGUGCAGUAUGUCACCUGGCAGAUUCGUCAACCCAUCGCAAGCAUAAAUCUCCAGCUGCUUAAGAGACGCAAAGUUUUGCAGGGGAAGGAGUUCUCUGCAUCUGUUGCAGAAAUUAAAUGCCAAACGUGCUAACUUGGGGGGUGUUGUUGCUGACUUGGGGAGUGUUGUCGUCGUUGGCAAAUCCAUUAACCAUGAGGAAAUUGAUCGCCCAUAAAAUUCCAAAUUACCAACUCCUCCAAAUUUGGGUGGGGUCGAAGGCCAUCUAACACAUCUUCGUCAUUGUAGUCGUCGCCUUCUCGUUCACAGGCCCACUGAAGUACCAGGCCAAAUAGAUUUGCCUUUUCAGAUAGUUUUGCUUCCUCAGCUCCUUCCUUACCCUUUACUAGUUCCAGAUUGCGUAUCUCCAAUUUGCCUUUGAGGUUCUUCAAGCUUCCAAGCUCUUCAAUUUGUCGACCCUUCUCUCGACCCACAUUAAAGAACUCUAGCGUCUGAAGGCAAGUAAGUCGUCCCAUCUCUAGCGGCAUUUGAAAGUCAUUAUCACUUAUGUCAUAGUGGAGAUGUCUCAAGCUAAUCAAAUCGCGUAUCCCCUUCGGAAGAUCUUUAACUUUUGAGUAACUUAGCGUCAAUGUCUGCAGAUUAUAAAGCUUGCAAAGGGAGUCCGGCAAAAUGCCGAUUGCAGACCGCUUAAGGUUAACAUACCGCAAAUGUAUUAGUUUGCCAAUUGAGACUGGAAGCUCUUCAGUUGUUGUAUAAGACAAAUUCAAAACAUACAAGUUCUUCAACUUCAUUAACAUAUCGCCAGAUAAGUCAACAUUUACAAACAAUGUAUGAAGCGAAGUUGAUAGACUCUCCAAAAGUUUAUCUCUGUCUUCUCCACCACCAAAUGAGUCUAUUGCAAGGUAACGAAUCUGAUCACCAUUGUCUACUAUACAUGUAUCCCUAUCAUUAAUGACUUUGGUAGACUUUGACAUUGACUCUGAAAGGUCAUGCACUAGAUCAUGCAUCUGAUAACAUGUUUUUGACGGAUAAUCUGAUUCAUCAAUUAUUUCUUCAAACAAUGAACUCUGCAAUAAAAUUCUCAAAUAAUUCAUACCAAUUUCCUCCAUCAUCGUUUGGCUUUUGACAUCUGUUUGAAGGAAACCUUCUCCCAUCCAAAGUUCGAUAAGCAUAUUCCUUUCUAUCUUACUAUCCUUAGGAAAUAUACAACAAUAUGCAAAACAUUUCUUAAUGUAUGGAGAUGGCAAAUUAUCAAAACUCAACUUAAGUAUUUGCAUCACGUGAUCUCCACCUGCACUCAAACUCAAAAGCCUAUUCUCCAAAAUUGAUCGCCACUCCUUUUUUCUCUUUAAACGUAACAGACCUCCUAUUACACUUGCAGCCAAUGGUAGACCAUCACAUCUUUUGAUUACUCUCUCCUUAAUUGCUUGUAGUUCAUCAGGUACUUCUCCCCCUCCAACCAGGGGCGGAGCCAGAAAAAAAUUUUAGUGGGGGCAAAAAUAACAUCAAAAUUUUUUAUCUACUCUUUUUCUAAUUUUUUAAGCAAAAAAAUAAUAAAUUCACCAACAAGUAUAAAUGGGGGAAGAAAGAAGAGCCGUCGGUUGUGAAGGGAAAAUGGGGACCAGAGGAGGAAAGGGAAUUGGGGAGUGGGGACCAAAAGAAAAGACUGAUAUAAUUGAUACUUGGCUCUGUUGGGGGAAAAAAUGGGAGACCAGGGGAGGAAAGUGAAUGAUAUAAAAUUUGUGAUCUAUUUUUUCACAUUUGUUCUAAAAAAACUCUGGGGGCACCUUUACGAUUAUAUCAAAAUUGUAUAACUAUUAUACAAAUUUGAGGGGAGGCAGUGGGGGCCCAUGCCCCCAGUGCCCCCACCUUAAAUCCGCCCCUGCCUCCAACUACUUUUUCUUUUAGGAUAGACCAACAAUGAUCAUCAGGUAGCCUUCCUAAGGCAUAGGCUUCAUCAUCCAUCAUCAAAGCUCCAGACACAAUAUCUGCCACCUGACCAAUACGAGUAGUGACAAGACACUAGCUUCCAUUGGUUGGAUUGAGUCCCCUCAAGGUGGUGAAAAAGUCAUCCCACAAUGCCUGAUCAUCAUCCCACACAUCAUCAAGAACUAGGAAAUAUCUUUUUCCCCCAAGUUGAUUCCCAAUUUUUCCAACGAUGACAUUCCUAUCUUCCACUUCAACCUUUUCUUCCACUUCAACCUUUUUUUCCGUCAAUUGCAAUAAAAUGAGUUUGAAAAGAUCCAGUAUCGGAGCUUUUUUUGAUACACAAACCCAAAUUUUUUUGUUAAAGUGCUCAUCAAUUUGCUUGUUGUUGUAUAUCGAUUUAGCCAAAGUUGUUUUGCCUAGACCUCUCAUACCAGUUAUGGGAAGACCAGAAAGAACCUUCUCAGAUGGGCUCAACAGCAUCUUCACUAUCUUUGAUUCAUCAUCGGCUCUUCCAAUCAUUGGAGCAACAACAGAGUCGGUCUGCCGAUUUCUUUUGUCUCCAGCAUCAGCAGCAGCAGGGAGGGCAGCUGCCAUGACUGCUCUCUCGAACAGUCCCAAAUCACUGGCUCCUUGGUUGAUCUCAUUCAGCUUAAGUUUGAUGCCCCUGACCUUAGAAGCCAUUCUCCAACGGAAAGCAAGAUUAGUGUUAGAGAAGGAGAAGAAGCAGCAUACCUUUCGCUUGUGCUGGUUCCGGGACUCCACCUUGCAACCAAGAGAUUCGUAGUUGAGCUCAUCCAACACGUUGUCAGCAUCAUAAGCAACCUCCUCGAGACUCUUCAGCCAUUCUUGCACUCCCCGGUCCUGGUUUUGUUGCCUUUCCUCAGCAUCAGCCAAGAGAGCAUUGAUAAAGCGAAGAGAUCGAGUCAUGCUGGCCACAUCCUUCUUGAACCCAACUAACAUACCAAUCCUGUCAGUGGCAAGAGAUACUGCCGUCUCCAAGGCAACCUGAAUAGUGGCACUAAUGACGGGGUCGGCCAUUUUCCUGUCCUUGUAUGGGGCUUAAUUGCUAGGAUGCUUUGUUGAUAUCAGAUUGGUGAUUUCCUUGUAUGUAUGUAGCUUGCUAGGAUGCUUUUUCCUAUCAGAUAAUAAAGAUGGGGAUGGACAAAAGGGUAGAGGCUUUCAUCAAAGUUUUGGUGAGAACCGAUUUAUUUAUUUAUUUUUCAAAUUUAGAAUGGGAUCGUGGGUUCCCGGUGGUAUGAACGGAAGUAUGGUGGAGCCACUAAGAGAGUUAUGUAAUUUAAUCCAAUUUAUAAAGGGAGCCACAUGCUUCUUCCUCGGUUUUAGUUAAUUACAUUGUUGCAGCUAGUGCUUCAGUUCACGCUAAUGCCAGGCCAGGCCCUUGGGUUGCUGAAAAUAUGUCUAAUCCUUGAUUUUAUUUAUUUUUUUAAAAAAGAAAUCCUGGAAAAAAUCGUGGAAGGCACAUGCAGUACAAGUUACAACUAACAUUUCCAUCUAAAAUAUUACUAACAAUAAAACUACUAGAAAAGUAGUACAUAGAACUGGAUGGGACGCGUUUGCGUCUCAAUUGUUAUUAUAUUACUACUAGAAAAACUUUGAAGAAUCUCAAUUAUUGCACCUGCACCAACAACAAGUGUGUCAAGAAAAAAAAAAUCUAAAGAAAUGAUCCAAUGAGGUUUCACGAUCUGCCAUUUUUGUUCCUUUGAAACGAUAAGAGUGAGUCUUCUCUAAUAUUAGCUCGAUUUUAAAUAUUUUUAAUAAUUAUUAUUGCAUGCUUUUCUCUAAUUUUUUUUCAUUUAUUAAAGUGAAAUGUUCAAUUUAUCUAUUUUAAAAUACAGAUAAUUUCACAAUCUUCCCCUGAGAAUUUUGACAAUUUUAUUGAGCUUCUUCAAAGUUUUUAUGACUUACACUUACCUAGAGCUGUUAAACGAACCGAGCUGUUCUGUAGCUCGGUUCGUUUCGAAUCAUUCGUGUUCGUGAAAGGCUCGUUCGAAACCUUAAACGAACCGAGUUCGAACGAAUUUUUUUGUUCAAUUAAUAAUCGAGCGAACACGAGCAUGUUCGCGAACAUGAACAUAAUUAUCAUUUGACAAAUUUUAGGGUUAAUUUUAUAGCUGGACUUUUAUAUUUGGAGGGCAAAUUACUUUGUUUUAUUUGUUGUUUUUAUGUUAAUGUUAGUUAUAUAGUUAAUAAAUAAUAGAAUUUAGUCACUUAGUGCUUUAAUUGUUUUUGAGAAUGAGUAAUGAUUUGCAUGGCAUAUUUAAGGCUUAAAAUAAUUUGGAUUCGAGCAUUUCGAUCAUGUUCGCGAAUGGCUCGUUUAUGUUAUACGAGUUGAAUACGAACUCGAACUCGAACACGAAUUUUGCUUAACGAUCUGAACACGAACACAGGUUUGGAGUUCGAAAAUUAACGAACGAAUACGAACGUUGUUCGAAUCGCUUAACGAACAGAGUUCAAACAUGAGAUACUCGGUUCGAUUCGGUUCGUUUAUAACUCUACACUUACCUCCUUUAUCCAUAUAAAAGGACAAUACCAAUGUUAACAUUUUAAUAAAACUCCCGUAUUGGGUGUGCAUAUACAAAGAAUGGGAUUUGUAAUUAUUUUUUGUUUUCUUUUUCCUUUUCUCUUCUUAUUCCUUCUUUUUAUAUUUUUGCUAGCGAAACCAUAGGAAAAUAUAAUCACCGACUCUAAAUGUUGAAUUAGUGACUUUUUUUUUAACAACUUUGAAUGCCAUCCAAUUUUUAUUUGUAAAAAAAGAAAUGGUCAAAACUACUUGUACCAAAAUGUGGUAAUUCCAUCAAUCUAAAAAUUCACAAACCUUAAAAGAGUAUGACGACAAUAAUUUCAUCUCCAAUUUAGAAAGAAAAUGUAUCCCCUGUAAAGUACCUUGAAAAGCAUUCUAUCAUAAGGAUUUGGUAUUGAAAACUUGACACUCUUUUCUUAUAUUUGUGCUAAGAAUUGCUUUGCAAAGUAAUUAAAGUUUAUAAUCUAAGGGUAUUUGUUGACAAAAUUUAAACCAAGCUAUUUAUAAGUUUAUAUAGUAGUUUUAGAACUAGAUUUAGUAGAUAGUAACUAGAUUAAAAUUGGUAUCAAACUUGGUUUAGAAAAUAGAAUUGAGCUAUAUUUGGGUAUUAGAGUUAGAAUAGAUUUAGUAAUAUAUGUAUCUAUAUGAGAACUUGGAGGAGUCGUACAUUUAUAAUUGGGGAAAAUUAGCAUCAAGAGAAUAAAAUUCUAAAUCCUCCCUGCCUACUUGUUCGUUCGUUAUUUAUACUUCUUUGUUCAUACUUGAGAUUUUGUCCAUUGUUUUUUUUUUUUUAGUUGCUAACAUUAUUGACAGUUUGAAGGCCCAUAUUCACAGCAACAAAUCACAAGCUUAGGCCAGCGGAGACAGAGAGUGUCAAAGGAGAUUGCCAUGAUGUAUUAUUUCAACAAGGAAUCCAAGGAUUUUCAAAUGUAAAAAAAUACUGGAAAAAAUGGUAUGUACAAGUACAACUGGCAUUUCCACCCAGAAUAUAGAAGUGGAUGGCUCAACUCUCAAUGCUGCGACGUUGCUUGAUCUCAAUGCCGAUUUAUUUAUUUAUUAAAUUAAGAAUGGGACCGUGGGUUGCAGGUGGUAUUAACUGAAGUAAGGAUGAAGCCACAUGCAUGCUUCUUCCUCGAAUUUUACAGCUUAUUGACAGAUUGAAGGCCCAUACAUAUUCCAGCCACGAAUCACAAGCUUAGGCCAGCAGAGACAGAGAGAAUCGAAGGAGAUCGUCGUCAUGAUUCAUUGCAACAAGGAUUUUCAAAUGUAAAGGCAGUAAGUAGGAGUCAACAAUGUUUCCCAUUGAGCUUUAAACCAAAUGUCUAUGCAAUACAAAACCACUCACAACUCAGGACACCAUAGAGCAAAUGAUAAGGCUAACUGGAAAAUGACAUGACAUUUUUGUUCAGUCAAUCAAUUAUUCACAAAGAUAAAUCAAUAGUCGUUGUUCUUGUGCUUUUCUAUCCUGGGAUUAGUAAGCAGAUACCGAUUCUUUCUACUCAGACUGACUAGAGAGAAAAACUGGACGAAGAUGGAGGAGGACAAAAGAAAAGGGUUGAGGUUUUGGUCAAAGCUUCUUUUUUUCCCCACCUUACUUGGUGUGAAUUAUGAAGCCACUUGCUUAAUUAUUCACAAAGCUAAAUCAAUAGUUUUCUCUUGGAUAUUAAGAAAGACAUGUUGCUACAUAAACAAUUUUUUUUUUUUUACUUGGAUAUGAAUUAUGAAGCCACAUGCAUGCUUCUUCCUCGAAUCUUGCUUGGUUUUAGUUAAUUAUGAUUACAAAGACUACUUAGUUUACGGUAAUGCUGGGGCCUUGGGAUGCUCAAAAAGUCUAAUCCUUGGUAUUUAAAAAAAUGCUGAAAAAAAGGUAGGUACAGAAAAACUGGCAUUUCCGCCUAAAAUAUUAGCAAUAACAAUAGUAGAAAAAUUAUAGAAGUGGAUGGCUCGGGUUUGAGUUCCCAAGCUCUCAAUUGCUAUAUUAGGGCGGCUUUGCUUUCUCAAUUAUUGCACCUAAAACACCAACAAGUGCGUGCAGAAAACAUCUAAAGAAAUUGUUGCAUCUGCUGCAAGAAGAGGUUUUCUUCAGCGUAGAAGAAGAGUGCGCUUCUUUUGACAAACUUGAAUGCAUUUUCCACCAAAACUGAUUGGCGUUUUACUAGAAUGUUUCUAAAUCAAUGCUGGAUUUUUAUUUUUUUUGUUCUUUAUUACCUUUUUUUUUUUGGAAAAAUCAUUUAACAUGUACCUUACAUUUCGUUAGAUAAAUUAUUUAAAAUAUUGAUUUUAGGUUUCUUACAAAAUCAAGGCAGCUAAAUUUAGUCCCAACUUAAAUUUUUUAUCACUAAGUACACGAAGUGAUCCACGUGCGGUCAUUGUUUUAGGUGCAAAAUCUAUAUUUUUUCCAAAACUAAAAGAAACUUCAAAAAACUGGAAAAAUAUUAAUAAGGGGGAUUGAGAUGUAAGAAACAUUUAAGAAUCGAAAGUUUAAAAGUUAGGACCUUAAUUCUGAUAGUCUCGACUUUAACUAAUUGAUCAAGCCCUUUUCCCCACAUAGAGGCUAUCAUUUCUAGGCAUUAAUGUGAUUUCAUUAAAUUUUUCUUAAACAUUUUAUACAUUCAUCUUGGGGAGCAAAGUGCAUAUAUGUUAAGUUCAAAUGGAUAAAGUAUUACUUAUGUCUCACUCCCAAGGCCGAGAUGUCAUCAAAGUGUAAUGAACCCUUGAAUUCAUUCAUCAUUUCUCUUUAUUCACAACAAGAAGUCACAAGCUUUGGCCAGUUGAGACAGAAAAUUAAAAAACAGUGUCGUGAUGUGGUUCAGCUAAGAUCAAAUGAAUUUCAAAAGUUAAGGCAGUCGUUAGGGGCCAACAAGGUUUCCCAUUGAACUUUUUAAGCCAAAAGUCACUGCAAAACAGAACCCUCAAACUAAGGACACCAUAUAUAGCAAACCAUAAAGCUAACUGGAAAUUGCAUGACACUGUUUAGUCAAUUGUUCAGAAAGCUGAAUCAAUAUCCAUCACGAACCAAUGCUCAAUUUGUUAAUCUUGAAUGUUGCUUGGUCUAGUAAAUUAAUAUUAAUAUUCCAGCGAGUACUUAAUUUCGGCUAAUGCUGGAGGGGUGGAGGGGCUGGGGUUGUUUAAAAGGUCUACUCCUUGAUAUUUAAAAAAUACUGGAAAAAAUGGUGGGUACAGCUAACAUUUCCAGCUAAAAUAUUAACAACAAUACUAGCAGGAGAAAAUAUACAUAGAAAUGGAUGGGUCAUGUUAUAUUAGGGCAGCUUGGCCAUCUCAAUUAUUAGCACUGCACCAACAAGUGUAUACAUAGAAAUCCUAAAUAAAUUAUCCAAUGAGGCUUUCUCAGCUUAGAAAAAGAGCACUGCUUCUUUGGGCAAACUUGCAAAUGCAUUUUCCACCAAAGUUCCUUGGCGUUUCACUUGAAAGUUUCUAAGUCAGAGCUGGGUUUUUCUUCUGUUUCUUUUUUUUUUUGAUAGAGCGGUUAUUUGGCACAUUUUGCACUGUUAUUUUGUCCUAAUUUUGGCUACUUACUGUGCUAAGUAUUGGGGUUUAACUCAUAUUUCAUAUUUGUAUGAAUUAUAGAUGAUUGGCGUUAAAAAUAAUCCCUUGAGGCAAAUUUCCAGAAGACCCUUUAUCUCAGGAUGUGCCCACGCCAGAAAAGGUAGAUGUUACCGAAAAGCCGGAUCCGCGGGACCAACAGCAGGAGACCCAAUUAAAGAACCCGGUCUACGUGGACCAGAUGCGUGAGAUCAGAGCCCUUGGACAAAAAGCCUUGUUCCUAAUGCUUUUCUCCUGCGGCGGCUAUAAAAGAACAGAAAAGCAGAUCCAUGUUACAUCACUACAUUAGUUUUUAGUUUUCCACAUUUCACAGCGGUCAGACGCUUUCCUUUCUCUGAUCGGCAGCAAUUGGGAGAAGCCGGAUCAUGUGGGCUUAGGAGUUCACUUUUUCAAUUCUUCCCUGUAGACACUUUUGACGUUCGCUUUUGAUUUGCUACGAUUUUCCAUCGCUUUUAUCCCUUUUCUUGACUCUGCUCCAGUAGGGACCCAAUAUAAGAAAAGGAACUAAGGGAAUUUCUCAUUUGUUCCUUUGUUAAUUCGUCUUGCUCAACUCCUUGGAAUUAAUUGUUUGGCAAUUGUGCGGAUGAAAUCAAUCAACUCACGUGAGCUUGACAUGAUGAGGAACGGCUAAUUUUCUCCUCUACCUAAAGGUUGACGUGAGGGCACGAUCCAUAAUAUCUGUGAGAUCUAAUCGAAUCUUCAUUAUUUCUUCCAAUUUAUUGCUAUUCGUGUGUUUCCUGAAUUAAUUGUUCUUGGGUAUUUUAUUAAUUGAAUAUCAACGGCCGGGUAUUUGAUUUAAUUUAAUAGCCUACUGUCAUAUUAACUAAAUUGAAUCCGUAAUUGUUCGUUUAAUCGAUACCUAGUGACAACCACCAUAAUUGGAUUUAUGUUGGGGAAACGUAAGAUCUAGUUUAAAUAAACCCUCUUAGCGUGUUUAUUAGUUAGGGUUGGGUUCUUCUAGUUUCAAUGCAAUUGGGUAAUUAAAUUCCUACGGUCGUACCUAGGGUUGUUAUCUGGUUAGAGAAGCAGUCAAUGGUCGUACCUUGACUGUCGAAAAAGUAAGGAAGAACUGGUUGUCAGAGCUUGUUGAUAACUAUAACCAACUUAGUGAUGAAUGGAUGAAAUAUUUUUGCAUCGAUGAUCAUUUAAUUGGACCGUGCCUGAGUAGUUGAUCCUUUGGGUAGAAUUUUAUUAAUUGCUAUUUUUAAUAAAUUGUACUUGUGGAGUUAUCGUUUGAAUUUUAUUUAUUUUAUUUUAUUUUCAGUUUCAUCCUAAUAAUCAUCCCCCAUUUUAUUGAUUUGGAAAGAAAUAAUUUCCUACCCGCUCCCUGUGGAAUCGAUCCUACUUGCCAUUGUAUGCAAAAUUAAUAUUUGUAUAGACAAAUCUGGUAUAUCGGAUCAAGCAAACUCUUCGGGAAUAGGGUGAAUCAAGUAACCCAUUGCACACCUAGAGUCCCUGCUCCAAUACUCGGAUUUGUUCUAUAAUUAAUUGUGGUGGUAAUUAGGACUUUUUAGUAUUUAUUAUUGCACAGGUUCGGCACCUGUCAAUUUUUGGCGCCGUUGCCGGGGACUGGUGCCUGAUUAAUUUGUUUCUUUUUGAGUUCAUCUUGUUUUUAUUUUUAUAUUUAUUAUUUCUUUUAUUUUUCUCUUAUUUUUUUUAUAUAUAGUUUAUGGCUGCUAAUAUUCUGUAUUUUGGUGAUAGACUGAAUUUUAUUUCUAGAAAGGGUUAUGAGGCUUGUGCUUUUUCUAAUGAUCAAUGGGCUGCUGCAAAUUGUGGAACUUAUUUUGUCUCAAAUCAUUCAAUCGACAUAUGCCCUGCAUUUCAAGAUGUCUAAGUGAUCCAAUAGAUACUUUUGGAAAUUUUUUGCCUCAAUAUUAAACAUGGUAUGACCCUUAUUCAAACGGGUAUGAUCAAGGAUGGUGGGAUGAUUCCAAUUUUAAUUAUGAACAAAGACCAAUAGAUUUUCAACAGCUAGAGUUUUAAGAACCGUCAUCCAUGUCAGGUAUGUCUCUUGAAGAAAUAGUUGAAUCACUAGCUACUAACACAUAUCUACUUCAACAGGAGACAAUGAAUCUUCAUCAGCAGACAAUAGAUUUUCAUCAGGAGACACAAGCGAGCAUGCGUAACCUGGCAGAUCAAAUGGAUCAAUUGACAUCUAGGAUAACGCAAUUGACUUCUCAAAUAAGUGAAGAAUUGCCCUCACAGACUAUUAUCGACCAUGAGGAAGAUGAAAGUGCAAUUAUCCUGACAAAUGACAUGGUACUGCGAGGAUCUCAAGAAGAAGGAUCUAAAGAUGCAGUUGAAAAGAAAGUUGAAGUGCAAGACAUGAGACUCCAAUAUCAAAUUGUUCAAAUGAAUGAAUCCAGUGAACAAUCUCCAAAUGCGGUGACAUCUCCUCUAGUUCUUAAUCAAUAUUUACCUAACUCUUAUUCUUCAAUUCCUGUUAGUGAAAUUGAUUUUAUUAUACCAGAAAAUUUUGAGUUUCAUGACAGGGAUAAGUUAAGAGCCGCGAUGGAAAAAUAUCUCGAACCAAUAAGCGCUCAUGAUGGAGGAGUGAGUGAAGAUUUAAGGUCAUCAUUUCUUUGUUUGGCGCCAUCGACUAAUCUAUGGAAGACCAUACCUCUUGUGCUAAAGGAUUACUCUAUUUACGAAGGAUAUCAAGGAUACAUAGAAGAUGAAGCACUGAGACGAGUUACAUGAUUUUAUCCUCCGUGAAUAAACAUGACGAUGUCUAGCCAAAGACAUUAAAGAAAGGCGCUGCUUGGGAGGCAACCCAAGGCUUCUUUUGUUUUAGUUUUCUUAUAUUUUUGAAGUUUUUGUUAAGUGUUAGUGUCAUUUAGUGGGUUGUUAUUUUGUGACGGAAGUUGGCAUUAGACAUGCCCACGUUAGGUCGUCACACCUUAGGAAUGGAGUUUUGGAAUUGACGGUCAGAAGACUAUAACUUCCAAGGCGUGCCCACGCCUUCCAACCCUUCCGAAAACGAAAGUCAAAAAGAGAAAAAAAAAAAAUUUUCUCCUAGCCCCACUUUUCUACUUUUUUUUUUAUCCUGUCUUGUCUAAUCCCUUUUCACUUUGUUUUAGUUUCAGUCUUCUCCUUCCUGUUCGUGUUGCGUCCGUCGCCGCCUCACCCUCCUCCGCCUUAGUGUCUCGUUUUCCCUCCCCGGUGGUCAGAAAAGUUUCUCUUCUUUUCUCCUAAUAUUUCAUUUAUCUUUGCUACAUUGAGAACAAUGUAGGUUUUAAGUGUAGAGGGGACGGCUUUUAUUAUUUGUUUUUGCUUUGUUAAAAAAAAAACAAAAAAAAAUGAAAAAAAAGGAGAAAAAGGAAAAUAGUGUAGUUAGCUGACUUCUUUGCUGUGAUGAAUGACAUAAUCAAGGUGCGUGGGUAUGUGGGUAAAUAUACUAGCUAUGCAUUUUAUUUUCCCUUGGCAGUGUUGUUGAGUGUUGAAUACGCUGGACUUGACCCAUUCUUGAAACUUUUGGGAGCUUUUGAGCCAUGCAUGAGCACAUUAUUCUUGUUUGCUCUAUUUUUGUUUCAUUGAGUGGGUAUCACACAUGGUAUCGGCAUUCUAGAACUUGUUAUUUUAUACAUGUCGAGACCACAUUUUGUUAAACUGGAUGCAUUUGAAAUGAUAAGGGCAUUUAGGAUUUGACCUUCUUUAACUUUCUACAAACCAUGCCUUCAUCUCGUUUCCCAAUAGUGAACCAAUUUGAGCUUUUAUCCCUCUCUUUGUUUGUUAGCCGUGUUGGAUAACUCAUGACCUUUUUAGACUUUCUUGUUCAACCUUGUGUCAUUAAGGGAUGUCUGAAAUUCAUUACUUGUGCAACGCAAAUGAAUCUAUGGGCGCAAGUGUUGUCAAAAAGAUGUUGUAUGGUGCUGUUUCUGUACAUCUGAGAUCGAAAGAAAAGCGAAAAAAAAUAGGGGGAGAAAUCGGCAAAAAGCUGGUGAGCAGAAGACUAUGUCUUCCAGGGCGUGCCCACGCCUUGCUAGAUGUCCUCUUCUAAAAAAAAAAAAAAAGAGGAACGAGUUUCGACACUUGCAUAGUGAAAACAACGAAUGGAAACACCCGACUUGAGAAAUUGCCCCGAUAAAGCAUUGUGGUUAUAUAGUGGAUAUUGGACAUUCUCUUGACACAUUACACCAUAUUUUUACCUUCUUAUCCCGCCUUUUACCUAAAUCUCAUUACAACCCUAUUAAAGUCCCUUUGAUUUGUGUAUUUAGUUCACUUUCGAAUGGUGGAGAUGUGAUAAAUGUGCAAGUUUAUGGUAAUGCCAUUCCGUGAUGUUGAUUUGAGCGCUCCUAGUAUUCAUAUAUAUUUUCUUUGAAUCACAACCUGUCCGAUGUGUUUUAAUUUUGGUGAUAUUGUCAGGGAUCUGAAAUGCUUGUGUUAGUAUAGACUACUGCAUGACCUCUGCUCUCUUUGUUGUACUUCUGAGCUCCGAAAUGCUUGAGGACAAGCAUUGUCUAGGUGUGGGGGGAUUUGAUAGAGCGGUUAUUUGGCACAUUUUGCACUGUUAUUUAGUCCUAAUUUUGGCUACUUACUGUGCUAAGUAUUGGGGUUUAACUCAUAUUUCAUAUUUAUAUGAAUUAUAGAUGAUUGGCGUUAAAAAUAAUCCCUUGAGGCAAAUUUCCAGAAGACCCUUCAUCUCAGGGCGUGCCCACGCCAGAAAAGGUAGAUGUUAUCGAAAAGCCGGAUCCGCGGGACCAACAGCAGGAGACCCAAUUAAAGAAUCCGGUCUACGUGGACCAGAUGUGUGAGAUCAGAGCCCUUGGACAAAAAGCCUUGUUCCUAAUGCUUUUCUCCUGCGGCGGCUAUAAAAGAACAGAAAAGCAGAUCCAUGUUACAUCACUACAUUAGUUUUUAGUUUUCCACAUUCCACAGCGGUCAGACGCUUUUCUUUCUCUGAUCGGCAGCAAUUGGGAGAAGCCGGAUCAUGUGGGCUUAGGAGUUCACUUUUUCAAUUCUUCCCUGUAGACACUUUUGACGUUCGCUUUUGAUUUGCUACGAUUUUCCAUCGCUUUUAUCCCUUUUCUUGACUCUGCUCCAGUAGGGACCCAAUAUAAGAAAAGGAACUAAGGGAAUUUCUCAUUUGUUCCUUUGUUAAUUCGUCUUGCUCAACUCCUUGGAAUUAAUUGUUUGGCAAUUGUGCGGAUGAAAUCAAUCAACUCAUGUGAGCUUGACAUGAUGAGGAGCGGCUAAUUUUCUCCUCUGCCCAAAGGUUGACGUGAGGGCACGGUCCAUAAUAUCUGUGAGAUCUAAUCGAAUCUUCAUUAUUUCUUCCAAUUUGUUGCUAUUCGUGCGUUUCCUGAAUUAAUUGUUCAUGGGUAUUUUAUUAAUUGAAUAUCAACGGCCGGGUAUUUGAUUUAAUUUAAUAGCCUACUGUUAUAUUAACUAAAUUGAAUCUGUAAUUGUUCGUUUAGUCGAUACCUAGUGAUAACCACCAUAAUUGGGUUUAUGUUAGGGAAACGUAAGAUCUAGCUUAAAUAAACCCUCUUAGCGUGUUUAUUAGUUAGGGUUGGGUUCUUCUAGUUUCAAUGCAAUUGGGUAAUUAAAUUCCUACGGUCAUACUUAGGGUUGUUAUCUGGUUAGAGAAGCAGUCAAUGGUCGUACCUUGACUGUCGAAAAAGUAAGGAAGAACUGGUUGUCAGAGCUUGUUGAUAACUAUAACCAACUUAGUGAUGAAUGAAUGAAAUAUUUUUGCAUCGAUGAUCAUUUAAUUGGACCGUGCCUGAGUAGUUGAUCCUUUGGGUAGAAUUUUAUUAAUUGCUAUUUUUAAUAAAUUGUACUUGUGGAGUUAUCGUUUGAAUUUUAUUUAUUUUAUUUUAUUUUCAGUUUCAUCCUAAUAAUCAUCCCCCAUUUUAUUGAUUUGGAAAGGAAUAAUUUCCUACCCGCUCCCUGUGAAAUCGACCCUACUUGCCAUUGUACGCAAAUUUAAUAUUUGUAUAGACAAAUCUGGUAUAUCGGAUCAAGCAAACUCUUCGGGAACAGGGUGAAUCAAGUAACCCAUUGCAUACCUAGGGUCCUUGCUCCAGUACUCGGAUUUGUUCUAUAAUUAAUUGUGGUGGUAAUUAGGACUUUUUAGUAUUUAUUAUUGCACAGGUUCGGCACCUGUCAAUUUUCUUUCUCGAAUUGUUUGCUUGUUUUGUUCUUGAAUGUCGAGCCUUCGAUUGUGGAAAAAUAGGUUCAAGAUUAAUUAAUCAUUUUUUAAAAGAAGCUGAGAAACAAAAUUGCGUCUUUGCUUGAUCAUUGGUGUAAACUUGAAACAUAGAUUUAUUCGUUUUGAAGGGGACCAUAUAUAGUGAGUAAAAUUCCAGCACCUGGAUUUCAUAAUCAAAGACUCGAGCGUUUUGGUGAUUCUUGGAGUAGAAAUCAAAGGAAAAAGUAUUACUUCGAUCCUUAAUUAAACUAAGUACAAUUAUCCUGAUUUGUGAGAAAUUUUAAGUGGCAUAGCACAAAUGUUCAAAUCCAAUGUUCCGCCUCAACUUCCAAUUAAUAGUAACUUGUCAUGUCCUUUGUAUGCGAUUGUAUUAAUCCAAUAUGUAAUAUAAUAGCAUUGAAAUACUAAGUUCUUAAUUAAAUUUUGACUGUAAACAUCAAAAUAGAGUAAUUCUUUUAUUUUUCAGUUUCUUUAACCAGUUCUUCGAAAAAUACUAGUUUAGCUGUACAUAUGUUGCACACUGCAUACCUCCCUAUUGCAUUCCUCCCCAGUUGCCAUAACUAAUAACUUAUUCAAAGUUCUUUAAAAGAUUGAACUUUGAGUAAACGAAACAAACCUUCAACGAAGAACUCAAACUCAUAUACAAAUCAAAAUGCUCUCUUCUAGUGACCAAUCCAACACUAUAUAGCCUUGUCAAAUAGACCAUAGAAUUCAAACAGAACAGUAAAAUGUAAUAAGAAAUAAAUGGGCUAAGGAGGUUCUGAUUUAAUGAUUAAAGUACUUCAAGAAUAAAAGGUCCUAGAUUCAAUUCUCUGAAUUUUUGCUUCUCAUGUCUGAGAAUAAAGUAUGAACAUAAAAAUGAGCUAACCUAAUGUUUAAAAAAAAAAAAAACAAGAAAUCACGUUAAACUACAAAGGAUCUUUGUAUUCUCUUAAAACUUAUGCCUAUAAUUUCUUCUUGUUGAUUUGCAACCUAACCUUUUAACUUUUUGACUAUCUUUCCAUUUCAAAAAAAUUGGAGAUCCUUGAUAUUUGUAGUGGUCUUGACUGAUUCAAUUUCCUUCCUCCAUUUCAUAAUUAGUUUGCAUGCAUUUUAAUGGUGAUUUAUCCACAAUUUGUAUAGAAUACACCAAGGGCUGUCAAUCCGUCUUUGAGCUUGGGGUUGCUUGAUUAAUUUUAAAAAAAAUCUUAGGUCGAAUGAACUUUGGCAAAGAAUAAUUUGAAAUAUGCAUUUUCAACCCCGUUAAAAAUUUAUCUUCAUACCUUUUGCAAGGUCAUUGAAAACACACAUUGAAGGUACUUGACGUUAACCUGUUUUUAAUUAAAAUCAUUAGACAUUAGAAAAUAUAGAGGCAAGAAUUAUUAAAGCCGAAAAUUUAAGAGGUACUUUGAAAACAUCAAAAAUAUGCUUUGAAGGUACUUGAGGAAAACCUUUUUUUUUUAAAAAAAAUAAAUCAUUAGCAUUAGAAAAUUAAGAUGCAAGAAUUAUUAAAAAUAGAAAUAUUAAAAACCCUACCUCACAUUCGUUUUAGGAUAAAUUUUGUGCACACAGACAGUGUAUAUAUAAGCGAGGCUAAAUGCAUGCUACCUUUAUUGUGGAAGCAAUAAGUACAUCAGCCAUUCUUUUUGUUCCUUGGAUACGUUUUGUAGUGGGAGACGUUGCUACUUGGAUCCGGGGCAUCACAAUUUAUGUUUCGUAUGAUUUCGUACAAGUUGAUCUUUGAUGUAAAUUAGUCAAAUUUUGGUAUGAGUUAGGUCCAGUUUAAUAUAAAUCAGGUGCAGUUUAGUGUAUAUUAAUUUGAUAUUAUUUGGUGUAAAUUAGAUACAUUUGGAUAUAAGUUGAUUAUUAUCAUUUAGCGUAAGUUAAGGUCAAUUUAAUGUAAAUUGAGAGUAAAUUGUUAAUUUUUACACCAAUUUAUGCAUAAUGCAACUUGUGAGGCCCUAUUUCCUGCUUAGAAUUUUCACUUGAAGUCUUCAAUACUUGUCGUUGCUCGGCCUUUGACGAGCGCGGGGUAUACAAAUAAUAUUUAAUUUAUCUACAGUCAAGUUUUACAUUUAUUAUAUUCUAAAUACCCUGCACGCAAUUUUUCUGCAAGUAUACAGGUUGUGAGCAAGUAUAGGAUAUUAAGGGCCGAACCCACAGGGAAAAUUUUUAAUUACCAUUGAUUUUCGAACUCCUUUAUUGUUUAGACUGUCAUAAGUGCAAGAAAUUGAAUCUACACUAUAAACAUGAAAUAAAAUAUUAAAAAUACAUUAGAAAUCUUCUAGAGGAAUGGAAUUCCUUUCUACUCUUACAAAUGAAAUUACCAGUUAAGUGAAUGCUAUUAUCUUGGCUAGUUAUGGUGUAAUUUCUUAAUGUAUGUGAAACUUAUUCUUUUAGUGAACCAAGUAUACUUGUAGAUAAGUUAUACAUACUCUCAUGGUUAUGAAAUCAACCACAAGGUCAUUUCUUCUAUAAAAUUACAUGAACAAAUCACUAAAGUCACAAAGGUGCACCUCUACUCUCGUAAGUGUACUCCCUAGAUUUAUCACUUUCUUGAAUUAGUGUUAAAUUUCAAUUCUUAUUGCAAACUUAACACUUUAAAAUUAUCACAAUUAAUGGCUAGUUAAUCAUGAUUAGAUAAGCAAAAGUAUUAAAUAACUUGCUCAAUAUAAUAUCAUCAAAUAACCAAUUAAAUAUCACAAGCAAAAUAUAGAAAGUUCAUCCAUAACUCUAGGCAUAAACUUUAGAAACACAUAUAAAAACACAAAUCCAAACUUGUAUUAUAGAUUAACACGAACUCAAAUACAAAAAAGAAAGUGAUAGGAGAGAAUUCACCCUUGUCACAUGAAUUCCAACUCACCAUCUUUGCCCCUCCAAUUUUCAUUUAAGUCUAACUACAAAUACAAGAAGGAAAACUAAAGAAAUUCUACUGAAAACUACAUUUUUGUGGAGUUUCUCUAGCCGUCCAAAGUUAUGAAAAUGUUCUCCAAAGAUUGCUGUUUAUAGAGAAUUCAAGCUCAAGGUGAGUUGUUUCUGGGUUGAUAAAGUUGGCUUUUAAACUCAUCAAGAGCUGUUCUCCAAGUUUUCACACUCUUGUUGGUCAGAUAGAGCCGAAAUUCUGAGUUGUAGAUGAGUUGGAAAAGUUGUAUAAAUGCAGAACAAGUUGUAAAGCAAGUUGCAGCAAAAAAACUAGAAUACGUGACCUCGAAUACACGACCUUAGGUCGCAUAUUUCACCUCACAUUUUCUCCAUUACAGGUUUGCACUUUUUGGGCAGAAUUCAUUCUUGCUCUAUUUUUGUACCAAUUUCAACUGAUAAUUUCUUGAUGAUGGAGGCUGAACUAGUUCUUGUGAAAAAUAUGAAAGUUGUAGCUUUUUGAGUUAGUUUUUCAAUGCAUCAAAAAUCAUCUAAUUUUCAGCUUUGUGGACUCAGAAAUAGACAAAAUACCCUCAACUGGUCAAUCUCCUGUUUUAGCUUUCGACAAUGAAAUUUCACUUCGGUAUUUCAACUUUUUGACAAUGAAAAUGACUAAACUGGACUUCAAUGUCUUCAUAACAAAUAUAGGUCUAUCUGUAGCUUCAAAAUGGUUCAAGAAUCAUCUCAAUCCAAUGCCUGUAGCUCUGCCAAAAUACGAACAAAUGUCAAUGCUGUCAAACUUGCAUUUCUUCCAUUGAACAUUUUACACUUCAUAUCUUCUUUAAAUCACUUCAAAUCAUCAAUAAUCAUCCAAAUAUCUUCUCAAUAAAAACAUGAAAUUUUCACCAUUUAAACAUGUAGAAAUGCAAUUUUCACAAUUUAAACCAUAAAAUGUACAUUUUCACUAAUUCAUUAGCUAUCAAAAUGACUAAACCACACCAAGACCAAUUAAUAAAACACACUUAAAACACACAAAAUAUGCACUCAUCAGCCUUCAUCUGCUUUUGAUCCACAUGCGAGGAGCCUUGGGUUGCAUAAAAUAUGACAAUCAAGGAUUUAAAAUGCGACAAAAAUGGAAAAAAGAAAGGGAAAAUGGCAAUCAUAAAUUAGUACUAUUCAACUAAUGCCAAAUAUAAAAUUCUCUUAUAACCCAAAAUGUUUUAAAGGGUGACUUAGUAGUCUUAUUAUUUCAUUUAAAAAGUUUGACUAUCUUCCUUUGACUGUUAAAUUUGAUGGCAAAUUUAAUACUUUCACUUUCGUAAUUUCCAUAAGGAGGGAAAAUGUAGGUUUCUAAUCCACAGGGAGUUAAUGUAAACGUUUGCUUAAUCACAAGGAGCUAUUUUAUAUUUAGCCCUUUUUUUAAUCUAAUUUGUUAAUUCUUACGACAUAAGGAUAGAAUUGACUUCAUGUAAAUUAAUAGUUGCAUGACAAAUUUGGAUGCUAUUAAUUCCACAGAAGAUGCUUGGCAAUUUCACUGCGGUCUUUCGUAAUCGAUCCACGAGGCUUCUUACACAUUUGACAAAUUUGAAAGCUAUCUCAAAGGCUUCUUGAAAUAGUGGUAUGACCCAAGAGGGGAAAUGACAAUCAUAGUUGAUGACAUUGGCAACAUCAAUCAUGCCAUCUGUUAAUCCAGACAUAAAUUAUUAAAAAAUGAUUUGGUCUUACUAACUAAUCCUCGAGAAUUAGACUGACAGCAUAAUUAUUAGGGCAAUUUACAUCUCUUAUGGUUUGCCGUUUUACCGCAUAACCAUUUUGUAGUUUAAAAACCUAUAAUUAGUUUGGGCAAAUUAUCCAAUUGGUCCUUGAACUCUUUGUCUAGGUAAAAAUAAGCCCCUCAUCUAUUUUUUACUGACUUUAAGCCCUCGAACUUGUAAAAUUGGACACCCGUGACCCUUUUAGCCAGUUUCUCCGGUUUUGCAACCGGAAGGCCAAUUCACACGAAUGCCAGCGUGCUUCUUCAAAGGGUAUUUUUGUCCGCAUCUUCUAAACAAAAAUGGAACAACUCCUCCACCUUCUUCCCUCCAUUUCUGCAAAACCCUCGUUGCCGCCGCUUUCUCUCUUCUCAUUCUCUGCAGGAGAGUGAUACCACCACUCUCAGGAAUCUCCCCACUAGCAGAAUCAUAGCUAUUCCUUCGACUGCCCAAUUCUCCCCCACUCUAGACACCAGUCCUAUCAAAAUUAGACGCUAAAACACUAUUCUCAUCCAAACCUUCCAGUGGAGAUGCCAUUGCAGUCGCUAUUCUCGGCGAGACCACCAUAGUUGUCUCCGGCGAGACCACCAUAUCCAUAAGCGCAGGGAGUAGGAGCGAGUUCAAGUGAAGAGAUCACACAGCAAUUGCAAUGAACCAGCCCCAAACUCGGAUUAUAUGCUGCAGACUCGAUAUAUGAUCCCCUGUACACUUUCCCUUCGGGAUCCAUCAGGGCCACCCCGGAUAGGCACCCGCUAUACGGUGCAUGUGACUUGUUGGCAGCCUCCAAGGCUUCUAUCCUCAGAAGGGCCUCACUUUCUUCCAACGCUCCCUAAAACCCAUUGCUUAAAUUUUUAAAAUUCCCAUCAAGUUCAGAUUCUUUUGAAUAGCCAUUGCACAAAUUUGCCUGUUUUCGGGAAGUAUCAAAAGAUAGCCCAGUGCUAUGGGGUUCGAGGAGGAGGGGAGAUUCUUUAUCCAACAGAUCACAUGGGCCAAAUGGGUUGGUUAAGAAUUCCGGCAAUGGCUUAAAGAGGAGGGGAAAUUUUGAAAAGUUUUGAUUUGGGUGGUCAGAGGUGAUGAGGAUUUAGAGAGAGGAAGAAUCCCGGAGUUCUUGGAAGAACUGGCGGCAGUGGCCACAAGGGGCGGCGGAGACGGCGAGAGCAAUGAGGCGAGGGCAGCCAUGGACGGCGAGGUUGUUGCAGAGGAACUGCUCUGCGUGGACAGAUUGAUGUAAGGGGAGACCAGGGAACUCGAGAUCGACGCCUAUAAAAACGUGGCUGUUGGAGCCGAGGUCGACGGCCCUGACGGAGAAUUUGGAGAUGGGAGGACGAGCAAGGGACUGGGCUGGUUGAACCAAGGUGGGGAGGAGGUGGAGGAGUUGUUCCCUUUUUGCUUAGAAGAUGCGGACAAAAAUGUCCUUUGAAGAAGCACACUGGCAUUCGUGUGAAUGGACCUUCCGGUUGCAAAAUCGGAGAAACUGGCUAAAAGGGUCACGGGUGUCCAAUUUUACAAGUUCGAGGGCUUAAAGUCAGCAAAAAAUAGAUGAGGGGCUUAUUUUUACCUAGACAAAGAGUUCAAGGGCCAAUUGGAUAAUUUGCCCAAUUAGUUUUGACACUCUUCUAUUAGCCUCCUAUCCCAUUUAUAAUUAGUUUCCACACUCAAUAUGUCUUGGUUAUGUUUUAUGUACAAGAUUUAAGUGUUGAAAAAUUUGAAGAGUUUGUUUAACUAAAGUAUAAUAUGCUUUUCCCAGGGAAGUCACUUGUCUUUUCACUGGAAAAAAUUUCCCAGGUUCAUGCUCGGAUUCUUCUUCUUCUUCUUCUUUUUUAAUCGCUUGUUUGUGUUGUCAUCUCCAUUACUUAAAACAUAUAUUAUUUGUUUUGAAGGGACCAAAAUCCUUCAUUGGAUUUUGACUCUUGGCUAGCUUGUUCAAACUUCCAAGUUUCUUAAACACAAGUACCUCCAAGGAUAGAGAAAAUACCAAAUUGAGGGUUGACUUCUACUCUGUAUAUUAUCAGCAAUCAGGUUUGGUUAGGCAGAGCCAAAGAAGGAGGAGGAUUUACAGCAAUUAGUAGGCAUUGUUCUGAAGCCGCGGUUUAAAACGCAUACACAGAGUCAUGCCAGUAAAGAGAGAAUAUCUGAGAGCAUUGGCAAUCAAAUAUCAGGGGGUAAAUUACAUACAAUCCCCAUGAAAUUUUGAAUAAUACCACAUUCAAAAUAGUCAUGUAAUUCCAUCAAUAUACAUGGCUAUAAGUGAUGUCCUGAUCGAAAAAUGAUGGAGGAAAUUGGACUGCGAUGUGGAUUGAUAAGAGAAUCAGAUGCGUGAUAAUUAUUGAUUUCUUGCAAAAUCUUGUACAUUUCGUUACUUGAAACAGGGCAUUGAUAAACAUCAAAUGAAAACGCGAAUCCAACAAAGAAGGAUUGAUAAGCUGUGAUUAAAAAUGCCAUAUCAACUAGAGUUUACUGAUACGAAUUCAAUCAGGAAGUUGAUGUCAGUUUCAUUAAAUUAACAGAGAAUGGGCAUCAUAAUGGGAGGCAUGACAGUAACAUUUAGUUAACGACAUUCAACACGAAUAGCCAAAUAUCUGAGGAAAUGAUAGCAAUUGUUGCAGUAGUCAAGCAAUAGCAAUGGAAGGGCGGCUACACAUUCAAAAGAAGGCACAGCAAUAUGAUCAGUGUGGAACAAAGUUUGCAUUAUAAACUAAUUCAGAGCCAGCUACAACGUCACAGAAGAGCAGGCAAUAGACAUGAAACUUCCAAUACUAGGCUAAUAUGCAAGAAAUUCCUGGGAAGUGUUUUGAAUGAUUUUUUUAUAUAAUUAUUUUUCAAAUUGUCAUUUCCUCUACUUAUUUAUUUAUAUAUUUGUAAAUUCACAUGAAAAAAAUAGAUGAAUUAAGGUUUGAUGCUAUGUAAAAUAUCAGUUUGAUGAAUUACGGUUGACCUUGUAUGUUCCCAUUUAAUUCUUGAUCCUGUUCAAUUGAUUUCCAUAAUUUCAUCUCUCCGACGUUCCCAUCCACCAAGUGGGAUCCUCUCUUGAAUAGAAAUUGGUGCCUCAAUUCAGUUUUCUAAAUUGCCCUCUGAUUUAACAUAAAUAGAAGGGCUCAAGCUGACUGAUUCUUGUGCUCUGAGUCCUGUCUGAGAUUUACAGAUACAAAGAGCAAUGGAAAAAGUAUCAUCGGGCACAACUUGUAGUCGACUGCAGAACAGUGAGAAAAAAUAUGCUGCCUGUUAUAGAGCUAAGAUACAACUUCAAGAAGGAUGCAAGCACCUAUCAGGGUUCAGCUAAUCCACAUCUUUCUGCUGCUUUGAACUACAAGCAGUAUGGAAGAUAUGGCAAAUUGAGUUCCAAAAGAAGUAAAAUAGCACCUCAUUAACAUGUCUACAAAUUGCUGAAUUGGUUGGACAGUUUAACAGCACCAGACAGACAGGGAAGAUCUCAGGCUUUGGCCAUCCGAGGCAGAGAGCAAAAGGGAAUUCCAUCCCGGAUGUUUUCAUCUGAUCUGAUUGAAACAGGAUCUGGUUCAGCAAGGGAUCAUAGGACUUUCAUUACAAAUGAUAGUAAGACCGAGCUAUCAAGGUUAAUGUUGAUCUCUGAGUGCAAAAUCACUGCAAAACACAAAAACUCAAACUUAAGAGACUCGAGACAGUAUGUAGUCAAGAACAAAGCCAGCGCCUAGUUGCAUGACAUUUUUGUUGUAUUUGAAACACUAAAAUAAGAACUUAACAUGAAGAGAGGAGCAACCAAGUAUAGAAGGCAAAAUGAGCUUAAUAGCCUUCAUCAUAGCGAAUGAAAUAAUUGCAGCAAGUAGCAGCAGCCAACCAGUAUGCUUGGCAGUCUUGACUAACCAUAGCAAUAUGCUUCAAAACUUGCAGCUUAGACUUGAUUGUGUUAGAAGAUACUAUAACAAGUCUGUGCAGCUUCACUGCAUGAACAGUACAUCUUCCAUGGCUGCUCCCAAAAACAUUUCCAUUAUGAGAAGAUUUCUCAAGUUUUGGUUGUAAUAUGUUCAGAAUCAAAGUAGUUAAAAGUCAAAUUUUAGUAAAAGAAGAGCAAUCUAUCUUAACUUACCGAACUCUUAGAAUCAAAAAACCAAUUUGAUGACCAACAGCUCUGGGAAACUCCUAAAAUGUUUACGACUUGAAAAUCACAACCAAGGAAAAGUGAGACAGAAACCCAUCAUUUACAAGACUUAUCGAACAAAUCACUAAUCAAAUGGUUCAAGAAGCUUGAUAAAUGCACCUUCAAGAGGCGAUUAAACUUUGGAGCAACUAUUUAUCCCUCUAGAAUCAUAAGCUAGGGAGCUGAUCCCUUUAGCAAUCACAUCUUACAUCCACAAAAGCAGAUAUAUAAAAUCAACAAACUAAACUUCUAGUGUGUAUUUCAUAUUGAUGGGUAACUUGUAGGAAAUGCAAAACAAAAAUUAAUGAAUACCAGCUAUAAAAAUCUAAUCUAUGUUCAUCUCAGGGAGAGACACAAAAAUCUGCCUGCUAAGUGCAGGAGGAAAGAGUGCAGUAGAGAAUUGCUGGUUCAAAGUCUUAUAGAAAAGGUUUCUAGAAUUGCUGCAUGUGGUAUCGAAGGUAAAAUGUCCAAUGCAUUUUCAACAAUGAACUUCAGAGAGAGCAAUCUUUUCAUCCUGGUGGAAUCACAAGUUUAAAGAGAGUGCACCGAUGUUAGCAAUCAUGACGCAUAAAGGAGAGUAACUGACAUGCAUGAUAGACAAAACUAAAUUCUUAAAUUCCACCCACAUUAGUGCAUUUGUUUCAGUGCUGGUUCAUCCAAAACAUGAUUGACAGGUGCCGAACCUGUGCAAUAAUAAAAAUAGAACCUAACAACCACCUGUCAAAGAAUUCAAUACCUCCACCUGUCAAAGAAAUUUGACAGGUGGCUUGCGCUGUGUGGACUGGCGGUGGAGCUUGGCGGUGCUGAGGUGGAGUUGGCUGGAGGGAGGCGCGGCGUCGAUGGGUCAGAAUUGGUGGCACACGAGGUUGAUCGCAGGUGGAGGUGGCCGACAGCAGCGUGGUGGCGUGCAACCUGGCUGAGAGCUGGUGGUGGCCGCGAGCGCGCAGGUGGAGGGCCGGCCAGGACAAGGUCGCGCGAUGGAGGAUCAUGUCGUGGGCUGUGGCGGCGCUGGGGUCGGUUUGGCCACGCGCGGCGAAGUGAGGUCGAGGGAGAGGAGACCGCGCUCGAGGGCUGUGGUGGCGCUGGGGUCGCACGGUGAAAGCGAAGAGAGGCGCGGCGAGCUGGACUGCUGGUCGAGAUGGAGCUUGGCAGAGAGAAGCCGCAAGGGCCGAGCGCGGGAGCAGCUUGGGCUGGCUCACGGGCGGCGUCCAGUGGAAGUCGGCGAUGGAAGAGAAAGGGCUAGCGGCGGCUGGUUGCGUCGGAUGGAGGUGGCCGCGAGCUCUGGAAGAGGAGCCAGCGGCGGCGGCGGACGAACAAAGGAAAAGAAGGAAAAAGGGAAAGCAGGGGCAUCGGAGAAGAAGAAGAAGAAGAAGAAGAAAGAAAGAAAAGAAAAAGAAGAAAAAGAAGAAAAUAGAAAAGGGAAUUUUUUUUUUCCAAAAAUUAUUCCAGCGUAAAUCGUCCAAAUUGGAAAUUGCCCCCUUUUUUUUAAAUAAUUUUUUUUUUGUAAUAAUAAAAUAAAUUUUUUUCUUUUUUUUUCUUUGGAUUGGAAAGAAAAUAAUCUUUUCUUUUUCUUUUGAUGCUAGUAAUAAUAAUAAUAAUAAUACUGAAUAAUUAAUAAAUUUUUUUUUUUUGCAAAAACAUGGUUUGGGUCGUCCAACACCGCGUGGGCAUGCCAAGAUUACAAAACAUCCUCUGACCUCAGGAGACACAAACACCGCGUGGGCACGCCAACCGCGUGGGCACGCCAAGAUUGGUCUUCGUCCUCUGACCUCAGGAGACACAAUUACCGCGAGGGCACGCCAAGAUUUCACUUCCUGGUCACAGUGGAGGAGAUAUUAGCAUUUAUACUACCCAACGGAGAAACGACAAAACGAAAGAAAUAAACAACUAAAAACAAUAAAAUCAAUAUUCGGAUUGCCUCCCAAAAGAGCGUCUUUCUUUAGUGUUUUUGGCUAGACAUAUCCCAUAAUUUGCUUAAACCAAGCAAAUCGGGUCCUCCAAAUGCAUCGUCUCUACCCGUUCAACCGGAGCCCCAUCAUAAUAUGGUUUGAGACGAUAACCAUUCACCACAAAUUUCUUCUCCGUCCUUAGACUCUGGAUCUCCACUGCACCAUAAUCAAAGACAUUAGUUACAACAAAGGGACCGAUCCAACGAGAACGUAACUUACCUGGAAAUAACUUCAAUUUCGAGUGGUACAGUAAAACUUUUUGCCCACAUUCAAACGUCUUCCUAGAGACCUGCCGGUCAUGAAAUAUCUUAUUCUUCUCCUUGUAAAUCACAGCAUUCUCAUAUGCUUCAUUGCGAAUCUCCUCCAAUUCUUGUAAUUGUAACUUCCUUUGACUUCCGCCCUCCUCAAUAUUCAAGUUGCAUUGCUUGACCGCCCAAAAUGCUCUAUGUUCGAACUCGACGGGGAGGUGACAGGGCUUUCCAAAUACCAAACGAUAAGGGGACAUGCCGAUUGGCGUCUUGUACGCCGUUCUAUAUGCCCAUAAGGCAUCUUCAAGUCUCAUACUCCAAUCCUUCCUAUCGGGUCGAACCAUCUUCUCCAAAAUCGACUUGAUCUCCCGAUUUGAUGCCUCUGCCUGACCGUUUGUCUGAGGAUGGUAAGAUGUUGAGACUUUGUGCAAGACACCGUACCUCCUGAAAAGUGCAGCAAUCGUCUUGUUGCAGAAAUGGGUACCCCUAUCACUUACAAUUGCUCGCGGCAUCCCAAAGCGGACAAAAAUAUUAGAUUUUACAAAUUCUGCAACCACUUUGAAAUUAUUAGUACGGGUGGGUUUUGCUCCCACCCAUUUCGAAACAUAGUCUACGGCAAGCAAUAUAUACAGAAAACCAUAAGACGAAGGAAAAGGGCCCAUAAAGUCAAUACCCCAAACGUCAAAAAUCUCAACAAAAAUCAUUGGGGUUUGGAUCAUUUGAUCCCUACGAGAAAUAUUACAUACUCGUUGACACUUAUCACAUGACUUACAAAACAAGUAGGCAUCCUUAAAGAGGGUCGGCCAAUAGAAUCCACUCUCUAGAACCUUACGAGCCGUCCUCUUUGGUCCAAAGUGAUCUCCACAUGCAAAAGAGUGACAAUAAACUACAAUAGAUUUGAAUUCAUUUUCACUUACACAUCUACGAAUGAUUUGGUCGGCACCAUGUUUCCAAAGAUAGGGAUCAUCCCAGACAUAGUCCUUUGCAUUGCUUUUUAGUUUGUCCCUUUUCGCCUUGGGCCAACCUGCGGGCAAUUUGUCAGUAACCAAAUAAUUCACAAUAUCUGCAAACCAAUGAGGGGAUGAAUUAAUAGAAAGUAAAUGUUCCUCAGGAAAAGACUCCCUUAAUGGUAAUUCCUCCUCCGCUACCAGUAUUCGACUUAGGUGGUCAGCUACUAGAUUCUCUGCUCCUUUUUUAUCUCUGAUUUUCAAGUCAAAUUCCUGCAGGACCAAUAUCCAUCUUAUCAAACGGGGUUUAGCGUCCUUCUUGGUCAGCAAAUACCUCAAAGCUGCAUGGUCAGAUUACACAAUUACUUUAGCACCUAGCAAAUAAGGUCUAAACUUUUCUAAAGCAAAAACAACAGCUAAGAGUUCUUUCUCCGUAGUGGAGUAAUUUAGUUGGGCGCCAUUUAAAGCUCUAGAGGAGUAAUAUAUUGCGUGCGCCGCUUUCUCCACCCUUUGUCCCAAAACUGCUCCCACGGAGUGGUCGUUGGCAUCACACAUAAUUUCGAAUGGGAGAUUCCAAUCAGGGGGUUGGAUGACAGGUGAAGAAGUGAGUAGUUUUUUCAACUUCUCGAACGCUUCUUUGCACUCCUCGUUGAAUUCAAAACUGACAUCCUUUUGCAAAAGCCUGAAAAGUGGUGCCCCGAUCUUUGAGAAAUUCUUGAUAAAUCUGCGAUAGAAACCUGCAUGUCCUAGAAAAGAACGAACUUCCCGUACAGUUACGGGGUAAGGUAAAGCAGAUAUCACAUCUAUUUUAGCUUUAUCAACCUCAAUUCCUCUAGACGACACUACAUGUCCUAGAACUAUCCCGUGCUCAACCAUAAAGUGGCAUUUUUUCCAAUUGAGCACUAAGUUAGUCUCAAUGCAUUUUUUUAAAAUCAAUGUCAGGUUAUCUAAGCAAUCGUCAAAACUAUCACCAUAGACACUGAAGUCAUCCAUGAAUACCUCGAUUAUUCUCUCCACAUACUCAGAAAAAAUGCUAAUCAUGCACCUCUGAAAUGUUGCAGGGGCAUUGCACAAUCCAAAUGGCAUUCUUCGAUAGGCAAAAGUGCCAAAGGGGCAAGUGAAAGUUGUUUUCUUUUGAUCCUCUGGUGCAAUUGCUAUCUGAAAAUAACCAGAGAAACCAUCUAAAAAACAAUAAUAGGCACGACAAGCUAACCUUUCAACCAUUUGAUCGAUGAAUGGAUGAGGAAAAUGAUCCUUCUUGGUCACCGCGUUCAAUUUGCGGUAAUCGAUGCACUGGCGCCAACCCGUAGGCUUUCGAAUUGGAACGAGGUCCCCUUCAUGAUUUUCUUCCACAGUUACUCCUGCUUUCUUUGGCACCACUUGGACUGGACUCACCCAUGGGUUAUCUGAGAUAGAAAAAAUAAUUCCUACGUCCAGAAGCUUGAUUACCUCUUUCUUGACCACUUCCAUCAUGAUGGGGUUCAAUCUCCUUUGUGGUUGUCUUAUCGGCCUAGCAUCCUCUUCCAGGCGAAUUCGAUGCAUGCACACGGAGGGGCUUAUACCCUUUAUGUCCGCAAUUGUCCAACCUAUAGCUUCCUUAUGCUCCCUUAAAACCCGUAGCAGCUUAUCCUCCUCCCUGGGUGAUAAUUUGGAUGGGAUUAUCACUGGUAACGUCUCUUUUUCACCUAGAUAGGCAUACUUUAAAUGCUCGGGCAGAGGUUUUAACUCCACUUCAGGUGCCUGCAUGAUAGAAGGUAAUAGCUUUAGGUGUGGUUCAGGCACAAACAUAGGAGCGACAUCAUACCUUAGAAAACUUUGGCCUAGUGAAUGCAAGGCUCCAACCAUUCUUUGCAAACUGACACCUAACUCCAUUUCACAGGUUGCUUCCAGAUCCAAAUGUUUGGUGAUUGCUAUCUCCAAUUCAUCCCUGCUAUUAAUCUCAAAUACUUCUUGCACCAAAGGGUCAAUUACACUCACAGCAAAAAUAGCAUUAGAAUGACACGGAUAUUUCAUGGCCUCAAAAAUACUAAAAUGAACUAUUUUUCCAUCAAAUUCCAUCGUUAGGGUGCCCUCACUAACAUCAAUUUUUGUACGAGCCGUGCUCAAGAAAGGCCUCCCCAACAAAAUUGGUGAUGGAUUUGGAGAACGUUCAUCACCCAUAUCAAGAAUAUAAAAAUCAGCGGGGAACACUAAAUUGUUCACUUGCACUAACACAUCUUCUAUCACUCCAUCGGGAUAAGCAUUAGUCCUAUCAGCCAAUUGAAUUAUAAUGCCAGUUUCCUUUAAGUGACCCAAAUUUAGAGAAGCAUAAAUAGCCUUGGGCAUCACAUUUAUAGAGGCUCCUAGAUCUAACAUGGCAUUCCUAAUGCUAGUGUUCCCUAUUUUACAAGGCAUAGUGAACAUACUUGGGUCUCCAUAUUUAGGCGGAAGUUUUCUUUGAUGCACUGCAGAUACGUUCUCUCCCACAAUUAUCCUUUCAUCUCCCCUCAAUUUCUUCCUAUUGAUGCAUAGGUCCUUCAAAAAUUUGGCAUACCGGGGUACUUGCUUAAUUGCGUCAAGUAAGGGGAUAUUUAUCUCCACCUUUCUAAACAUCUCCAGAAUUUCCUUUUCCUUGUCUUGCUUUUUAGGCCUUUCCAACCUGCUAGGAAAAGGUGGUGGGUUAGGCUUAACUGGAACCACUGGGGUACGUAUUACCUCUUUAUUUAUGCCGGGCAUUCCUUCUUCCUCAAGCUCCUUCUCAAUGCGGUCCUCAUUCUUGUCCUUCAGAGCCACUGGUGCUGGUCCUUCAACCUCUUUCCCACUCCUGAGGGUCAUUGCACUUACAUUCUUGGGAUUCACCUCAGGUUGGGAUGGAAGUUUUUCCUUUCCCUGGGAGUCCAGUCGGUUGACAAUUGAGGCCAAUUGACUCAUCUGAUUUUCCAAGUUUUGCAUACUUCAUCUCUUGACUGCUGGCCUCAGUGUCCUGCUGAAAUUUCAUAGUAUUAGAGGCUAUGCUCUUAACCAUGUCUUCUAGGGACAUACCCGAGGCAGAGGAGGGUUGGUUCCUUGUUUGAUAUUGUUGCUGGAAGCCCUGCUGUUUAUUAGGGAUGAAAUUUUGUUGCUUAUUUCCCCUAUAGCUCAGAUUUGGAUGAUCCCUCCAACCCGGAUUGUAUGAGUUGGAAUAGGGGUUAUACUGUCUACGUGGCAUGGGCAUGUUACCAGCCAUGUUUGCUUGCUCAGUUCCCUCCUCUUGUAACUGUGGGCACGAGUCAGUGGUAUGACCAAUGUUCGUACAAAUCCCACACACUUUGGCCUGCUGUACAUUUCCUACAGCUAUCUGUCGAACAAAUGAGGUUAAUUCAGAUAACUGCUGUUGAAUGGAAGAUGAACUUACCUCGUUGACCUUUCUUGUAGGAAUAUCCUCCCUCGUACCAAACUGUUGGCAGUUCUCUGCCAUUCGCUCGAUUAGUUCCCAAACCUCUUGGGUAGUCUUAUUCACCAAUGCACCUCCACUCGCUGCAUCAAUGAUAUUUCUAUCGUUCAUCAGUAGCCCCUCGUAGAAGUAGUGAAUCAGCAGUUGAUCACUUAUCUGGUGAUGAGGACAUCGGGUGCGCAGCCUGGUGAACCUCUCCCAAUAUUCAUACAAGGAUUCCCCGUGAAAUUGUUUGAUGCCACAUAUUUCCUUUCGCAAACUAGCAGCUCUGGAUGCAGGGAAAUAUUUCUCAAAAAAAAAUUUCUUCAUCUCUGGCCACGUGGUGAUAAUGCCUGCAGGUAGACAGUAUAAUCAGUCCUUUGCCGAAUCCUUGAGAGAAAAAGGGAAGGCCCUUAAUUUAAUUUGUUCAUCAGUUACUCCCGAAGGCUUCAUACUCGAACACACCACAUCAAAUUCCUGCAUGUGUUUGUGGGGUUCCUCUCCUGGCAGACCAUGAAAAGUAGGUAACAAAUGUAUUAGACCAGGUUUUAAUUCAAAAGCUGCAUUCUCACUAAGGCGAGGAAAAGUUAUGCAAAGAGGUUGUUGGCUCAAGUUUGGAGCAGCCAACUCCCUUAAUGUUUGUGUGUUUGCCAUGGCGACGUUCUCUUGGUACGAAUCACUCGAAUUUUCGCCACGUAAAUCUGUCAACUCAGCCUCUGGAUCUAGUCUUUGAGAUGCCACACUGGAUUGCUCCUCUCUGAGCUGUCUGGUCUCUUUCCUAGUUCGGCGCGCAGUCUUCUCUACUUCAGGAUCGAAAAUUAGUUCGCCUGUACGAGAAGAACGAGGCAUAAACUAGAAAAAUACCAGAAAGAAAGCAAAAACAAAUUAGAUUUAAAAAGGGACAAAUAAAUAACGCCGGUCCCCGGCAACGGUGCCAAAAAUUGACAGGUGUCGAACCUGUGCAAUAAUAAAAAUAGAACCUAACUACCACUAAAAGCAGUCAAAAAUUAAUCCUAGGUACUGGAGCAGGGACUCUAGGUGUGCAAUGGGUUACUUGAUUCAUCCUGUUUCCGAAGAGUUUGCUUAAUCCGAUAUACCAAAAUUAAUUAAUUGACGAAAUUUACUAAAUAGUAGACAGUGGCAAGUAGGGUCGUCUUCUCAGGGACUGGAGAUAUUUGUCUCUUUUAAAUUCCAAUUGGUAAGAGGGGGAUUUCACCGAUAUGCAACUAAAAACAAUUAAACAAUCAUUACUAUAUAAAAAGUAUGAAUGUUGGUAUUUGGGAGUGCAAGUGUAAGCACUUUUUUAUCUUAGUUUUUGUUAUUCCUAAAUUACCCUCAUGUCUUUUAAUUAGAAUUAUUGCAUUUUAAGUGGCACUAAUUAAAAUAAAUAAAACACUUCAAUUGAUUACAUUUUAAUGGUAUUGGUAAAAAGUAUGAAUGUUGGUAUUAGGGAGUGCAAGUGUAAGCACUUUUUUAUCUUAGUUUUUGUUAUUCAUAAAUUACCCUCACGUCUUUUAAUUACAAUUAUUGCAUUUUAAGUGGCACUAAUUAAAAGAAAUAAAACACUUCAAUUGAUUACAUUUUAAUGGUAUUGGUAAUUAUAAUUAAAAAUUACUCAUUAAAAACUAUUUACCUACCCUUGGACUCCAUCUCCUAUUAUUAUAACAUAUCAAAAUUUCUUAAUUGAAGCAUGAAAAAUUUCUCAUUAGUCAUUAGUUGAGAUUGUUAAAAAAAAAUUAAUUUCAAAAAAUAGAUAUUCUCUAGAAAAUGGAGAAACAUACAAUGACAAGAAAAAUCCUUAUUCAUCUAUAUAUCUUCACACAAAUAUCAUGAGUAAAUUUUACAAUUAUGCACUUUUACCAAUAUGAAGAAUUUUUCACGUUGCACCUAAUAAAAUUUCAAUAUACAAAAAAUGAUGACACUUUUAUAAAUAAAAUAGCAGUAUUAAACAAGAAAAAAGAAAUCUAAAAUAGCACCAUACAAACCACUAUUAUCAUUAAUAGCAACCGAUCAAAACAAGAAAAACUAAAAUAAGAUUGAAAACUAUUUAUAAAAUGACAUAAAAUAAAUAGCAAAUGAAUUAAAAAGUUAGAAUACAAUUCAAAUAAUACCAAAGACAACAUCCAAAUCACUGAUAUCCAAGGGAAGACAAACAUUGUUAUUGACAAUAAUAUAGUAAUAUUUCAUUUGUAUUGGUUUGAACAAACCAAAUCCAUCCAUCAAGUCAGAAACCAUCUCCAAUGAUAAAAUAAGAAUUAUAAUAAGAGUAAAUAUAAAAUGAAGAAUGAUAAAAUGAAAAUGAUAUCCAAAUUAUUUUUGGUGAUAUCCAAAAUACCCUUAUUUUUCUAAUGAUUACAUAUAUUUAUUGUAUUGCAAUAUUAGUGACUAAUGGAAGCGGUUAUGAAAUGAAAAACUUUAAAAUUAAGUAAAUUUCAUUUAUGGUGACAAUUGUAAUUAAACAAAUUUAAUGCAUUCCAAUAAUUGAUAAUAAUGAUAGCAGUUAUGGAUUCAAAGUUGGCAAUUAAAAACUAAAACAUUGAAAUAUACAAAAAAUUAAUAUUAAAAUUAUUAAUUAGCCACAAUUCUCAUUCCAAUUUCAUGAUCAUAAAAAAAACUAAUAUUAAAACCAAAAAUAUUGUGCUCAUAUGAAAAAAGUAGACUUGUUGCUCUUGUUUCGCAUUGGAUUGUGCUAAAAACAUGAAUAAAAGAAAAGGAAAAUAGAAAAUCUCCAACUAUCUCUAUCUAUAAAAUUUCAAUUGUUAGAAUGUACAAGCCAAAAAAAAUUUACGUGAUGGAUCAUUUAUACUCCAUUAUUGACAAAAAUAUAAUUAACAUAAUACAAAGAAUUCAAAUUCAAAUUACAUUUAUGUUUAUUUUUCUAACUUAAUUAUAUUCUUCGUUUAUAAAAAAUUGUGAUGAUUGUGGUUUAUAUGCAAUAGAGUCAUGAAUAUACAAUAAUUUUGGUAAAACAUGAUAUUAUCAAUAUUUGGUAUGUUAGAGUUCAAGCUAUAAAUCAAAAAGUGUUUGGUUCAUGAUUUCAAAUUGGGCAUAUUACAUUUUACCCCCCUGUGGUUUAGCAUUUUUUUACAUAACCCCAUAUAGUUUCAAAAGCUAUACAUAACCCACUCAUGGUUUGGAUUAAAGUGCCAAAGUGACGGAAAUAGUCACUCGUUUGGAACUUCUAAAAAUGUCGAAAUUACCCUUAUAAAUACGUGGCACAUUAACCCCGUAUGAUUUUUAUAUUUUACUAUAUAACCCCCUUAUGGUUUAAUACUUUACUAUAUAACCCCCUUAUAAUUUUCAAAAUAUACACAUAACCCCCCUUAGUUAAUAAAUAUUCAACUUUACAUAAGGGUACUUUUAACAUUUUAGGUGACUCCGUUACAAAUGGUCAUUCCCGUCACUUUGACAUUUUAAUCCAAACCAUAAGGGAGUUAUGUAUAACUUUUGAAACCAUAGGAGGAUUAUGUAAAAAAACGUUAAACCACAGGGGGGUAAAGUAGAAUUUGCCCUUUCAAAUUCAAUCUUAAGGGAUAUGUCAACUAUAUUGAAAUGUUUUCCGUCUCUUUUCUUUUAAUAAAAUUUUUAAAAGUAACUAGCUUAAAAAAAUAAAUAACAUAAAAGUACUAUAUUAUGAUGUUGAUCAUCAAAAUUUCAUAAAAAAUUUUAGUAUCUAAAAAAUAAUAUAUUUUAAGAUAUUACAAUCACGUGCAAAGCACGUGAACUAUUACUAGUCCAACUAAAAAUAAAUAAUUAACUAGCACAAAUAUAGCAGGAAUUAAAUCAAGAAUAAAUAAAUUCUAGCCAAGGAUACAACUACUCAGACACAGUCCAUUUAUCCGAUCAUUGAUGCAAGAAAGGUUCACUUAAUUUAUUAAUAGGCUAGUUAUAGUCGUCGAUGAACUCCAACGACUAAUUUUUCCUUAAUUUAUUGAUAACCAAGGUACGACCAUUGAUCACCCCUAACCAGAAAAUACUCUUAGGUACGACCGUAGGAAUCAAUUUCCCAAUUGCAUUAAUAACUAGAAAAACCUAGCCCAAAUCAAUAACACGCUACGAGGGUUAUUUAAAUUAGAUUGCACGUCCCCCUAAUGUGUAAACACACCAGUUGCCACUAAUAUUAAUCAAUCAAACAAUUACGAAUUUAAUUGACUAAAUUGGCACGAGAUUAAUAAAUUACAUUGAACAUCGGGCCCUUGACAUCCAAUUAAUAAAAUAAUCCCAAGAAAAUUCAAGCAGACAACGUGCAAAUAUUAAUAAACUGAGGAACGUGUGAAAACUAAUUAGAUCUCACAGAUUUUCGGGACUGCGCCGUCGAGUUGACCCUUGACUAGAUGGAAGGCUUAGCCACGCCGCAUAAUUAAAUCACCAUACGAAUUAAUGGAUUGCAAAGGCAUUGCGUGUUUACUAGAAAGUAAGGAAUAAAAGAUGUUUUUCCCGUUGGGGAAUAUUGUCGAACACCUGGCGUGUGUCAGAGGUUAGUCAAAAGAAAGAAACUAGAACUAACUAAAAGCUAAAACUCAAAAGCCCCCCUUUUGCUUCUGUACGUUGUCCCUUUUAAAGAGCCAAAAGAAAGAUGACUAAAAGCUAUCUAGGUGGUCCCCACACAUGUGGACAAAGCCUCCAAAUUACUUCUUGUUCCAAGUCUCUCUACGUUGCUUUCUUUGAAGAGCCUAAAUGACUAAAAAUCUUUCACUAGCUUUGUGGUCCCCCACCAAUUCAAGGGCCCAAGGAUUGAAGCCCUUAGAAGUCUCCAUUUUCUCCAUAAAGUCCCUCCUUUUUGGUAGUUUUCUGUUUCAUUCCUGAAAUUAAGUCCAGAUACCAAAUAUAAGUAGAUAUCAACAAUUAACGCAAUAUUGGGCAGGGAUAAAAGGGGAAAUUGAUAAUAAAAUUACUAACAAAUGAUACCCUAUCAAUGAUUCAGUUAACCCAAGAAAAUCUCGCUCAUUUUGGUCACUGAAACAAAUAUGCAACAAAAGCUUUGAUGGUAAAGGUUAUGAAAUAUUUUGCUUAUUCAUGAUAAUAUUUACCUAUAACUUUCAAUCGUGAUAAAGAGGAAGAAAGGGCCGACUCUGCAUCCAACUUGGCACUUGGCAUACCUACUCUGUUGUUGUUCCAAUAAUCAGUUGAUAUACUUUCAAGGCAAGAAAGACUUUCAAAAGUAAAGUCAUCCCAAACAAAACUCAGACUCAGGACUUCACAUAGCAAAUCACGAGGCGAACAGGAAAUUGCAUGACAUUUUUGUUUAGUCAAUUAUUCAGAAAGCUAAAUCAGUAUCUGUUUGUUUUUGUUGUUCAUUUCUAACCUAAAUCAGUAAGCAGAUAUCAAAUCUUUCUAUUCAGUCCACAAGUACCAGAAGUAUCAUAGAAACUAUAUUGGUUUUUGUUCAAAACACUGAAAAAAAAGAAAGUUCUAUAACAAUAAUGACUGGCAUCCACAAGCAUGAGAGGCAGAGAGCCCCAGAAUUGCCUUGAAAGCGAACUCUUUGAGACUGCAAGAUGCAACAGGUAGAGCUAAUCACAACUAUUUUACUCUUAAAAUCUCAUAUCAUCGCAUUUGAACUUAAGACUUCAGUAGAGGAUGGUCUACCAAGUCUCUGCUGCUUGAAAACAUCUUAAACGCGCGUGACAAUUUUUUAAGCUUUUAGCUAAUGCAUUGGUUAUUAAAGUGCUUAAAACCCAACAAUAAGUAAUGGAAGAAGAUUGUUGGUAUUAUAAAUUAUCAGACCACCAAUCCCACAACCAAGGACAGUGAGAGUAACUCGAUUGACCAUUGGAUUUAGGUCAAGAGAUCAUAGCUGAAGAAAGUAGAAUCCCAUCAUUUAAGAGACAUAAUAAGAAUACCAAUAAUCAGAUAAUUUGGAGCAAGAUGAUAAAUACAUUUCCAAGAGAUGGAAGUUCAGAGCAAGCAUUUCCAUCCCGGUAGAAUCUCAAGUUUAAAGAGAAUUAGCUCCUUUCAGCAAUCAUGAUAUACAACUGGAAGUAGCAGACAUAUGAGAUGAGCAAAAGUAAACAGCUAUUUUUUAUUUAAAACAAAGAAUUUUGUACUGUAGAUGUAAAUACAAAAAGUUUUCAGCUUUGACAUCAUGUUUAACUGUCCACAUCAAAUAAUCUCCUCUUGAACAUCUGUAUUCCAUAAUUGAAUUUAAUAUAUGGUUAGCGAUAUUGUUUUCUUCCCGGAACAACGCUUGUUGAGUUUUUCUGAAUCAGACUGAAAAGGCCAAGAAAAGUUCAACAAAGCAGACAACUGACCUUACUGUUACAUUACUAGACAACAUCUUGGAAGCAGACGUUUUAAACCUUCAGAUAGUUUACAACAAAAUCAUCUUAUUGUACAAUUUCUAUCACCUGAUAUUGGAUAGAUUUAAAAGGAUUUAGUAAUGAUUUUACUGGAGUAUAUUGUCCUGAAGAAACAAAAAACUAGAAAUUGACCCCUAAAAUCUUUGUCCAUCAUUGCCUAUCUAUAAUUUUCUGUGUUCCAUCAAACUUUGAUUUAACAAUCUAUUUCAUGAAUGUAAACGCAUUUUCAUUCUUUUUUAGCAAAUUGAUAACCAAAUGAACUUUUAGAGUGCUUAGUUGGAUGAGGAGCUUUUAGAUUGAAAAUCUCAGGAAGGCAUGUUUGCCUGCAUUACAAUAAAGAUAGAAGAGCAUAUUCCAUGUCAUUUUUGACUAGGAAUCUUACAGAAAGAAAGGUUUUUGUUUUUUUUUUUUGUUACCUUUGUUCUAAAACUAAUGAGCAGGAAAUAAGACUCGAUACUAAGUACAUCUACUAAUCCAUUUACAACAAAUUCGCUAACCUUACAGUACUUCUUGAAAAUUUGCAAGCUCCUCAUUGUCAAUCUGUUUCUUUGAUACAAGCUCUAUCGCCAACCAUACCCCCCAUGAUCAUUAGCAGAAAUUCAUGGUAAUGAUGGCUUUUGAUCAUGAAAGACAUUACAUAAGCUGGGGAAAGAAAUUCUGGUGGGCAAUUUGUAGAGGCCAGCUGACACAGAUAGAGCAUUUUUUCAGGUUUUACACAUUAGGAAGAAAGAAAAGUGUGCUUGUAGUGUGCCAUCCUAAUCAUUUCUGUCCAAUUGAAACAGGAUUUGAUUCAACAAAGUUUUCAAAAGUUACAAGCUGUGUAAUUCAAUCAAUAAGUAAGUGCAAUUGUAGAUUCUAGUUCACAUUUGAGCCUGAAAUCAUUGCAGAACAGAAAACUCGAGUUGAGACAAUAUGUGAACAAGAAAGUUCAGAAAUUUCAGCAAUAAUUUUGUUCUGUCAUUCCUACAAAAGGCUAAAAUAUGCCUUGUUUGUUAUGAAACUAAAUAGAUAAGCAAGUACUAAGUCGUGUUUACAAUUACAGUAGUUUGGUUCCAACCACAAAGCAAGUGAUUACAACUCAUAAAAUGAAAAUAAUAAUGGACAAUUUGUAGUGCGGGCAAAGCAUUUCACAUUGAGGCAUUGAGAAACAAUAGAGCUGUGGGCCACUGAGGCACAAUAGAGAUCCACGUUUAAUUGCUACCAAAACACCAGUUAGUUCUAACCUCUAACUCUGAGCAGUAUGCUAGAGAUGACAAUUUGAGUUCUAAAACAUGUAAAUCAGCUCCUCAUUAUCAUGACUACACAUCACUGAAUCAUUUCGAUAGUUUAAAAGAACCAUACCCCAAUAGAAAUCUCAGACUUUGACCAUCUGAGGCACAGAGGAAAAGAGAAUGCCAUCCUAGAUGUUGCUAUUCAGCCGAAGCAGGAUCUUGUUCUGCAACGAAUUGUAGGACUUUCAAAAAGUAAAGACAGUAGGUAAGAGCCAUCGAUGAGGUUCCCUGUUGAGGUUUGUGCCCAAAAUCACUGCAAAGCACAAAAACUCAAACUGAAGGCGGCAAAUAGCAUAGAAUAAAACUAAUGGAAAUUUUCAGAUAAUUGUAGUUUUUCUGUCAUUGUAAUUGAAGCCCCAGAAGGAGAAACUUACCUUAAAAAAAGAAGCAACCAACAAUCAUAAAAGCAGAGAGAGCUUAAAAGCCUUUAUCAAGGUGGAUUCAUUAACAGUAGCAAGUCGGAACAAGCAGACUUGACCAACUACCGGAAUGCUUCAAAACUUUGCGCUUAGAGUUAAAUUGUGAAAAUAACCACGGGGACUUUUUAGGUUUUCUCACGAGAAGGUUAAUCAGAGGGGGAGAUGAAGAGAAGGUGAUAUUGAUUGUAAAGCGAAUUAAGAAAGUUGGUAGGAGGAAAUCUUACAUGAUUGAAUUUGAUCUGAAGAUGAGUGGUUAAUCAACCUAUGUAUAGGUCUUGAAUGUGAGAAACUUUGGACCACUAGGAGUCGGGGCCGCUGCUCUCAAGAGUGCAUCUUUCUUUUAACAGAGGACAACGAUAAACCUCCAGAGAUUUUAGUUUGGUGAGACUUCUCAUGGCAUCCUCAGAGGGUAAAUGUCGAAGCUCUUUGAAAUCAUAUAAAUACAGGUAUUCAAGAGCAACGAAGUUUCCGAACCAAUCUGGCAGAGCUUUUAUACCUCCGAAGUUACUUAGCGAUAGUGACGUGAGAUUGGUCAAGUAUUGGAUCUGAUGUGGCAGGGACUCCAUGUGUGGCAACCCAACUAAUCCUAAUUCACGGAGUGCGGAUGACGAAGGGGAGGAGGAGGAGGAUAUCAAUCCACACCAAUCAAACUCAUUGUAAAUUGAAGAAUUUUCAUGAUCAUCACCAUCAUCUGAGAAGGGACCAAUUGCAAGCUCCCUUAAGCUGGUUAGAAAACCAAAUCCUUUGGGCGUCAUGCUUGUUUUCAAUUUGGGACACCUGUAUAAUUCCAGCUUCAAGAGAGAAGGCGUUUGUUGCAAAUCAAGCAGAAAGGAGACAAGAUUGCCGCACCAACUCACCUGAAGCUUCUGGAGAGAGGCACAAGAGUGUAGCAAGUCACCGGGCAGAUUCAUCAACCCAUCGCACUCAUCAAUCACCAGCUCUUUAAGAGACGUAAAGUUUUGCAAGGGAAGGAGUUCUCUGCAUCUGUGGCAGCGAUUAAACUCCAAACUCGUUAACUUGGGGAGUGUUGUUGCAAACUCAGGGAGUGUUGUUGUUGUUGUCAAAUCCAUUAACCAUCGAGGAAAUUGAUCGUCCAGAAAAUACCAAAUUACCAACUCCUCCAAAUUCGGGUGGGGUUGAAGGCCAUCCAACACAUCUUUGUCGAUGUAGUCGUGGCCUUCUCGAUCCUGGGCCCACUUAAGUUGCAGCCUAAAUAGAUUUGCCUUUUCAAAUAGUUUUGCUUCCUCAGCUCCUUCCUUAUCCAUUACUAGUUCCAGAUUGCGUAUCUCCAAUUUGCCUUUGAGGUUCUUCAAGCUUCCAAGCUCUCCAAUGCGUCGACCCUUCUCUCGACCCACGUUAAAGAACUCAAGUGUCUGAAGGCAAGUCAGCCGUCCCAUAUUCAGCGGCAUUUGAAAUUCUGUAUCAAAGGUGUAAAAGUGGAGAUGUCUCAAGCUAAUCAAAUUGCACAUCCCCUCUGGAAGAACUUUAACAUUUGAGUUACUUAGCGUCAAUGUUUGCAGAUUGUAAAGCUUGCAAAGGGAGUCCGACAAAAUACUGAUUGGAGAAUACAAAAGGUUAACAUACCGCAAAUGUAUCAAGUUGCCAAUUGAAAUUGGUAAUUUUCCAACUGUUGCAACCAAAACAUACAAGUUCUUCAACUUCAUUAACAUAUCACCAGAAAAGUAAUAAUUUACAAACAAUGUAUGAAGCGAAGUUGAUAGACUCUCCAAAAAUUUUUCUGUAUCUUCUUCAACACCAAAUGAGUCUAUUGUAAGGUAACGAAUCUGAUUACCAUUGUCUACUGUAUGUGUAUCCCUAUCAAUAAUGACUUUGGUAGACUUUGACAUUGACCCUGCAAGGUCGUGCACCAAAUCAUGCAUCCUAUAAGAUGUUAUCAACCGAUCAGUUAUUUCUUCCAACAAUGAACUCUGCAAUAAAAUUCUCAAAUAAUUCAUUCCAAUUUCCUCCAUCGUUUGGUUUUUGACGUCUGCUUGGAGGAAACCUUCUGCCAUCCAAAGUUCGAUAAGCAUAUUCCUUUUUAUCUGACUAUCCUUAUGAAAUAUAGACCAAUGUGCAAAACAUUUCUUAAUGUUUCGAGAUGGCAAAUUAUCAAAACUCAACUUAAGUAUUUGCAUCACACCAUCCUCACCUGCACUCAAACUCGAAAGCCUAUUCUCCAAAAUUGAUCGCCACUCCUCUUUUCUCUUUAAAGAUAACAGACCUCCAAUUACACUUGCAGCCAACGGUAGACCAUCACAUCUUUUGAUUACUCUCUCUUUAAUUGCUUUUAGUUCAUCAGGUUCUUCUUCCCCUCCAACUACUUUUUCUUUUAUGAUAGACCAACAAUGAUCAUCAGGUAGUCUUCCUAAGGCAUAGACUAAUUCAGUUUCCAUCAUCAAAACUCUAGACACACUAUGUGCCACUGGACCUAAACGAGUAGUGACCAGACACCAACUUCCAUUAAUUGGAUUGAGCCCCUUCAAGAUGGUGAAAAAGUCAUUCCACAAUACCUGAUUAUCAUCCCACACAUCAUCAAGGACUAGGAAAUAUCUUUUUCCCCCUAGGUGAUUCCCAAUUUUUCCAACGAUGAGAUUCCUAUCAUCUACUUCAACCUUUUCUUCCGUCAAUUGCACUAAUAUGAGUUUGAAAAGCUCCUCUAUUUGAACUUGUCUUGAUACACAAACCCAAAUUUUUUUGUUAAAGUGUUCAUCAAUUUGCUUGUUGUUGUAUAUGGAUUUAGCCAAAGUUGUUUUGCCUAAACCUCCCAUACCAGUUAUGGGAAGAACAGAAACAACCUUCUCAGACAGGCUCAACAAAAUCUUCACUAUCUCUGAUUCAUCAUCGGCUCUUCCAACCAUUGGAGCAACAACAGAGUCGGUCUGCCGACUUCUCGUGUCUCCAACAGCAGGAGCAGCAGGGAGGGCAGUUGUCAUGACUGCCCUACUGACCAGUCCCAAUCCAUGGGCAUCUUGAUAGAUGCCAUUCAACUUAAGUUUGAUGUCCCUGACCUUAGAAGCCAUUCUCCAACGAAAAGCAAGAUUAAUAUUAGAGCAGGAGAAGAAGCAGCAUACCUUGAGCUUGUGUCGGUUUCGGGACUCCACCUGGUGACGAAGAGAUUCAUAGUGGAGCUCAUCCAACACAUUGUCAGCAUCAUAAGCAACCUCCUCGAGACUAUUCAACCAUCGUUGCACUCCGCUGCUUUGGUUUUGCCUUUCCUCAGCAUCAGCCAGGACAUCUUUGAUAAAGCGGAGAGAACGUGUCAUGCCGGCCACAUCCUUCUUGAACCCAACUAGCAAACCAAUCCUAGUAGAGGCAAGAGACAGUGCCCUUUCCAAGGUGACCUGAAUUGUGGAGCUGAUAAGAGCGUCAGCCAUUUUUUUUUUUUUAAUAAAUGACUUGGAUUCAGUCUUGAGAUCAAGAUGGUUUUUUAAAAUGGGAGGUUUUAGCAGCCAGAAAUUGGUAAUGUUACAAGUGGUUAAAAGGAGAAGAGCAUUGAUAUUUGGUCCGCUUAACAAUGCAGAGUUAUUCUUAACUUGGAUGCCUUCGUUCGCAAAGGAAAUAUAUAUUCCGUGCAUGGCAUCUUCACUUUAAGUUUCUUGGAUGCUUUGAAAUGCUGAGUUAUUCUUAACUUGGAUGCCUUCGUUCGCAAAGGAAAUAUAUAUUCCUUGCUUGGCAUCUUCACUUUAAAUUUCUUGGAUGCUUUGAAAUGGAAAUUCCUGGAUGGGAUUUUCACUUUAACUUUCUUGCUGGGACGGGGCCUUCAUCUUUAUUCGUUAAUCCUUGAAAGAUGAACUAAUUAGAACAUAAUUUCGUUACACCUUAUCCUGUUAGCUUCCACACUAACUCUGUUGGAUUUUGCUUCUUAGCUAGAGACAUAAUUUGUGUCUCAAUACAAAAAUCAAUUAGGCUUCUAAUUAUUUUGUAAUUCAGAAUCUGAUAUCGUUGAGCAUUGAGCCUUUUCAACUUUGCAUAAUUCCUUGCUUGUGUUAAUACCUGUGGCUGUGGUGGAUGAACUUUGGCAAAGAAUAACUUGAAAUGUGGAUUUGCUUCAAACUUAUAUUCUGAAAUGAAGUUCGGCAAUUAAUAGAGGCCUAAACAAUUAUUCAGCCUUACUACUUUACAAAAUUUAUCUAAAAAAUUCAACCACAGUGUGAUGGUGAUUUAUAGAUUGAUUAUCACAUAAACAAACCAACUCAUGCUUGUAAUGCAUAUAAAUGAUAUUUAACCAAAACAUUUGAAUUGAAGAUAAAGAAAAAAAUUUUUGAACUUCAUUAGAAUCGGGAGGUAACAUUUAUGUCCUCCUCCAUCUUAUACUUAUUUUCAAGUGACUUAAUAAAUUUUAACUUUUAUUUGGAAAAAAAAUUUAAGGAGUACAAUUACCCUAAUCAGUGAGAAAUUUCAAGUGGCAUGGCAUAGAUGUUAAAAAUAAAUUUCAACCUGUUGAUCUUGAUCCCUAUCUUUUGAUGUUUACAAAACAAAUGGAUGAUACUAAUAUUUCUUCAAGAUAUACUUUCAGUUUUGAAGUUGUUUGAUUCCAUGAACAAGUGCAAUUGAAAGGCAAAGUUUGCUGAAGCUGUCGGACGUUCAAGAAGUCAGGAUCGGACGUCCGAAAGGAUGAAGAACAUCAAGAAGGAAACUCUGUCGGACGCUCGUGAGGAAGCAUCGGACGUCCGGAAGUAUCGGACGCACGCCUCGGACGCACAUCGAUCGCAUCGGACGUCCGAGAAAUUUCGCAAAGAUUUGAUGACUCUCUGACGACGCUCGGACGCAGGGUUCGGACGUCCGACAGGUGGUUUGGACGCAGGGUUCGGACGUCCGACAGGUGGUUCGGACGUCCGACAGGCCAACGGCUAGUUUUGACAGCAUUUAAUAUUUGACCGUUGGAGAGCCUUUUGGAGCCAUUUCUCACCUUCUAUAAACACCCCAAAGCACAAGAAGACAAUGGACUUUUGCCAACACAAAAUACAAGCUUACAAGUGAGAUUUUUGAGUAGAAAGAUUCUUUGUUGGUUGUAUAAGGGGUUGGGGAAGUUGGGUUGUGAGGUUGCUCAAGUGAAGGUUACUCUCUAGGAGGAGUAAAACCUUGGUGAAGGUGAACCUAUCACUUGAAGUGGUAAAACCUUGGUGAAGGUUGCCUCAUUUGUAUAAAAUAGUUCUUAAUUGGGUGAGUGAUCUUUCAAGUGUAGGUUGUUGAGGGUUAACUAGAAUAGUUGUAAAACUCCUUGGCUCAACCAAAGAGUGUUUGGGGUGAGGAAGGAGUGAGCCUUCACUUGUACAUCUUGGUUAGCAUCGCCAUCUAUUGAAGAGGCUAUUGGAUUGAUAUUUGGUUUGCAUUUCUUAUCUUUUCUCUUUAAUUAAGUUUUCUUUAUUGUGCUUAAAUUUGAUAUAUCUUUGUGCAUCAUUGUGAAAUUGUUUGUACUCAUUGGGUUGUACCAGGCCUUACACAACCAAGAUAAGUAAGUGCUCUGUACAACAAAUCCUUCAGAAAUAAAUAUUUACUGUACUCUCAACUUGGGCAUACCUGCAACUUGCCACCCUGCGCAAGCAUGGUGAACAUCUCCUAGUUUAAUAAGAUCAGAUUAGAAAGAUUGUUUUGUGGAACUACACAAAAUAAUACGAUACAUAAUUAUAUCUCUCACAAUCAUUUGUUUAGGAAGAUUGUAAUCAUGUAGGACUCAAACAGAAGCAUUAGAAAAAUUAGAUUAGAUGACCAGUAUGAGGAAGGGUAUUUUAAGCAUUGCAAAAAAAAAAAAGGAAGAAAUACCAUUAUAUAUAGCUCCAGUCCUUAAAGUUUUGACAAAAACAAAUUUAGUCCUCAAUGUGCAGCACAUGCACAAUUGUAGUCCCUAAAGUUUUUAUAAGAACAACUCUGGUCUCUAAUGUAUCCAAUAUAAAUUAGAUUUAGCAUAAAUGAAUAUUUUUACAUUACUGACAAAAUUUAAAUAUAACAAUAAAGAAAAAAUAGUGGCUAACUUUAAACUACAAUAUUAAGGACUAAUGACUCACGUGCUAACUAAUUAAUUGGUUAAAAAUAUUGUCAAAGUACAAAACUCAAACUAGUCAGAGCAUUUAAUUCAUCAAUUUAGAACUCAUUUUCUUUAUCUAUCCCUACCGACCCUCAGGAAAAAAAAAGAAAAGAAAAGCCCCAACACUUGGUUUUUGUGCAUAAUUAAAUAAAUUUCCUUUUUUCCUAUUUUCUUGGUUAAUUAAUAACUCACGUGUCAUCACAUGAGUUGCUCUUGCUGUUUAAGGUUAUCCGUUGAUUUGCUUCUUUCUUACAAAAUUAAUUUAAAGUACACAUGCAUGACUGAACAUUAUUAGGUUCCAUUAGUAAUUAAAAAAUGUUAGUCAAUUGUCGUAAAUUUGCUUAAAUUCAGAAACUAUUUGGAACCAAAAUUAUUUUUGAUCAAAAUUUUUGCCAAAAAUUGAGGACCAUACUUUUUUUUUUUUUUUUGCUAAAACUUUAGAACUAAAACAGUACAAGUGCAAAACACUAAGGACAAAAACUACAUUUUUUUUUUUGAAAAAUUAAAAGAAACUUCGGAAAACUGGGAAAUGAAUAUCAGUAGUAGGAAGAGGUGAGAUUUAAGUAACUAAAGUUUUGAACCUAGAUGAACAUCCAAUUCCUAUCAUUUCAACCUUAACUAAUUGUCCAAGGCCUAUUCUGCGCAUAAGGGCUCAUCUCAUGAAGAAAAAGCCAAAUUAUUAAAUGCCAAAAAGAAAGAGGAGCCGUGCAAGACUGGUGUAGUUGUUUAUUUUUGGACACUUUUGAGUAGGGGUGUGCAAAGUCGAAAAAUUUCGAUUUCGAAUUGAAUUCGGAAGUUCGGUAAUUCGGAAGUGAAUUCGGUAAUUCCGAUUUCGAAUAUGUCGAAAUCGGAUCGAAUUCGAAAAUAAGAAUUUUGAAAUCGGAAUUACCGAAUUCGAAUUGGGAAUUCGAAAUAGGAAUUCGAAAUUGGAAAUUCGAUAUCGAAUUCGAAUUAAUAUAAUUAAUAUAUUAUAUUCGAAUUAUAUAUAUAUACAUAUAUAUUAUAUAACAUAAAAUAAGUUAAUAACUGAAAUUAAAAUUGAAACCCAAAAACCCUACUCUUUUCAGUUUUCACUUACUCACGCCAGUCACCUUGGCUCUUCCGCCGCCCUCUUCCUCAUCGCCUCUUCCUCCGACUCAGCUUACUCUCUCACUCUCUCAGUUUCACCUUCAUAUUUCUCCCCUUCUUCAAGCCCGACAGAGACAUAAAGUGUUGGCACACGUUCUUCUCUACGAGACUCCCUCGGCAUCUGGAUUCUGGAAGAUACCUCUGCACCGACUGCCGAGAGCGUUCUUCAUCGUGGUGAAGUGGUUGAAAUCUUGGCCAAACUCUUUCCAAAGUAUCUGAUUCCAACAAAGUAAGUUCACUUGCUCAAUCAUUCUGAUUCUAGUCCAAUUCACUGUAACAUUAUUCAUUAUUUUUAGGUAAAAGUAAAACCCAAAAAAGCGAAAGUGGUAAAUCAAAUUUAUGCUGUAGAAAAUUGAUGAGCCCACAAAUUAAUUUGGUGGCCGUUUGACUAAUGUUAAGUGAAAUGGUUUACACCUAAGAUUUUUUUUCACUAGUUCGAAUUAUUCUUUUGAAUAUGCAGAAAUUUAGCUCUUAAAAAAACUUAAAUAAGUUCUUGAAAGUAGGUAAUCUGGACACGAUACCUGAAAAGUGUGCCCAGAUAUGAUUUGGGAGUGUUGGGAGGUUAACUAAGGUAGCGGAGGUCCGAGGAGAAUUGAGACUUGGAAGGUAUAAGUGUCCUGUAGUGUAGUGUUGGUAAAAGUUGUAUUAUACAAGAAGUAUGGUCCAGAUAUGAUUGAAGCUUCAUUUCGACACCUUGCUGUUUCUUUAAGUUGUCAGCUGUGAAAAUCUUAUCAACAUACUUUUUGCACCAAGAAGCAAUUUGUCACACGGUGUGGUGUUGAUUAAUUUGCCAAGUUUUUUAUGCUUGUUGUAAUAUAAAUGCAAAGGCAAAAGUACAAACAUGACUGGGUGCAAAGGAUUCCUCUUUUUUUUUUCUUUUUUUUUGGGGGUUUUGUUUAUCCUGUUGACCAUGGCACAUCUUGUAUCUGGUAGUUAUGGUACCAUACACUUAUAAGAGGUGCUUGGCAAAAAGAAACGGGAGAGAGUGUGUUAGUUAAAAAAUGUAAAAACAUCCUCUAUGACUAUAAAUCCUUUAUAUAAAAUAACUUUUUUUCUUGAAAAGCAUUUAUCUGCAUUGAUUUCACUAUUUUGAUGAGGUUCAGCUGAAGAUAUUUUAGUUGUAUACUGAAUUUAUAAAUCGCAAAACUUUAUAUUUGCUGCUAUGUUUGGCUCCAUCUUCUUACUUUCUAUGCUAAAUUGGAAACAAGUUCUCCAGGAAACUGCAUUAUGUGAUUCAAACUCUCAAUAUUUCUUCAUUUUAUUGUCUAAUCUAUUGCAUAUAUUGGGAAACAUAUCUUCAUUUUAUUUCCAUUUUCUUUUGCAUAUCAGUAAACAUGUCCACUUUUGAGAUAGAAGGUUCAAGUGAUUCAACACCAUCUUCAAGUCCAGCUCCUAUUUCCGGCAGCUGUGAAGAAUCUGGCCUUGGUGUUAAGAAAAAGAGAGGCGAGUACAAGAAAAGGUCACCAGCUUGGGAUCAUUUUCAGCCUCACUAUGUCCAAGGUGUUCGUCAUGGCAUAUGUAAUUACUGUACGAAAAUGAUAGCUGCUGAUCCGAAGUCUAAUGGUACUAGUCCUCUCUUAUCCCAUGUUAAAUCAUGUGAAAUGAAUCCUACAAAUAAGUCUAAGGGGCAAGGUACAUUAUGCUUGGGUGAGGUUGGUGGUCUUGGGGGGGAUGUUAAGAGUGCACUUAUUAGUUGGAAGUAUGACGCUGAUGCAAUUAGAAAAAGCAUUGCUUAUAUGUUGAUUGUUUAUGAAUUGCCAUUCAAACAUGUAGAAGGUAAAGGAUUUCAGCAUGUCAUGAGAACUGCUUGUCCUUCUUUUCAAAUUCCUUCAAGGUGGACAAUUACUAGAGAUUGCUAUCAACUUUAUUUAGAUGAAAAAAUUAAGUUGAAGAAUAUGUUGAGGCGUAGAGCUGUUAGAGUUUGUCUUACCACUGAUUGUUGGACAUCUAUCCAGCGAAUAAAUUAUAUGUGUUUGACAGCUCACUUUAUUGACUGUGAUUGGCAAUUGAACAAAAUAAUUUUAAAUUUUUGUCCAAUUAGUAGUCAUAAAGGGACUGAAAUUGGGAAGAGUAUUGAGAAAUGCUUAUUAGAGUGGGGGAUUGAUGAUAUUUUCACAGUAACAGUUGACAAUGCUGCUUCAAAUGACACGGCUGUGCAAUAUUUGGUUGGAAAAUUGCAAAAUUGGGGUAAAUCUAUAUUAGGAGGAAAGUGGAUUCAUAUAAGAUGUGUAGCUCACAUAAUCAAUUUGAUUGUGAGUGAUGGCCUAAAAAAAUUUGGGGGGUCCGUUGAUUCUAUCCGAACAGCUGUGAGAUACAUUAGGCAAUCACCUUCUCGUUUGAAAAAAUUCAAGGAAUGUGCUGAAAUUGAAAAAAUUGACAGUAAAAGGUUACUAAGUUUAGAUGUGGCAACUAGGUGGAACUCAACCUACUUAAUGUUAGACAGUGCUCAUAGGUUUGAGAGGGCAUUUGAGAGGUUUGAGGAGCAAGAUCCAUAUAUGCUGCAUGAGCUAGAGCACUUGCCAACAAAAAGUGAUUGGGAAAAGGCAAGAUUCUUAACUUUAUUUUUGGAGAACUUUUAUGAUCUCACAGUAAAGGUUUCUGGUUCCAAAUAUGUGACAUCUAAUAAUCUUAUCAAUGAGCUUAGUCACAUUAAUGGCAUCCUAAAGGAAAUGGCAGAAAGUGCUAAUCCCGACUUGUGUGGAAUGGCAAAAAUAAUGAAAGAAAAGUAUGAUAAGUAUUGGGGAAGAUUGGAGAAAAUGAACAUGUUGAUUUUCAUUGCUUACAUGCUUGAUCCUAGGACAAAGUUUGAGUACUUUGAAUUCAUUGCUUGUAAAAUGUAUGGUGAUACCGAAGGUGCUGUUGUGGCUCAUGUAGCCAAGGAUGCAAUGUAUGAAUUGUUUAAUGAUUACAAGAGACUCAAUACUCCUGCUGGAUCUUCUCAAUCCUCUAUUUCUUCACUUUCUAGUGGAUCUGAAAAUAGCAUCUCUUCCUCUGAUGGAGAAGUCUCCAAAAAAAUAAAUGAUAGAUACAGAAUUGAGUUCAAGAAAAGAAAAGUUGAACUUGGAGGAAAGAAUGCUAAAUCUGAACUUGACAAAUAUUUGAGUGAGGAUUGUGAGGAUGAGGAUCCCGAGUUCGGUAUCUUGAAUUGGUGGAAAGGUAAUAGUCUUCGGUUGCCAAUACUUUCGCAAAUGGCUCGUGAUGUGUUGGCUGUCCCGGUCUCUACGGUUGCUUCCGAAUCUGCCUUUAGUACCGGAGGACGUGUUCUUGACCCAUUCAGAAGCUCUUUAACUCCAAGGAUUGUGCAAGCCUUGAUUUGUGCUCAAGACUGGUUUCGGGCAUCCGAAAAUGAGUUGAAUGUAGAAGAAAAAUUGGAGGAUCUUGAGGAAUUUGAAUCUGGUAAAUUAUCUUCGUUUUUAUUGACAAACUUGAAAUAUUUUUUCUAUUCAUAAAUGCAAUUAAGCUACUUCAUUAUUUUUUUCUUUCUUGAAUAAUAGGUUUGAUCAAAGGAGGUGCAGAAGCCACAAUUGUUGAUGUUUGAAUUCUCUAAUGGUGAUUCUGAUUUGGUGCUCAUAGAAAUUCAAGUUUGAAAUGUUGUCAAACUGAAAUGUUGUCUUAUUUGUUUGAAAGGCACUUUGGUUACAUUUGUAUAACAGUAUAAGUAUUCUCGUAUGAAAGACUGGAAUUGUUUGAUAAUAGUUGAUUUGUAUUAUUUACUGGAAUUGUUUUGUAUUUCAAAUUUGGACUGGAAUGGUUGUAUAAGUAUUCUCGUAUGAAGUGGUAGAGUUCUUGUGAUUUAUGGUAUUGAAUAGGCACUCUAGAAUGUGGAGUUGAAUGUGGAAUUGUUAUUCAGCUUCAUCCUUUCCUCUUGAAUUUGAGACAGCUGACCUGUGGAAUGUGGAAUCCAAGGGGACUGCAUUUACUUUGAACAGAUUUUCUGUUUUUGAUUUGUUAUUAUCCUUAUGACUGUUUCAUUGUGGGUCUUGAACGAAUUUCAUUUCAUUCCAAGUCACAAAAUUGAAACUUUAAUUAGAUUGAAGAACUUUUUUGGUAGAUGGUCUGUUGUUUCCUUGAUUUGUGGUUUAUAGUAUCUACAAAUGCUUUGAGUUGCUUUGUUCAAAGCAUAUCCUAAGCUUUAUUUGGCUUUUUGAUUGUUUGGCCUAUUUUUAAGUUGAUUAGUCGUGGAAUAUGUGCUGAAGGUGUUCUAUGACUUUAUUCUGGUUAACAACCUGUUUUGGUUUGGAGGAGGAACGGCUUUCAAAUCUCCUAUUAAAUAGAGGCGAAAUUAAGUUUCUUGCAAGAAAGGAGAGGGCAAAAAAAAAUAAUAAUAAUAAUAAUAAUUCGGUGAAUUCGGAAUUUACCGAAUUCCGAAUUCAAUUCGGUAUCGAAUUCGAAUUCGGAAUUCGCCAUUACGAAAUCGAAUUCGUUCGGUGAAAUUGAAGCCAAAUUUUUGAAAAAUUCCGAAUUCAAACUUCCGAAUUACCGAAUUCGAAUUCGAUGCACACCCCUACUUUUGAGGUUUUUUGCCGUGCAAAUAAUUACCCAAGUCCCUUAAUAAUUUUGUACUUUCUUUUCAAUCAUGUGCACCGAGCGUGCCAGUAGACACCCAAAAUUCCUGCCUAAAGGUAAAUGCCACCCACAUAGGUAUCAUUUCUGGGCAUUAAUGUGAUUUCUUUCAGUUUUUGGACUAAUCUUUGUGUUAAACAUUUUAUACAGUCAUCCUUAGUGAGCAAAGUGUGUAUAUCUUAAGCUCAAAAGCAUAAAGUGUUGCAUCUCAAUCCCAAGUUCAAGAGUGUAAAAUGUAGUUAGCCCUUAAAUUCAGUCAUCAUUCUCUUAGAAUCUUCUUGGUCAGCUUCUCAAAGCAUAAAGAAGCAGGGCCAAGAAUCAGAACAAAGAACACACGAGAUUUUUCUUUGCUAAAAUAUUUGAGAAGGUUGGGCCGUAGCUCAUAAAUCCUCAAUCAGAUAUGCUACAACUGCUUUCAAUUGAAGAUCAGAGGAGAAGUUUUACUUGUUCUUACGCCUAACUUCAGCAUUAAUACAGAUCUAGAGUCAUCACUAGAAGUAAGAAAUUCAAAGAAAUAUAACAAAACAUAUUAAUCCGAUAUUUACUACGGGCACUCGUUGACAUACUUAAAUUAAGAACAACUUAUUAUGUUAAUACACACAAUCACAAUUAAUGUACUCCUUGUAUUAUAUGCUUUUUCGUAUUAACUACAUUUUUUUAAAAGACUAACGCAGAAAACAACUCUAAAUGAGUGUCAAAUUGGGCACCCAUUAGCCAAAGUAGGUUAUGCCAAUUAAGUUAUACCAAAAUGCGAGCAACUUCAAGCCUUCAGUUAAUAAUGGGUGAAUGUGGAAAGGCUUCAUCAAACAUGAUUUUUUUUUUUUGAUAACAAGACAAUUUCAUUUUAAUAUUUGUACUAAUGGCAGCAAAUACAUCAAACAUGGCACAGAUUUAUAUAGAUCUGAAAAUCAAAUAAUAUAACAGAUUUAAAAAUAUAUAAAUUUGACCUUAACGUUGAAAUUCCAAGAAUAUCUUCCAUCAAAUAAAUGUCAGUACAAUUCAACGAAUCUAUAUCCAUGUCUUUCGAUAGCUGAAUAGUCAGAUCUGAUAAAAACUACUUCAAGUCUAAAGAAAAAUUUAGAUCUGACUUCUAGAUUUAAUUAGAGGAGAUUUGGAGAGAAGGAAGAGAAAAAUGAGUUCUAGAGUGAAAAGGAAAAGAGCUUUUGUAAUAUCCGCAUGAAUUAGUACCAUUCAAACCCAAAAUCUUAUGACCCAAAAUGAUGGCGUCUUCAAAAUUUUAGAAAUGGAUGGAGUGCUUGAUCUACUUCUUCAUUUGUGCAUAUAUGAUAUUUCUGCCCAUGGCGCCAGCCUAUAUAUGUCAAGUAAUUCCGUGCGGUGGCUGCUUGCGGUGCACAGGAGCGGUUAUCUGGAGAAGAUGAUAUGAGAAAAGAUGAUCAUACCCUGUGAUUUGGUGUUUUACUACAUAACCCUUCUAUAGUUUAAUAAUUUAUAUAUAAUCCCUUCAUAAUUUGGAUUAAAGUUUUGCCAUUAUUUUUUUCCGUUAAAACUAACAGUCAAUAGCAAAAAUCAAGGUCAAACUAAUAAAUAGACAAAUUCACCUUUUCACUACAUUUUUUUCCUUUCUUUCUUUUUCUCUUUUCUUUUCUUUCUUUCGCUCUCUUUUUUUUUGGAAGAGAAGAGAUGAUUUAAAAUCUGUACUUUGGCCUAUAAAAUCUUAAUUUUCUCCGGAUGCAAAAAAAAGAAGGGAAAUGAAAAAUAAAUAAAUAAGAAAUAGAAAAGAUGGAAGGAAAGUGAAAAAAUUAAAUUAAUAAGAAACCAAAAAUGGAAGGGAAAUAUAAAUCAAAUAAAUAAGAAACAAAAGAUACCAAAUCUUUAUUGAAUGCAAAUACCAUUAUAGGCUUUUAGACCAAAUCUUUUAUGGUAUUUUCUAUUUAUUAUUUAUCUAUUUUUACUUAAAUUUAUUUGGAGGAAAAAAAGGAAAGUAGUGAAAGAGUAAUUUUGUCAAUGUAUUAUUUUGAUUUUGAUUAUUUUACUACUGAUAGCUAGUUUAAUAGAAAAACUAACGGUGACGCGUUAAGUCAAAUCAUGAGAAUGUUAUAUAUAGGUAUAUUAAGUCAAGCCAUGAGGGCAAAAGGUAAUUUAUCCUAAUUAGUAUUUUGUUUGCUUAAAAUCUUUGAGAAUUUGGUCAAAGCCAAGAGACCACAAAGUGAUCAUUUCCAUACUAAGAAUAUGUGUACUGGAUGUCCACCUCAAUACUCAGACUCGGUCAUACAUCAUGUAAUUGGCCACGAAUUGGAUUCUUUUCUUUGCAUUUUAACAUGUGAAAAUUGUUCAAAUAUUCUCUCAUACUUUAGGAAGUCUUCUAAAGCAUCAAUGAUACUUGAAAGAAGGAAUUUAACAACUCAUACCUUAGAACGUACUCUUCUAUUAGCCUCCUACCCCAUUUAUAAUUAGUUUUCGCACUCAAUAUGUCUUGGUUAUGUUUCAUGUGCAAGAUUAAGUGUUGAAAAAAGUUUGAAGAGUUUGUUUAACCAAAGUACAAUGUGCUUUUCCCAGGGAAGUUGCAUGGCCUGUUACUGCAAAAUAAUUUCCCAGGUCAAUGCUGGGAUUCCCAUUUUUAUUUUAUUUUUUUGAAGUGGCUUGUUUGUGUUGUCAUCCUGCACUUGGUUUUGUGAAUUGGAUUUUCACUCUUGGCUAGCUUGUUCAAACUUCCAAGUUUCUUAAACACAAGUACCUCCCGGAAUAGAGAAAAUACCAAAUUGAGGGCCGACUUCUACUUUGUGUAUUAUCAGCUAUCAGGUUUGGUUAGGCAGAGCCAAAGAAGAAGGAAGAUUUACAGCAACUAGUAGGCAUUGUUCUGAAGUCGCGGAUUAAAAUGCAUACACAGAGUCAUGCCAGUAAAGAGAGAGCAUUGGCAAUCAAAUAUCAGAGGGUAAAUUACACACAAUCCCCUUGUAGUUUUGAAUAAUACCACAUUUCAAAAUAGUCAUGCAAAGCAAUAAGACGUUCAAUUCCACUAUAUAUAUGGCUAUAAGUGAUGUCCUGAAUCGAAAAAUGAUGGAGGAAACUGGACUGCGACGUGGAUUGAUGAGAAUCAAAUGCGUGAUAAUUGUUGAUUUCUUGCAAAAUCUUGUACAUUUGGUUACUUGAAACAGGACAUUGAUAAACAUCAAAUGAAAACGCGAAUCCAACAAACAAGGCUUGAUAAGCUGUGAUUAAAAAUGCCAUAUCAACUAGAGUUUACUGGCCCCCGCAUAAAUGGUCUAGCGGUAGCGCCUCUCACAGGUGACCCUUAAGGUCCCGAGUUCGAGUCUCCGCUCCGCUGGAUUCCUCCGCGCACUUAUCGCGUUCGGGUCGGGUUUGAUUCCUUUAUAUUGGGUCAUGGUUAUUUAAGGAGCAUGUAUGAUAGUUGUGUUUACUCCCGGAAGUUAAAUGAUGGUUCUUUCAUUUACUUAUUGUUAUAUGUUGAUGACAUGCUCAUUGCUGCCAAGAAUUUAUCAGAAAUUCACACUUUGAAACUUCAGUUAAAUAGUAAAUUUGAAAUGAAAGAUUUGGGAGUAGCUAAAAAAAUUCUUGGUAUGGAUAUUAAGCGAGAUCGAGGAGUAGGGAAAUUGUUCUUGACCCAGAAAAAUUAUCUUGAAAAAGUCUUGGAGCGUUUUGGCAUGAAAGAUGCUAAACCAGUAUCUACUCCUCUUGCUAGCCAUUUUCGACUAUCUGCUGCUCAAUCACCAAAAUCAGAUGAAGAGGAAGAUUAUAUGGCACGGGUUCCUUAUUCCAGUGUAGUCGGCAGUAUUAUGUAUGCAAUGGUUUGUACUCGUCCAGAUAUUGCACAAGCAGUCAGUGUUGUUAGCAGAUAUAUGUCUUGUCCCGGAAAAACACAUUGGCAGGCUGUGAAGUGGAUUCUCAGAUACUUGCGAGGUACUUCAAAUGCAUGUUUGGAGUUUGGAAGAAAUAAUAACACUUUGGUUGGUUUUGUAGACUCAGACUACGCUGGGGAUCUUGACAGGAGAAGAUCACUUUCAGGCUAUGUAUUUUGCAUUGGCGGUUGUGCUGUUAGUUGGAAAGCUACUCUACAACCUGUCGUAGCUUUGUCUACUACAGAAGCAGCAUAUAUGGCUGUGACCGAGGCAGUCAAAGAAGCCUUGUGGUUGAAGAGUUUAUUUAGCGAGCUUAGUCUACAUCAAGGUGUUACUGUUAUUCACUGUGAUAGUCAAAGUGCCAUACACUUGACUAAAGAUCAGAUGUAUCAUGAGAGGACGAAGCAUAUUGAUGUGAAAUAUCACUUCAUUCGGGAUAUCAUUGCUGAAGAAAGGUCCUUGUUCGGAAAAUCAAUACUAAGGACAAUCCUGCCGAUAUGUUUACGAAACCUCUUCCAGUUUACAAGUUCAAGCAGUGCUUGGACUUGGUUGGUGUUCGUUGUUUGUGAUUUAAGUCCAUUGGGGCUUAUGUGGAGAAGGUGGAGCAGUUUUUUGGUGGGACUUAAAAUUAUGCCAAGGUGGAGAUUUGUUGAGCCGCAAUUGUUGACGCCCACAAUGGUGGAAUUUGGUGGCAAAAUUUCCUCAUCCCACAUCGCCUAAAGUAGAAGGAAAGCCUCCCAAAUACAACUAUAAAUAGGGGGCUCAUAUGAAGGAAUUGAUUGCACCACUCAAGAGAGUUAUAUGGACUAUUAGCUUCUUGAGUCAUCUAGCCCAUUUAGUCAAAUAUUUUAGACUCUCUUGUAUUGUGUUUAGGAAUAUUUCCUAAACCUUUUAUAAGUGCCUUUUGGCCUAGGAACCACUUUCUUACGGCUUUUGUAUUUCUUCUUCAAAGUCGAAAUAUUGCUCCUUCUCUGCCCGUGGACGUAGGUCAAUUUGACCGAACCACGUAAAUCUUCUGUGUCUUUUAUUUGCUUUAUUAUUUGUCUUUAUUGGGUUGCCACAACUCUUUUAUAUGGCCGGUUUUACCGCCUAAUUAUUAUAUGGCUGGUGUCUACCGCCUAAUCUUUAUAUGGUCGGUUAUACCGCCUAAUUUGUGCUAACUUUAGUUUGUUUAUUCCUGGGCCAGUCCUAACAAUAAUUUCUUCUUGUUAAUUUGCAACCUAACCUUUUAACUUUUUGACUAUCUUUCCAUUUCAAAAAAAUUAGAGAUCCUUGAUAUUCGUAGUUGUCUUGACCUAUUCAAUUUCCUUCCUCCAUUUUAUAAUUAGUUUGCAUGCAUUUUAAUGGUGAUUUAUCCACAAUUUGUAUAGAAUACACCAAGGGCUGUCAAUCCGUCUUUGAGCUUGGGGUUGCUUGAUUAAUUUUAAAAAAAAAUCUUAGGUCGAAUGAACUUUAGCAAAGAAUAAUUUGAAGUAUGCAUUUGCAACCCCGUUAAAAAUUUACCUUAAUAACUUUUGCAAGGUCAUUGGAAACACACUUUGAAGGUACUUGACAUUACCCUAUUUUUAAAUAAAAUCAUUAGACAUUAGACAAUAUAGAGGCAAGAAUUAUUAAAGAUAGAUAUUUAAGAGCUACUUUGAAAACAUCAAAAAUACACUUUGAAGGUACUUGAGGAAAACCUUUUUUUUUAAAAAAAAAUAAAUCAUUAGCAUUAGAAAAUUAAGAUGCAAGAAUUAUUAAAAAUAGAAAUAUUAAAAAAUCUACCUCAUGUUUGUUUUAGGAUAAAUUUUGUGCACACAGACAGUGUAUAUAUAAGCGGGACUAAAUGCAUGCUACCUUUAUUGUGGAAGCAAUAAGUACAUCAACCAUUCUUUUUGUUCCUUGGAUACGUUUUGUAGUGGAAGACGUUGCUACUUGGAUCUGAGCCUCACAAUUUAUGUUUCGUAUGAUUUCGUACAAGUUGAUCUUUGAUGUAAAUUAGUCAAAUUUCGGUAUGAGUCAGGUCCAAUUUAAUAUAAAUCAGGUGCAGUUUAGUGUAUAUUAAUUUGAUGUUAUUUGGUGUAAAUUAGAUACAUUUGGAUAUAAGUUGAUUAUUAUCAUUUAGCAUAAGUUAAGGUCAAUUUAAUGUAAAUUGAGAGUAAAUUGUUAAAUUUUACACCAAUUUAUGCAUAAUGCAACUUGUGAGGCCCUAUUUCCUGCUUAGAAUUUUCACUUGAAGUCUUCAAUACUUGUCGUUGCUCGGCCUUUGAUGAGCGCGGGGUAUACAAAUAACAUUUAAUUUAUCCACAGUCAAGUUUUAUAUUUAUUAUAUUCUAAAUGCCCCGCACGUAAUUUUUCUGCAAGUAUACAGGUUGUGAGCAAGUACAGGGUAUUAAGGGCCGAACCCACAAGGAAAAUUUUUAAUUACCAUUGAUUUUCGAACUCCUUUAGUAUUUAGACUGUCAUAAGUGCAAGAAAUUGAAUCUACACUAUAAACAUGAAAUAAAAGUAAUAAAAAUACAUUAGAAAGCUUCUAGAGGAAUGGAAUUCCUUUCUACUCUUACAAAUGAAAUUACCAGUUAAGUGAAUGCUAUUAUCUUGGCUAGUUAUGGUGUAAUUUCUUAAUGUAUGUGAAACCUACUCUCUUAGUGAAUCAACUAUACUUGUAGAUAAGUCAUACAUACUUUCGUGGUUAUGAAAUCAACUACAAGGUCAUUUCUUCUACGAAAUUACAUGAACAAAACACUAAAGCCACAAAGGUGCACCUCUAUUCUCGUAAGUGUACUCCCUAGAUUUAUCACUAUAGCUUUCUUGAAUUAGUGUUAAAUUUCAAUUCUUAUUGCAAACUUAACACCUUAAAAUUUCACAAUUAAUGGCUAGUUAAUCAUGAUUAGAUAAGCAAAAGUAAUAAAUAACUUGCUCAAUAUAACAUCAUCAAAUAACCAAUUAAAUAUCACAAGUAAAAUAUAGAAAGUUCAUCCAUAACUCUAGGCAUAAACUUUAGAAACACAUAUAAAAACACAAAUCCAAACUUGUAUUAUAGAUAAACAUGAACUCAAAUACAAAAGAGAAUUCACUCUUGUCACAUGAGUUCCAACUCCCCAUUUUUGCUCCUCCAAUUUUCAUUUAAGUCUAACUACAAAUACAAGAAGGAAAAGCUAUACUAACUAUACUAUACUACUCUAACUAAUGAACUACGGAAAUUCUAGUGAAGACUACAUUUUUGUGGAGUUUCUCUAGCCUUCCAAAAUUAUGAAAAUGUUCCCCAAAGACUGCUGUUUAUAGAGAAUUCAAGCUCAAGGUGAGUUGUUUCUUGGUUGAUAAAGUUGGCUUUUGAACUCAACAAGAGUUAUUCUCCAAGUUUCCACACUCUUCUUGGUCAGAUAGAGCCAAAAUUCUGAGUUGUAGAUGAGUUGGAAAGGUUGUGUGAAUGCAAAACAAGUUGCAGAGCAAGUUGUAGCAGAAAAACUAGAAUACGUGACCUCAAAUACAUGAUCUUAGGUCGCGUAUUUCACCUCACAUUUUCUCCAUUACAGGUUUGCACUUUCUGGGCAAAAUUCAUCCUCACUCUAUUUUUGUACCAACUUCAACUGACAAUUUCUUGAUGAUGGAGGCUGAACUAGUUCUUGUGAAAAAUAUGAAAGUUGUAGCCCUUUGAGUUAGCUUUCCAAUGCAUCAAUAAUCAUCCAAUUUUCAGCUUUGUGGACUCAGAAAUGGACAAAAUACCCUCAACUGGUCAAUCCCCUGUUUCAACUUUCGACAAUGAAAUUUUGCUUCUGUAUUUCAACUUUUUGACAAUGAAAACGACUAAACUGGACUUCAAUGUCUUCAUAACAAAUGUAGGUCUAUCUUGUAGUUUCAAAAUGAUUCAAUAAUCAUCUCAAUCCAAUGAUUAUAGCUCAGGAUAUUGCCAAAAUACGAACAAAUGUCAAUGCUGUCAAACUUGCAUUUCUUCCAUUGAACAUUUUACACUUCAUGUUUUCUUUAAAUCACUUCAAAUCAUCAAUAAUCAUCCAAAUAUCUUCUCAAUAAAAACAUGAAAUUUUCAACAUUUAAACAUGUAGAAAUGCAAUUUUCACAAUUUAAACCAUAAAAUUCACAUUGUCACUAUUCAUUAGCUAUAAAAAUGACUAAACCAUACCAAGACCAAUUAAUAAAACACACUUAAAACACACAAAAUAUGCACUCAUCAGCCUUCAUUUGCUUUUGAUCCACAUGCGGGGAGCCUUGGGUUGCAUAAAAUAUGACAAUCAAGGAUUUAAAAUGCGACAAAAAUGGAAAAAAGAAAGGGAAAAUGGCAAUCAUAAAUUAGUACUAUUCAACUAAUGCCAAAUAUAAAAUUCUCUUAUAACCCAAAAUGUUUUAAAGGGUGACUUAGUAAUCUUAUUAUUAUUUCAUUUAAAAAGUUUGACUAUCUUCCUUUGACUGUUAAAUUUGAUGGAAAAUUUAAUACUUUCACUUUCGCAAUUUCCAUAAGGAGGGAAAAUGUAGGUUUCUAAUCCACAGGGAGUUAAUGUAAACAUUUGCUUAAUCACAAGGAGCUAUUUUAUAUUUAACCCUUUUUUUAAUCUAAUUUGUUAAUUCUUACGACAUAAGGAUAGAAUUGACUUCAUGUAAAUUAAUAGUUGCAUGACAAAUUUGGAUGCUAUUAAUUCCACAGAAGAUGCUUGGCAAUUUCACUGCGGUCUUUCGUAAUCGAUCCAAAGGCUUCUUACACAUUUGACAAAUUAGAGGGGGCCAAACCUGACCACUGUUGAAGUAAAAAAAACACACGAACGAAAUCAACCACACGAGGGAGCCCCACAUUUGUGAGACUGUGCGUGAGUAUGGGCCUUUGGUUUAACAUCUUGACGUGUUUGCAUUGUUUUACCUUGCUUUGAGAGCUGCUUCCUCGUUUUCUUUGAUAUCACUUGGGUAAACUGCUCGUGAAUUAGAGUCUGGUCGUGAUAUUCGUCUUUAUCACGUUGUGAAUCAUCCUUUCCCUCUCCAUUUUGGUUAUCAUUUGUACCUGAAUGAAGAAAAGGUUUUAGAUGAACGAGAGGAAUCUUCCCAUGUAAUUUCUCCCAUUGAAACUCUUCGAACACAUCUUUAAACUGUGGCACAUUUUCAAACCGGGACUUUUCCGUUUCUGUUCUUGUAAUUGUACCCACAAGGGGUGUGGCUCCAACUAAUACCACAUUAUGUGGAUCAUGACUUUUGGCUACCUUCCCAAGUGCAUCGUUUCCCACCUUAGAUGUAAUUUGCUUACGUUCCAUCGCCUUCUCUGUCGAUGCAGCCACUGUGAAGGUUCCAUUAGCUGGUGAAUGGCCAUCCUCAGCCUCCGACUCAGUGAAUUCCCCCUCAUCAAGUUGGUUCGUAGCUUGGGGCUGUACCGACCGCAUCUCUUCUGUUUCCCGAACCACCUGAUCAGCCAACUUAUGAAUGAUUUCACCUGCGGUAGAAACAAUGGUCUCCUCUACUAACGCAGCGACAGCCAACCCAGGCUGCUGGGGUUGGGUCAAGACGACAGUCCCUGCCGAUGGAUGCUCAACCCGCAACUCGCCCUCUUCCAGCGCGCUUUCCAGAGCUUCCUCUAAGGCAUUGCCCCCAGGUCGCUGCACCUCCGGAGUCAGAGUAGGAGCCCCAGGCCUCUCCGUGGGAGUCACCGCAUCUCCCAAAGUUAUCUUGUCCAACUCCUCAUUGCCGUUUGUCUCCUCGAUAGCUGCUGUCGUACCCUCGCCAACCGCAUCUGGUUGCUGAAGGAGACGCUGUGGACCUGCUGUCACCGCCAUCCUUCCCAUUUCUGAAAUCACCCGUGGAACAUAUCUCCGCCGCUGCUGCUGGCCAUUAGCCACUGGCCGCAGAGAUGGGUCCUUCCGAAAGCACGAACCAACCCCGUGGCCAAACAUACUACAAUAGGAGCAGUACUCAGGCAAUCCCUCCAACUCCACCGGCUGCCAAAACCCAUAGUUAUCGUCACCUAUCCAGACCCGCUGCACUGGCGGCGCCGAGAUGCAGAGCUCCACCAGUACCCGCGCUACCGAGGGGCGCCUAAGGUCACUGGUAGCAGCGUCUACUCGCAACGGCCUCCCCAAUGUUGCAGCAAGCCGCAGCAGUUGUUGUUUUUGAAAAAAGGGUAGGGGCAACUCAGGAAAGGCCACCCACACCGGAGCAAUUGCCAACUCCUGAUUUGCUUUGAACUCCAAAGACCAUUUGGAUAUUGACAUCGGAGAACUGCGUACGUACCACACCCUCCUUGCGAAAAGCCUGGUGUAAUCUUCCUCCAACGCCGGCCGAAGCAGCACAUGUUUUUGAUCCAGCAAUCCCACCGCACACUCCCCUUUAAGGCCUAGAGAUGUGAUGAACUUUCUGAUGAGUUCCAUUGAAGGCCUGGUGAACGCAAACCUCCCAACAAGAGCAUUCUGGAAAGGUUCGGCAAGCUUGGCGAUGUCCUGUUUGGAGAGGCGGAGAGCAGGUUCUCCCCUGAAGGUGGAGACCUCCCCCAACGCACCUGAGGCUGCAACCGCAGCCCUACCUGAGACAACCGCCGCAAACGACCUGCCCUGCGGCGGCCCUCCCUCUGGAGACGACUCCGACGACCCGUUGGCCGCCAUGCACUAGUUAGGAUAAACCCUAGCUGCCUGCUGAGAUCCGAGAUUUCCGCUCAUUCUUGUUAAUUGCUCUUUUCACCCAUUGGCUAGAAGAUCCCCUUUUUGCUAGUUUAGUAACUUUUAUGGCCACUAAAGAAUUUUAAUUCUCAAAGGCUUCUUGAAAUAGUGGAAUGACCCAAGAGGGGAAAUGACAAUCAUAGUUGGUGACAUUGGCAACAUCAAUCAUGCCAUCUGUUAAUCCAGACAUAAAUUAUAAAAAAAUGAUUUGGUCUUACUAACUAUCCUCGAGAAUUAGACUGACAGCGUAAUUAUUAGGGCAAUUUACAUCUCUUAUGGUUUGCUGUUUUACCGCAUAACCAUUUUGUAGUUUAAAAACCUAUAAUUAGUUUUGACACUCUUCUAUUAGCCUCCUAUCCCAUUUAUAAUUAGUUUCCACACUCAAUAUGUCUUGGUUAUGUUUUAUGUACAAGAUUUAAGUGUUGAAAAAUUUGAAGAGUUUGUUUAACUAAAGUAUAAUAUGCUUAUCCCAGGGAAGUUACUUGUCUUUUCACUGGAAAAAAUUUCCCAGGUUCAUGCUCGGAUUCUUCUUCUUCUUCUUCUUCCUUCUUCUUCCUUCUUCUUCUUCUUUUUCUUUUAAUCGCUUGUUUGUGUUGUCAUCUCCAUUACUUAAAACAUAUAUUAUUUGUUUUGAAGGGACCAAAAUCCUGCCCUUGGUUUUGUGAAAAAGAGACCUCCUCCACAGUUUUCCGUGUGCAUUGGAUUUUGACUCUUGGCUAGCUUGUUCAAACUUCCAAGUUUCUUAAACACAAGUACCUCCAAGAAUAGAGAAAAUACCAAAUUGAGGGUCGACUUCUACUUUGUAUAUUAUCGGGCAAAUUACAUUUUAUCUCUCUGUGAUUUAGCAUUUUUUUACAUAACCGUCCUAUGAUUUCAAAAGCUAUACAUAACCCCCUCAUGGUUUGGAUUAAAGUGUCAAAGUGAAGGAAAUAGUCACUCGUAAUGGAACUUCUAAAAAUAUCGAAAUUACCCUUAUAAAUACAUGACACAUUAAUCCCGUAUGAUUUUUACAUUUUACCAUAUAACCCCCUUAUGGUUUAAUAUUUUAUCAUAUAACCCCCUUAUGAUUUUCAAAAUAUGCACAUAACGCCCCUUGGUUAAUAAAUAAUUUUUAACUUUACAUAAGGGUAUUUUUGACAUUUUAGGUGAUUGAACAGUACAUCUUCCUUGGCUACCUCAAAAAUAUCUUCAGGAUGACUAGAUUUCUUUUGUUUUGUGCAUAAUAUAUUAGAUAUCAAAGUGGUUAAAAGUCACAAUCGUGCAGUGUAAGAAGAGAAGCAUAUCUAAAAUUACCAGAAUUUUUGAACCAAAACAUGAAAGUGAUGACCAACAGCUGCGAAUACUCCUUGAUUGACCAUAGUCUUCGUGGCUAGAAAAACAAAACCAAGGAAAAGUGACUCAGAAAACCAUCAUAUAUGACUCUGAUAGAGCAGUUACUAAUCAAAUGGUUCAGAUAAGCAUGUAAGCUCAUUAUCAAGAGCUAAAAGUUCAGAGAAACCAUUCUUUCCCUUAGAAUCACAAGUUCAAAUAGAGUGAGCUGACUUUAGCAACAAUAACUUACAAUCCACAGAAGCAGACAUGUAAAAUCAACAAAACUAGACCGCUGGUUGUUUUAAACGUUGAUGCGCUAUUUGUAGGAAAUGCAGGCCAAAAGUUAUUGAGUUCCAGCCAUAUAGAUUGUGCUGAAGAAGCUUCAAAACUCUAACCUCUGUUUGUCUAAGCAAGAGACCACAAAAAUCAGCUUGGAAAGUAUUGAAGACAGGAGUGUGGUCAGAAUUGCUAAUUUAAAGACAGAGAGAAAAAAUUCCACGAAUUUUCUGCAUACGCUAUGGAAUAUAAAACGCAAUUGCAUUUUCCACAGGUGAAAGUUCAGAGAACUCAUUUCAUCCUGAUGCAAAUCACGAGUUUUAAGAGAGAGCUAAUCUUAGAAAUCAUAAUGUACAACAGGUUGGCUGACAUGCAUGAUAAACAAAGUAAAGUCAAAUCUUAAUUUCUUUUAUAUUGUUACUUCAUUAGUUGCUUUGUUUCACUUCUCUUUUAUGCAAAACUUGCUUUGGUUAUCCAAGAAAUCUUGUGCAUUUGGUUAUUAACUACGGAAACAAGAUAUUAACUCAAGCUUCCAAUGAAGACAUGUAACUGUCGCCUAUCGAUGGUAAUGUUUAUGAAGUACCUAUGACUUUCAAUCACGAUACCGAAACCUAAGAAAGACACCAAACAAAAUUGAAAAGAACUACUUCAUGCAAUUCUUCAUUUUUGGUUAAGCGACUACUAACAUAAGAUGUAGUACUCAACAUCAUAUAGACCAGGUAAUAUUGGAAUAACAACAAAUCUUUAAGUAACAGAAUCAUUCUAGACAUGCCAUUUUUAACUGGAGAAUGAGAACAUGAAAACUCAGAAAAUCAUGUUGCAUGUAAUGGUGCAAAGAUACAGCUUCAAGAAAGGUGGCAAGCUACUUGUGGAGGAUAAUAGGCAGUCACAAGGCAGACCAAUAUUUUUCUGCAACUAAGUUGCAGCUAACUUGAGAGACAAGCAGUCUGAGACAGAAAAACAAAUUGAGGUCCAUAACCAGUGAAUUACUACCUCAUGUCAUAAGCACAAAAGCUACAGCUGAUUUACAGUUUGAAUCACCACAUUCACAAUGUAGAUCUCAAGCUUUGGCAUUGUUUUCUAACAUAAACUGGUACACAGAGGUGAAAUCUGUCUGCUCAGUCUGCAGAUAAAAGCAGUGUCACGAGAACUAUCCUAGUUUGUGUCCGAAUGAUACGUUCCUCGAUCCACGGUCGAGACACGUAGCACGUUUGCCCAAGGAUCUAGCGGGGAUGUCCAACGCUUGGAUUGCGGAACCCUUACUCAAACGGACAACUCGAUUUGAUUGGAGGUGGUAGACGACACUCCAAUGAAGGUGAAUACUCCAGGGGAAUAGGUCGGACGAACAAUCAAGGACAGGACGCGAGAUUGCUCAAUAACCCUUGCCAAGCAAGUUGAAAGGCACGAAUUCUUUAUGAAAGAAAACGAAUGCACUAAUAAUUUUAAUUCAUCAAAAACUAGUUUUUAACCUUACAAGGCUAGCCUAUUUAUAGGCUUAAUGAAACAACUAAAAACCCUAAAGAAACCUAAAGGGGAGGUCGGCUACCUUGUCAUCAAGGUGGGCCGGCCUCAAGCCUUCUACGGACAAUUAGUCCAAACAAAAUGGAAACAACGACUAAGGCCCUACUCGGCCGAUUCGUAAGGAGGCCCACUAGAGUCUUCCUGGGCUUGGACCAAAGUGCAAGUUGCUUGAUUGAUCCUUUCCAAGCCUUCAAUAUCUCUAUAGCCUCCAUGUUGAUCGUGGACAACUUGAACAAGGGCUUGGAGGGAUUCCUUGAAUAGCUUGGCCCGUGCACGUGUGACUGGGCCUAAUGGGACUUGGACUGGGCCCUGGUUCAUGCACACAUCAGUCCCCUCCUCUUGUGAAGGAUUUGCCCUCAAACUGGAUCCUCCUCACCAAGAAACGGGCUCAAGUCUGCGACAUUGAAGGUCGCGCUAACAUUGUACUCCCCAGGUAGCUCCAAUUUGUAGGCGUUGUCAUUAACCCGGUGGAGCACACGAAAAGGUCCAUCCCCUCUGGGGGAUAAUUUGCUUUGUCGCUGCUUGGGGAACCUCUCUUUGCGUAAGUGUAACCAAACCCAAUCACCAGGCUCGAAGAUCAUUUUGCGGCGGUGCUUGUUAGCCUGCUGGGUGUAUUGCUGAGUACGCCUUUCAAUGUUUGCUCGAACAGCUUCAUGUAACCUGCGCACAAAAUCGGCCUUCUUUUUCCCAUCUAAGCUUGUGUGCUCAGAGGAAGGUAAGGGUACUAAAUCAAGAGGGGUUAGCGGGUUAAAACCAUAAACAAUCUCAAAAGAUGAGUAGUGUGUAGCACUAUGAACAACUCGAUUGUAGGCGAAUUCAACAUGAGGCAAACACUCUUCCCAAGUCUUAAGAUUCUUUUUAAUCAAUGCCCGAAGUAGUGUGCCAAGUGUGCGAUUGACAACUUCAGUUUGUCCAUCGCUUUGUGGAUGACUAGUGGUGGAAAAUAGUAACCGGGUGCCAAGUUUAGACCACAGAGUCUUCCAAAAAUAACUCAGAAAUUUCACAUCCCUAUCACUAACAAUGGUCCUAGGCAUACCAUGCAGACGGACAAUUUCUUUGAAGAAUAGAGUAGCAAUAUGAGAGGCAUCGUCAGUUUUGUGACAUGGAACAAAAUGAGCCAUCUUAGAAAACCUAUCAACCACCACAAAGAUGGAGUCAUUACCUCUUGGUGAUCUAGGCAAACCUAGAAUAAAGUCCAUAGACAAGUCAACCCAGGGAUGGUGAGGGAUAGGUAAUGGGGUAUACAAGCCAUAUGGAUUUGUUUUGGACUUUGCCUUGUGGCAAGUAGCACACCUACCAACCAUGCGGUCAACAUCCCUACGCAUAUGGGGCCAGUAAAAGUGCUCUUGCAACAUAGCCAGUGUCUUGGCAAUGCCGAAGUGGCCCAUGAGACCACCACAAUGUGCCUCUCGAAUCAAAAGAUCACGAAUGGAAGAGUUAGGCACACACAGUUUAUCUACAUGGAAUAGAAAUCCAUCAUGCAAAAAGUACUUUCCAUGCGGAUUCUUAACACACACGGCAUAGAUAUCACCAAAGUUAUGAUCAUUAGUGUAGAGGUCCUUUAUCAUUUCGAACCCAAGCAAUUUGGCAUCAAGAUAGGCAAGCAAGGAGUGUCUACGUGACAAGGCAUCAGCUACCACAUUUGUCUUGCCAGUUUUGUACUUAAUCACAUAAGAAAAGGUGUCAAUGAAGCUUACCCAUUUGGCAUGUCUCUUGCUUAAUUUAGGUUGCCCUUUGAGGUACUUCAAUGACUCGUGAUCAGUGUGUAUCACGAACUCUCGAGGGCGAAGAUAAUGUUGCCAGGUCUCCAAGGCCCUCACUAAGGCGUACAACUCCUUGUCGUACGUGGGGUAGUUCAAUGCAGCUCCUCCCAACUUUUCGCUAAAGAAGGCACACGGCCUCUUGUCUUGCAUUAGGACUGCGCCAAUACCUACACCAGAAGCAUCACAUUCAAUUUCAAAGGUAUUGUUAAAGUUUGGUAAUGCUAACACAGGGGCAUGCGUUAGUGUGUCCUUGAGGGCGAGAAAUGCUUGGUCUUGUGAUUCUCCCCAAAGGAACUUGUCAUGCUUCUUUGUCACGGCGGUCAACGGGGCGGCAAUAGUGCUAAAAUUCUUGACAAAUCGCCGGUAAAAGCCCGCCAAUCCAAGAAAGCUGCGCACGUCAGGGACGGAUGUGGGGGUUGGCCAUUGCUCGAUGGCGUCAAUCUUGGAUUUGUCCACCUUGAUGCCCUGUGAACUUACUACAUAGCCUAAAAACACAAGCUCGUUAGUACAAAAGGUGCACUUCUUGAGGUUGGCGUACAGACGCGCCUGUCGAAGUGUCUCAAGAACUAAUCUCACAUGCUCUAGAUGCUCAUGCUCACUACGGCUAUAGAUCAGGAUGUCAUCAAAGUAAACAAUGACAAACUUGCCAAUGAAAUGUCUCAACACAUGGUUCAUUAGUCGCAUGAAGGUGCUAGGGGCAUUAGUUAAGCCAAACGGCAUGACUAACCACUCAUAGAGACCAUGUUUGGUUUUGAAGGCCGUUUUCCACUCGUCGCCUUCUUUCAUCCGAAUCUGAUGAUAGCCACUCCUCAAGUCAAUUUUGGUGAAAAUAAUGGCACCAUCGAGUUCAUCAAGCAUAUCAUCAAGUCUAGGAAUGGGAUGACGAUAUUUGAUGGUGAUAGCGUUCACAGCCCGACAGUCAGUGCACAUACGCCAAGUACCGUCCUUUUUGGGCACAAGUAUCACUGGCACAGCACAAGGACUUAGACUUUCCUUUACCCAACCUUUACCUAAGAGGCCAUCAACUUGCCUUUGCAGCUCCUUGGUCUCUUCAGGACCCAUGCGGUAGGCAGGUUUGUUGGGUAGUGGUGCCCCAGGAAUGAGGUCGAUUUGGUGCUCAAUCCCUCGAAUAGGUGGUAAGCCAUCAGGGACUUCGUCGGGGAAAACAUCCUCAAAUUCCUGCAAAAGAACAACCAUACUCGCAGGCAAUGCCUUAUCGAGUUCAGCAACAUCUAAAAGCACAUGUUUGCAAAUCAUGAGAAGGACGGGCUGAUCAGAAUUGACAACUUUCCUAACGUCCUUGGCCUUAAUGAUCAUGUUUUGCUUCCUAGUGGUAGGUGGCGUAAGUGAUUUCUCACGCGUCACACUAGGUGUGCUUCCUUGAUCCUUGGUCAAUGACUCACUUGCAGGGGUGGAGCCGUUGCCAGGGUCGACCGCCUUUUGUCUCCUUCUUUGACGGUCUUGUUCACACUCUCUUUGUAGCUUAAGUUGGUCCUCAUAUACUUGUGCAGGUGUAAGUGGUGUGAGAACCUUGCGUUUGCCAUCAUGCAAGAGAGUGUACUUGUUGGCCCUUCCGUCGAACGUGACGUGUUUGUCAAAUUGCCAUGGUCGACCCAAGAUAACAUGGGUGGCAUGCAUAGGUACCACGUCACAAACAACUUCAUCGGUGUAAGUUCCAAUGGAAAAAGGGAUGCGUACCCGUUUGAAGACACGUACCUCUCCUUCCUCGCUUAACCAUUGGAGGCGAUAAGGGUGUGGAUGUCUAGUGGUUGGAAGUCCUAAGCUCUCAACCAUGAGUAAGCUUGCCACGUUUGUGCAACUCCCACCGUCGAUGAUGAGACUACACACCUUGUCACCUACUUUGCAACGAGUGUAAAACAGGUUUUCCCGUUGUAAUUGCUCAUCCUCCUUAACUCGGGCUGUUAGCACUCGUCGUGCCACCAAACACCCGACGUCCCCUUGUAUAGGCGAGCAAUCUUCCUCAGUAAAGUCGUCAUCCAGGCCGUCGCCUUUGGUCAACUCGGGUAGCUCCUCACAGUCGUCGUCAUCGGACACAAUCUCGCCAUUGUGAGUGAUUAGCAUGACCCGUUGGUUUGGACAUUGAGAUUGAAUAUGCCCAAACCCUUGGCACUUAAAACAUUUGAUGUCCCUGCUCCUUGCCUUAGGAGUCUCUUGUGGUGCCUUAGAAGUAGACCUGGAUACAUCGGGACCCUUGUUAGGUGUAGAAUAGGCAUUACGAUUAGAGGUGUUACCUUGGAUGCGGUUAGAAGAGGUUGGUAUCGCCGCGUUUCCAACUUCGUGGGUCGCCCUUCGUGGUUGGUUGCCCCUCCAUGAAGUGGUGUUAGAAGAUUGGAAAGGACGUGCUCCUCGUCUGAGCUUCUUUCCCCGCUCGGCCUUGAUAGCGAGUUCUAGAAGGUCGUGCAUGUCCAGGUAAUGUUGGAGCUCCAAGGCUUCUUGAAGGUCGGGAUUGAGACCUCGAAGAAACCUAGCCAUUGUGGCUUCAUUGUCCUCUUGAAUGUUGGCCCUCAUCAUGGCCAUCUCGAUCUCUUUGUAGUAGUCUUCCACACUCAUGUUGCCUUGAGCGAGGGUUUGAAGUUUAGAAUGGAGAUCGCGAUUGUAGUAGCUAGGAACGAAUCGUUUGCGCAUUAGUGCCUUGAGUUCGCGCCAAGUCCGGACACGUGGUUCGCCCAUCCUUCUCCUAUGGGUCCGUACUUGGUCCCACCAGACUAGUGCGUAGUCGGUGAACUCCACGGUGGCAACUUUAACCUUUUGUUCCUCGGUGUAAUCGUAGCAGUCGAAGACCAUCUCGAUACGGCCCUCCCACUCCAAGUAAGCCUCAGGGUCACUUUUGCCUUUGAAUGCGGGGACUUGAAUUUUAAGCCCCUUGAGUUCGUUCGUAGGCGUGUCCCGUCGCGGCCUCUCGGGUCGCUCGUCGUCGUCACUGGCGGAGUAGUCCUCACUGGGUGCUCCUUUGCGGUCACGACCACUCCGAUUGCGUGAUCCAGAACGGGAGCCUGGGGUGAGACUCUUGGUGAGCUCGUCAAACCGGUUGUGCAACUCUUCCAUUUGUUGCUCACUAAUGCGUUUGAGCUCAUGUCUCAUGGCGGUGAACAUCAGAGAAAGGUCUUUGGAAGGUGGUUGUUGAUCUUGCUCCAUGUGUCUCGUGAUGCCCCCCCCUGCAAAGGUUAGUAACAAGCAAAGAAAGUGCAAAUAUAAUCCUCACUUCACUCCCUAAGUGUAUCUCUCGCGCUCGUGUGUAGUGCUCAAGUCACUCUAUAAAACUUACCAGGUACCUUUACCUGUUGGUUUAGGUAGUUGAGUAAUGUUGCUCGAGCCCGAUUAGCGUCACCAACUUGUCCCCCACAAGAGUAAGCAAGAGAUUUGUUUUGAUGAAGGGAAGGACGGUUUUGGAAAGCUUAAAGGUGGUGGACAGAUUUGGAAAAUAUUACCAAUAAAGGAAACUCUAAGAAUGCCUAAGAUGUAGGAGUAGUUUCCUAAAGUGAAUGAGGAAAUGUAGGAGAAUAUCCCAAAAAUGGAGGAGAAAAAGUAGGAAGGUGUCCAAGUUUUAUCCAAGUGUUGUACUUAGUCUCCUAAACUAAGUUGGCAAACAAGUUGGAGUUGAAAACUUCCUUUGAAAACCUUGCUUAAGCAACUUCCUAAUUCUUCUCAAAACAGAUUCGGUUCCCUCUCUCUCCUCUUGACCGUAAUUUUCCAGAAAUCUUCCCUUUAUUCCCUUCCCAAAGUCGGCUAGAAGACCCUUAUAAACCCUCUCAAGCAGCCGCCCACUAUGCUCACAACAAAAACCAGAAUUGGGCCACCGAAAUUUCCAGAUUUCUUCCUUCUUGAACCCCUCCCAAGGUCGGUUAUUGUUCCCUAUUAACCUCCCCUCACAGCCGCACACUUCACCCAAGAAGUUCGGCUCUCUCUCUACUCUCAAGUCACAACCAGUUCGGCUCCUUCCUUCGUGCCAAGAGUAAGACAGUUUCGGUUGUUGUGCCAAGUCAAUGGCGUCUCAAGACAGCGUGAACCAAGUCUCUCAAGGUUCUUUCCCACGGGUUGCUCAAGAAACUCCCAAGGAUUUUAUUCCUAAACCAAGGAAACCCCGUAUGGAUGCAAGAACUUACAAGAAACUCUUUAUUCGAAGAGAAGUGCAAGUCUUCAAAACUCUUGAUGGUCAAGAACCUCAAGAAUCCCAAAAGGUAGUGCAAGUAAUCAAAGUUCAAGGUGUUCAAGAAUUUCAAGAAGAGGUUGGUCAAAACUUUUGAAUUUUUUUUUUCUUCUACUUGCUGUAAUUUUCUGGUUUGGGUACAAGAUGCAAUAAGACAGAUUUGGCAAUAAAAAGUGCGAUUUUCCUUCUUGGUUUUCUUGCUACCCGAUGGCUCUUCUUGUUUCUUUUUCGGUUCUUUUUUUUUUUUUUUAUACUUGGUAAUAGACUACACCUGGCCGAAAGGGUUUCAAACCAGAUUCUGAUCAAGUCCUAAUUUACUACAACCAACAGCCCCAAAACUCCAAGUUUUUUAUCAAGAACUUCCAAGAACUUCAAGAUUAAGUUCAAGAAAGUCAAGAAUCCUAAAACUCACGUAGAUUUCCUUCAAGAUUCACAACUCCAACAAGUUUGGUCCACAAAUCAGUUUAGGAAACUAACUAAACAACUUAGAUAAGCGACUAACACUUGGACAGAUUUGGCAAUCACAAAAACUCUAGCCGCACCAAAACCCUAGCCGCGGUUUUUUUCUUUCUUCUUUUUUUUUGUGUUUUUUUUUUUCAGUUUCGGCUAGGACCAAUUGCUGGGCAGAAUGGUUGUAAUACGAGGAUAAAAUCUGGGCAGAUUGGACUAGCAACAAAAACACACAACUGUCCAGAAAUUUACGCGACCAAGAACAAGAAUUAGCGAACAGAUUUUUUUUUUGACUCACAACGGACAGAAAUUUCUAUUUUGUUGGUUGUCUCCUUUUUUUUUUUUUUGAUGAAUGCGGACACCAAUGGACAGAAAGGAAAGACUCACGGCAAGGCACAAGACAAGACACGGACAGAAUGUUUUUUUUUUUGACAAGCGAUGCAAACAGAUUUUGUUUGUUUUUUUUUUGACUAGCAAAGCAGCAACGGACAGACUUGAAGACACAAACGAACGGGUAUGGAUACGAACUCAAUCAAUAAAACAACGACCAGAAUUUCUAGAUAACAAACGAAGGAAAACGGCACAACGAAGCAACAAAGCAAACGAACAGUUUUUUUUUUUUUUUUUUCAAAACACAAGGCAGCGGAAAUAAUGAAACUAAGACACAACUAUGGAUAUAACGGAAGAUACCUCCACCAAAGCUCUGAAGCCAACUGAUACGUUCUUCGAUCCACGGUCGAGACACGUAGCACGUUUGCCCAAGGAUCUAGCGGGGAUGUCCAACGCUUGGAUUGCGGAACCCUUACUCAAACGGACAACUCGAUUUGAUUGGAGGUGGUAGACGACACUCCAAUGAAGGUGAAUACUCCAGGGGAAUAGGUCGGACGAACAAUCAAGGACAGGACGCGAGAUUGCUCAAUAACCCUUGCCAAGCAAGUUGAAAGGCACGAAUUCUUUAUGAAAGAAAACGAAUGCACUAAUAAUUUUAAUUCAUCAAAAACUAGUUUUUAACCUUACAAGGCUAGCCUAUUUAUAGGCUUAAUGAAACAACUAAAAACCCUAAAGAAACCUAAAGGGGAGGUCGGCUACCUUGUCAUCAAGGUGGGCCGGCCUCAAGCCUUCUACGGACAAUUAGUCCAAACAAAAUGGAAACAACGACUAAGGCCCUACUCGGCCGAUUCGUAAGGAGGCCCACUGGAGUCUUCCUGGGCUUGGACCAAAGUGCAAGUUGCUUGAUUGAUCCUUUCCAAGCCUUCAAUAUCUCUAUAGCCUCCAUGUUGAUCGUGGACAACUUGAACAAGGGCUUGGAGGGAUUCCUUGAAUAGCUUGGCCCGUGCACGUGUGACUGGGCCUAAUGGGACUUGGACUGGGCCCUGGUUCAUGCACACAUCACCGAAACUCUGAAAGAUGACCAGUUGAGUAAUUUAGAAAAAGAGAUGCGGCAGCCAACAAGUAUGACAGGCAGAGAAAGCUAAAGAAUCUUCAUGAAGUGAAUUCCUAGAACAGCAACCAAUUAUUACCAUUUGAUGCUUCAAAGUUCAAAUCAUCACAGUUAGACUUAAACUUCAGUAAAGGAUAAUCUGCCAAGUCUUUGCAGCUUCAUUGCUAGAACAAUACUAUUUUCCCUUGCAACCUCAAAAAAUGACUUGAACAUGUCCUUUUUUUUUUGAAAGGGGGGAGGGGGCGAGGGGUUAGUUAACAAAUUGAGAAUCAAACUGCUUAAAACUCAAUAUUACAUAGUUGAAGAAGAAAGUUUAUCAUGGAUUAGGAGCAUUUCUUAAAAAAAAAAAAUUGGUAUUGUAGAUUACCAGUCCAUUUGGCAUGAUGAUAAGAAUAAGAUAAUAACAUUUUCUAGAGGUGAAAGUUCAGAGUAACCAUUUUUUCCUCAUAGAAUCUCAGGUUUAGGAAUCAAUGUACAGCUUGCAGUAGCAGACAUAUGUGAUGAGCAAAUAUAAACUGCUACUCUUUAUUGAAAGAUAGCGCAGGCAUAAAUCUGAGGGCAAAUGGUCUUUAACUAUCAUAUUAUGUUUGACUGUCCGCAACAAAUAAUUUGUUUGUAAAUAUCUGCAUUCUAUGAUUGAGGAAGGAAAGGAUAGAAGUGAAGUGGGACUAUUUGCCAGAAGCAAAAUACAAAAUGCUCAUCAAAUGGAUCCUUUACAUUUGGACAAGGCACCUAAACCACAAUUAUACCAAAAAGGAUAGAUUGGAUGAUGAGGUCAGUCUCUCAAGGAGUGCUAUGUGUGAGCCGUGAUGCGUAUUCUGUGUGUGUGAGUGUGCAGUUUGUGUGUCGAGAUGCUAUAGUAAGUGAUAGUGUUUACUUUGAUGACUGCAGUUGAACCUUUUCAGACCGCCUAAGACAAGAGAAGUUCAUCAAAGCAGACCUCUGCCUUCAACAAAGUGAAGUUGAGCAGUUACAUCAUUUCCAAGACUGGCAAUUUACUUCCAUGAUUAAAAUAGCUUACAAGAUAGUACAAUCAACAAUUGAGAUCUCUAAUUCCAAUCUAUUAUCAAUUUGAACGUGCACAGCAGAAUCCUCUCAAAUCCUUGCUAUUACAUGGCCAAACAACAUUCCUGGAAGCAGACCCUCGAAAACUUUCAAACUCUUGUUACUAAUCAUUUUAGUCACAAUACAUAUAUCACCUCACCUCAGGCAAUAAAUAAAAAUCUUCUUAAGAGUUUCACUGGAGUAUGUUCUCCUACAGAAAAAAAAAAGGAGAAAAAAUCCUAUAAGUUAAAUAGUUUGAAAUCUUUCUGUGUUAGAAAAUCCACAAAUUUCUGUGCUGGGACGUACUUUCAUUUGACACUUUAUUCCAUGAAUGCAAAACAAUAAGUAAAUAAACUUUUCACACUAAAUGGUGGCAUGUGUACCUGAGUUGGAUGAACUCAGAUUUAAAAAUCUGAAGAAAGCAUGCUGCCUGCAUUAUAAAUAAGAUAGAACAAAAAGUUCCAUUACGUUUUCGAGUUGGAAACCUUAUGGAAAGUAAGAGUUUCUUUUUGUCAGUUUUCUCCCUAAAAAUAAUGAGCAGGCAAUAAGACUUGAUACUAUGUACAAAUAUUUAUUUGGUUAAAAUAAAUGUGCUAACCUGAGUGUUAUUCUUGAAAGUUGGCAAAACCUCUGAUUGUUAACGUGUAACUCUAGUACGACCCAAUAAGAUGCCAAUAAUGAUCAUCAGAAGGUCAUGGUAAUGAUGGUUUCAUAAAAGACUUCAGAUAAGUUGGGGCAAGAAAUUUUUGGCCAGCAGCUCGUACAGGCCAGUUGCAGUCAUUGAGCAAUCAAAAUCCAGGCCUGCAACUUGUGCAAUUUAGUGUCAGUUAGUUUCAAAGACAAGAAGCCUGGAAAAAAUAAGCAAAUGCAUAGUAUUAUAGCAUGUCAGUUCGUACUACUGCACCUCAUGACUAAAAAGGCACAUUGAAAGUGUGCAAGCUCCCAAGAUCAGUACAUCAGGUUUUGGCCAUCUGAGGCACCAAAGUGAAAGAAAAGAGUGCCAACAUAAACAUUUCAGCCCAACUGAAACAGGAUCUGGUUCAACAUGAUUCUCAAAUAUGCAGGCUCUGUAAUUAGUAAUUACCAGCCAUUAUAGAUUUCCAGUUGAGCUUUGAACCUAAGGUCACGGGAAGACAGAAAAUUUGAACUCAGAUAGUAUGUAGUGCGAGAUAUUUCAAAUAGUUUAGUCAAUCCAAUGAAAAGCCAAAAGCUGUGUCUUGUUGGAUUUUAAGCUAAAUAAAUAAGCAGUCGCGUUUACAAGUUGCCCUACUCUUAGUCCAUUCUUGUUCCAAGCAAGAAGCAAAUCAUUAAAACUCAUAACCUGAAGAAACGGUGGGCAAUUUGUAGCACAAUCAUAGCAAAAAUAAUUUAAUAAGCCAUAUAAAUGGUGCUGAAGAAGAUUAAAUAUAACAAGAUUUACUUUAUUUCUGUAGGCACUAGACAAUCAAAAUCAACUUGGCAAGAACUGGAAAAGAAGCAAAAUCAAGAAUGGCUGGUAUGAACUGGAUGUCUUACUCUGUGACCAAAAAGAAAUGUGCUACUGCUGCAUGUGAUGGGAAUAUGAAAUAAAAAAUAGAUCUUCAAGAUGUUAAAUAUCAAAGCAACCAUUUUCCCCCUGUAGAAUCUCAAUUUUGAAGAGAUUAUUAUGAAGUUGUAGGUUGAUUUCCUUGACCACUUGUUUAUGCAUAUAUCUUUGGGGUGACCCAUGAAAAUCUUGUGCAUUUAGAUAUUAACUAAUUUAGAACAUGUAAUGCAGACAUUCAAUUUAUUGGGCCAUUACUUGCUGUAAAGCAUGGAAUUGGAACAGUUGCUUGUUUUCAUGCUAAUUGAUGGUUACAGAGUAUUAAGUUGUCAAAGGGAGAACUUAAAAAGCACCAAUGUUUUCAACUGGAUAAGAAAUGCUAAUACCGUAGCUUUGCUAGAUGAUGCUAGGACGAGAAAAAGGGAAAACAGAAAAUUGUGAAGAACAAUGACACAGAACUUUUUCUCUCUUUUCUAUUUUUCCCAGGAGAAGGUUAAUCAGAGGGAGUGGUGAAGAAAAGGCAUAUCUCAAAAUGACAAAGAGAUUGGUUAUAAGGCGCGGUAAGAGGCAUUCUUACAUGAUUGAGAUCAAGAAGCACUUGAGAUUGAGAUUGAGAUUGAGAUUUGAUUUGAUGAUGAACUAUUAACCAGAUAUGCAUAGGUUUUGAAUAUGUGAAACCUUGGACCACUUGGAGUUGGGGCCGCUGCUUUGAGGAGUGCACCUUUCCUUUAACUAGUAAUGGAGCAUGUGCUUUGCACGUGAACAUGAUGCUUUUAGAGUUUUUUUGCUUUAAAAUUUCUAGAAAAUUAAUUAUUUUGAAGGAAUAAAUGUAAUUGAGACAAACAAAUGUAAUAUUUAAUAUUUAUAUUAUUUGGAACUUAGUGUGCCCUAACCAAUACAAAUGUACAAGCAAUAAACCAUUCAUUGUUCCAAAAGCACUUUUAUUUUGUAACAAUAUCAAUAUUUUUUGUAUUUUGGUUAAAUAUAGAUGACCUAAAUGUUCAUUUUUAUGCCAUUUGUGUUUAAUUUUUUUUAAUAAUUUGUUGCUCCCCUUUAAAUCAGUCUAUGAAAUGUUUAUUAGUUUUAGUGAGACUUUCUAAUUAUUGCUACUUUUUUGCUAGCUGUGGAUUGUAAAAUGAUCAAUUGUACUAUUGUAAUUAUAAUAGUAUCUAAACAUAUUGAAAUUCCAUUGUUCGAAUUUAAAUAGCUUAACUUUGAAGAGAAAUGUUUUGAUUUAGUGAAACUUAUUUGCAUUUCUUAUUGAUGACAUGCUUUAUGAUUAUAGUGUUUAUAUGAUUAAAAAUUGUAAGACAUUAAAAUUAUUUAUUAUAUUAUAGUCAAACUGGACUUGGAUAUAUUUUUAUUCAUCUUUGAAGUACUCCUUGAAAUUGAUAUUUAUAAAAAAAGUUUUUUUGGCUUAAUUCACCAUAAUUCAAAGGGAUGUUUCACCUUUGUAAUUAUUAUUAUAAUUGGCGUUGAUGAAUAUAAUAUUCAUAAAUUAUAGUUUAAUACUGUUAGUUGUUACAGGAAUAUGACUGAUAAAAUUCAUUAAAUUUAAUCUUUAUUACAAUUUAAAUAAAUAAAUUCCCAACAUUAAACUCUUUGCCUACCUUGGUACUCCAUUUGCUACUAUAUAUUGGAUUAAUGUUUUUUAACUCAGUACCAAUAUACAUAUAUUAAAAAGGUGCUCUUAAAGCUUAAUUUACUUAUAUCCUAAAAAUGAAAAGGCUUGCAAUACUUUUUAGGAGACUCAUAGUACCAAUUUGUUAUGUUUUGUUCCAUAUUUGAAAUACUCUCUAAACUUGGAUUUUGUAAAUAAAUUUAUUCUUCUUUCUUUUGAUAAAUAAAAAAAAAGUAAGGAAUCUUUCAUUUUUGUAACUGCUUGCAUGUUUGAUAUUAUUUAUUAAUGAUGAAAUGCAACGCAAUUUGUUCAUUUAUUAGAGAGGAGUGUAAUUUUGGCAUCACAAAAACUAAUAUCAUUUUUCGCUUACACUAUUAACCACUAAGAUUCACCAUAUUUUAUUAUAAUUUAUAAAUAAAAUUUAUUCUUCAUUUUUUGAUUUAAUUCUCUAUAACUCAAGGGAAUGUUGUUCAUUCUUGUAAUUGUUAGCAUAACAGAUAUUAAUUAUUGAUGAAAUGCAAUGAAUUGGUUGUUUCUUUUUUGGUUUAAUUAACCAGAAUUAUCACAAUUCAAAAAAUGUUUCUUUGUAACGGUUAGCAUAAUUCUUAUUAAUUAUUAAGGAAAUGCAAUGUAAUUUGUCCACUUAUUGGUGUCAAGGGUAAUAUUGGUAUCACAAAAACUAAGACCAAUUUUUACUUACACUCACACUAAAGGUUCAUCAUGCUUUUUAUAUAGUAAUAACCAGAAUUAUCACAAUUCAAAAAAUAUUUCUUUGUAACGGUUAGCAUAAUUCUUAUUAAUUAUUAAGGAAAUGCAAUGUAAUUUGUCCACUUAUGGGUGUCAAGGGUAAUAUUGGUAUCACAAAAACUAAGACCAAUUUUUACUUACACUCACACUAAAGGUUCAUCAUGCUUUUUAUAUAGUAAUAAUAAUAAUAGAUAGAUAGAUAGAUAGAUAGAUAGAUAGAUAAUAGAUAGAGAAGAACCACAAACGUACAGACUUGUUAAUUUGGUGUGGCCAGAAUUGCGGGUCUAAGGAGUGGAAGAGGGUUCACAAAUUUACUGCACAUGAUAUGUAAACUAAUCUGAAAAGUGCAAUUUGAAUGAAUAGGUGCAAUCAUAACGUACGACAGAUUAGCUGAUAUACAUGACAAACAAAGUAAAGUCAAUUCUUAAUUUCUUCCACAUUGUUACCUUAUUAGUUGAAUUGCUUGACUUCUGUUUUAUGCCAAACUUGCAUUGAUAACCCAGAAAAUCUUGUGCAUUUGGUUAUUAACUGCUGAAACAAUAUAUUAACUAAAUCGUCCAAUGAAGACAUGGAACCGUUUCCUAUUGAUGGUAAUGUUAUUUAGGACAUAUGACUCUCAAUUAUGACACAAAAGCAUAAGAAAGACACCAAACAAAAUUGAAAAGAACAACAUCAUGCUUUUUUUUCAUUUUUUGUUUAAGAUUUAAGAGACUACUAACAUAAGUAAUAUUUACUCAACAUCAUAUAGACCGAGUAAUUUUGAGAUGGGUAUCAACUGUGGGAUUAGUGUAGCGGCUAGUGUCUGGUUCUCUUAAGGAAUAACUAUGAAUCAUAAAGUAACAGCAUCAUUCUAGACGUACUAUGUUUAACUGCAAAAAGAGAACAGGCAAACUCACAAAAUCAUGUUAUAUGUAAUGGACCUAAGUUACAACUUCAAGAAGGGUGGUGAUCAGCUUGUGGAGGCCAACUAACAGACGAUAAGUAGUCACAAGAUAGACUGACAAUUUUCUGCAACUAAUUGCGGCUAAUUUGAGAGGCAAGCAGUCUGAGACAGAAAAGCAAUUGAGGUUCAUAAUCAGUGAAUUGCUACCUCAAAUCAUGACCAACAGUUUGAAGGCACCACAUUCACAAUGUAGAUCUCAGACUUUGGCCAUCUCAGUCACUUAGAAGCAAAAGAGAGUGCAUUCUAUACAUAUGUCUUCAGUUUGAAAAUGAUGAAGAAGGAAUAACAGGAUAUUGACAGGUACGGAAGUAAUUAGGCCAUUGCAGAAAACUCAAACUCUGGACAGUGUAUAGAAGAUCAUAAAGCUAACAAGAAAUUUCAGAUAAUUGCAUGACAUUUCUGUUCAACAGAUCUUACAGAAAGCUUAAAAAAAGCUUUUAUCUUUGUUUUAAAACCUAAAUUUGGCAAGCAGAUAUGAAAUCUUUCUCCUCACACUAUAGAAACCAAGUAGCGUCUUGAAAAUUGUUCUAGUUCGUGUCCAAAACUCCAAAAAAAUGAAAAGAGAAGGGGCAGCUAGCAAGCAUGACAGGCAGAGACAGCUCAAGAAUCUUCAUGAAGGCAAAUUCCAAGAGUUGCGAAUUAUACUAUUUGAUGCACGAAAAUUUAAAUCAUCACAGUUAAAAUUAAGUUUUCAACAAAUGAUAAUCUGCCAAGUCUCUGGAGCUUCAUUGCAGGAGCAGCACUAUUUUCCUUGGCAAUCUCAAAAAAUGACUUGAAUAUGUCCUUUUUUUGUUGGUUUUAGUUAAAAAAUUGAGAAUCAAACUGCUUAAACUUCAAUAUUACAUAGUUGAAGAAAUGUUGAAUCAUAAGUUAGGAUAAUUUUAAGGGAAAAAAAGUGGUAUCAUGGAUUACCAGUCCCUUUGCCAACACCAAUUCAACAAUCAAGGGGCAGAGAGAAUUUGUCGAUUGACAAGUGUCCUCAUGUUGAGAGAUCAUAACUAGGGAAAGUUGAGUUGAAUCCCAUCUCUAAGAGAUGUUGUAGAGAAGAUCAAAUCUCAGAUGGUUUACAGCAAGAUGAUAAAAUGACAGGUGCAUUUUCAAGAGGUGAAAGUUCAGAGCAACCAUUUUGUCCCAUAGAAUCUCAACUUUCGGAAUCAAUGUACAAAUCACAGUGGCAGACAUAUGUGGUGAGCAGAUAAAACUGCUAUUUUUUAUUGAAAGAUAGCAAAGGCGGGAAACUCAGUGCAAAUAUUCUUAAGCUAUCAUAUUAUGCUUGGCUGUCCACACCAAAUAAUCUGUUCUUAAAUAUCUGCAAUCUAUAAUUGAGUUAGAAGUGAAAUGGACCAUGUGCUAGAACCAAAAUAUCAAAAUGCUCAUCAAAUAUACUCUUUACAUCUGGAAGUGGCUCUUAAAAAAGCCAAAAUUAUACCAAAAAGAAUUGAUUGGAAGAUGAACUGAGUUUCUCAGGGAGGAGCUAGAAGUGCCAACUGUGAGCCGUGAUCCGUAUUCUAUGAGGUAUGUGUCUGUGUAUUGAGUGUGUGCUGUGACAUUAUAGUAAGUGGUAGUGUUUUCUUUGCUAACAGCAGUUAAACAUUUCAGACUCUCUAAGACAAGGAAAUUUCAGCAAAGCAGACUUCUACCUUCAACAAACUAAAGUACAAUCAACACUUUAGAUCUCUAAUUGCGACCUGUGAUCAAAUUGAAGGUGCACAAUGGAAUCCUCUCAAAUUCCUGCUAUUGUAUUGCUAGACAACAUCCCUGGAAGCAGAUCCUCAUAAACUUUCAAAUUUUUGUAACUUAAAUCAUUUUAGUUACCAUCUCACAUAAGGUAAUAAAUAGAAAUCAUCAUACGAGUUUCAUUGGAGUACGUUCUCCUACAGAAACAAAAGAAGCUAUAAAUUAAAAAGUCUAAAAUCUUUGUCUGCGGUUGCUAGUUCACAAUUUUUUGUGCUUGGACAUACUUUCAUUUGAGGCUUUACUCCAUGAAUAUAAUGCAUUAUCUUUUCUUUUUUACAAGCAAAUUUAAAAGUAAAUAAAUUUUUCACAGUAAAUGGUGGUGUGUAUACUUGAGUUUGAUGAAAGCCGUAGAUUUAAAAUCUCAAGAAAGGUUGUUCCUGCAUUAUAAUUAUGAAAAAGGAAGUUCUAUUACAUUUUCUUGAGCUGGGAAUCUUACAAAAGUAAGUUUUUUUUUUUUUGUUGCUUUUACCCUAAAGAUGAUGAGCAGGUAAUAAGACUUGAUCCUAUAUACAUAUAAUUAUCCGGCUUAGAUAUGCUAACUUGCGGACAAUCCUUGAAAGUUAGCAAAAACUCUAAUGGUCAAUCUGGCUCUCUAGUAAUGAUCAUUGUCGCGCCCCACUUUUCGAAGAUGAUGAGUUGUGGUGUGUGUGUGGUGUGAGAUGUGAGUGGUGUAAUGGAAUGUGAACGUGUGUAAAUGAAAAGUAAAAGGCCAUGGGACUUGAUAAUGCGACGGUUUGGCCAUAUAAAGUUCAAAAAGGGUUUUUUGUAUCAAAAAUGGAGUCGCCACUUGGUAUAGGGUUAGGGUGUACCAAGUCACCCAAAAAAUGGUUUUUUGUUUUUGAAUAAAAAAAGUAAAUAAACCCUUUUAAAGAACUUUUGGGUCUACGUAACCAAAAAGAGGGAUCGGGGGUCACAUUUGACGAAGGGGAAGGCAAGGAUAAAAAAUCCAAGGCACCCCUUCGACCUAGCCAAGGCUAGUUGCGUGACUUAAACCAAUUUUUCCUAAUUUUUCUACCCAAGGUAUGUAUCGCGUGUUGGAUAUGUCUAUAUGAAUGCAAAACCCUAGACCUAGGGGUAUUGGGGGAAAUUUCUCUUCAAAGGUUGAGUGGUGCCAAUCACAUUAAUUGUGAAGCCCAAUAAUGAUCCUUUGGAGAGGUCACACGUAAUCCUAAAUGACGUAAAAAUGAAUGGGGUGCAUGUCAUGUGAAAAUGUAAGUUUAUGUGAAGUGAGAAAAGUGGAGGUGUGCAAAUGUAUUUACAAGGUAAGGUGAGUAAAGAAUGAUAAUGUGAAAAUAAUAUAAAGUGCAUGUGUGCGAGUGAUAUGGCAUAGAGUGUGAGUAGUUAAAUGAAAACGUGUAAAAGUAGUGUGAAGUGAGAAUGUGGAAAAAGGGUUAGAAUAUAAAGUAAGUGUAUGUGAUAGUGAAUGAAUAGAAUGCAUGAAUCCUAUAGGAAUGCAUCAAGACGGGAACGGGGAGUCCUAACUUUGUGACUUAAUCUUCCCUUUGAUUAGAAGGCGAAACUAGCGUGCUAAGGCUAUCGAGUAGCCACACUCGCUCGUUUCCCUUAUCAGAAGGGGACUCUUCAGGCAAAUGAACCCUAUAACUAGCAUGAAAUGCAAAAAUCCUAAAAUGAGGGGAAAGGGGAAUCGAGGAGCAUGCCAGAUGAUAAAACUAAGGAAAAAUGCAUGAUAUGUAGUGAACAGGCAAAUAAUGCAUUAAUGAAAAACAAAGGAAAAAUCCUAUUGGGUCUAGCGUUGGACUAGCCCUUUCCAUGAAUUCCUAAUGAAAUAAUGAACCACAACUAGCAUUGGACUAGUGUGGUGACGUACAUUCAUCCAUCACAUUUAUUCAGGCUAUGGAAAGCGAGUAGACAUGCCAAACACUUAUAAACACAUAGCACAUAACAUUUUGCAUGCUCGACUAGAUGCAAGGCCCUAGCAAAGCAAAUUAACACGUAGCAACUAAGCAUGCAAGGCACAUGAGACAAUUAAAGCCCUAACUAUUACAUUUGCUAGCUAGGCACAAGUCUUCGAUAGGUCUUCAUUGAAUGCUCCUCCAAGCCUUAUCUAUUACAUUAGGGGGACCCUACUACAAUCUAAAAGGGGGAAAGGGAAUAAAAUAAUUGAAUCCCUAACUAUUACAAGCCAAGAGGUGUACACAUACCCCAUAAAGAAUAAUUUAAAUAAAAAGCAAAAGUAAAUGAAAUAAAUGAAAUAAAUGAAAGGAGUUAAAGGAAUGGCAAGGAAAGCAACGUAGACAUGCAAUUCACACUUAGCACGUUGGAUCACAUAGGAGAAAUAAAAAUCAAGGAGAUAUAGGUUACCUCCCUUGUAAUUGGGCCCCACUGAAGUGAAAUCACUUAUUUAUCCUCCAAAAUAAAAGAAAUGGUCAAGGCACCAAUUUAUUUGGCAAAUAAUCACAAAGGAUAAAAAUAAACAUGAAUUUGAAUCAAUUAAAUCAUGUCAACAAACCACAUUUAAGAAGUCAAGAGAAGAGAGGACUUGAUUGCAAAGAUUGAAAAAAAUUUUGGGGCCAAAAUUAAAGAAAAAUAAAGUUCAAGGGCCUAUUUGCAAUUAAACCAGGGACUCAAUUGAAAGGAAUGGAAAUGUCUAGGGCCACAGUAAAAAUAUCCAAAAGUCAGGGGACUGGAAUGAAAUUUCGUCAUUGGGCUACUGGACUUAACAGGCCAUUGGGCCCUUCUCUCUAUUUGUUUGGGCCAAGACUCCUUAGCCUGCCACAAAGCCCAGAGGCUACAUCUGGGCUGGCCUCUACUUAUCAAUAAAACAAACCCAACAAAAGAGUGGGCUUUAGCCCCCCUUAAGCCCAAGCCAAAAAUCCAAACAAAAUAAACUAAACCCACUUUCAUAAAUCCAAACAAAUUAUUAUUACCCACAACCCAAAUCAUAAUAUCAAACCUAACAAGAUUAGCAAAUCAACUAAAAUUAUUAGGCCAUAAUUAUAAUCCAAAUCCCAGAAUUAAUCUAUCCAACAAAUCACAUAAAAUAUGCAAACAGAGGAAUAAGCUUAAAAGGGCAAAAUUAGUUUGAUUUUUCCAGAUUUUGGGCCGUAAUGAAAUGAGACAGAAAAUGAGGGAUUAAAUUGCAAUUUUAGACAUUUCUUCACUCAUGUUUCGCAGAGGCUUUCCUCUUCAUUGCUGAUACCAGUUAAGCAUUUCAGCUUUCCUUUCGAUUAGCAAAACCAGAAAUUUGGUUUCGAUUCCAAUCAUUCCAGCAAACAAUGAAACUCACAACAAUACUCCCUCUCAACAUCGAUUCGGAUUCAAGCAUAGAGAUAAAAAAACAGAAAAAAAAAACAACGAACCAACACAGCUUCUAUCAUGGAGAAUCGUUCAUUAUGUUCGGACAAGCAAAAACCAUCCGAAUGUUCCAUUUUCUUCGUACGUAAAGCAAACGAAAUCAUCUUCAAGUAGAAGGUUCAUUCGGGCAUUUUAGCAAACAGCAAAUGGGCAUGAAAAAACUCAACAGAUUUCUGCUUAAAUUACAUUACAACCGGCCCCAAAAUUAUCAGAAAAGCAAGGAAUUCAGUCCAACACACGCAGAAAACAUAUGCGAACAAAAUUACCGACCCUCAACAGAAAAAAAAAAUCAUGAUGACAGACCCACGGCAGCCAUGCUUCUGAAAUUCAUUCUUGAAGAAAAAAAAACUGAAAUGUAAAAGGGAAAGAAUAGCUUACAUCGUUUCUCACGGUGAAGAUUCACGAGCGGCAGCGGUGAAUUCCGCUGAUGCGGUGGCGAGCAAUGGUGAUUCCAGUGAACGGCAGCAGCUACAAGCUUUUCGAAUUUGCCCUUUAUUUUUGCUGAAGCUUUCUUCCUCUGCUUCCGUUCGCGGCCGGGGACUUUUCCUCUAUUCUUCAUGUCGCUCUGUUCUUUUUGGCCAAAACCUCCCCUAUUUUCCCUUUUGCUGUUUUUCGUUGAUUGUUUCUUCCAUUUAUGCUCAGCCCGCCGCCCGGUUCCUCUUUUUUCCUGCUUUCCUUUCUUUUGCUCUCGGACGAAAUUUUUCUGUUUUUGUUCUUUUGCCCCUGCUCGGCAAUUCCGCCGCCCCUGCCCUCUCAGCUCUCAAGCCUUUUUGCUUUUUGCUCUCCCUUUUAGCCGCCACCCUCCUCGGCCUUUUCUCCGUGUUUUUUCCCUUUUUUCCUCAGAUUCUUAGCCCCCAGCUUCCCCUUGUUUUGUCUAGCCUCUGUUUUUUCCCCUUGCCCGCUGCUUGGCCCCUCUAUUUUUAGCUCUUUUCUCUUCCCCCUGUUUUCAAGCCUCUUCGAGGGUUUUUUCUUCCUUUUUUUCCGAUGCCCCCCAAAAAACCCCCCAAGUGUCCUUGACAGCUACCCCCUAUACACUUGUCCUACCAUUCCUCAACCACUUGUCUAAUGCUUAUUUGCACACUUGUUCAACAUGCAAUUGACACACUUGUUUAACAUGCUUAAUUUUUAAAAAUUACCUUGCAAAAUGCCUUAGCAAGAAAAAAUCAAAUUUUAAAAAGAUAAAAUGGAUCUUUAUUCGGGAUUUUCCUAAAAUUUAGUGUAAAAUUGCUUUAAAAAGAAAAUGAUGAAUUUUAAUGCAUUUAAAAUAAGAAUGAACAUCAAUUACCAUUUGCAACCUCCAAUCAAUUAAAAAUAAUAAAUAUGAGACAAGAAUAAAUAAUAAUAAUAAAACUAAAAAUUGAAUCAAAGGAAGUCAAAAUUGAAUGAAUAAAGCUAAAACUGAAUCGAUGAAAUUUUUGGUGUCUACAGUUUGCCCCUCUUUGUCUGAGUUUUGAAAAAACUUGAGACAAAGAAGUAGACACCAAAUGCUUACCUGUACCAUUCGGUUGCCCCUAUUCGGAGGGCUGACCUAAACAAGGAAUUUCAAACAUGGGACUGGCCUGAACAGAAUUGUAAACGGGAUAGACCCGGACAGGAAUGUAAAUGCGAUAGACUCGGAUAAAAAUGUAGAUGGGACAGACCCAUGGGAUAGACCCGAACAGAAAAUUAAAUAGAGAACUGUAUAGGACUUGUUUGAAAAAUUAUCUAAAAAAUUUGCCCCAGUGUGAUGAAUUGGUCGGUGGGAUAACAUCUGAGACCGACGGGGUGUGGACGGUCAGCGGGAUAAAACCCGGUCCUGCAGAGGUGAGCGGUCAGCGGGAUUAGACCCGGUCCUGCCGAGGUGAGCGGUCAGCGGGAUUAGACCCGGUCCUGCCGAGGUGAGCGGUCAGCGGGAUUAGACCCGGUCCUGCCGAAGUAAGCGGUCAGCGGGAUUAGACCCGGUCCUGCCGAAGUAAGCGGUCAGCGGGAUUAGACCCGGUCCUGCCGAGAUAAGCGGUCAGCGGGAUUAGACCCGGUCCUGCCGAGAUUGGCGGGAUAAAACCCGGUCCCAAUGUGACUUUUGUAAUGUUGGUGGCACUAAAUCCAAGCCCAACGUGACAAAGCGAAGUUGGUGGCACGAAAACCAAGCCAGGCCCAACGUGAUAAAGUGAUGUUGGCGGCACCAAGUCCAGGCCCAACGUGAUAAAGUGAUGUUGGCGGCACCAAGUCCAGGCCCAACGUGAUAAAGUGAAGUUGGCGGCACCAAGUCCAGGCCCAACGUGAUAAAGUGAUGUUGGCGGCACCAAGUUCAGGCCCAACGUGAUAAAGUGAUGUUGGCGGCACGAAAUCCAGGCCCAACUUGAUCUUUGGAAUGUUGGCGGCACCAAGUCCAGGCCCAACUUGAUUUGGAAUGUCAAGAGAAGGGGGGAACAGAAUGAUGCGCGGCGUGCAUUGGAGCUUCGCCCACAAGAAAUCAAAUUUGAUUUUUCAAGAAACAAGAAUUUGAACUUGAUUUUUGACUUUUUGAUUUGAUUUUUGGUUUUUUCUCUUUUUUUCUUUUUUCCUUCUUUUUUCCCUUUUUUCAAAAAUUUUAAAAAAAUAAUUUGCCCCAAGUGUAGUGUCCAUUUUUCCUCCUUCUUCUUGCUUCUCUUUGCAGUAUCGGCCUUCCGCCUUACUGGAUGCCUUUCGUCAUUUUGAAUCAUGAAUACCUGUACAAGGGGUUCAUCAAAGUAUGACAUGCACUUAAAUUCCAGGAAAAGAGCAGCGGGAUUGUUUCGAAAAAUGUUAUUAUUUGAUUUUUGGACACAAAUCUCAAAUGUAUUACAAAAAAUUUGCCCCAGUAUGGGCUUAUUUCAUGAAAUCUCACAAAUAAAAUUUUUGCCCCAGUGUGGGCUCCCUUAAUUGCAAAAAUUUGUUCAGAUGAUUUCCCAUUGAUUUGAACAAAGAAAAACCGCACUUUCUAAAAUUUAGAAAAGAGUGCACAUAUACAACAAUGUGAAGAAACUUUAAACGUCAAGUUUGAAACUCAUGCAGAAAUUUCAUGAUGAAUUCCUCGAAGUAACACCAAAUUCAAGAAGAUUUCUUCCUCACUUUUAGCAUUGGUGUUUAGGGUAACGGGUCACCACUUCUGGUUGGCUCAUUUUUCAGGACCAAUCAAGUGACUUUAUUUUUGAUUUGGAAGUGGCUGAAGGAAAAUGAGAGGUCAGAAUCUGUCUCAUUUUUGUGCCCCAAUUGUAUGUAAUCCAUUCAAUGUCACAUCUUAGUGAAAGCAAAGAGUUUGUCACCCUUAUUUUUCAAGAAAACUUAGUCAACAUACCAGCUUUCUAGGCUUGUAACGUAUGGACAGAAGUGAUAGCUAAACAUGUGGAAACGGGUUAUACCCUUAUGAUCACAAAUGAUUUGAUGAAUUUCUUAUGAGCAUGAUCCUCACUUUGGAUUGUCAUGAAGGAAUAAGUCAACGAUGGACUUUCUUAGCUUGUAAUUUGGCUUGAAAAACGAUAGCUAAAGAAUAAAACUUUCAAGGACAUUGCACCGAAGAUCACAUUUUUCCAAAAUUGCCCCUAUUUUGAACUCAAAAGAUCUCAGACUUUGUUUGCAUUUUUCUCAUCAUUUACCAGGGACUUCAGCGUCGAAUUUUUCUGUAUUUUCUUGCAUUUACUUUUCUUGCUUCGCUUUUUGCCUCUUUUUCCUUUCCCUCAACUUGGUGGAUUUUCACCUGGUAAGUAGCGUCAACCCCAUACCCAGGCAAUUCAGAAAUACAGCUGAAAUUUUCCGGCAUCAGAAAUUUUCUUGCCAGGGCCAUUGCAAAGAACAGAAGUCAGGACUUUCGGCUUUUGUAAUGGGGUCAGGUGGGGUGCUUAGAAAAGUUAAGGCUUGAAAGCGGAUUUCAAAAGUGGUUUGAAAAAUCUGAGAUCGCAUUGUUGCUCCAGCCCCAUUUUUAGGGUUAAAUCAGAAUUUGCCAGAGCUUGUGUUCAAUUGGGGCUUUUUCUCUUUCAUUUUCUUUCUUCUUUUGAUUUUUCGGCAUUCUGCCAUCUUUGAACUUUCACAAAAUUUGCCCCAGUUUAUUUUUAAACUGAGGUUCUCUUUUCUUCUUUUGCUUUUUGAUUUUGUGACUUUACCUUUUCACUUCUUGAAAUUUUUUCCUUUCAACUCAAACUUGCCCCAGUGUGGGGUUUGCGAUUCUCAGGGGUUGCCAAACGAAGUAUUUCAUUCUGAAGGCUCAAAAGGGAUAACUAGGGAUAGAUGCUUGAUCGGAAAAGAAGAUGGCCUGACUUGUAUUCCGUUCCUUACAUUAACUCUGAAAAGAAAUUUUCAUUAAUGGGAAAUUUUUGGCAUGUAUCCGAAUUAACUGACUGAGGAAGACCCUUGCUCAUUCAUGUCUAUGAAACAUAAGUGAUCCACCGGAUAGAACUUGUUUUCUUCUUUUUCUUUUCUUUUUUUUUUUCAAAAUUGGAACCCAAGUGAAAUCAAAUUCCCCAAAUUUGCGGUUCCCUCCUUAUUCUAGCAUUUUUUGCUUUUCCCCUUUUCUUUUCCCUUUUUUCAAAAUUUCCCAAUCUCCUUCCCCAAUGUGGGGUGCGAUCAUAUGUGCACUCGAAAAGAACCACCAAUUUAGCUCAAACGAGGAUGCAAGGGAUGAUCAGUGUUUAGAUUGUAGAACUGACGGCCAAAGUAUCAUUCUUAUACCUCAUGACAACCGAAGUAGCGAAAUGGUCAUUGAAAACCCAUUCUUCUUUUGAUAUUUGAAAAUUUUUCAAUGACGGGUAGUGAUCAUUAAGACCCUUAUUUGAAACGAAAUUAUUCUUUUAGAAGCUCAAAUGGGAGAGCAAAUGAUAAAAAUCUGUACAGGUAAUGAAACGAAUGCUUGAAGUAUCAUUCCAAAUUUUCCAAACAAAUAAGAAUAAUGCACAUUUUUGCUUUCACUUAGAUGUGAUUGAACCAGAUUAGACGCCUUGAACAUUUUCAAGCAAAAGUUGCCCCAAUUUACAAUUUAUCAAUCAAUGUGACUGAUUUUAUUUUGGAAUUAAGUGAAGGAGAAAGGUAUCUCAUAGGGCCUUUUGAGUGACCGUUCACUCUCUUUCUUUCUGAGCACUCUUAUUGUACAGGUUGGAACACCAAUCGAGUGUAAGGAUUUUAGGAAGCAUACACUUGUGAAAUUCAGGCUAUAGGUUGAAAAAUCUCAAAUUGGGUCUUAUUUCUCAAAAAUCAUCAUGAAAUCUCCAAUGAGUAAGAAUAAAGAAUGAAAUGUACAUAAAUAUACACAAAACAAAAAUUAUCCAAAAAAUUUUAUUGUUGAAAAAGUUUGAAACAAAAUUGCUCAAUCAAAUAUGAUACAAAUGAGAAGAGAGAAACUCGUAAAGAGCUCAACACAUACACUUUUUGUCUCCUUUUCUUUUGGAACAAAAUGUAUUAACAAAUCAAAUAAAUAGAAUUUCCCCUUUAUGCUUUCGCGGCAAUGUCUACCUAAAAAUCAAGUAAUACUUGUAAUCUUCAAGCUUUAUUGGAUCAAAAUUAUCAGAUAUAGAAGAAUAUUCUCGCCUUAUUGAAACAUUUUUAUAAAUGCAGGGGGAGGGGAAAACAAAAAGAAAAAUACCCAGAGUCAGUAAGUAAGAAUAAAAAAAAUCGGUAUGCAUGUCCUAUGGGGGAACCCUUUUUAUGCCAAGGGUAAGCCUAGCAUGAAAAUGCAAUCCUCUAGGGAAGCACUAUACCAUACCUGACGGAUCUGAUCAACUCAUUGAGUGAAAAAUAAUUUGAAAAAUUUGGCCAUUGGAGUGGCAAGAGAUUUGUCAAAAUGAGGACAACGUCCGAAUAGAUUGAUCACCUUUGAUUUGCAAAACGCAUGGGUUUGACCUUGACGAACUCCUAUCGAAGAGAUUGGAAUUCGUUGAUAAAAUUUCUCAGUGAAUUACGGGUCAAAAACCCUAAUUGAUCAAGUGAUUGGAUGCAAUGGACGGUUUUCUUCAAAAUUGACUAGAUUUCCCAAUUUGGAAUUCGACAUUGAAAUCCUAAUUGGUCAAAUGAAAUUGACAAUUUAUUGAAAAUCGACCGGAUUACCCUAGAAGGGAAACAGGUCAAAAACGGCUCGGUUGCCCUAAAAAAAGGUAAAUUGGCCAAAUGAAUGAAAUUGAAUUAGUGACUUGUUCAAAAAUCGGCCGAACGACCCUAAAAAGGGUAAAUCGGUCAAAUGAAUUGAUGAUUUAUUCAAAAUCGACCGGAUGACCCUAAAAAGGGUAAAUUGGUCAAAUGAAUUGACGAUUUAUUCAAAAUCGACCAGGUGACCCUAAAAAGGGUAAAUUGAUCAAAUGAAUUGAUGAUUUAUUGAAAAUCGACCAGGUGACCCUAAAAAGGGUAAAUUGGUCAAAUGAAUUGACGAUUUAUUCAAAAUCGACCGGAUGACCCUAAAAAGGGUAAAUUGAUCAAAUGAAUUGAUGAUUUAUUGAAUGAAUGGGUAAAAUGGAUUGGUUGUGUCGCGCCCCACUUUUUGAAAAAUAAGUGUGAAUGUGUGAUGGUGUGUGAGUGUGUGUGAUAUACAUGUGAACGUGUGCGGAAUGAAAAGUAAAAGGCCAUGGGACUUAGAAUGCGACGAUUUGGCCAAGUGAAGUUCAAAAGGGUUUUGGUAUCAAAAAAUGGAGUCGCCACUUGGUAUAGAGUUAGGGUGUACCAAGUCACCCAAAAAUGAUUUUUGUUUUUGAAUAAAAAAAAGUAAAUAAACCCUUUUUGAGAACUUUUGGGUCUGCGUAACCAAAAGAGGGAUCGGGGGUCACAUUUGACGAAGGGGAAGGCAAGGAUAAAAAUCCAAGGCACCCCUUCGACCUAGCCAAGGCUAGUUGCGUGACUUAAACCAAUUUUCCUAAUUUUUCUACCCAAUGUAUGUUCGCACGUUGGAUAUGACUAUAUGAAUGCAAAACGGAAAGGAAAAUGCAAUCCUAAAUUCUACGAUGUCUUUCGUGAGGCUUUUGGUCCCAAACCACAUGAAUUGUGGCGGCCAACAAAGGAAAACCCCCAUAGAGGUCGAUUAAUGCAAAUGAGACUCAAAUGUGCAAGUGUGGAAGUGUAUGAAAGAAAUUAAAAAUCCAAGUGUUUGUGUGCAAGUGUAUGAAAAGGUGCACGUGUGCAAUUGUAUGAAAAUUCCAAGUGUUUGUGUGCAAGUGUAUGAAAAGGUGCACGUGUGCAAUUGUAUGAAAAUUCCAAGUGUUUGUGUGCAAGUGUAUGAAAUAUAGUGAUAAGUGCAUAUAGGUGUAAUUAAAUGCAAUUUUGUGAAGUAGAAAUCAAAAUGAACAACAAGGAAAGGAAAAUGUGAAUUGAAAAGAAUGAGUGAGUGAUAAAUGAGAAUGAAUGAACCUAAGGGAAUGCAUCAGGUCGGGUAUGGGAAUGACUCCUAACUUGUCGACUUCGAUUUUCCCUUUGAUUAGAAGGUAAAACUAGCGUGCUAAGGCUAUCGAGUAGCCACACUCGCUCGUUUCCCUUAUCAGAAGGGGACCUUCAAGCAAAUGGACCCUACAACUAUCAUGAUAUGCAAAAAUCCUAAAAUGAAGGGAAAGGGGGUUCGAGGAGCAUGCCAAGUGAUAAAACUAAGAAAAAUGCAUGAUAUGUGGUGAACAAGCAAAUGAUAUGCUAAUGAGGGGAAAUCCCUAAGGGUCUAGCGUUGGACUAGCCCAUUCUAUGAAUUCCGACUAGCGUUGGACUAGCCCAUUCUAUGAAUUCCGACUAGCGUUGGACUAGCGGAAACGUACAUUCAUCCAUUCCAUUCAUUCAUGGCUAUGAAAGCAAGUAGACAUGCCAAAAUACUCGUAAACACAUAGCACAUAGCAUUUAGCAUGCUCGACUAGAUGCAAGAGCCUAAUAAAGCAAUUAAACAUGUAGCAACAAAAACAAGCAAGCAAGGGGAAGGGGAAGUGGACCAGAUGCUCUCCGAGCCCUAUCUAUUACAAGCCAAGAGGUGUACACAUACCCCAUAAAAGCAUAAAGGGGAAGGGGAAGUGGACCAGAUGCUCUCCGAGCACUAUCUAUUACAAGCCAAGAGGUGUACACAUACCCCAUAAAACUUAAAUAAAAGUAAGGCAAGUAAAUGCACGCAAGGAGGUAAGGAAAGCGAAGUAGACAGGCAUAUUCACAUAACACAUAAGGUCACAUAGGAUCAAAUGAAGUGCAAAUGAGGGAUAGAGUGUACCUCCCUUGGAAUGGAGUCCAAAUGAAGUGAAAUUAUUCAAUUACCCUCCAAAAUAAUAAAAAGGUCAUGGCACCACUUUAUUUAAGAAAAAUUAAAAGAAAUGGGCAAAACAAGGCUCACCUAGUCAUAAAGUCCCUAAAGUCAUAACUUAAGUGCAAUUUAAGCAAAGCAAGGUGGCUAAUUGGAAUCGAACAAACAAUGAAAUUGCAAAAGUUAAAACUACCAAGGACCAAGUUGAAGACAUUAUUCAAUUAGUUGGGUCAAAGUAGCAUUAGUUAGAAGCCAAGGGGUCAAAAUGCAAUUUUAGAAAAUUAUUUCAUGCAAUCUUCAUGCAAAGAACGUAGCUUAUAUUCUGCAACAAAGUUUCAGCCAUUUCUAAAGCCUUUUGCACUAUUCUAGCCGUAGCUUGCGUUUCAAUUCAUUGUCUUAAAUGAAACAAAAAUGUAAUCUUCAUCCGAACACAGCCCAACAUCCCAAUCCAACAUCAAACCGCAAUUUCUAGCAAGAAAACAAAGCUAAACAUUUGAAUAUACAAACAGCAAGAGAAAUUCUGCAUUUUUCGACAUAUGAUUUCAGCAAUGAGACUUGCUGCAUUUUCUUUCAACCUCUGAUUUCUAAUCCCAGCUUUGAUUAGAUAUUUUCAACCCAACAUCACCACUUUAGAUUAAGCAAGCAAAAAACUACACAGCCUCCACGAUUCAAACAAGCAAACUCUUAGAAAAAGCAACAUCAUGCGAAAUUCUGGACAGCAUGCUUGAAAAACAAAAGUUUCUGCAAUAAAAAAAAAAACAAAGCUUGCGGCCCUUUGCCAAGCUCAACGCAAUUUUCCAGGUUCACAGCUUCAAACUAGGCAAUAUACUACAUCAUUAACAUCAUCCUAGCAAACAGAAAUCUUAGCAACAUCCCACGCAAAAAAAAUCCAGGCAAUUAUGCAAGCAUUUGAUGAACUAAACUAAUGCAACCUUUCUAGUUUUACCCUCCAAAACCAGAUUUCAUAGCCAAGCAUAUGCACUUUUGGACCAUAAAAUCCUUAUGUUUAAGCACAAUAAAUUGAACAAAAACUGUAUAAGUAUCGAAGAACAACAUUCUGUAAUUUGGAAGCAGAAAAAUUCAUGUCAAACUUCGAACCAAAACCAGCAGACCCAUCACUCGAAACCUUUAACAAGCUGAACAUUUUGAUGAACGCAAACCAGUUGCAAAACCAAACCAUUAAAAACCAAACGAGGAACCCAACGAAUAGCACAGAAACAACAACCAGAUUUCUGGAUUUUAUCUUUAAGAAAUUAUCCUAACAAAAGGAUCGGCAAAUUAAGCUAACAUGGAGGAACCAGAAAUGAAUUCCGAUUUGAAAGCGUAGACAGCAACAAUAAACAGAAAGAAAAAUCAAAAUGACGAUUCAACAAAGAACAAAAAGGAAAGGGACUAAGACACCAAUCUAGGAGAGUACUUGCCCAAACGUUUUUGGAUCAAAAUCUGGACAGGAAACGUCAUGAAAGAGCGGCCGAAGCUGUCCCGUUCGGCUCCGAAACCGCACCAGCAAAAUUAAGCAGCGAUCUUUGGGGGCGAAUUCAAAGGAUCAUUCGAUGUUUUCUGCCAACAAAUUCUGAACGAAACCUCCUCCCCUUACUUCCUAGUUAGUGCAGAAACUGAGAGUUACUUAAAAGAACCAGAGAUCAAAGAGAAAUCUGAUCCGGAACAUGGCUCAUAGCCGGCCUUUGGUCAGAAAAAUUGCAGCUUUAUCACUUCUGUUCCAAUUUUGUUCGUAGCCUUCUUCUCCUCCGUCCAUUGCUCAUUUCCUCCUUGCUUAUCACGGUUCCUUCCCCAAGCUCUUCCUCUCUCUGCUUUCCUUCUUCCUUCUUCCAGAACCCACGCCGUCAAUCUCUUUCUUUCUACAUCUAUUUGCUUCAGCCGCCACCUUGCCCUUUCUUUUCUUUUUCCUCUCAAAGCUCCUCCUCUCCGUUUUUCUGGUUUCUUUCCUUAGCCCACCGAAGCCUCAGCUCUCCCAUUGCUCUCCCCUCUGUCCAGUUUUGCUCCCGUUUUUUCUUUCCGCUCCCGUUAGCUGCAAAACUCUCCCCACGAUGAAGCUCUCCUUGCGGCUGAUGUCUUCUUUCCUUUUUGUACCAUCUCCCAAUCCCCUAAACCUGCUCUCAAUGGCCAGCAAUCAACCUCCUCUCAGCCCCUUAUCUUAGCCAUCCGAUGGGCAUUGAGGUUGUGCCUCGCACGCUGCAAAAAAAAAAAAAUGCAGCGUGCACGCUGCGGUAAUCUCUUUUUUUUUUUUUUUAUAAAAAGAAUGCAUAUAAAUGAUAAUAAUAAUAAUAACAAAAUGACAGAACCAUGCAAUAAUAAUAAGAACGAAAACAAAUAAAUAAAUAAUAAAAAAAACAAACUAAAUAAAAACGACAAAAUGUCCAUUUUUCAAAUUUUCUACAUUUUCUUUCUUUUCAUUUUCAUUCAUUUUCUUUUUCUCAAAAUAACUUAAUAAAAAUAACUAAAGUGCCCAAAGAUUGAAUAAACAUAUUUUGUGAACAAAUUUUCCCUUUUUUUCUUUUUUUCAUUUCAAGAAUUUCUAUGCUAAAAACUUAAAAAUAAAAAUAAAACUAUAAACUAAAAACUAAAAAUCGAAUAAAACUAGCAUGACAAAUAAAAACUAAAAAUAAACAGUAAAUGAAAUUACACCAAAAAUUUGGUGUCUACAGGUUGAAUUGUCCGGCCAUUGGUGAUUUCAAAAUGAUUGAGAUGCAUUAGUCUAUGAGCUUCUAAAAAUCAAAUUUUGGCCUCAAUUUAUUUAUCGUCUCAAUAGAAGGAAUCAUUUGUGAAUUUCUUCAAAUUACUGUCCUUCACGCAAGGAAUUUUUACCAAUUUUUGAUAAAAUGGCCAAAAAGUGAUUAUUAGAUGCUCAUAUUCCAAAGAUCACUCUAUGAAAAUGAUCGGAUCCUACCUUACCUUGUGCACUACCCCCUUUGGAUGGUACAAAAUGUAAACGUGCAAGUCUCACUGGAUUAAGUAUCCGAGACACAAGGUGGCUUAUUCCUGACACGGGAUCCCCUAAAUGGCAUUCCCUUUCUAGGGUUUAUGCAUGAUGUCAUUUAUUAAAGCGAUGUAAAUAUGUGACAAAUAUGACCUAAGGGACAUAAAUAAUGCAUCGGGGGAAAAAAGGUCUAAAAUGAAAUGUAUUUAUUAAGUAUAAUGACUGAAAUUUAAACAUGUGAGUUAUCUAGUGGAUAGGUCACUAAAAGAGUGCCAAAAGGGCCUCUUAUUGCUAGGGCAUAUGAAUGCAAGCCAAGAAAACAAAAGAAUGGUUAGUGCAAUUGGUAAUACACAUAACAUAUUGGGAGCAAUUAAGAAAAAGAAAUACAAUAAAGCAAGUAAGAGGGGUGGAACCCCUUCCCUCGUGCCUAAUGUGUUUAAAAUAGGGUGAGGCUGACUCUAACCUAGGAAAAUUCUAACAUGGAUGCAUGAGGCUGGGGUUCACUAAUGCAUCUAGACUCGAUAAGGUUUCGGCUCCCAAGCCUUCAGACCUAAAGGCGAAGGGUCAUCACUCCCAGGGCCUUUGAUCGGUGGCUCGAGUGAUCCCUUAGGUAGCGCUAUGGGCGCAGAGCACACCAGCCGCCUACCCAAGGCGCCUACCCAAGGCAAUCGAUCCUAAUCCUACAAGGCGGUGUGGGAAACGCCCACGAAAAAUAAAAUAAAAUGGGAUAAAAGCAAGUAAACGUGCACGUAUGAAGUGUUUUCCUAUUUUGAGGGAAGGGGUUGAGAACCACGAGAGGCUCUAAAGGUGACACACCCCCUCCCAAAUGCAAUGCAAGCGCGAGAUAAACAAGUAAACAUACAUCCAAUCAACCAAUCACACGUACGUGAGUGAGGGAAUAGUUUGAUACGCGCGUGAGGAAAAGGGUCCUAAAAAGGGAAAAUGCAACCCUAAUAUCCACAUGCUAUACAUAAAAAAGGUAGAAAAAAGGAAAAGAACGGCUAAAUCAAAUGCUCGGACCCACUUAGGAAGUCCCCAGUGGAGUCGCCAACUGUCGCGCCCCACUUUUCGAAGAUGAUGAGUUGUGGUGUGUGUGUGGUGUGAGAUGUGAGUGGUGUAAUGGAAUGUGAACGUGUGUAAAUGAAAAGUAAAAGGCCAUGGGACUUGAUAAUGCGACGGUUUGGCCAUAUAAAGUUCAAAAAGGGUUUUUUGUAUCAAAAAUGGAGUCGCCACUUGGUAUAGGGUUAGGGUGUACCAAGUCACCCAAAAAAUGGUUUUUUGUUUUUGAAUAAAAAAAGUAAAUAAACCCUUUUAAAGAACUUUUGGGUCUACGUAACCAAAAAGAGGGAUCGGGGGUCACAUUUGACGAAGGGGAAGGCAAGGAUAAAAAAUCCAAGGCACCCCUUCGACCUAGCCAAGGCUAGUUGCGUGACUUAAACCAAUUUUUCCUAAUUUUUCUACCCAAGGUAUGUAUCGCGUGUUGGAUAUGUCUAUAUGAAUGCAAAACCCUAGACCUAGGGGUAUUGGGGGAAAUUUCUCUUCAAAGGUUGAGUGGUGCCAAUCACAUUAAUUGUGAAGCCCAAUAAUGAUCCUUUGGAGAGGUCACACGUAAUCCUAAAUGACGUAAAAAUGAAUGGGGUGCAUGUCAUGUGAAAAUGUAAGUUUAUGUGAAGUGAGAAAAGUGGAGGUGUGCAAAUGUAUUUACAAGGUAAGGUGAGUAAAGAAUGAUAAUGUGAAAAUAAUAUAAAGUGCAUGUGUGCGAGUGAUAUGGCAUAGAGUGUGAGUAGUUAAAUGAAAACGUGUAAAAGUAGUGUGAAGUGAGAAUGUGGAAAAAGGGUUAGAAUAUAAAGUAAGUGUAUGUGAUAGUGAAUGAAUAGAAUGCAUGAAUCCUAUAGGAAUGCAUCAAGACGGGAACGGGGAGUCCUAACUUUGUGACUUAAUCUUCCCUUUGAUUAGAAGGCGAAACUAGCGUGCUAAGGCUAUCGAGUAGCCACACUCGCUCGUUUCCCUUAUCAGAAGGGGACUCUUCAGGCAAAUGAACCCUAUAACUAGCAUGAAAUGCAAAAAUCCUAAAAUGAGGGGAAAGGGGAAUCGAGGAGCAUGCCAGAUGAUAAAACUAAGGAAAAAUGCAUGAUAUGUAGUGAACAGGCAAAUAAUGCAUUAAUGAAAAACAAAGGAAAAAUCCUAUUGGGUCUAGCGUUGGACUAGCCCUUUCCAUGAAUUCCUAAUGAAAUAAUGAACCACAACUAGCAUUGGACUAGUGUGGUGACGUACAUUCAUCCAUCACAUUUAUUCAGGCUAUGGAAAGCGAGUAGACAUGCCAAACACUUAUAAACACAUAGCACAUAACAUUUUGCAUGCUCGACUAGAUGCAAGGCCCUAGCAAAGCAAAUUAACACGUAGCAACUAAGCAUGCAAGGCACAUGAGACAAUUAAAGCCCUAACUAUUACAUUUGCUAGCUAGGCACAAGUCUUCGAUAGGUCUUCAUUGAAUGCUCCUCCAAGCCUUAUCUAUUACAUUAGGGGGACCCUACUACAAUCUAAAAGGGGGAAAGGGAAUAAAAUAAUUGAAUCCCUAACUAUUACAAGCCAAGAGGUGUACACAUACCCCAUAAAGAAUAAUUUAAAUAAAAAGCAAAAGUAAAUGAAAUAAAUGAAAUAAAUGAAAGGAGUUAAAGGAAUGGCAAGGAAAGCAACGUAGACAUGCAAUUCACACUUAGCACGUUGGAUCACAUAGGAGAAAUAAAAAUCAAGGAGAUAUAGGUUACCUCCCUUGUAAUUGGGCCCCACUGAAGUGAAAUCACUUAUUUAUCCUCCAAAAUAAAAGAAAUGGUCAAGACACCAAUUUAUUUGGCAAAUAAUCACAAAGGAUAAAAAUAAACAUGAAUUUGAAUCAAUUAAAUCAUGUCAACAAACCACAUUUAAGAAGUCAAGAGAAGAGAGGACUUGAUUGCAAAGAUUGAAAAAAAUUUUGGGGCCAAAAUUAAAGAAAAAUAAAGUUCAAGGGCCUAUUUGCAAUUAAACCAGGGACUCAAUUGAAAGGAAUGGAAAUGUCUAGGGCCACAGUAAAAAUAUCCAAAAGUCAGGGGACUGGAAUGAAAUUUCGUCAUUGGGCUACUGGACUUAACAGGCCAUUGGGCCCUUCUCUCUAUUUGUUUGGGCCAAGACUCCUUAGCCUGCCACAAAGCCCAGAGGCUACAUCUGGGCUGGCCUCUACUUAUCAAUAAAACAAACCCAACAAAAGAGUGGGCUUUAGCCCCCCUUAAGCCCAAGCCAAAAAUCCAAACAAAAUAAACUAAACCCACUUUCAUAAAUCCAAACAAAUUAUUAUUACCCACAACCCAAAUCAUAAUAUCAAACCUAACAAGAUUAGCAAAUCAACUAAAAUUAUUAGGCCAUAAUUAUAAUCCAAAUCCCAGAAUUAAUCUAUCCAACAAAUCACAUAAAAUAUGCAAACAGAGGAAUAAGCUUAAAAGGGCAAAAUUAGUUUGAUUUUUCCAGAUUUUGGGCCGUAAUGAAAUGAGACAGAAAAUGAGGGAUUAAAUUGCAAUUUUAGACAUUUCUUCACUCAUGUUUCGCAGAGGCUUUCCUCUUCAUUGCUGAUACCAGUUAAGCAUUUCAGCUUUCCUUUCGAUUAGCAAAACCAGAAAUUUGGUUUCGAUUCCAAUCAUUCCAGCAAACAAUGAAACUCACAACAAUACUCCCUCUCAACAUCGAUUCGGAUUCAAGCAUAGAGAUAAAAAAACAGAAAAAAAAAACAACGAACCAACACAGCUUCUAUCAUGGAGAAUCGUUCAUUAUGUUCGGACAAGCAAAAACCAUCCGAAUGUUCCAUUUUCUUCGUACGUAAAGCAAACGAAAUCAUCUUCAAGUAGAAGGUUCAUUCGGGCAUUUUAGCAAACAGCAAAUGGGCAUGAAAAAACUCAACAGAUUUCUGCUUAAAUUACAUUACAACCGGCCCCAAAAUUAUCAGAAAAGCAAGGAAUUCAGUCCAACACAUGCAGAAAACAUAUGCGAACAAAAUUACCGACCCUCAACAGAAAAAAAAAAUCAUGAUGACAGACCCACGGCAGCCAUGCUUCUGAAAUUCAUUCUUGAAGAAAAAAAAAACUGAAAUGUAAAAGGGAAAGAAUAGCUUACAUCGUUUCUCACGGUAAAGAUUCACGAGCGGCAGCGGUGAAUUCCGCUGAUGCGGUGGCGAGCAAUGGUGAUUCCAGUGAACGGCAGCAGCUACAAGCUUUUCGAAUUUGCCCUUUAUUUUUGCUGAAGCUUUCUUCCUCUGCUUCCGUUCGCGGCCGGGGACUUUUCCUCUAUUCUUCAUGUCGCUCUGUUCUUUUUGGCCAAAACCUCCCCUAUUUUCCCUUUUGCUGUUUUUCGUUGAUUGUUUCUUCCAUUUAUGCUCAGCCCGCCGCCCGGUUCCUCUUUUUUCCUGCUUUCCUUUCUUUUGCUCUCGGACGAAAUUUUUCUGUUUUUGUUCUUUUGCCCCUGCUCGGCAAUUCCGCCGCCCCUGCCCUCUCAGCUCUCAAGCCUUUUUGCUUUUUGCUCUCCCUUUUAGCCGCCACCCUCCUCGGCCUUUUCUCCGUGUUUUUUCCCUUUUUUCCUCAGAUUCUUAGCCCCCAGCUUCCCCUUGUUUUGUCUAGCCUCUGUUUUUUCCCCUUGCCCGCUGCUUGGCCCCUCUAUUUUUAGCUCUUUUCUCUUCCCCCUGUUUUCAAGCCUCUUCGAGGGUUUUUUCUUCCUUUUUUUCCGAUGCCCCCCAAAAAACCCCCCAAGUGUCCUUGACAGCUACCCCCUAUACACUUGUCCUACCAUUCCUCAACCACUUGUCUAAUGCUUAUUUGCACACUUGUUCAACAUGCAAUUGACACACUUGUUUAACAUGCUUAAUUUUUAAAAAUUACCUUGCAAAAUGCCUUAGCAAGAAAAAAUCAAAUUUUAAAAAGAUAAAAUGGAUCUUUAUUCGGGAUUUUCCUAAAAUUUAGUGUAAAAUUGCUUUAAAAAGAAAAUGAUGAAUUUUAAUGCAUUUAAAAUAAGAAUGAACAUCAAUUACCAUUUGCAACCUCCAAUCAAUUAAAAAUAAUAAAUAUGAGACAAGAAUAAAUAAUAAUAAUAAAACUAAAAAUUGAAUCAAAGGAAGUCAAAAUUGAAUGAAUAAAGCUAAAACUGAAUCGAUGAAAUUUUUGGUGUCUACAAUCAUCAAACUGUAAAUAAGGAUCAUCAGAAACUCCUAGCAAUGAUGGCUCUUCAAAAGCAUCCGAUAAGUGGGGGCAAGAAAUUUUUUCCGAGCAGCUCAUAUAGGCUAGCUGACAGUCAUUGAGCAAUCAGAACACAGACCGAAAACUUUCUGCGAUUAAGUAACAACUAGUUUCAAGGACAAGAAGCCAGGAAAAAAAGAGCAAACUUGUAGUAAUGUACUAAUAUAGCAAGUAAAUUCUUACUGCUAGACCUUGUGGUUGAAACGAUAGAUUGAUAGUGUACAAGCUCCAACGAUAAGGAUAUCAGGUGUUGGCUAUCUGAGACAGCAAUAUGAAAGAAAAGAGUGCCAUCAUAAACAUUUCUGUCCAAGAUACUGGCUAUGCAAUUCAACGAGUAAUUAGUAGCCAAUGGAGAUUUCUAGUUAAACUUUGAGCCUAAGUUCACCGCAAAACAGAAAAUUCGAACUCAAAUAUUAUGUAGAGAGCAAGAAAUCUAACAAGCCAAUUCAGAUAAUUUCAUGAAGCUAUUGUUCGGUCAAUCCUACAAAAACAAAGCAUGGAACAGAAUAUGAACAGAGUUAUAGUAAUACAUCAAAGCAGGGAGCAGGAUAGGUGCUUUGUUUCAUGCUAAUUGAUGGUUACAAGAGUAUUAUGUUGUUAGGAGUAAUGAAAAGCACCAAUAUUUUGGACCUGCUAAGGAAUGCUAAUGGUGUAGCUUUGAAAGAUAAUAAAUAGGACUAGAAAAAGGAAGAAGAGAAAAUUGUGAUGAAGGUUAAUCAAAAUGGGGUGGUGAAGAGAAGGCAAAUCUCAAAACGACAAAGAGAUUGAUUAUAAGGCAGGAGGCAGUCUUACAUGAUUGAAUUCGAUUUGAAGAUGAACUGUUAACCACUUAUGUCUAGUUAUUGAAUAUGAGUAACUUUGGACCACUGGGAGUCGGGGCUGCUGCUCUCAGGAGUGCAUCUUUCUUUUAACACAGGAGAACCAUAAACGUGCAGACAUUUUAGUUUGGUGAGACUUCUCAUGGCAUCCUCAGAGGGUAGAUGUCCAAGCUCUUUGAAAUCAUAUAAAUAUAGUUCUUCAAGAGCAGCGAAGUUUCCGAACCAAUCUGGCAGAGCUUUUAUACCUCCAAAGUAACCUAGCGCGAGUGACGUGAGAGCGGUCAAGUAUUGGAUCUGAGGUGGCAGGGACUCCAUGUGUGGCAACCCAUAUAAGUAUAAUUCACGGAGUGCGGAUGAUGAAGAGGAGGAGGAGGAGGAUAUCAAUCCAGACCAAUCAAACUCAUUGUAAAUUGAAGAAUUUUCAUGAUCAUCACCAUCAUCUAAGAAGGGACCAAUUGUAAGCUCCCUUAAGCUGGUUAGGAAACCAAAUCCUUUGGGCAUCAUGCUUGUUUUCAGUUUGCGACACCACAAUAAUUUCAGCUUCUAGAGAGAAGGCGUUUGUUGCAAAUCAAGCGGAAAGGAGAUAAGAUUGUCGCAACAAACCACCCGAAGCUUUUGGAGAGAGGCACAAGAGUGUAGCAUGUCACCUGGCAGAUUCGUCAACCCACGGCAACCCCAAAUCUCCAGCUGUUUAAGAGACGUAGAGUUUUGUAGGGGAAGCAGUUCUCUGCAUCUGUUGCAGUAAUUAAAUUCCAAACUCGCUAACUUGGGGAGUGUUGUUGGCAAAUCCAUUAACCAUUGAGGAAAUUGAUCGCUCAUGAAAUUCGAAAUUGACAACUCCUUCAAAUUUGGGUGGGGUCGAAGGCCAUCUAACACAUCUUCGUCGUGGUUGUCACCUUCUCGAUUGUUGGUCCACUCAAGUCGCAACUUAGAUAGAUUUUUCUUUUCAGAUAGACAUGUUUUUUCAGCUCCUUCCUUAUCCUUUACUAGUUCAAGAUUGCGUAUCUCCAAACUGCCCUUGAGGUUUUUCAAGCAUCCAAGCUCUCUAACUUGUCUACCCUUCUCUCGACCCACAUUAAAGAACUUUAGUGUUUGAAGGCAAAUUAGUCGUCCCAUGUCUAGCGGCAUUUGAAAUUCUUUAUCACUUUUGUAAUAAUGAAGAUGUCUCAAGCUAAUCAAAUUGGACAUGCUCUUCGGAAGAUCAUCAACCGCUGAGUAACUCAGCGUCAAUGUUUGCAGAUUAUAAAGCUUGCAAAGGGAAUCCGGCAAAAUACGGAUUGCAGAUUCCGAAAGGUCAACACACCGCAAAUGCAUCAAUUUGCCAAUUGAGAUUGGCAACUCCUCAAUUUCUCCACGAGACAAAUUCAAAACAUACAAGUUCUUCAACUUCAUUAACAUGUCAUCAGAUAAGUCACCCUUUACAAACAAUGUAUGAAGCGAAGCUGAUAGACUCUCCAAAAGUUUUUCUCUGUCUUCUGCACCAACAAAUGAGUCUAUUGUAAGGUAACGAAUCUGAUUAUCGUUGUCUACUGUAUAUGUAUCCCCAUUAUUAAUGACUUUGGUAGACUUUGACAUUGACUCUGCAAGGUCAUGCACCAAAUCAUGCAUCUUAUAAUAUGUUUUCCAAUCAUAUCUUAUUUCUUCAAACAAUGAACUCUGCAAUAAAAUUCUCAGAUAAUUCAUUCCAAUUUCCUCCAUCAUCAUUUGGCUGUUGACAUCUGCUUGGAGGAAACCUUCUGCCAUCCAAAGUUCGAUAAGCAUAUUCCUUUCUAUCUCACUAUCCUUAGGAAAUAUAGACCAAUAUGCAAAACAUUUCUUAAUGUAUGGAGAUGGCAAAUUAUCAAAACUCAACUUAAGUAUUUGCAUGACACGAUCUUCAUCUCCACUAAAACUCAAAAGCCUAUUCUCCAAAAUUGAUUGCCACUCCUCUUUUCUCUUUAAACGUAAUAGACCUCCGAUUACACUUGCAGCCAAUGGUAGACCAUCACAUCUUUUGAUUACUCUCUCUUUAAUUGCUUUUAGUUCGUAAGGUACUUCUCCCCCUCCAACUACUUUUUCUUUUAGGAUAGACCAGCAAAGAUCAUCAGGUAGCCUUCCUAAGGCAUAGGCUUCAUCAUCCAUCAUCAAAGCUCCAGACACAAUACCUGCCACCUGACCACUACGAGUAGUGACAAGACACCAGCUUCCAUCAGUUGGAUUGAGUCCUUUCAAGGUGGUGAAAAGGUCAUCCCACAAUGCAUGAUUAUCAUCCCACACAUCAUCAAGAACUAGGAGAUAUCUUUUUCCCCCAAGUUGAUUCUGAAUUUUUUCAACGAUGACUUCCCUAACAUCUACUUCAACCUUUUCUUUUGUCAAAUGCACUAAUAUGAGUUUGAAAAGCUCCUCUAUUGGAACUUUUUUUGAUGCACAAACCCAAACCUUUUUGUCGAAGUGCCCAUCAAUUUGCUGAUUGUUGUAUAUCGAUUUAGCCAAAGUUGUUUUGCCUAGACCUCCCAUACCAAUUAUGGGAAGAACAGAAACAACCUUCUCAGACGGGCUCAACAGCAUCUUCACUAUCUUUGAUUCAUCAUCGGCUCUUCCAACCAUUGGAGCAACAACUGAGUCGGUCUGCCGAUUUCUUGUGUCUCCAGCAGCAGGAGCAGCAGGGAGGGUAGCUGUCAAGACUGGCCUACUGACCAGUCCCAAUCCAUGGGCAUCUUGAUAGAUGCCAUUCAACUUAACUUUGAUGUCCCUGACCUUAGAAGCCAUCCUCCAACGAAAAGCAAGAUUAAUGUUAGAGAAGGAGAAGAAGCAGCAUACCUUUUGCUUGUGUCGGUUUCGGGACUCCACCUGGUGACGAAGAGAUUCAUAGUGAAGCUCAUCCAACACGUUGUCAGCAUCAUAAGCAACCUCCUCGAGACUCUUCAACCAUUCUUGCACUGCCGUCUCCUGGUUAUGCUGCCUUUCCUCAGCAUCAGUCAAGAAAGCUUUGAUCAAGCGUAGAGAACGGGUCAUGCUGGCCAAAUCCUCCUCGAAUCCAACUAACAUACCAAUCCUAUCAGAGGCAAGAGACAGUGCCAUUUCCAAGGUGACCUGAAUUGUUGAACUAAUAAGAGCGUCAGCCAUUUUUGCUGCCUUGGAUUCAGUGUUGAGAUCAAGAUGGUUUUUUUGAUGGAAGGUUUUAUGCAGCCAGGAACUGGUAAUCUUAUCUAGGCUAGUAUAAUUGGUUAUGAAGAAAGGAGCAUUAACAAUUAUUCCGCGUAGACGUGGAGGUCUUCUCUGACAAAUCGUAAGCUUUUGUAUUGGCAUGUUUACAGUAACUUUCUCAAUUAUUGUUAGUUGUUCGGGCAUCAUGGUUUCUGAUUAAAUAAUUUAAAUGCUGGGGCCUUCAAAUUUUUUGGUUGUGGACCAUUGUUUUUGUCCGCGAUCAAAUCAUAAAGCAGGGGCGGAUUUAAGGUGGGGCAUUGGGGGCACGGGCUCCACUGUCCCCCUUAAAUUCCUAUAAUACAUAUACAAUUUUGAUAUAAUUUUAAGUAUGUUUUCAGAGUUUUUUUAGAAAGGAUAUCAAGAAUUACGUAAUUUUUUAAGUUAGUUUGUAAACUAAAAUUCUAAAAAAAUACGUGGGGGUAGGGCACAAAUUCCGUUUGAAAUAAGAGAAAAAAAAGCCUUUUUCAUUUCAACUAGCAACUACCAAUCAUAUCAUUCAUUUUUUUGAACUCCACUCCCCAAUUUCCCUUCCCUCCUCUGGUCCCCCAUUUUUCCCCCACAACCGAGAGCCACUACCUUCCACAACCAAGCAGCUAGCUACUGUUUCUCUUAAUCAAUUCAUCCAAUCAUAUCAUUCACUUCCUUUGUCCCCAUUUCCUAAUUUCCCUUCCCUCCACUGGUCCCCCAUUUUCCCUCCACAACUAAGAGCUAUUCUUACUUCCACAACCAAGUUAGUUAUCAAAAUAUAAAAACUCGCAAUGAGUAAUUGUAAAUUGUUUAGUUUGUUUUUGAAAUAAAAUUAUUAUUACAUUAAUAAUUUUGAAUUUGUCUUUUUAUAUUUUUCAUGGAAUAUAUGCAUCAUUUGUACUUGUUGGUGAAUUUUUUUUUUGCUUAAAAAAUUAUAAAAAAAUAGGUAAAAAAUUUUAGUAUUAUUUUUGCCCCCACUAAGAAUUUUUUCUGGCUUCGCCAUUGUCGUAAAGGGAGAGUGGGAUUCUGUUUUGGUUACAUGCAUCAUGCAUGUCAUUGUUAAUCCUUGGAAAAUGAAUUUAUGACAUAAUUUGGUCUGAAUUUUGUUUGGUUUUGGAAACCGACCACACUGGGAAGCAGUAAUGUUCUGUGUUUCCGCACUAGCAACGAUGCAUUUUGCUUCUUGGCGCAGUAAUCACGGUUCAGAUUUUAAAUUACCUUUUGUACUUUAGCAUUUCAAGUAUAUAACAUGAUCGGUAUGAAAUCCCUAGCCUUCUACUCCUCUACUUAAAAUGUGAUAUGUUUCGUUUGGAUUAGCUGUUUUUGGAAAUGUUUUUGAAAAAUUUUAUUGUAGCAGAGUUUUUAGAUUAUAUCAUAUAUAUAUAUAUAUAUAAUAAAGUCGUAUUCUCAUACUUAUCCCUUCAUGUUUUCUCUUUCCUACGUGGCUUAACGAGACGGCAAGUAGUUUCCUACGUGACUUGCUCCUUUUUGUUUAGAUAUAUAUCAAUUCUUAUUUCCUAUAAGAAUUCUUAAUAUUAUAUGAUUCUUAUUUCCUAGCCAAAAAAGGAACUGAAAAGUAAUGCAAUAUAAAUAAAAGAGACAUAAAUAUCUCUAUUAGAUAUAUCUCCAAAUUCAUGCCAAUAAUUUGUGUACUGCAUAGGGAACCGAAGUAAAUAAGAAUUGUUAUCACUACAAGAAGUAGAAAAGUAACUAAUUUCAAAAGGAACCAUUAAUAACAGAAGUCAAUAUCUGAUGUUGGAAAUAGGAUUCUUAAUAGAUUUUAUUAUUAGGUGCGUUGUCAAGACAUAGUGCAUAGUACAAAAUUUAUGGAAAAGAAAAAGUUAAUUGAAUCCAAUUAACUAUAUGUAUUUGACCCGUACGGUCAAAUAUAAAUUCCUAUUUGAGCACGGGUUUGUAAAUUCUUAUAAACCCGUUCGUUGUUAAUCAAAACAUGCAGGUUAUACUCAUUGCUAGAUUAUAGGAUUCACAAUACAUCUCUGCUCAGAUAGUGGGGGGUAUUUAGUGUGUGGACCCACACCAUAGGAGUCCAUGCACUUAAAGAACUCGAUAUAGUUGAGGUGGUCUUUUACGGUAGGUAAAAUCUGUCUUGAGAACGCACUUUUAUUUCCUAUAAGAAUUCUUAAUAUUAUAGGAUUCAUAUAUAUAUAUAUAUAUAUAUAUAUAUACAUAAAGUCGUAUUCUCAUCCUUAUCCUUUUAGUUUAUCUCUUUCCUACGUAGCUUAUUGAAAUAGCAAGUAGGUGCAACGCGCUCUAUGAGUUAACCCUCUAAUAACCUACGCUAUUCUAUCCCUCUUUUUUCUCUUGACUUUACAAUUCUAGAUAAUCCUUCCAUAAUUAUCUCUUCCAUUCUCUCACCCUUUUUUUCCUUAACCCUAAUCAUCAAGCCUAAAUUUCUUGGGAAUUAGUAUAAAUAAUUUUGAAUUAUGUUUUUAACUCUCUCUCAUCUUCAACUCAAAAGUUCGAAAUAUCAAUUCAAAUAUUAGAUUAUCUUUAUCAGAUUAUCGCUAUUGAAGAUGCUCUACAUUUUUACUCAUAUAUAUGGUUAUCGAUCUAUUACUCAUCACUUUAUCAAGCAGUGCACAUGUUUACACUUUUCCACAAUGUUUUUGGAAAGUUCUUUUUUUUUUACUUCAAUGCAAGGACCGGAUUUGGAACUUUGUUUUUAUUCCCUUCGCUGUAUGUGGUCUAUAAUUUCCUACACAUUCUUCAUAGCUAGGUCAUUGAAUUUGAAUUUUCUAAAUCUUCAAAAGUUACAGUUUGGUUUUUAUUUCUAACAAAGUUUUUGUAAUUAAUUUGUUAUUUCAAUUUAUAGAUUCACUCUUCAAUUCAAGUAUAACACAUAUUGCUUUUUUGGUUAGUGAUUUAAAAGUGGCCUUUUGAACUAUGUGUUUUCACAUGAUUUUUUAAUUGCCUUUGACAAUUUAUUAAUUGUCUUCAACAAUGUAUUAAUUUUUUUUUGUUUUCUAGGUUUCUGGGGUUAAAAAAAUUUUGUGCAGUUUUCAAUGUUUUUUUUUCAGACUUUGGUAGAAAUCUUCUAAAGAAUAAGAAGGUGUCACUGAUUACAUAAAUAGCAAGGCAUCAAGUUCAUUGUCAUACAGCAGUUCACGUCAUGCAAUAUACAUUAGACUAUUUAGAUUUUUUAUGUUUUUGACUUUAUAGCAAACUACAUCUUAUGUUUUCGUUUGGGUUUCUAUUAGCCAUGAAUAGAUUUAGAAGGUUGUUGUAUUCCUAUGACUUGAUUGAUUCUGAAUUCUUAUAUUUUAUUAAUAUUUCAUUCGGCUUCUUUUCUUUUCACAUUAACCUUUAAGCCAUUUAUAUUAAGUACCAAAAUUGAUGUUUUGGUAACGGGUUGGCCAUUAUUUUGUUUACAGAAGAUCAGCCAAGAUUUGAUCUUCCCUAUUUUCAAGUUUUUGAAUGUCAUCAUAUUGUCGAUUUUUUUCUGCAUUUUUUGAAUUAUUAAUCACUGAAUUAGAUGUUUAAAUUUACAUUAUACGACUAUUUUUGAAUAAUAAUGUAUUUAAGAAAGGUUAUAAUAGAUUAUACAAUAAGUUUGUAUUUUAUGCAAAUAUUUUUAUGAACUACACUAAAUAAUUUAUUAUUUUUAGACAAUUCCCAUUCAACGAAUGUGUACAAAACUAGUUUUGGGAUAUUUUCAGAAAAUAUUUUGGGAUAUUUAAGAGUAGAAGAGUUUCUAGAAUAUAUUUUGAAAUAUUUUUUAAAAUUUUUAAAAAAAUUUAAACUAAUUUUUAGAUUACCUUUUAGAGUACUUUUUAAAAAUUUUUAUUGUAUUUGAAAACUAGUUUUUGAAAAACACUCCCAUAGUCUUUAUAAAUUUAAUUUUUUAUUAUAUUAUUUCUUAUUACUUUCUUUUUCUAGUUGAUUUUGGAUCUUUUUUAUUACUUUUCUAACUAUUUUCUUUGACCUUUUCCUUUAGCUUUUGCGGACGCAUGUACUGGUUUCUCCUCAAACUGGAUGUCUCUCAAUCUCUCUUCUGGGAGUUCAACAUACUUUAAGAUGAAUUUCAUUUUGCCAUUAUCAAGUUUGCACUUAAAGAAUUAAAGUUCAUAUGGGGAUGAGUCAUACUAAUUUCAUAUUUUUGACAUUUAUUUAUCACAAACCUUAAUCCUUCUUUCCUCCAGUGUUUUUUUUCUAUAUCAACUCUCCUUAAUUCCAUUAUUGUUUCACAACAUAAUCUAGAAAGUGUCAGUAUAUAAGAAUUCUUUUGAAGUAAUUAUUACUAAUAUAGUUUCCAUUUCUUGUGGAAUGUUCUGAAUCUUUCCUAAAGCAACAUUUUCCAAUUUGAGUUCAAGAAUUGUUGCCAACUUUUUUGGUUUGCGCAUCACUUUGCAUGUAAGAAUUCAAAAUUUCACCACCAAUUAAAUAGUUUUCCUCGCAACUUGUCCCGUUUAAAUUGCUGUUUUAGGAAUUUUUGUAGAAAAAUAUACUGUAGAAAUUUGAUGUAUAUGAGUUAAAAAGGUGAUUGAGAAAUUUAUUUACAGAAAAAAUUUUAGUUUCCUUUUCUCUUCUAUUUCGAAUUUCUCCCAACUUAUGUUUCCUUGUUGCAAAUCUUGCCAAAUUUUAUAAGAUGUGUCUUAUCAAUUUCUUUGAUACCUGAAACACAAGAAAUUUCUCAUUCCUUAUAUGUAUUCUUGUUUAAUUAUUUAAUUUGGUUCCUGAAACACGAGAAAUUAGUAAAGAAUUUAGAUCCAAUUUGGUGCAACGCUUCUUUGACAAACUGAAUUGGAUGCUUCUGCAACGGAAGUUUUUUUUUUUUUUUUUAUAGGAACAAUAACUUUCCUACAACAUAAUCUAUCCUAUUCUACAGGAAAGGGGAGCCUAAUCUAUCUUAUUCUAUAGGGAGGAGAGGUUAAGAAGGCUGUAUAAGGGAGCCGGUAUACAGACCUGACUAGAUUAAAAGGGUAUUUUGACACCUUCUUUAAAUUUUUUCAUUACAUAUAGAGUUUGAAUUCCAGAUUUACAGUCCAAAAAAAAAUUUAGUUUCUUUUUUAUGGCUACACAGCCAAAGCUUAGUUGGCUCCGUGGUUGCAACGGCAGUUGCUUGGCAUUUUCAAUUCACCUUUCUUUGUAGUAUAGUAGUUGCCGGGAUUCUUCAUCUGCCUUUGAUCCACAUUACACAUGCUUUUGUGUGGGGGGGGGGGGUGGGAUGUGGAAAAUUCCACCCAAGAAGGACAAGAAACCGUGUUGAAUGAUGAAGAAAAGAAAAUGGCAAUCAUCAUUGAGACUCUAAUAAAUCUCACUCCUCAGUUCUUGGGACGUGAACGUACAAUUAAUAAUUCCAUCUAAAUUGCUGAUCCUUGGUGGAUCAGAUUUGAAGCAUAUUUGGUGGACUCCUUAUUUUGUUUGCUUUCUGCAGGGGAUUAUGCUAACACAUCGUUGCUUAAAAAAAAUCCUCCAAUUUCUUUAAAAUCCACAGACCCCCAAAGUUUUCCAUUUCCAUGCUAGCUAUCUAUUUUCCUCUUUGGCUAGUUCAGAAUAGCUAGAAAUUUACAGUGGAUGCUUAUGUUUGCUCUUUAACCACCGGUAAAAGUACUGCAGUAGUACAUCUUUGACAAACUUGGAUGCCAUUAAUUGCCAUGGAGAAGUUUGCUUGGCAAUUUCACUUGGCCUUUAUUGAUCAAUGCUUAGCUGGGUAUUUCAUCUUUUUCUGAUUGAAAGCUGGCUGGGACCUUUGGUUGUGCAAAAUAUCUCAAUGGUUUGUCGGAGUUGUGGUUUGACCCAAGACUGACCCCAGCAAAAAAAAAAAAAAAAAAAAAAAACUAUGUUCAAUGAUCAAAAUGUAAAGGAGAAAGAGGAAAUGACAACCAUAGCUGGUGACUUUGCAACAUUAAUUACCUCAGUCAUUAAUCCUUGGGAAAUAGACUAAAACGUUAUUUUGUGGGGGAAAAUCUUAAAAAAUAGUCCGUGGUUCACUUAUCAAAAACAUGAAAUGGAGUUAACAAUCAGGUUUGGCGUGUAACGACAUAAUUGGCCAAUGGUUGGGUUCUUUCUUCGCUUUUACACUUGUGAAAUCGCCAAAAUAUUCGCUCGUAAUUCCACAAGCUUUCUAGCACUUCAAAAUUUCAAACAUUUUGUUUCAAAAUGCCUUUUUUAUGUACAGCAUACAAAAUUUAAGUGGUGAAAGUUUAAGGAGUUUCUUUAUUACUAUUUUUUUUUUAGAGUACAAUAUACAAUCAACUGGAGUUGGAAGUGAAAAAGACCUUUAGCUCACACUACGAUUAUAAACUUUGACUGAAUUGGGAUGUUUUGGGAAGGGGGAAUGAGCAUGUUCUUGUGGGUUUCAAUUUUUACCAUUGAAUUAUUUACCUAUGAUAUGUUCACAAGUUUAACUUAAAUCGAGUUAUGAUAACAGAAGAUUGUCUAAACCCGAAAGAAAACUUCAAAAGAUCGAAAUUGAAAAUGAGUGAAAAUUAAUGGGGAAUUAACCAGUUAUUUGGAUACUUGAAUUUUACCUAUUUUUGUAUCCAACUCUUUCAUAAUUAGUUUUUCUUAUAGUUUUUCUCGCUCCUAACAAAUUUAUCUUUUCAGAUAAAUUUGAAUUAUUUGUUCUUAUGGUUCCUCUCUCUUCUAACAAUAUGAUAAAUUUGUAUAAAAUUUUUUUAUCCAUAUGGAUUAACUUAGUGUUAAAAAACUUUAACUGUUAGCUGAUAGAUUUAUCAAUAUUGCUGGAAAUUAAAUAUUUGUUGAUGUAGAAAACAAAUCGCAAAAUCUAUUGUACUUAGUUAGGUAGGAAAAUGUAACUAGGUUUAUGGUUAUUAUAAAAAUUGUAAUUAUCUAAAAAAUUCCAUACACUAAAAGGAAGAAUAUCUAUUGAUUUUUUUAUAUGUGUUAUAAUAUUUGAUGAAUAUUAUUAUAUUAUAGUAAAAGUAUGUAAAGAAGUUUUUAAAAAUUAGUAUGACAGUUAAGUAUAAUUAUUCCAUUAAUUUUCUAAAAUUAAUAUGAAUGAACUUGUAAGAUCAUCAUUAAUUUUUUAUUUAAAUUAUUCAUGCUUGCACGAAUUCAUAAUAAAAUAAAAAAAUAAACCAUGCCAAGGCACAUGCAAGAUGCUAGUUCAAAUUAAUGUUGUACACGUAUAGGAGUCACAAAACGGUUUGGUGCACUAGCAGGCGAAAGGGGACAUCUAAAGUAUUAGGACAAGUUUUACAUUAAAGUGGGAGAUUUGUAAAGCAAUUGAGCGAAAACAAAUGAGGUUGAGGAAAAUUUUAUAUCAGUUGCAAUACAAUCAUAAAAGCUAUGACACAUUCGUUAAAAUAAGAAAUAUUUAUUAAUUUGGUGCAGUGUAAUAGCAAACCAAGGAAAAAAAAUGUGAAUGAUCCGUAAGAGGGAAAGAUGUCAUUUGACUUAAAAUAAAAGUGUGAUUGGAUAGAGGUUUAGUUGAACAAAAAAAAUUAGAUUAAUAUCAUAAUACUUUUUGUGGCUUGAUAUAAUGUAUAUGAGAUAGGAUGAUGGCUAGUAAAAUAAAAAAAAAUGAUUCAGGUAAAACAGUGCAUGCAAAGAUGAAGGUUGAUAAUAAUAAUGAUGAUAAUAAUAGGGUGAAAACAGUGCAUGCAAAGACGAAGGUUGAUAAUAAUAAUGAUAACUCUGAUGAGAUGGAUAGCAAUUGCAAGUUGCAAACCAUGCAAUUAGUGUUUUAGAUUAGGUAAAUUUGCACACCAUUAUUGCAAAUAAUUCAGUCAAUAAGAGAGAGGAAAGCAUAAUGCACGAAAUCCAACUUUUAGAAUUGUGUUAUAGUUUAGUGAUGACUGUGUGGUGUUUUUGUAGGCAAAUAAACAGAAAAACAAAUAAAUAUACAAAUUUGAUAAAAUUUGGAUUGUAAAUUAUUUGAGAUAUUUUUACUGUAACAUUUUUUGUGAUGUGAUGUAUGUGAGAUAAAAAGAUAAUUGGGAAGAUAAAAAGGUGUGUUAGAAAUUGUAAUGAUGAUGUAAGCAAAUAAAUUUUGGCAAAUAAUCCUCUAUCCAAACAAACCUGCACUUCUACAGGACCGAAACUAAUUGCUCUUAGGUCCCAUUUUGUACAGGACCAAAACUAUUUUUUAACGUGAUCAUCUUCUCCAAUGGAGGGAGAUCUUCGCUAGCUCGGCUAAAGCAGGUGCUAGAUGAGUACAGCAGGGCUUCAGGGCAGCGGAUCAACUCCCAGAAAAGCUGUUUUUUGACCCACUCGGAGUUUCCGCCACGGCAGGCGGCAGCGGCAGGUCGGAUCCUGGGUUUCCAGAGACAAGCGUUCCCGGUACGGUAUCUUGGCUGUCCGUUAUAUGUGGGCAGGAGGAAAAAGGUCUAUUUUACGGAUAUGUAUAAUGCGGUGGUAGCUCGUAUUCUAUCUUGGAAGAACCAGCUAUUAUCUGUAGGAGGCCGUAUUGUGUUGAUCCAAAGUGUUUUAGCAUCAAUGCCGAUACAUUUACUUGUGGCUGCGUCCCCUCCUCAAGGGGUGAUGGGAGCCUUGGAGAGGUUGUUCGCUGAUUUCUUGUGGGGGCCAUCUGACUUUGGUUCACAAUUCCAUUGCAUUAGGUGGAAGGACAUUUGUUGCCCUCGGGAGGAGGGAGGGAUUGGGUUGCGGAGCCUGAAGGGGGUGCAUGAUUGAUAGGGUGUUAAUUAUUAGUAAUUUUAUUGUUAAUUUUCCCUUUUAUCCUUGCCAAAUAUUGCUUUAAUUAUUAAUAUUUACUUAUAUUUGGUAUUGGACCCAAUUUCAGGAAGUGGAGCAGAAAAGUACAAAAAGGAGGGACUCUCCGGAAUAAAAUGGAAGACUUCUAAACACUUCACAAGCCUAGCCCACGUUGCUGAGAAGAAACGGAUUCCCAUUUCCCUUUUGGCUGACUAGGAGUCCUGCCACCAAGAGAAAAAGGAAAUACAAGGAAUCUGGCAAAGUUUCCUCUUUGUACCUGGACUCCCAAUUCAUGGGGGACCACGGGAGCAUUAGACUUUCUUUUGGCUUUAAAAGUAGGAAAAAAGCGGACAGAGGCUGGACAGUUAGCUUUUUAGCAUAGUUUAGUUGUUCUUUUUUUCUUCUUUGCCGUCUCUUCUAGGAGGACGACGGAAACAUAUCUUUGUUUUAGAAUAAUUACUUCUGCAAUUUCGCAUGGGAUUUCCUCCAUGUAGAUGAACUAAGCCUCUGAUCUAGUCAAGGGACAACGGAUGUUUUGGGUCGCCUAAAAUUGUGAGAUCGAUUUAAUUUUAUCUUUUUCUUUUAUUUAUUGGUAUUCGCAUAUUCCCUGGUUACAGUGCUUAUGAUUGUUUAAUUAAUUGAUUGUCUUGGAUCCGGAUAAUUAGUUAAUUUGAUAAUCUAUUGUCAAUUGGGACGUUAAAUCCGUAAUUGUUUAAUUGUCUCAAAAUAGUGAUGACCGGCAUGAUUGGGUUUGUGUCAAAGGAAUAAGCGGGCUAACAUAAAAUAACCCUGGUAGUGUGUUAUUUGGUUAGAAUAUGGCUCUUCUAAUACGUAAGGCAAUUGGGGAAUUAAAUCUUACGGGCGUACCUAAGAUUAUUUCCUAAUUAGAGCAGUGAUUAAUGGGCGUACCUUAAUCACCGACACAGUAAGGAGGGGUUGACUGCCAUCGCUUGUUUGGUAAUUAUAAUCUAUUUAUUGAUAAAUAAUUGGAAUUGCCUUUGCUUCGAUGAUCAAUUAGGUGUACCAUUGCUGAAGUUAUUUCUUGGCUAGAUCCUUAAUUAUCACUCAUUUGAUUUUAGUAAAUUGUUAUUUAAUUUCUAGUUGGCUAUUUCAUUUUUAUUAUUUUACUUUUAGUUGAAUUGCUUAAAUUGUCGCCCCUGAUAUAAAACACCCCCCCUUUGUUACUGUGGAUUUGAAAAGAAACAGUUACACCCAGUCCCUGUGGAUUCGACCCUGCUUACCACUAUCUACAGAAAUUAACUUUAGUUGAGCAGGUUUUUAUUAUUGCACAGGCUGACAACCUGUCAAUGAUUCGCUCUUGGUUAAACUAUGGUGGAAGUUCAGACAGCAGCAAUUGCUUUGGGCGGAGUUCAUGACUAGGAAGUAUUGUGCGGGUCUGCACCCGUGUCUAGCGGAUGAUGGCCCGAUGUGUUCUUCUACGUGGAAACGGAUGGUAGCAGUUCCGCAGGUUGCGGAGGACAACAUCGGUUGGGUAGUACGCCAGGGUUCGAUGGACUUUUGGCAUGACAAUUGGUUGGGGACUGGAGCGCUUUGUGGUAAGGUUGAGGUUUUCUUCGAUCAUUUGGUUGCGGAUUUUGUGGAAGGGGGGGCAUGGAAUGUCGAUAUGCUUCGUCAGUACUUAGAUGCCGGGCUAGUUGGUCGGGUUCUGCAGGUGGCCCCCCUUCCUUUCGAGGCCCAGAUCGUAUGAUUUGGAGACCUACGACGGCUGGUGUUUUUUCCACAUCCUCAGGCUAUUCCCUCGUCCGCCAUGUUGAUAAUCGUUCUUGGAUCUAUGCCUCGGUCUGGCGGCAAGGUCUUCCGGUUAAAAUUUCUUUCUUCAUGUUGAGGCUGAUGCUGGGCAGGGUUCCUACCAUGGAUAAAUUGGCGAGGUUCGGCCUCUAUGGCCCGUCCCGAUGCUGGUGUUGUCAAGAACCACAGGAGGAGAGUCUGGAACAUGUGUUUUGUUCUGGAGAAGGGGCGCGGACACUUUGGCGGUACUUUGAGAUUCACAUAGGGCUACAAACGAGUCGAGCCGAGUCGAGCUUUGAGCUAAUCGAGCCGAGUCUCGACUAAAUUUUACCAAGCUCGAGCUCGAGCUCGAGCUCGACGAGCCGGCAAUUUUCAAGCUCGAGCUCGACUCGAAUCAAGUCGAGCCGAGCUCGAGUCGAGCUCGAGUCGGCUCGAGUCGAGCUCGAAAAAAAUAAAAAAUAAUUAUUUUAUUUUAAAAAAAAUAAAUAAAAUAAUUUUUUUUUCUUAAUAAAUAAUAAAAUAUUAAGGAUAUAUACGUAAUUUUACUAUGAAAAUAAAAAAUAAAAACAUAUAUAUAAUAUACGUAAUUUUAUUAUUAAAUAAAAAUAAAAAUAAAAAAUAUAUAUAUAUACUCAAACUCGCGAGCCGGCUCGCGAGCUAACGAGCUUAAUAUUCUGAGCUCGAGUUCGAGCUCGAGUUUGACUCGAGCAGGCUCGAGCCGCUCGCGAGCGGUUCGAUUCAUUUGCAGCCCUAGAUUCACCCGGGGGAAAUGGCGGGGGUGCAUACACUCCGACACAUGGUUGGAUUAUGGUGGUUAAGGAGAGGGAGCAAUGAGUUUUUGCAGUUCGUGUUUCAUAUACUACCGUUGGUGAUUUACUGGGAAUUAUGGAAGGUGAGGAAUCUGGGAAUGUUUGAAGGACAGCGGAUGAGGGGUCGGGAUAUGGUGAAUCGAGUCGUCCAGGUGCUAGUAGAGGUCUGUCAGGCACGCUUCCCGACGCUGAGGUGUGCGGAUGCUUCGUGGGAAGGGUUAGUGAGGGAGGUGACUUGUCGGCGAGAGAGGUGGAUUUUCCGGAUGGUCCAUUGGGUAAUGCAGCAGGGUGGGUGGAAGUUGAAUGCGGAUGGAUGUUCUCGGGGGAAUCCGGGUUUGAGUGGAGGGGGUGGACUGGUGAGGGAUUGCCUUGGGGACUUUGUUUUCGGUUACUCAGAGUGUUUUGGUCAUCUAACCAACCUACGGGCUGAAUUGCGCGCUCUACUAGUGGGGAUUAAGCAUUGUAUUGCCCGGGGAUUCCUGGAGAUACACUUGGAAUCAGACUCACUUACACUGAUUCGGAUGGUUAGAGGGGAGAGUACUUGCCCUUGGGAGAUGCAGGGGGAAUUGGAUGACUUGCUUCAGUUCAAGCAGCACUUUCAGACAGCAGCUCACUGCUACAAAGAGGCGAACGUUCCCGCGGAUCAGUUGGCUAAUUUAGGGGCAGAUCUAAAUGGCAAACAACUGUUUCAGUCAAUGUUGGAUUUACCUCAAUGGGUUCGGGGGGCGAUUAGGUUGGAUCAGUUGGGAAUUCCCUCGAUCCGUAGACAGAUGGUAGGAUAUGUAUGAUAGGGCACUUAGUGUACUCAAGAUUCCGUAUUAAUAAAAAACAAAAAUAAUUUUUAAAAAAAAGUUUUUUAUAGAGACUUUUUCGUUUGGAUUGCUAUUUUUUGAAGUUUUUAUAGAAAAAUGUGUUGUAGGAAUUUAAUAUCUAUGAGAUAAAAAAGUAAUUGAAAAAUGUGUUUAUGAAAAACGUUAAAAAUUUUCCGUAGUAAACUGCAAUCCUUGCAUGGCUUGCGAUUUGAUCAAUAUGAAAUAAAAAAGUAAUUAAAAAAUGUGUUUACAAAAAAUGUAAAAAUUUUGCCUUAGAAAACUACAAUCCAAACAAGUAGUCUUCUCCCCAUUCAAGAAACACAAUGAAAAUAUUUGUUGAAUAAUUAAACUUAUCCCUUCAUAAACCACUUAUACCGGGGGAAGUAUGGAGGGAGGCAAUGAAUAAAACGUCUCGGGUUCGAUUCCUCCCACUUACACAAAGAAAAAAGUACAAAAAAAAAAACCACUUAUACUAGCUAAGAGUAUUUUCUGGUUACGUCUCGUGUUAUAUAUUAUUAAUCCUAUCCUAUUAUCCAAAAGCAUUUGUUGGAAAUUGCAUGCUUAAUUUAGAUUAAAAAAACAAUAAUGAAAUAUUUGUUGGAAACGAAGGAAAAAUGACGCAACCUUUCCAAUUUGUAAAUUCAAUUAGGCUAACAUGUAAAACUAUUAAAGUGUAUCAGCAUGAGAGAAUUUAGUGCUUCAUCUGACGCUUGUAAAAUAGACAAAUGAAGUUUUGAAAUUCUAGCAAUUUUGGGCCAAUACCUUUUUUUUAAGGCAAAACCAAUACCUUAGGUAAUUACAAGAUCUCAUCUUGAUUUGCUGUUUUUCUUAUUAAAUGUUGAAUCUAGAAAAUCAUGUCUAAGAAAUAACUACAUAUACCUGGAAAAAAAAUUUAGUGCAAGGAUAAAUAUACGGUUAAGUUAUGGAAAUUCUCUUUUCCAUUUUAGCAAUUUGAUUCUUUGGAUGCAUGAUUUUAUCUGUUAUAUUUGGCUUCAAAAUAAGUUACUUUAGAAUGGUGUUUGGAUGUGGAUACAUAAUCUGUAAUUAUUCUCACCUACUAUUUAUUUUCUAAAGGCCUGUCCACUUUAUUCGGAUUUCUUACCUAUUUCACUCACAAAUGCAGAGGUAGCCAUUGGCGUUUUACGAGGAAGAGAAGCCAAAAAAACUACCAACCCCUUUAUUGCUCUCUUUCAUCUUAUUUCUCCAUCUUUCAUCCUUCUUUUUCAUUGUGACCUACAAUUAGGACUGCAAACCACUCAAGCGCUAGCGAGCCAACUCAAUCAAAAGUUAGCUCAAGUUCAGUUAACAUUGAAUUCGAGUUGAGCUCAAUCCAACCAAGUCGAGCUAUCGAAUUCGAGUCAAACAUAAAGAAAUUCAACUCGUUAACUCACGAGUCAGCUCGAAUAUAUAUUUAUAUAUAUUAUUUUAAUAAUAAAAUUACACAUAUAUAUGCCUAAUAUUUUUAUUAUUUAUUAAGCAAGAAAUGACUAUUUAUUCAUUUUUUAAAAGAAACAAAAUAAGUAUAUUUUACUUUUUAAGGUCGAGCAAGCUCAAACUCGAGUACUCGACUUUGAUUAGGCUCAAAUUUGAAGUCGAGAACGAACUCGAAUUUUACAUUGAAAACUCGUCGAAUUCGAAUUUGAUAAAAUUGAUUUGAGCUUGACUCUAUUAAGCCAAAAGUGGACUCAACUGGAUUCAUUUGUAACCCUACUGACAAUGCUUUGAUCUCCAUUUUAGAAAGGUUAGUUGUUGGCCUUGGUGAACUGUUAACGGGGAAGCAAUUUGAUCUACUUGUUGACAUGCAAUUGGCUAAUCAUUCAAGUGUUGCUACUGCUUUAUGCAGUUUUAACAAGGUGGUUGAAAUUGAUAAAAGGAAAAACUAUUAAAGCAUUAGCGAUUUAUUGGUUGUAAACACUUGCCACAAGAAAAUGUAUUUACUUAUCCGGACACUAUCGAUGAACCGUUCAAUAGGUGCUUGUCUUCAAUAAUUUCUGAAAGAUUAUAUAAUGUGUGAAUGUUUCGAAAAGACAAUACAAUAUGCAAAAACUAUUCACUGAUAGUUUCCAAAAGGAGUUUAAUUAAGCUUUACUUGUCGGUUUAUUGUUUGAGACUCUGACUUAGCAUCUAUAAAUGAAUGCAAUAACUGGUAGGGAAAAAGUCAUUCGAUUGUGAUGUAUUUGCUGAUUUUCUUGAAAUAAAAAAUACAUAGGAAAAAAAAUAUUAGAGAGUUAUCCUUUGCAUGGAGUUCAUAUCGUUACUACUUUUGCUACGUGGAAUACCUUGUCUGAUGGAUGUCUGCUUGAAAUAUGCAUUGACCUUUAUGGCUUCCACAUAUUGUAUGUUUAUCCUAAUAAAUCAUCUUAUAUUGUGCUAAAAUUUCAAACAAGUUUUGGAAUUUUGCUGCAAGUUUAUCUUCUCAAAAGAUAAGUCAAUCGAUUUGAUUUGCGUCAAAAAAUGUGGGUAGAGUUUUGUUUCUAAAUAAAUACUCGGAUAAAACCAAUCCAAACAAACAUUAUGCUUUGCUGAGGCCAACAGCUGACAGAUCUUAAAUGCUGGGGCCUUCAGUUGUGGUAAAAACCUCUCUGACCCAAGAUGCACAAGAGACUGCUGUCUUUAAGGAUAAAAAUGUACCAAAAUAAUAAUAAUAAAUAAAAGGAAAAUGACAAUCUACUUUGGCUACAUUGUUCAGCCAAUUUCCAGUUCUUGAGAAAUAAAAUAGACGUUCAACGCCCAUUUUCUAAUUCGAUUCAGUUCUGUGACCCCUUUUUUUAAUUUUCUAUAAUUUGAGGUAUAUAUAUAAAUAUAUAUGUAUGUAUAUGCCAAUCAUAUCCCAAUGCCAUUUGGUAGCUUUGCUUGGUCACUAUUCAACGCUUCCCUAUAAUUGUUCUAUUGUUCCCGUCAUUCAGAAACAAGGGAACAAAUCCUUAUACUACUGUAUAAGAAUAAAUUGUGAUCAAAUGGAAUUUGAAUUUCAGUCGUAUGAAUAGGGAUUUUUUUAAAAUAUGAAAUAUUGUGUAGUUUUUUAAAAUCUUUUGGUACAAUUGAUGGCAGCAUGUGUUUAGAUAGAUUUACUGAAAUACAGUCAUUUUGGUACAUUUAAAACUUUGAUUUAUGGGGACAUUCAGGUAUUUCUGAAAUAUAAAAUUAUUUUGCAACCAUUUUUGCAUCGAGUACAACUCAUAUAAACUUAUGUGUUGAUAUAAUUACUGAAAUGAUAUUAUUGACAUAUUUAAUUAAAGUGUGAUUUUUGUUGUACAAUUAACACAAAGAUAUAUUAACACGUUGUGCAAUUAAAAUAUUGCUAUAAUUAGCCGUUAGAGGAUAUUUCUUUGUUUGAAACAAUUUAUAUCUGCUCUUGGGCGAUUUUCAACUAACAUCUGUAGGGGCUUUUUAAGAAUGGUAAAAUUGUAAAAGCAUUAAUAAAGUAAAAUGUACAAGUGUGUGCUGCAAUUAAAAUGUACUAUUAUUAGUUUUAUUAUAUUUGAUGACUAUUUCUUUUCAGAAUAUACAAUUAUUUAUCCAAUAAAAAAUUCUCUCAAAUCACAUGCACCAAACAUCAGUACGAUGCACGGGCACUCCUAAUAAUCACAACAAAGAAAGGAAGGCAACCAAAUUGAUCAAGAAAGUGGAGCGAUUGAUUACAAAUGAAUAAUGUCAUAUUGUCGCAUAUUACUACUGCCUUAUUACCAUUAGAUAGGCAAAAUAUUUGUACUUUUCAAUUUUCUAUUUGGAGGUAAGGUCUAAUAUCCCCUUCCUUUCUUUGUAACUUUUUCGAUGAUUUUAUUAAUAAAAUGGGUAUAUAACCCCACCUGUCAGAUAUAAUUGGCGGUUUUUUUUUUGGUUAAAAAACUGUCAUACUGCAAUUAUUUGUUCCAAUCAUUGGGUGCAACACUCUGAGUAGGGAUGUACGCGAACUGAGCUACUUGUGAGCUACAAUGACUUGGCUUGAACUUGGUCAAAUCGAGUUCGAACCGAAUCUCGAAUUACUCGAAUAUACAUGUAAAUCGAGUUCAAGUCAGGACUUUGCAACUCGUGGCUCGAUGAGCUACUCGUCGAGUAGUAUAAUUUAAAUAAUAUAUAUGUAUGAUAAUUAUAAAAUGACCGUUAUGGGUAUAAUUUAUAUUGAAUUUACAAGUAGGGUGCCGAGUCAAAAAGUUCGAUUACUCGACUCGAUAAGAUUUGACUCAAUUGUCGAGCCUUAUCAAGUUGAGUCUCGAGCUUUUAAGGAUCUCCUCGAGUCAAAUUCAAGUUGAGAUUCUUUGACUCGAUCGAGUUUGAGCCGAACUCAAGCAUAAUUAUUAUAGGCCGAGUCGAGCUCGAGCAGUACAUCCCUAGCUCCAUAUGAAGAAAUGGGUGCGUUACUAGAACUAAAAGAAAGAAAAGAGACCUAAUGAAGUAGAGUUCACAAGGAGGUGCGACGUGUUAAAUUUUUUCACAGACAAAGGACCACAUGUGUCCCCAUUUUUAAAAUUCCUUUUUCAAUAAAUCAGCCUCAUGUAUUACGUUACGGGCAAAUGCAAACCCCAUAUUUGCAAAAGAGCAGAGGGGCUCUUUUUUUUUUUUUCUUUUUUUGGUGCGUCACAGAGGUGCUCUUUUGCAAAGUAGGGAGCUGCAUUUAGUUUUCAAUUUUUUUAAAAAAAUUAACAUUUCCAAAACAAAUUUAAAAUUACCAAAAAAGGGUUUGGAUGCGCAUGUAUGCAUGUUGCCAAUUGUGCCAAAAUCGACAUCCCUAAAUAAAGAAAAGGAUUAAUCACAUUUAAACCUCUUAAGGUAUACCUUAUUUCUCAGUUUACCCUCUAACCUUUAAUUUUGCUCACUUAACCCCCUAUAGGACAAAAUUGCCCUUGCAUUAUUUUGACUUUUCAUUUACCUUGUUUUCCUUUCUUUUAUUUCUUUUUCUCUUUCUUCUUUAUUUAAUUCUUCCUCUUUCCCACAAAAAUUUUCACCUUAAUGAUUGAAAUUAAAAAAGAGGAAUUGCAGAGAUCUAUUUUCUCCUUAAAUGAUUAAAAAAAAUAUUCAAAUCACUUUCCCAAAAUACAAUUUUUUUAGCCUUUCAAUUCUUUUAAUUUUGGGUUUUCCUCUUUCCUUUCUAGUUUCUCAUUUUAUUCCCAAGAAAAUAUCUUAAAAUGAAAUUGUGACUUGAUUAAUAAUCAUCAAUUGAAAUUUGUGACACGUGGCAUCAUACAAAAAAUAAAAAUUAGUUUUUGAUGCAUUUUAAACCUUCACCCAAAAAUAUGCAAUUACAAAUUCAAAACAAAAAUUUUCGUUGAAAUGAAAUUUUCUAUUGGGAAGGAUGAAAGAGAGAAGAAAGAGAAAAAAAAUAAAAGAAAGAAAAACAAUUUCAUCUCAUAACCCGGAACAUGCCAGGGGAAAUUGCAUAUUUUUGGGUGAUAUCCCGUAGGAUCAUAGUUCGAACCUUGUUGUGCGAAAUUCCUGUACAUCCAUGGGCGGGGCUUUGUACAGGCCAGGGGAUUAAUCCAGAAACCCCUGAAUUGACAAAAAAAAUAUAUAUAUAUGGUGGGAGAUUUUGUGUAUAGAGUCACAAAAUCGGUUUGGUGCACUAGCAAACAGAAGGGGACAUCUAAAGUACUAGGACAAGUUUGACAUUAAAGUGGGAGAUUUGUGGCAGUCUAAUAGCAAACCAAGGGGAAAAAAAUAUGAACGAUCCGUAAGGAGUCAUUUUACUUUAAAUAAAAGUAUGAUUGGAAAGGGGUUUAGUUGAACAAAAACAUUAGAAUAAUAUCGUAAUUUGGUGCAGUCUAAUAGCAAACCAAGGAAAAAAAAAAUACUGAGUACCUGGGUUUGGUGAAGCCAAGAAAUAAUGAGAAAGUAAUGGCUAGUCCACGCACAUUCCAUUGGUAUUAUCAUAUUUUUACUUUGUUGAUGUUAUAAAAUAAAAGUCAUCAUUUUAAAUUUAACAUAUGUUUUUUAAUUUUAUAAUUUAAAAGUAACUUUUUAAAAUCUCAAUAUACAUUAAUCAAGAGAAUAUUUUAAAUUCAAAAAUACAUUUGGACGGAGGAGGAAAUUUAUAAAUAUAAUAAUUGUCAUGUCUUUGUAAAAAGUUAAAUUCCCAAAAACGAUUCUAAUAUUUGGACGGAAGGGUAAUUCAUAAUUGCCAUGGAAGUUGCUUGGGAUUUUGACUUGACCUGUCGUAAUCAAUGCUUUGCUGAGGCCUACACCUUUUUCUGAUUGUUGGGCCCUUCAGUUGUGGAAAAAAUCCCAGAGGGUUGUGGGAAUAGUGAUCUGACCCAAGAGGCACAAGAAACUGUUGUCCUUAAGGAUAAAAAUGUACCCAAAAUAAUAAUAAUAAUAAAUAACAUUAUUUAAGUACUCCUUAUUUUGUUUGCUUUCUGCAAGCAUUAUGCUAGUGAGUUUGUUUGGAUAGAGUAUUAUUUGAAAUAAUUACUGUAGUAUUUUUUAUGAUAUAAUAUAUGUGAGAUAAAAAAAUAAUUAAAAAUAUAAAAAAUUAGAUUAGAAAACAUCUUUACGAUUCAAGAUUGGAUUCCAAUUUUUACAAUUGAAUUAUUUGCCUAUGAUAUGAUCACAAGUUUAACUUAAAUGGAGUUGCGAUAAUAGAAGAUUCUUGAAAGAAGACUUCAAAAGGUGGAAAUUGAAAAUGAGUGGAAAUUGAUGGGGAAUUAACCGGUUAUUUGGAUACUUAAGUUUUACCUAUUUUUGUAUCCGGCUCUUUUAUAAUUAGUUUUUCUAGUCCUAAAAAAUUUAUCUUUUUAGGUAAAAUUGAAUUAUUUUUUCUUAUGGUUCUUCUCUAUUCUAACAAUAAGAUAAAUUUGUAUAUUUUUUUUUAUCCACAUGGAUUCACUUAGUGUCAAAAAACUUUAACUAUUAACUGAUAGAUUUAUUAAUAUUGCUGGAAAUUGAACAUUUGUUGAUGCAUAAAUAAAUUGCUAAAUUUUUUGUACUUAAUUAAGUAGGAAUAUGUAACUAUGUUUAUGGUUAUUAUAAAAAUUGCAAUAAUGUAAAAACUAUACAUACACAAAUGGGUAGAAUAUCUAUUGAUUGUUUGAUAUGCGUUAUAAUAUUUGAUGAAUAUUAUUGUAUUAUAAUAAAAGUAUCUAAAGAAUUUUUUAAAAAUUAGUAUGACAGUUAUGUAUAAUUAUUACAUUAAUUUUAUAAAAUUAAUAUGAAUGAACUUGUACGAUCAUCAUUAAUUUUUUAGUAAAAUUAUUCAUGCUUGAACGAAUUCAUAAUAAAUUUUAAAAAAAUAAACAUGCCAAGGCACAAGCAAAAUAAUGCUACUUCAGAUUAAUGUUGUACAUGUAUAGAGUCACAAAAUGGGUUUGGUGCACUAGCAAACAGAAGGGGGCAUCCAAAGUAUUAGGACAAGUUUGACAUUAAAGUGGGAGAUUUGUAGAGCAAUUGAGCGUAAACAAAUGAGGUUGAGGAAAAAUUUAUAUCAAUUGCAAUACAAUCAUAAAGCCUGUGACACAUUCGUUAAAAUAAGAAAUAUUUAUUAAUAUGGGGCAGUCUAAUAGCAAACCAAGGGGGAAAAAAUUGAAUGAUCCAUAAGGAGGAAAAAUGUGAUUUUACUUUAAAUAAAAGUGUGAUUGGAUAGCGGUUUAGUUGAAUAAAAAUAUUAGACUAAUAUCAUAAUUUGGUGCAGUCUAAUAGCAAACCAAGGAAAAAAAAUACUGAGUUUUUAGCAUGCACACCAUAUAAUCAGACAUCUUGUGAUUUGAACGAAACUAAAAGAACGAUGGAAAUCAUCAAAACCAAUAUUUGUUUCCCUUUACUUGGUAUGAAUUAUGAAGCCAAUUGCUUAAUUAUUCACAAAGCUAAAUCAAUAGUUUUCUCUUGGAGAUUAAGAAAGAAAUUUUGCUACAUAAACAAAAAUUUUCUUACUUGGUAUGAAUUAUGAAGCCACUUGCUUCUUCCUCGAAGCUGGCUUGGUUUUAGUUAAUUAUGUUUACAGCAACUACUUAGUUUACUCUAAUGCUGGGGCCUUGGGAUGCUCAAAAAGUCCAAUCCUUGAUAUAUAAAAAAAUACUGAACAAAAAGGUAUUUCCACCUAAAAUAUUAGCAAUAACAAUAGUAGACAAAUUAUAGAAGUGGACGGCUCGGGUUUGGGUCCCAAACUCUCAAUUGCUAUAUUAGGGCGGCUUAGCUAUCUCAAUUAUUGCACCUAAAACACCAACAAGUGCGUGCAGAAAACAUCAAAAGAAAUUAUUGCCUCCGCAGCAAGAAGAGGUUUUCUCAGCUUAGUCGUAGAAGAAGAGAGUGCUUCUUUUGAUAAACUUGAAUGCAAUUUGUAGCAAAACUGAUUGGCGUUUUACUUGAAUGUUUCUAAAUCAAUGCUGGAAUUUUUUUUUUUGUUCUUUAUUACUUUUUUUUUUUUGGAAAAAUCAUUUAAAAUGUUCCUUACAUUUCGUCAGAUGAAUUUUUUCUUCCCUCACUUUUAAAAUAUUAAUUUUAUGUCUCUUAUAAAAUCAAAGCAACCAAAUUUAGUCCCAACUUGGGAUUUUGAUCACUAAAUAUGCAACGUGACCCACAUGUAAUCAUCUUUUCAAGUGCAAAAACUACAUUUUUUUCCAAAAAUUAAAAGCAACAUCAAAAAACUAGAAAAAAAAAAUAUGAGUGAGGAGUGAAAUGUAAGAAGCAUUUAAGAAGCAGGAGUUUUGAACGGAGGACCUCUAAUUCUUUUAGUUUCAAACUUAACUAAUUGACCAAGGUCUUUUCCCAAUAUAAAGGCUCAUCUCAUGAAGAAGAAUGCAAAUUAUUCGACAGGAUUCAAAUGUUACAAGAUGCUAAAUCCCCUAUUCCUUCAUGAUUAAAUGCCAAUACAAAUUUACUGAAAGAAAAGGAGCCAUGCACGAAAUUAUUGCAUCUGCUGCAAGAAGAGAUUUUCUCAGCGUAGAAGAAGAGAGUGCUUCUUUUGAUAAACUGGAAUGCAUUUUCCACCAAUACAGAUUGGCGUUUUACUUGAAUGUUUCUAAAUCAAUGCUGGGUUUUUCUUUUUUGUUCUUUAUUACUUUUUUUGAGAAAAUAAUUUAAAAUGUCCCUCAUAUUUCGUUAGAUGAAUUUAUUUGCCCCUCACUUUAAAAUAUUGAUUUUAUGUUCUUUAUAAAAUCAAGGCGGCCAAAUUUAGCUGCAAUUUGGGUUUUUGACCACCAAAUACAUGAAGAGAUUCACACGUGAUCAUUGUUUUGGGUGCAAAAACUGCAUUUUUUUCAAAAAUUAAAAGAAACUUCAAAAAAUCGGAAAAGAAUAUCAGUAAGGAGGAGUGAGAUGUAAAAAACAGGAAUUUUAAACCUAAGACCUCUAAUGCUAGUAUUCUCAACCUUAAUUAAUUGACCAAGGCCUCUUCCUUAUAUAAAAGGCUCAUCUCAUGAAGAAGAAUGCAAAUUAUUUGACAGGUUUCAAAUGUUACAAGAUGCUAAAUCCCCUAUUCUUUCAUGACUAAAUGCCAAUACAAAUUUACUGAAAGAAAGAGGAGGCGCGCAAGAUCGCUGGUGUAGUUGUCAAUUUUUGAACACUUUUUUAGGUUUUUUUGCCGUGAACUAUCACCCAAGUCCCUUAUUGAAUUUGCAUUUUCUUUUCAAUCAUGCGCGCCGAGCGUGCCAAUAGGCAGUCAAUAUUCCCGCCUGCCUGAAGGGAAAUGUCACCCAUAUAGCCAUCAUUUCUGGGCAUUAAUGUGAUUUCAUUAAAUUUUUGGACCGAAUCUUUGUGUUGUUAAACAUUUUAUUCAUCCAUCUUGGGGAAAAAAGUGUAUAGUAUAUCUUAAGUUCAGAGUGAUAAAGUGUUACUCAGGUCUCAUUCCCAAGUUCGUGAUGUAAUCAAAGUGUAAUCAACCCUUAAAUUCAUUCAUCACAUCACUCUCUAUAUUCACAACAACAAAUCACAAGUUUUGGCCGGCUGAGACGAAGAGAAUAAAAAGACUGUGCCGUGAUGCGGUUCAGCUAAGAAUCAAAUGAAUUCCAAAAGUAAAGGCAUUAUUUAGGGGCCAACAGGGUUUCCCAUCGAGCAUUUUAAUUAGCCAAAAUCACUGCAAAACAGACAAUCCAACUGACGACACCAUAUAUAUAGAAAACCCAUAAAGCUAACUGGAAACUGCAUGACACUUUUUUGUUCAGUCAAUUUUUCAGAAAUCUAAAUCAAUAUCUCUGAUGAACUAAUGUUUUUUUAUAUGUGUUGAAUGUUGUUUGGUUUAGUAAAUUAUCAUUCCAGCGAGUAGUUGCUUUACGCUAAUGCUGGGGGCCCUUGGGGUGUUUAAAAAGUCUACUCCUUGAUAUUUAAAAAAUACUGGGAAAAUGAUGGGCACAGCUAACAUUUCCAGCUAAAAUAUUAACAAUGUAUAAUACUAGCAGGAGAAAAUAAAAUAUAUAUAGAAAUGGAUGGGUGACGGUGGAGUCUCAAUUGUUAAUGUGUUAUUGUGUCAGGGCGGCGGCUUUGGCACCAACAAAUUAUCCAAAACAAAUCCUAAACAAAUCAUGAGUUUAGGAAAUGUAAGAAGCAUUUAAGAAGCAUGAGUUUUGAACGGAGGACCUCUAAUUUUUGUAGUUUCAAUCUUACCUAAUUGACCAAGGUCUUUUCCCCAUAUAAAGGCACAUCUCAUGAAGAGGAAUGCAAAUUAUUGGACAGGAUUCAAAUGUUACAAGAUGCUAAAUCCACUAUUCCUUCAUGAUUAAAUGCCAAUACAAAUUUACUGAAAGAAAAAGGUGCCACGCAAGAAAUUAUUGCAUCUGCUGCAAGAAGAGAUUUUCUCAGCAUAGAAGAAGAGAGUGCUUCUUUUGAUAAACUGGAAUGCAUUUUCCACCAAUACUGAUUGGCGUUUUACUUGAAUGUUUCUAAAUCAAUGCUGAGUUUUUCUUUUUUGUUCUUUAUUACUUUUUUUUUUAGAAAAUCAUUUAAAAUGUCUCUCAUAUUUCGUUAGAUGAAUUUUUUUGUCUCUCACUUUUAAAAUACUGAUUUUAUGUUCUUUAUAAAAUCAAGGCGGCCAAAUUUAGCUGCAAUUUGGGUUUUUGACAACUAAAUAUGCAACGUGGCCAUUGUUUUAGGUGCAAAAACUGCAUUUUUUUUUUCAAAAAUUAAAAGAAACUUCAAAAAAUUAGAAAAGAAUAUCAGUAAGGAGGAGUGAGACGUAAAAAGCGGGAACUUUAACCCUAAGACCUCUAAUGCUUGUAUUCUCAACCUUAGUCGACCAAGGCCUCUUCCUUAUAUAAAAGGCUCAUCAUCAUGAAGAAGAAUGCAAAUUAUUUGACAGGUUUCAAAUGUUGCAAGAUGCUAAAUCAAUAUCUCUGAUGAACCAAUGUUUUAACUGGAAACUGCAUGAGACUUUUUUGUUCAGUCAAUUGUUCAGAAAUCUAAAUCAAUUUCUCUGAUGAACCAAUGUUUUUUUAAUGUGUUGAAUGUUGUUUGGUUUAGGAAAUUAUCAUUCCAGCGAGUAGUUACUUUACGCUAAUGCUGGAGCCCCUUGGGUUGUUUAAAAAGUCUACUCCUUGAUAUUUAAAAAAUACUGGAAAAAUGGUAAAAUAUUAACAAUGUAUAAUACUAGCAGGAGAAAAAAAAUAUAUAUAUAUAUAUAUAUAUAGAAAUGGAUGGGUGACGGUGGAGUCUCAAUUGUUAAUUUGUUAUUAUAUUAGGGCGGCUUUGGCCAUCUCAAUUAUUACCGCUGCACCAGGGAAUGUAUGCAGAAAAAUCCUAAACAAAUCAGCCAAUGAGGGUUUCUCAGCUUAGAAAGAAGAGCGCUGCUUCUUUUGACAAACUUGCAAAUGCAUUCUCCACAGUACCAACUAACAUUUCCGUCUAAAAUAUUACCAACAACAAAACUACUUUUCCGUAUAUAGGACUCUCAAUUGUUAUUAUAUCAUAUUAGGGCGCUUGGCCAUCUCAACUAUUGCACCUCCAGACAAAAAAAAUCUAAAGAAAUUAUCCAAUGAUGAGAGUGAAACGAUGAGAGUGAGUGCUCGGAUCAGGAUGAGUUUUGCAGCAUGGAAGGUAUUAGUAGCAUCGCGGGGUUGAAAUGAUGAGUUAUGCGAAAAAUCCGAAGGAUAUUUCGUCAUGCCUUCUGCAAACAAAUAGCACCAGCAAGCGCUAGCAGUUUUGUGCUAGCGUAGUGAGAGCCUGCAGGGUCACGCUAAGCUCCAUUUUAAAUAUUUUUAAUAAUUUUUAUUUCGUGCAUUUCUCUAAUAUUUUUUUUUUACAUUUAUUAAAGCGAAAUGUUCAAUUUAUACAUUUUAAAUAGGGAUAGUUUCACAAACUUCCCUUGAAGUUUUUGACAAUUUUAUUGUGCUGCUUGAAGGUUUUAAAACUUACCUCCCUUAUCGACAUAAAACGACAACACUAAUGUUAACAUUUUAAUAAAACUCCCAUAUUGGGUGUGCAUAUAUAAAGAAUGGGAUUUAUAAUUAUUUUUUCUUUUUCUUUUCCAUUUCUCUUCUUAUUCUUUCUUUUUAUAUUUUUGCUAGUGAAAUGAUAGAAAACCGUAAUCACCAACUCUAAAUGUUGAAUUACCGACUUUUUUUUAACAACUUUGAAUGCCAUCCAAUUUUUAUUUGUCAAUAUUUUUUUUUCAAUCAAAAGGAACACUAACUCAAAAAGAAAUGCUCAAAACGACUACCAAAAUAUGGUAAUUCCAUCAAUCUAAAAUGCAGUAUGAUGAUGAUAAUUUCUUCUUCAAUUUAGAAAGAAAAUGUAUCCCUUGUAAAGCACCAUUCUAUCAUAAUGUGAAGCUAUUGGUCGUAAAUGCUUAUCAAACAAUAGAUUUGGUAAUGAAAACUUCACACUCUUUCCUUAUAUGUGUGCUAAGAAUUGCUUUGGAAAGUAAUUAAUCUUUAUAAUCUAAGGGUAUUUGUUGACAAAAUUUAAACCAAGCCAUUUAGAAGUUUGUAUCGUAGUUUUAGAAUUAGAUUUAUUAUAUAGUAACUAGAUUAAAAUUGAUAUCAAAGUUGGUUUAGAAAAUAGAGUUGAGUUAUAUUUUAGUGUUAGAAUUAGAAUAGAUUUAGUAAUAUAUGUAUCUAUAUAUGGAGUCCUCCAAGUCGUACAUUUAUAAUUGAGGAAAAUUAGCAUCAAGAGAAUAAAAUUCUAAAUCCUCGCCUGCCCAUUUGUUCGUUAUUCAUACUUUUUUUUUUUUUUUUUGUAGUUGCUAACAUUAUUGACAGUUUGAAGGCCCCAUAUUCACAGCAACAAAUCACAAGCUUAGGCUAGCGGAGACAGAGAGAGUCAAAGGAGAUUGCCAUGAUGAUGUAUUAUUUCAACAAGGAAUCCAAGGAUUUUCAAAUGUGAAAAAAAAAAUACUGGAAAAAAUGGAAGGUACAAGUACAACUGGCAUUUCCACAUAGAAUAUUAGCAAUUACACCGGUUGAAAAAUUACAGAAGUGCAUGGCUAUAUCGAUUAUUGCACCUAAAACACAACAAGUGUGUACAGAAAAAAUGUAAAGAAAUUAUUGCUUCUCAGCGAAGAAGAAGAUUGCUUCUCUUCACAAACUCGAAUACAUUUUCCACCGAAGUUGGUUGGAGUUUUACUUGAACGUUUCUAAAUAAAUGCAGGGUAUUUCUUGUUCUUUAUUUUUUUUUUUGGCCAAAUUUUUGUUUGUUUUGUGCUUAAAUGCUGGGCCUUUUGUUCCUCGAAUCUUGCUUGGUUUUAGUUAAUUAUGGUUACAGAGACUACUUAGUUUACGCUAAUUCUGGGGCCUUGGGAUGCUCAAAAAGUCUAGUUCUUGGUAUUUGAUAGGUUGCAAUUUUAUCAUUUAUUUUAUUAUUAAUUUUUCCUAUUACCUGACCUAAUGUGGAUUAAUUGCUAGAUUUUACUCACUUUUGAUAUUUUGCAUUUGUUUCAGGGAGUAGAACGAAAAAAUAAUAACAGGUGCUAAUUUGGCAAGAAAAGAGUUCAGAUGAUAGAGUUUGUCCUAGGGGCAUUUUUGGAACAACAAAACGUGAGCCCUUGUUGGGCAAAUUGGGCCGAAGUCUUCAUUUUUCCGCACAGGAGCCGCCGCAAGGAGCACUACUUUAUAUAGGAAAAUUGCGAAGGAAAAAAGGAGUCUUCUUCUUCCUCUCCGGAAGGAGGCCGCCGCACAAGGCAGAAGCAAUAGAGAGGACGGACGACUGGAUUGUUUCUUUAGCUUUGACUUUUCUUUUGGUUCUGGAGUAGCUUUUCCUUCUUCAUAAUUAGGACCUUUAGUCUAUAGCUUUGACUUCUCUUUUGGUUCUUAGUAGCUUAGCUCACGUAUGUGAGAGGCAAAUGAGAGCAAUUGAAAGAUUCCUUGUAGUUUUUUUCUUUUGACUUUUCGUUGUGGUCUGUGGUGGAUUCCUCCUGCCGCAUGAUGGCCGCGACUGAUGCUCCGAUUUUGCAUGGGUUUUCCUCAUCAAUAAUGAGCUAAACCCUUUUUCUAGUCAAGGAGCAACGAAUGCUUUGGGUCAUCUAAAAUUGUGAGAUCGAUUUAAUUUUAUCUUUUUCUUUAUUUAUUAGUAUUCGCAUAUUCCUUGGUUGCAGUGCUUAUGAUUGCUUAAUUAAUUGAUUGUUUUGGAUCCGGAUAAUUAGUUAAUUUGAUAAUCUAUUGUCAAUUGGGACAUUAAAUCCGUAAUUGUUUAAUUGUCUCAAAAUAGUGAUAACUGGCAUGAUUGGAUUCGUGUCAGGGGGAUACGCGGGCUAAUCUGAAAUAACCCUGGUAGUGCGUUAUUUGGUUAGAAUAGGGCUCCUCUAAUACGUAAGGCAAUUGGGGAAUUAAAUUCUAUGGGCGUACCUAGGAUUAUUUCUCAAUUAGAGCAGUGAUUAACGGACGUAACUUAAUCAUCGACACAGUAAGGAGGGGUUGACAGUCAUCGCUUGUUUGGCAGUUAUAACCUAUUUAUUGAUAAAUAAUUGGAAUUGCCUUUAUUUCAAUGAUCAAUUAGGUGAACCAUUGCUGAAGUUAUUUCUUGGUUAGAUCCUUAAUUAUCACUCAUUUGAUUUUAGUAAUUUGUUACUUAAUUUUUAGUAGUUUUUUUUAGAUUUUAUUUGAAUUUCUUCGAUUGUCACCCCUGAUAUAAAAACACCCCCCUUGUCACUGUGAAUUUGAAAAGGAACAAUUACUCCCAGUCCCUGUGGAUUCGACCCUGCUCACCGCUAUCUACAGAAAUUACUUUUAGUUUGAGCAGGUUUUAUUAUUGCACAAGUUUCGACAACCUGUCAGUAUUUAAAUAAAUAAAUAAAUAAAAAGCUGAAAACAAAGGUACGUACAGUACAAAUGUACAACUGUCAUUUCCACCUAAAAUAUUAGCAAUAACGAUAGUAGACAAAUUCUCAAUUGUAUAUUAGGGCGGCUUUGCUAUUUCAAUUAUUGCACCUAAAACAACAAGAAGUGGUCUUCUCAGCGUAGAAGAAGAGAGUGCUUCUUUUACUCUUAUGUUUCCAAAUCAAUGCUGGGUUUUUUUUUGUUCUUUAUUACUUUUUUUUUGGAAAAAUCAUUUAAAAUGUUCCACACAUUUCAUUAGAUGAAUUUUUUUCGUCUAUCAUUUUUAAAAGGGAAAAUUUCACUUUAUCUCCUGUGAUUUAGUGUUUUUUUUACAUAACCCCCCUAUGAUUUUAAAAACUAUACAUAACCCUCUCAUAAUUUGGAUGAAAGUGUCAAAGUAAUGGAAAUGGUCUUUCGUAAUAGAAUCAUUUAAAAUGUCAAAAUAGCCUUAUGUAAAGUUGAAAAUUUUUUAUUGAUCAAGGGGGGUUAUGUGUAUAUUCCUAAACCAUAAGGGGGUUAUAUGGUAAAAUAUUAAACCAUAAAGGAAUUAUAUAGUAAAAUAUAAAAAUCACACGGAAUUAGUGUGUCAUGUAUUUAUAAGGGUAAUUUCGAUAUUAUCAAAAGUUUCAUUAUGAAUGACUAUCUCCGUCAUUUUGACACUUUAAUUCAAACCAUAAGGAGGUUAUGUACAACUUUUGAAAGCACCAUUAAAAGCAUUCUAUCAUAAUGUGAAGCUAUUGGUCGUAAAUGCUUAUCAAACAAUAGAUUUGGUAAUGAAAACUUGACACUCUUUCCUUAUAUUUGUGCUAAGAAUUGCUUUAGAAAGUAAUUAAUCUUUAUAAUCUAAGGGUAUUUGUUGAUAAAAUUUAAACCAAGCUAUUUAGAAGUUUGUAUAGCAGUUUUAGAAUUAGAUUUAUUAUACAGUAACUAGAUUACAAGUGAUAUCAAAGUUGGUUUAGAAAAUAGAGUUGAGUUAUAUUUUAGUGUUAGAAUUAAAAUAGAUUUAGUACAACUGGCAUUUCCACAUAGAAUAUUAGCAAUUACACCAGUUGAAAAAUUACAGAAGUGCAUGGCUAUAUCGAUUAUUGCACCUAAAAUACAACAAGUGUGCACAGAAAAAAUGUAAAGAAAUUAUUGCUUCUCAGCAAAUCAUGAGGGGAUUAUGUAUAACUUUUGAAACUAUAAGGGGGUUAUGUAGAAAAACACUAAACCACAAGGGGAUAAAGUGUAAUUUGCCCUUUUUAAAAUAUUGAUUUCAUGUCGUUUACAAAAUCAAGGCAGCCAAAUUUAGUUGCAACUUGGGCUUUUGACCACUGAAUAAAUGAAGUGAUCCACUACGUGAUCAUUGUUUUAGGUGCGAAAACUGUAUUUUUUCUAGAAAUUAAAAGAAACUUCAAAAAAUUGAAAAAAAAAAUACUAGCAAGGAGGUGUGAGAUGUAAGAAACAUUUAAGUAGCAGGAGUUUUAAACCCAGGACCUUUAAUUCUUGUAGUUUCACCUUUAACUAAUUGACCAAGUCUCUUUCCCACAUAAAGGCUACCAUUUCUGGGCAUUAAUGUGAUUUCAUUAAAUUUUUGGACCGAAUCUGUGUUGUUAAACAUUUUAUACAUCCAUCUUGGGGACCAAAUCGUAUAUAUCUUUUUUUUUUUUAAAAAUAAAUUGUAUAUAUCUUAUGUUCAAAAGGAUAAAGUGUUGCUCAUGUGUAUAUCUUAAGUUCAAAGGGAUAAAGUGCUACUUAUGCCUCACUCCCAAGUUCGAUAUGUAAUCAAAGUGUAAGCAGCCCUAAAAUUCAUUCAUCAUUCUCUGUACUCACAACAGCAAGUCACAAGCUUUGGCCAGCUGAGAGCCUGAGACAGAGAGAAUAAAAAGACAGUGCUGUGAUGCGGUUCAGCUAAGAAUCAAAUGAAUUCCAAAAGUAAAGGCAUUAGUUAGGGGCCAACAAGGUUUCCCAUUGAGCUUUUUAAUCAGCCAAAAUCACUGCAAAACAGACAAUCCAACUUACGACACCAAAUAUAUAGAAAACCUAUAAAGCUAACUGGAAACUGCAUGACGCUUUGUUCAGUCAAUUGUUCAGAAAUCUAAAUCAAUAUCUGCGAUGAACCAAUGCUUUUUAUAUGUGUUGAAUGCUGCUCGGUUUAGUAAAUUAUCAUUCCAGCGAGUAGUUGCUUUACGCUAAUGCUCGGGUUGUUUAAAAAAGUUUACUCCUUGACAUUUAAAAAAUACUGGGAAAAUAUAGUGAGAACCGAUUGGUGAUUGCCAGGAUGCUUUGUUGAUCUCAGAUUGGUGAUUUCCUUGUAUGUAUGUCGCUUGCUAGGAUGCUUUUUGCUAUCACGUUAUAAAGAUGGAGAUGGACAGAAGGGUUGAGGCUUUCGUCAAAGUUUUGGUGAGAACCGAUUUAUUUAUUUAUUUUUCAAAUUUAGAAUGGGACUGUGGGUUGCCGGUGGUAUGAAAUGAAGUAUGGUGGAGCCACUAAGAGAGCUAUGUAAUUUACCCAAUUUAUAAAGGGUUAUAUGUAAUUUACCCAAUUCGGAAUGGGCUUCUUCCCCGGUUUUAGGUAAUUAUAUUGUUUAAACUAUAUUUGAAACAUGACAUUGAGUAAGUAGGAAUAGCAUGACAUUGAGUAUGGUCGCGCAAUCUGUUUUGUCACAAUGGAAGAGACCUCCUGCGGGCUAUGUUAAAGCUAACUUUGACGGGGCUAUCUUUGUUGAGGGUGACAUUUCAGGUAUUGGAGUUGUCAUUAGAGAUGCCGAGGGUAAUUUCAUGGCAGGAUUGGCAAAGCAAAUUCCAGGAAUUUUUGCACCAGAGGUUAUUGAAUCUUAUGCUGCAAAGGCCGCGGUUGAGUUGUUAUUGGAUCUACAUUUGCCCAUGAUUAUUCUUGAGGGUGAUUGUCUAAAAGUCGUUAAAAUGCUUCAAACUACAGAGACAGAUGCAUCAGCUUGUGGAAUGCUGGUAGAUGAUAUUCUCAGAGAUAUACAAAGCUUUGCAACAUGGGAAGCAUCAUGGGUGCCUAGACAGCUGAACAAUGUCAUGCGUCGUGUUGCUAAAUAUGCUUGUUCUAUUUCUAAUGGCUGUAUAUGGAGGGACUUCCCUCCAGAUUUUAUUGUUACCGCGCUUGCUGCGGACAUCAUCUCAGAUUAAUAAUAUUUUUGUCACUUUCUAUCCAAAAAAAAAAAAAACUAUAUAAGAUAUUUGUUAUCGAUUUCUUUGUUUCCUAAAACACAAGAAGUUUUUCAUUCCUAAUAUGUAUCUUGUUUAAUUAAUUGUUUCAGUGAUUUUUAAAAGAUAUUAGCAAAGAAUUUUAGAUCCAAUUUGGUGCAGUUCUCCUUUGACAAACUGAAUCGGAUGCUUUUGCUACGGAAGUCGAUUCGCAUUUUCAAUUCACCUUUCUUAAUGUUAUGGUCGUUGCUGGGAUUCUUCAUCUGCUUUUGAUCCGCACGCUUAAAGAAAAUGCCAAUCAUCAUUGAGACUCUUAAUAAAUCUCACGAUGAAUAAUUUCAUCUAAAUGGCUGGUCCCUGGUGGAUCAGAUUUCAAACAUAAUUUAAGUACGCCUUACUUUUUGUUUUCUUUCUGCAGAGGAUUAUACUGUGGCAGUGUGGCUUAAAAUCCUCCAAUUUCUUUAAAAUUCAGAGACACCCAGAGUUCUCCAUUUCCUUUUGUGCUUUUGCAACAUUAAUUACCUCAUUCUCUAAUCGUUGGGAAAUAGGCUAAAAACUGAAAAAAAAAAUAAUAAUAAUCGCUAGUUUAGUUAUCAAAAACAUGAAGUGGAGUUAGUAAUCGGGCUUGACACGCAGCUACAUAAUUGGUCAGUAAUUGCGUGCUUUCUUAGCUUUUACAAUUGCGAAAUUUUCAAAAUAGUCUCUUGUAUUUCCAAAAGUUCUCUAGUGAUAGGGUGCAAAAUUACUAUUCAAUUUAUGAUUAUUUCCCCUUGAUUGUAACCAAAUAUUGUUUUAAUUAAUGGAUUCUAUUUAUAUUUGGUUAAUUGUGCUAAUUGUAGGAAAAUGAGCAAAACGUGAUUAAAAGGGAUAAUUUUCAAGUAAAUUUGGUGAUAGCACGAUCAGGACCUGCUUUCAAAUCUAGAAGACUCAAGAAUUUUCUACGUGGAGGUUUCCUAAUUUGAGUCAACUAUGAACAGCUUUUGAAAGAUUUGGGAAGACGUUAAUUAUAUCCUUUCCUUAUACUAUAUAAGAAUGAGUUUAGGGUUUGAAUUUCAACCGCAAGGGUGGGGCUUUUUUGGAAAUGUGAGAGUGUUUGAAGUGCAAUUAGAGUAUUGAAUAUGAGUCAUUAUAACUAAUUUAGUUUUGUUGUAAUUACUUAGGUGUCCUUUUAAACAUUUAAAGUUAGGGAUAAGUUUGAUAUGUGACAUUGUUUGAUAUCCGAUUGAACAUUGGGUACAACUGAAUUCAGCUUGUGUUUUAGUGAAAUUACAUAAAAGCCCUUCUAAUCAUUUAAUUUUAUUAACAUCUAAGUCUUUUAAUUUCUUAAAGCCUUUCUCAUCAGUUAUUUGCAAAGAUAUGAUAUAUAGAUGUUAAGACACAAUUAAUGUCAAUUAGUAGAGAAGUCUGGUUUUUUGGCCGUUAUCAUAGUAACCUCCAUCUAUUCAAAUUCAUUUCAUUUGCUUAUAGGAUUUGUUCCACCACAGUCAUGCAGCAUAUUGAAUUCGGAUAUUGUUACAUUAGCUACUCUUCUUCCCUAUUUUGCAACACUUUUUUCAAUAGGUAUGUUUUCUUUAACCAAUCUACUUUUUGGUUGUAAAAAAUCUGUAAUAUUGCAAGUUGUAUGUGCAAUAAUUUUUCAGUAUUUUAAUUCAAUUGCUCAUGUUAGACAAGCUUGAUAAGGGAGAGACCACAUUUGUUAAUUGUUAUUUAUGGUUUUAAAUAAGUUUAUCAUCAUAAAUUUUCCCAUUUAUAGAUUGCAUCUACUUCUUUUGUUGUUUUAACUAUUAGUUGGGGUAAUUUUCAAAUCGUUUGCUACUUUAUUAACUAUUCCAUUUAGACAAUUUUUCACUUCAUCUGAUUUGCUAAUAUGUUUAACUAUCUACUUAAAACUAUUUGGCUACAAAUCUAAAGUAUGUACCUCAUUACUUUUAAUUGUUUUUCUUAAAUUGAGUGGAUUAAGAUGCUUUAGUACUUUUUUGAGGUAAUUAUUCCUCUAAAUUAGUAUGUUAGUUGUUGUAUAUCUUUGCAACUAACACAAAACUGAUAUUUCAUGAUUGUAACCCCUAUCGAGAAGGAGAUGUUUUGUUAUAUGUCCUAAAUCAUACAAUAAAUUAUAAUUAAUUACUUGCUCAAUGUGAAGGCCUCGUGAUGAUAUAUGUCCUUGGAAUCAAUAUAAAUUCAAGAAUUUUGCUUGCAAGAACCGAAAUUCUACUAGCAAUGAUAUCUUCAAGUAUGCUAAUUGUUCAAAUCUCACUUAUAUGAUAAGAUAAUGUGGUAGAUUGCCCUCAUAGUAAGAUCGAAUUCAAACUAAAUAACAAAUUUUAAUAUCCCUAAAGUGCAUGAGCCGAUAUAAAUAGGUCUUUUAUUAUACUAGGUUAGAUGCAAAGUAGUUGAUCAUAUCUUAUAAUUAUGUUUUAUUGCAAAUUAUAUUUUUUAACUCAAUAUGUAACUUAUGAUUUUUUUUAUUUAAUAUCACAGAAUAAAAUUGUCAUAUUUCAAUUCUUAUACUAGAAAAUGCCAAAUAAUAAUUAUUAACCAUCUUUAAUUAUAGGCACUAAACUCCCACGCAUUGUGUGGGCUUUUCCCCCUAGUUUAUUAGUAGUAGUAUUACAUUAGGAAACAUGAAAUAUUAUCUUUUGUAUUUUCUUUUUCUAAUUAGCCAAUGUGCUUUUAUUAUUAAUAGUAGAUAUCAAGUAGAAAAUUGAGGGAGAGAAAAAGCCGGCAUUUCGCGUGAUUAAUACUUCGGGAAGCUGUCACGAUCUCAAGGAUAAUUCUGGAAUUGUGGAAAUCAGGGUCAAUUGAUUGGGAAAGAUCAGGGAAUUGGGGAAGAACAGAAGAGAGGAAAUAAGAGAAAUGGAGAGAGAGAGAAAGAAGAAAGGAGUGAAGGAAAUCAGAAGAAUCAAAUGCAAUUUCGUAAUCCUUUCUUACACGCGGGCCCCAGUUAUAACCAACUCUAACAACCUGACAUUAGCUAAUAGCUGAUUUAACCGCCUAACUGUCUGACUAAGUGGAACGGUACCGUUUGGAAUGCUUAAUAAGCUCUGGAACGGCAUCGUUUAACUAAUCAACUGACUAAACUAACUAAUGCUCAAUUGAGCCCCUUAUUACGCCUGAGAACAUGAAUUUUGCAGCCUGACAAUCCCUUUCCCUUAAAAACAGACUUGUCCUCAAGUUUGGAAAGCAGUGAACUGGUUUUCAAUGAAGGAUUUAUCCUCCUAAGAAGCUUCUUCAGGUUCUAGCUGCUCCCAUUUAAUCAAGAACUGAAUGAUAGUCUGCCCAUUGCGCAAAAUGACUCUUCUGCUCAGUAUUGCUUCUGGCUACAGGGGGCAUUGAUCGUGUGUGUCCAAUUCUGGAAGCUUGGUAGAACUACCUUGCAUUGGCCUUAUUUUUCUCUUCAGCAGUGAAAUGUGAAACACAGGGUGUACUCUAGUACCUGCUGGCAGCUUCAAUCUGUAGACCACUGUGCCAACUUUCUCCUCCACCUGGAAGGGCCCAAAGUAUUUAGCAGACAGCUUGAGACAUUUUCUUACUGCCACAGUUUGUUGUCUAUAGGGUUGAAGCUUCAGAAAUACCCAAUCUCCCACGACAAAUUCUCUCUCAAUUCUGUGUUGGUCAGCAAAGUGUUUCAUCCUUUGUUGAGCCUUGGCCAAGUUGUCCUUUAUGCAGUUAGAGAUCCUGUUUCUUUCCUGGACCAUAUUGGAAGCUGCCGGGACUACCGAAUCUAAAUAAGGUCCUAAUGGUAGUGGCAAGGGUUUAUAUCCAAACAGAGCUUCGAAUGGUGUCAUAUUGAGGCUAGAGUGAUAGGUAGAAUUGUACCACCACUCAGCCAUGGACAGCCAUUUGCUCCAUUGUGAUGGCAUUUCUCCUGUCAUGCAUCUCAAGUAGUUCUCCACACAUUGAUUCAGCCUCUCGCUUUGACCAUCAGACUGAGGAUGGUAAGAAGAUGUAUAGCGUAGUUCUGUUCCUAGCACCUUGAAUAACUCCUUCCAAAAUCCACUGGUGAAAAUCAUAUCCCUGUCUGUGAUGAUGGAUUCAAGUAAACCAUGCAUUAUGUAUAUGUUGUCCAGAAACACUUGUGCGACCCCUUUGGCAGUGAAUGGGUGAGUGAGUCUAACAAAAUGUCCAAACUUAGUGAACCUAUCAAUCACCACCAGUAUAGUGUCAAAACCUUGUGACUUGGGUAGCUUCUCAAUAAAAUCCAUGGAAAUGUGAGUCCAGGCCUGGGUGGGAACUGGAAUUGGUUGCAACAGACCAGGAUAUGGUACAUUCUCAGACUUACUCCUUUGACAGGUAUCACAGCUACGAACAAAAGUUAUCACCUCCUGUUUCAUCCCUGGCCAAUAAAACAGUGACUUAAUCCUCUGCCAGCAGCCUUUUUGUCCUGAAUGCCCUCCCAGUGCUGAGGCAUGCAGCACCUGAAGGAUCUGGUUCCUGAUGUUAUUGGCACCUCCCACAUAAAUUUUUCCUUGGUAUCGUAGCACUCCAUCCACCAGAGUGAAGCCAUUAUGAGAAUUGGGAUCCAGUAGUAGCUGAGCCAUGAUGUUUUGACAGUGUUCAUCUAGUUCAUAGCUUUUCUGCAGUUCCUCAAUCCACCCUGGUCUCACUGCAGAGAUAGCUAAGCAUGUCUUGGGAAAAAGAUCUGAAACAGCUUCCUGCCUCCUAGAUAAAGCAUCUGCAACCUUAUUUUCAGCUCCCUUUUUAUACUGUAUCUCAUAAUCCAAUCCCAUGAGUUUUGUCAUCCACUUAUGUUGGAGAGCAGUGUUCAAUUUCUGAUCCAACAGAUACUUUAAUGACUGAUGAUCAGUUCUGAUAACAAAAUGACUCCCAACCAGAUAAUGCCUCCAUUUAGUGACUGCCAUCACUAGAGCAAGUAGCUCCUUUUCGUAUACUGACAGUCCCAAAUUCCUGGGUGACAAUGCCUUGCUCAGAAAAGCAAUGGGGUGUCCUUCCUGCAUCAGAACUGCCCCAAUACCACCCCCACUGGCAUCUGUUUCAACUACAAAUGCCUUGGUAAAAUAUGGUAAUGUAAGAACUGGGGCUGAGCACAUCAACUCCUUCAAGUGCUCAAAGGCUGCCUGUGCUUUUUCACUCCACCUGAAACUAUCUUUCCUGAGCAGUUCAGUCAGAGGCUUGAACACCUGGCCAUAAUGUUUUACAAACCUUCUGUAGUAGCCCGUUAAUCCCAAGAACCCCCUUAAUUCCUUUACAGUUUGAGGUACAGGCCACUGUAAUAUGCUACUGACCUUGGAGUCAUCCAUGCUAACUCCCUUGUCAGUAAUAGUAUGUCCCAGAUAGUCUACCCUCCUCUGAGCAAAUGCACACUUGGACUUCUUCACAAACAGUUGAUUAUCCCUCAGCAGAUUCAACACAAGUCUCAAAUGCUGGAUGUGAUCCUCUAAGGUGGGGCUGUAUAUUAAGAUAUCAUCAAAGAAGACCAAGACAAAUUUCCUCAAAUAAGGUUGAAAUAUCUGAUUCAUCAACGAUUGGAAGGUUGCAGGAGCAUUGGUAAGGCCAAAAGGCAUUACCAGAAAUUCAAAGUGACCACAAUGGGUCUGGAAGGCUGUUUUGAAAGAGUCCUGUGGUUUGACCUUGAUCUGAUGGUACCCUGCUGUCAAAUCCAGUUUGGUUUUGAAUACAGAUCCUGCUAAUUCAUCCAGUAAUUCAUCCACGUUGGGUAUUGGAAAUCUAUCCUUGACAGUGAGCUCAUUCAGCUUUCUGUAAUCUACACAGAAUCUCCAAGUGCCUUCUUUCUUCUUGACCAACAACAUAGGAGAGGCAAAGGGACUGUUGCUGUGUUUGACAAUGCCCUUCUGCAGCAUUUCAGUCACUUGCCUCUCUAUUUCCUCCUUGUGACAAUGAGGGUAUCUAUAAGGUUUGAGUUUGAAGGGUUGGGCAUCUGGUUUAAGGGGUAUUUCGUGGUCUACACUUCUGCUUGGGGGUAGUGACUGUGGUGAUUGGAAUACAUCCUCAAACUCCUGUAGCAGCUGGUGCACUUCCAGAGGGGUGGUAUCCAAUCUGCUCUCUUCACGCUGUUGAGAACUCAUGGCCAGACACAUCUGCCUUUUGUAUUCAAUAAAGGUCCUCAAGUCUUUGCCUCUGAUCAAGUCCAGGUCACAGUUAUCUGCUUGUCCAUGUAGAUGAAUUUCCCCUCCUUCAUGGUGCAAUGAAAUCUUAAGUUGUUGGAAAUCAAAAGUAAUGGGACUAAAGUGUGUCAUCCAAUCUACCCCCAAUAUGAUAUCCCAUCCUCCUAGUUCCAUCGCCUUAAGAUUAAACCUGAAGUGGUGCUGAUUGAUACUCCACUGCACACCUGGACAUACAGCAUUGCUGGUGACACAAGCUCCAUUACCCAUGAUAACAGAGAAGGGUUGAUCCACCCACUGGUAUUUGAUAUCCAUUCCAAAAACCAGCUCACUGUUGAUAAAACUAUCAGAACUCCCAGUGUCCACUAGGAUGGACACCUCUUCUCCAUUCAAGACCCAUGUGAGUGUGAUGGUUUUCCUCUUUAAUGCCUCAGAUAAAGCAUUCAAGGACAGUUCCAUUAUCUGUCCAGGAUUUCCUGUUUGCUCAUCCUGUUCCCCCAGAGCAUCUUUAAAGGUAGCUUCCUCCUCUUCUUCCAGUAUCAUGCAGUUCGUGUGGCCUACCUUACACUGAUGUCCUACCCCAUAUCUGUCCCCACACUUGAAACAGAGUCCAUUAGUUCUCCUAAACUGCAUUUCUUGUGCAGAAAGUCUCCUAGUAUCCUUAGUACUUUCCUGUAAAUUUCCCAGCUUAACAGGUUUAUGGCUGUUGUAGAAGGGAACCUUAUAUGAAGUAGCUCCUUGAUUUGUUGUAGUGCUUCGUGUCAACCCCAGUCUGUUUUCUCCUAGAGGUUUGACAUUCUCCUUGGUACUCUUAUGCUGCAAUUUCAAGGAGUAUUCUUGCCACUGAGACAGUUCAAAUGCUUGAGUCAGGGUCAGAGGUUUUAACAUUUUGAUCAUGGGCUUGAUUUCCUCCUUCAACCCACUAAUGAAACUAGAAAUGAAGUAAUUCUCAUCCAGAUUUUGAUUUUUAAUCAUCAUUAAGGCCUUCAACUCCUCAAACUUCUCCUGGUAAUCUUCAACAUUUCCUAACUGUUGCAGCUUAUUAAAUUUCUCCACUACAUCUUUACAAGUUCUAUCAUUAAAUCUGCGACAAAGCAGUUCUCCAAAUUCUUCCCAACUAAGCUUAGGUUUCUCAAUUUGUACUCCUUGAAACCACCGGUCAGCUUUGCCUUCUAGAUACAUCUCAAUUACAUCUACCUUGUGCUCAUCCGGCACUUGAUAAUUCAGGAAGUAUUUGUUACAUUUGCGCAACCAUUCUCUAGGAUUCUCUCCAGUAAACAUUUGCAGAUCAAUCUUAGGAGGAUUUGGAAGCUGGAACUUACCCCAAUCCUUCUUGAAGAUCCUUUGGCCCUCGCAAUCUACUGCCAACCUUUGAUGAGCUGGUGGAGUUGGUAGAAGUGGCAUUUGAUCUACCGUCCUGUUACCUCCUUCGGUCACCUUCUCCUUUCCAGGCGUCAUCUUCAGUAACAGCUCACUGAAUUUUUGCUCAAGAAGUUGGUUGACAUUCUGCUCCAUUCCCGAUAACAAGUUCUCCAUUCGUCUGUUGUUUUCUUCCAACUCCAUCUUCAAGUCUUUCCUAACCUGCUGGUGCUCAGCUUUGGACGCCUGCAGGGACUCUACAAGCUCCUGGAGCUUAGCUUCUUGCUUCCUUACCUGCUCUUCAAUGGUGCGGAAUCUGGUGCUCUCCGCCAUUGAUCGUGGUACAGUUUCCAAGGAUCGCUGCUCUGAUACCACUUUGUCACGAUCUCAAGGAUAAUUCUGGAAUUGUGGAAAUCAGGGUCAAUUGAUUGGGAAAGAUCAGGGAAUUGGGGAAGAACAGAAGAGAGGAAAUAAGAGAAAUAGAGAGAGAGAGAAAGAAGAAAGGAGUGAAAGAAAUCAGAAGAAUCAAAUGCAAUUUCGUAAUCCUUUCUUACACGCGGGUCCCAGUUAUAACCAACUCUAACAACCUGACAUUAGCUAACAGCUGAUUUAACCGCCUAACUGUCUGACUAAGUGGAACGGUACCGUUUGGAAUGCUUAAUAAGCUCUGGAACAGCAUCGUUUAACUAAUCAACUGACUAAACUAACUAAUGCUCAAUUGAGCCCCUUAUUACGCCUGAGAACAUGAAUUUUGCAGCCUGACAGAAGCAAGAAACGAGGGGGAGCCAUCGUGGCUAGUCCCGUGUCAAGGAGGGGAGCCGCUUGGCUUUUCUCUUAUUAUUCAGUUUCUUUAGUUUUUCUUUUUAUCAAAGACUUAUGCGGCUGGCUUUGAGAAAAAUCGUGUGAAUUGUUCGAAUUAGUCAUGUGCAACUAAGUUCUUUUUUUUAGUUAAGAAAUAACGAAAGAUUUGGUUCAUCUACAUCUGUGAGAUCUAACUAUUUUCAUCUAUUUCUCUUAUUUGUUAGUAUUCGUAUGUUUUUCGAUUUAAUUUCUCAUGGUUGUUUUGUUGUUUGGAUAUUAUGGGCACCUGAUAUUUAAUUCAACUUAACAAACUAAAGCCAAUUAACAUAGUUAAAUCUGUAAUUUUUUAAUUAUUUAAAUUAGUGGCGAUUAGCGUAAUUGGUGCCAUGUUAGGAAGACAUACGAUUUGAUUUAAAUAAAUCCCGGUAGUGUGUUUAUUGAUUAGAACAAGGGUUUUCUAGUUUCUAAUGCAAUCAAGAAAUUAAAUUUUAUGGGCGUACCUAGGGUUGUUUCUUGGUUAGAGAAGCAGUUAACGGACGUAUUUUAACUAUCGAGACACUAAGAAAAAACUGAUUGUUUAUCACGUGUAUGACAACUAUAACCUAAUUAUUAGCAAAUAAUUGAGAUAAUUAUUGCAUCGAUGAUCAGUUAUUUGAACCAUUUCCGGAGUUUUGUCUUUGGCUAGAGCUUGUCUAUUCUUAAGUUGAAUUUAAUUUGCUUUAGUUUAAUUAUUUUCAGUCACAUUGAUUAUUUACUUUAGUUUUAAUUCUCCAAACCCCCUCCCUCCCCCCCCCAACCUAUUAGCUUUUACUUAGAAAGAAAUAGAUUUUUUUUCUAAUCCCUGUGAAGACGACCAUUUUUGUCAUUAUACUCAUUUAUAUCUUUUUGUGAGUAGAAAUUUAUUAUUGCACAGGCAACACUCUUGUCAUCUAGCACUUUAAAACAUCAGUCAUUUUGAAGCAAAUGUCUUGUUUAUGUACAAUAUACAAAAAUUAAGUGGUGAAAAUUUGAGGAGUUUGUUUAUUAUGAAAAUUGGAGAUCCCUUGUAUUCAUCUUUGUUCCUCCAUUUCACAAUUAGUUUGCAUGCAUUUUAAUGGUGAAUUUGUCCACAAUUUAUAAUCAUUUAAUAAAGCGUUUUGUAAUGACAUCGAAAAUACACUUUGAUGGUAAUUGAGGCAACUCUCUUUUAAAUAGAUCAUGAAAAAGAAAAUGCUACAGCUGAUUGACAGUUUGAACUUUGGAGGCACCAUAUUCACAGCAACAAAUCACAAGCAUUGGUUUAUCCAGCUGAGACACGAAUAAAAAAGAUAGCGCCGAGAUGUGAUCCAGCUAAGAAUCAAAUGAAUUUCAAACGGCAGUAAUACUAAUUAGGGGCCAACAAGGUUUAUCCAAUAAGCUUUCUCGAUCGGCUUAGAAAAAAGAGUGCUGCUUCUUCUUUUGACAAACUUGCGCGCAAUUUCCUCCAAAGCUCCUACUCGGCGUUUCACUUGAAAGUUCCCAAGUCAGUGCUGGGCUUUUCUUACUGCUUUUUUUCCUUUUUCGAAUUGUUUGCUCCUUUUGCGCUCGAAUGCCGAGCCUUUUGAUUUGUGGAAAAAUAAUUUAGUGAGUAAAUUCCUGCACUUGGUUUUCAAUGUCAAAGACCUCGAAUGUUCUGGUGAUUCUUGGAGUAGAAUCAAAGAGGAAAACUAUUACUUCGAUCCUUAAUUAAUGAAGGAGUACAAUCAUCCUGUUUUGUGAGAAAUUUUAAGUGGUACGACACAAAUGUUACAAUCCCAUGUUUCACCUCAACUUCUAAUGACUAAUAACAUGUCACGUGCUUUGCACCGUGAUCAUAUUAACCUAACAUAUAACAUCAUUGACAUACUAAAUUCUUUGUUAAAUUUUAACUUUAAGCAUCAAAAUAGAGCAAUUCUUUUGGUUUUCAGUUUCUUUAACUAGUUCUUUGAAAAAUACUAGCUAGUUUAGGUGUAGUACAUGUAUUGCACGCUGCAUUUCUCCCCAGUUCAAUUGAACUUUAAGUAAAUGAAACAAACUGAAGUACUCAAAUUCAUAUAUAUAAAUCAAAAUACACUCUUCUAGUAACCACUCCAACACUAUAUAGCCUUGACAAAUAGAACAUAGAAUUCAAACAGAACAAUAAAAUAUAAUAAGAAAUAAAUGGGCUAAGGCGGUUCUGAUUUAAUGAUUAAAGUACUUCAAGAAUAAAAGGUCCUAGAUUCAAUUCUCUCAAUUUUUACUUCUCAUGUAUGAACAUAAAAAUGAGCUAACCUAAUGUUUCAAAAAAAAAAAAAAAAGAAACCACCUAAAAAUACAAAGGAUCCUCCGUUAAGAAUUUAUCUUCAUACCUUUUGCAAGGUCAUUGAAAACACACAUUGAAGAUACUUGACGUUAACCUGUUUUUAAAUAAAAUCAUUAGACAUUAGAAAAUAUAGAGGCAAGAAUUAUUAAAGCCGAAAAUUUAAGAAGUACUUUGAAGACAUCAAAAAUUUGCUUUGAAGGUACUUGAGGCAAACCCUUUUUGUUAAAUAAAUCAUUAGCAUUAGAAAAUUAAGAGGCAAGAAUUAUUAAAAAUAGAAAUAUUAAAAAUUCUACCUAAUAUUCCUUUUAGGAUAAAUUUUAUAUACACAGAUGAUGUACAUACAAGCAGGGCUGAAUGCAUGCUACCUUUAUUGUGGAAGCAAUAAGUACAUCAGCCAUUCUUUUUGUUCCUUGGAUACUUUUUGCAAUGGAAAGUUUUAGCUCUGGGUGGAAGCAGUAAGGAACUAUUCUUUUCUUCAGCAGAAGCAACAAGACUUUGACAAACUUGCAUGCUUUUGCAACAGGGAAGAGGUUGCUACUUGGAUCCAGGGCCUCACAAUUUAUGUUUCAUACAAUUUCGUGCAAAUUGAUCUUUGAUGUAAAUUAGUCAGAUUUUGGUCUGAAUCAGGUCCAGUUUAAUGUAAAUCAGGUACAGUUUAGUGUAUAUUAAUUUGUGAUUAUUCGGUAUAAAUCAGAUACACUUGGAUAUAAAUUGAUUAUUAUCAUUUAGUGCAUGUUAAGGUCAAUUUGGUGUAAAUUAAGAGUAAAUUGUUAAUUUACAUCAACUUAUACAUAAUGAAACUUGUGAGGCUUAUUUCCUGCAUAGAACUUGUGAGGCCUGUAAUCUUGGUAUCUAAAUUUUGACACGUGAGCAGUUUUAAUCCCCAAAUUUUGGACAAAAAUAAAUCUGGUACCCAAACUUUCAAUAUUUGAGCACAUUUAGUAGCCUUAGUGAUUUUUUCCAAAUUGUUACUUGAAAGAGUCGCGUGAUAGUCAUAUGUUCGAUAAUUAUUCUAUAAAAAAAUGUCACAAAAAUGUAAAAUAUCUUUCUAACUCUAAGAGGAAGAUGAAAUACAGUAAAAGAAGAAGAAAAGAAAUAAGAUGAGUAGAGUUGUGUAAGUGAUUAAAGUUUUUAAAAUAUCUUGGUACUUAGUGUUAGAAGGAUAUUUUACAUUUCACUGGUAUUUUUUUUUAUGCAAUAGUUGUUGGACAUGCGACUAUCACGUGAUUUUUUCCGAUAGCAUUUUGUAAAAAAAUUGUCAAGGGUGCUAAAUAUUCUCAAAUAUUAAAAAUUUGAGUAUAAGAUUUGUUUUUGUCCAAAAUUUGGGGAUUAAAACUGCUCAUGUGUUAAAAUUUGGGUACCAAAACUACAUUUUUCUCUACUGGUCGUUGCUCGGGCCUUCAUAUGCUUUUGAUCCACAUGCUGGAGCCUUGGAUUGUGUAAAAUAUGACAAUCAAGGAUUUAAAAUAUGACAAAACAGGAAAAAAGAAAGGGAAAAUGACAAUCAUAAUUGCAACUCCAGCAACCAUUUUCUUUUUGGGUUAAAUACAAAAAACCUCCUUAUGAUUAAUCGAAUGUUCAAGUUAACUCCCUAUACUUUGGAAACAUACAUAAAAUCCCCUUAUGCUUUUGAUUAAAAUAAAGGCAAAUUACACUUUACCCUCCUGUGGUAUAACUAAUUUUCACAUAACCCCCUGUAUUUUUAAAAGCUAUUUAUAACCUCUUUAUAAUUUGGACUACAUUGUCAAAGUGAUGGAAAUAAUCAUUUGUAAUGGAAUCUAUGAAAUGUCAAAAUUACCAAAAUAUAGAAGGGUAAAAAAUAAAAAAAAAACCCUAUGAUAAGCUUAAUACACAGAAAAACCCCCAUGGUUUUAAAUAUACAACACAAAUCAGCAUUUCAGCAAAAUAGAGAUUUCUCAUUUCUACAUCGCUGUGUAAUAGAACUUUCCAUAAAUUUCCAUAACUCUCAUUAAGGGGAAACAAAAUUUCAAAUGAGUGAUCAAUACUCGAAAAUUAUAAACGUCCAUGCACUAGUCUAAUGUUGGCAAAGUUUGGGACUUGCGCAUAAUAUUUACUGUAGUUUCUUAACCUAAUAAGUUUGCCAGUUUCAAGGGAAAGGGCGAAUAAUAUAUAAUUCGAACCAUCAAAUGCUACCACCAUGAGAUAGGCUGGCAAAAUUCUUUUGAAUGCAGUUCAAGAACUAAGUAGAAAAUGCUAAAACCAGUUACAUUGAUUGAAAAUUUAAAAAGAACAGAAAAAAAAAGAAGGGAAAAUGGAACUGCUUAGAAUCAAAGAGAGAAGAGCGACUUCUGAGAGCAGCACUAAUCGUAGGGGACAAUUCCGGCAAGUGUACGGCGAAGACAGCACUAAUCGGCGAGGACAGCGCUAAUUCCUUCCUUCUGUGUAGAAAUUAUUAUUAUUAUUACUACUACUACUACUACUUUCUGUACUGAUACGGAUAUGAGAUGAUUUACUUAUAUUGGCCGUCAAAGUCUUAAGAGGCAUAGAAAAGUAGAAAUGCUUUAAUUGUAACAUACCCUGAGCUACAAUGAAAAUGAUUUGAGGCCAAGAUGUGUAAGAUCAAUGUCACAUUAGUGCCUCAUGAGACAAGUUCACAUAGAAGUAAUUUUACAAAUAGAUGCUACGUUAAAUGUCAGUUUGAUGAACUAAGGUUGACCUUAUAUGUUCCUAUAUAAUCCUGUUCAAUUGAUUUCCAUAAUUUCAUCUCUCCAACGUUCCCAUCCACCAAGUGGGAUCCUUUCUUGAAUAGAAAUUGGUGCCUUGGCAAGUGGGAUUCUUUGUGCUCUGAGUCCCGUCUGAGCUUUACAGAUGCAAGGAGCAAUGGAAAGGUACCAUCGGACACAACCUGUAGUCAACUGCGGAACACUUGAGAAAAAAUACGUUGCCUGUUAUAGAGCUAAGAUACAACUUUCAAGAAGGAUGCAAGUUAUCUAGCAGGGUUAAGCUAAUCCACAUCUUUCUGCUGCAAAAUACUGGCUACUUUGAACUACAAGCAGCACGGAAGAUAUGGCAAAUUGAGUUCCAAAAGAAGUAAAAGAGCACCUCAUUAACAUGUCUACAAAUUGCUGAAUCGGUUGGACAGUUUAAAAUCACCAGCUGACAAGGAAGAUCUCAGGCUUUGGCCAUCCGAGGCAGAGAGCAAAAGGGAAUUCCAUCCCGGAUGUUUUCAUCUGAUCUGACUGAAUCAGGAUCUGGUUCAACAAGGGAUCACAGGACUUCAUUACAAAUGAUAGUAAGAGCGAGCUAUCAAGGUUAAUGUUGAUCUUCGAGUGUAAAAUCACUGCAAAACACAAAAACUCAAACUUAAGAAACUCAAGACAGCAUGUAGUCAAGAAUAAAGCCAGCACAUAGUUGCAUGACAUUUUUGUUGUAUUUGAAACACUAAAAUAAGAACUUACCAUGAAGAGAUGAGCAAUAUCAACAAGUAUAGGUGGUAGAAUGAGCUUAAUAGCCAUCAUCACAGCGGAUGAAAUAAUUGCAGCCAACAAGCAUGCUUGGCAGUCUCGACUAACCACAGCGAUAUGCUUCAAAACUUGCAGCUUAGACUUGAUUGUGUUAGAAGAUGCUCUGAAAAAACAUCUUCCAUUACGAGAAGAUUUCUCAAGUUUUAGUUGUAAUAUAUUCAGAAUCAAAGUAUUUAAAAGUCAAAAUUGCAUAGUAAAAGAAGAGUAGUAUAUCUGAACUCACUGGACUCUUAGAACCAAAAACCAAUUUGAUGACCAACAGCUCUGGAAACUCCUGAAAUCUUUCGGGCUAGAAAAUCACAACCAACGAAAAGUGAGACAGAAACCCAUCAUUUACAUGACUUAUCGAACAAAUCACUAAUCAAAUGGUUCAAGAAGCUUGAUAAAUGCGCCUUCAAGGGGCCAUUAAACUUUGGAGCCACUAUUUACUCCCUCUAGAAUCAUAAGGUAGGGAGCUGAUCACUUUAGCAAUCCAAAACUCCUAGUCACUUCAAAACAGAAAACUAGAAAUUGCAUGACAUUCUUGUUUAGUCAAUUAUUCAGAAAGCUAAAUCAAUAUUUGUUUUUGUUGUUCUUUUCUAACCUAAAUCAGCAAGAAGAUAUCAAAUCUUUCUGGUCAGUCUACAAGUACCAGAAGUAUCAUGGAAACCUUAUUAGUUUUUGUUCAAAACACUGAAAAAGGAGAAGUUCUAUAACAAUAAUGACAAUGAGUGGCACCACGAGCAUGAAAGGAAGAGAGCCUCAGAAUUGCCCUGAAGGCGAUCUCUUUGAGACUGCAAGAUGCAACAGGCAGAGCUAAUUACAACUAUUUUACUCUUAAAAUCUCAUAUGACAACUUCAAUAGAGGAAUACCAAUUAUCAGAUAAUUUGGAGCAAGAUGAUAAAUAUAUUUAAAAGAGAUCAGAGCAAGCAUUUCCAUCCCGGUAGAAUCUCAAGUUUAAAGAGAAAUAGCAGUCAUGAUGGAAAUACAAAAGUAAACUGGAAGUAGCAGACAUAUGAGAUGAGCAAAAGUAAACUGCUAGUUUUUAUUUAAAAAAAAAAAAGAAUUUUGUACCGUAGAUGUAAAUACAAAAAGUUUUUCAGCUUUGGCAUCGUGUUAAACUGUCCACACUCCACAUCAAAUAACUUGCUCUUGAAAAUCUGUUGAGUUUUCAGCUUUGACAAACUAAAGUUCUAAAAUUGCCAAUUUACUUCCAUAAUUCACAGCUUAUAAGGUAGUACAAUUAAUGAUUGAGAUCUCUAAUUGCAACCUGCAAUCAACUUGCAAAAUGAUAAUUCUUCAGUCCUUACUGUUACAUUACUAGACAACAUCUUGGAAACAGACGUUUUAAAAUGUCAGAUAUUUUGCAACAAAAUCAUCUUACCAUACAAUAUUUAUCACCUGAUAUUGGAUAGAUUUAAAAGAAUUUAGUAAUGAUUUUACUGGAGUAUGUUGUCCGGAAGAAACAAAAAAUUAGAAAUUGACUCCUAAAAUCUUUGUCCAUCAUUGCCUCUCUAUAAUUUUCUGUGUUCCAUCCAUGGUUCGCUAUCGCGGGUCGCGGUCGCGUCGCGGUCUCAGUUGUUCCACAUCCAUCGCGGCAUAUCGGUUGAAUAUCGGGUGAUAUGAACAUUAUAACAUAUUAAAGUUUCCAAAAAUUUUGAAAAAAUUACUAAAAUUAGAAAAUACUGAAAAAGGCACAAUUUAAAAAAAUAUCGGAGUCGACUCCGAGUUGACUCGGAUAUAUCGACCGAUAUCAUGUAUCACGGAUUCGAAUCGGUCAAUAUCGGCCGAGUCAGAGCGAGUCGUCGCGGAUAUGGUGAUAUCUGCGAUUCGAGAAUCGGUAUCGUACCGGUCCCUUCCGUUCCAGAUACGACUCGGCCGAUACGUAUCGGUAUAUAUGGCGAACCAUGGUUCCAUCAAACUUUGAUUUUGACAAUCUAUUUCAUGAAUGUAAACGCAUUAUCAUUCUUUUCUAGCAAAUUGAUAACCAAAUGAACUUUUAGACUACUUAGUUGGCUGAGGAGCUUUUAGAUUGAAAAUCUCAGGAAGACAUGUUUGCCUGCAUUACAAUAAAGAUAGAAGAGCAAAUUUCAUGUCAUUUUUGAGCUAGGAGUCUUAGAGAGAGAAAGGGUUUCUUUUUGUUGCCUUUGAUCUAAAUCUAAUGAGCAGGAAAUAAGGCUUGAUACUAAGUACAUCUACUAAUCCAUUUAAAACAAAUUCCCUAAUGUUACAGUACUUCUUGAAAAUUUGCAAGCUUCUCAUUGUCUAUCUGUUUCUCUAAUACAAGCUCUACCACCAACCAAACCCCCAUAAUCAUCAGCAGAAAUUCACGGCAAUGAUGGCUCUUGAUCUUGAAAGACAUUACAUAAGUUGGGGAAAGAAGCAGUUUGCAGAGGCCAGCUGACAAAGAUAGAGCAUUUUAUCAGGUUUUAGGCACUAGGAAGAAAGAAAAGUGUGCCUGUAGCGUGCCAUCCUAAUCAUUUCUGUCCAAUUGAAACAGGAUUUGAUUCAACAAAGUUUUCAAAAGUUACAAGCUGUGUAAUUCAAUCAGUAAGUAAGUGCAAUUGUAGAUUUCUGUUGACAUUUAAGCCUGAGAUCAUUGCAGAGCAGAAAACUUGAGCUGAGACAAUAUGUGAACAAGAAAGCUAAUCAGAAAGUUUAGAAAAUUCGACAAUAGUUUUGUUCUAUCAUUCUUACAGAAGGCUAAAAUAUGUCUUGUUUGUUAUGAAACUAAAUGGAUAAGCAAGUACUGAGUCGUGUUUACAAUUACAGUGGUUUGGUUCCAACCAAAAAGCAAGUAAGCACAAUCAUAAGCUUGAAAAUAAUGAUAGGCAAUUUGCAUUUUACAUUGAGACAUUGAGGAACAGUAGAGCUAUGGGCUGCUGAGGAACAGUAGAGCUAUGGGGAUCCACAUUUAACUGCUACCAAAACACCAGUUAGUUCUAACUUCUAACUGUGAGCAGUAUGCCACAGAUGACAAUUUGAAUCCUAAAACAUGUACAUCAGCCCCUCAUUAUCAUGACUAAAUAUCACUGAAUCGUUUGGACAGUUUAAAAGAACCUACCCCAAUGGAUAUCUCAGACUUUGGCCAUAGGCACAGAGCGAAUGCGAAUGCCAUCCUAGAUGUCACUAUUCAACUGAAGCAGGAUCUUGUUCAGUAAGGAAUUGCAGGACUUUCAAAAAGUAAAGACAGUAAGAGCCAUCGAUUAGGUUCCCCGUUAAGCUUUGUGCUAAAAUCACAGCAAAGCACAAAAACUCAAACUCAAGACGACUUUCAGGACAGAAUAAAGCUAAUGGAAAUUUUCAGAUAAUUGCAGGUUUUCUAUCAUUGUAACUGAAGCCCCAAAAGGAGAAACUUAGCAUAAAAAAAAGAAGCAACCAACAAUCAAAAAAGCAGAGAGAGCUUAACAGCCUUUAUCAAGGUGGAUUCAUUAAGAGCUGAAAGUACCAGAAUGCUUCAAAAAAGUUUUAUGCAAGAUUUCUUUUGUUUUAUAUGUGAUAUAUUACAUAUUAAAGUGGUUAAAAGUCAAAAUGGAGUAGUGAAAGAAGAGAAACAUAUCUAAAAUUACCAGAAUUUUUGAACCAAAACAUGAAAGUGAUGACCAACAGCUACGAAAACUCCUCAAUUGACCAUUGUCUUCGUGGCUCAAAAGUCAAAAUGAAGGAAAAGUGAGUCAGACAACCGUCAUAUAUGACUCUGAUAGAGCGAUUACUAAACAAAUAAUUCAGAUAAGUUUGCAAAUUCAUUAUCAAGAGGUCAAAGUUCAGAGAAACCAUUUCAUCCCCUUAGAAUCACAAUUUUAAAUAGAGUGAGCUGACUUUAGCAAUAAUAAAUUAAAAUCCAUAGAAACAGACACUUAAAAUAAACAAAACUAGACUGCUAGUUGUUUUAAACAUUAAUAGGAUAUUUGUAGGAAAUGCGGGCCAAAAGUUAUUGAGUUCCAGCCAUAUAGAUGUUACUGAAGAAGCUUCAAAAUUCUAACCUCUGUUUGUCUAAGCAAGAGACCACAAAAAUCAGCUUGGAAAGUUUUGAAGAAAGGAGUGUCAUCAGCAUUGCUGAUCUAAAGACAUAUAGAAAAUGUUUCACAAAUUUUCUGCAUAUGCUAUGAAUAUAAAAUGCAAAUGCAUUUUCCACGGACAAAAGUGCAGAGAACUCAUUUCAUCCUGAUGCAAAUCGUGAGUUUAAAGCGAGAGCUAAUCUUAGAAAUAAUCUUUUACAUUGUUACUUGAUUAGUUAAUUGGUUUCACUUCUCUUUUAUGCAGAACUUGCUUUGGUCACCCAAGAAAAUCUUGUGCCUUUGGUUAUUCAUGCACAAACAAGAUAUUAAGUCAAGCUUCCAUUGAAGUGUAAGUGUCCGGUGCAACCCAAUGAGUACAAACAAUUUCACAAUGAUGCACAAAGAUAUAUCAAAUUUAAGCACAAUAAAGAAAACUUAAUUAAAGAGAAAAGAUAAGAAAUGCAAACCAAAUAUCAAUCCAAUAGCCUCUUCAAUAGAUGGCGAUGCUAACCAAGAUGUACAAGUGAAGGCUCACUCCUUCCUCACCCCAAACACACUUUGGUUGAGCCAAGGAGUUUUACAACUAUUCUAGUUAACCCUCAACAACCUACACUUGAAAGAUCACUCACCCAAUUAAGAACUAUUUUAUACAAAUGAGGCAACCUUCACCAAGGUUUUACCACUUCAAGUGAUAGGUUCACCUUCACCAAGGUUUUACUCCUCCUAGAGAGUAACCUUCACUUGAGCAACCUCACAACCCAACUUUCCCAACCCCUUAUACAACCAACAAAGAAUCUUUCUACUCAAAAAUCUCACUUGUAAGCUUGUAUUUUGUGUUGGCAAAAGUCCCUUGUCUUCUUGUGCUUUGGGGUUUUAUAGAAGGUGAGAAAUGGCUCCAAAAGGCUCUCCAACGGUCAAAUAUUAAAUGCUGUCAAAACUAGCCGUUGGCCUGUCGGACGUCCGAACCACCUGUCGAACGUCCGAACCCUGCGUCCAAACCACCUGUCGGACGUCCGAACCCUGCGUCCGAACGUCGUCAGAGAGUCAUCAAAUCUUUGCGAAAUUUCUCGGACGUCCGAUGCGAUCGAUGUGCGUCCGAGGCGUGCGUCCGAUCCUUCCGGACGUCCGAUGCUUCCUCACGAGCGUCCGACAGAGUUUCCUUCUUGAUGUUCUUCAUCCUUUCGGACGUCCGAUAGCUUCCUUUCGGACGUCCCACAUGAGUGCCCUGUUUUUGCUUCUUCUUUUGUGCCACAAGAAUCUGUUCUAACAAAUUGCUCACAUAAAAACAUUAGCCCAAAUCUACAUUUUGGUUUGUUAAUCAUCAAAACCAAGGAUUGAUCGACCAAGGUCAACAAUCUCCCCCUUUUUGAUGAUGACAAACAAAAUGAAGAUUUCUUUUAUCAAAUAAGUUCAAAUAAAGCUCCCCCUUAGAAAGUGCCAACAUACAAAGAAAUUUCAAUAAAUCCUACUCCCCCUUUUGGCAUCAAUCAAAAACAAACUCCCCCUUUAUUUUUCAAAUCAAGACCAUAUUGAAUAUCAAAAUUUUCAAUUGUACUUACAACCAUAUAGCACUUCUUGGAUCAAAUCUUCAUGAUGUACCUAAAUAUGAGAAAUUUCAUUUGGUACCCUUUCUUUAUAGGGUCCUUGGGAGUUAAUACAACAUGAUCUAGCAAUCCACAUGGAUUUCAUACCUUUUCUCAUAUUUUUCUUUACAUAGCAAUCAUUUUGCAUAUGUCCAAAUUUGUAACAAAAGUGACACAUGAUAGAAGUAUUUUGCACAUAGGUGGAUUUAAUGCAACUAAUUUUCUUACUUCUUAUCAUAGCAAACUUAUUUGUGCCUUGAAAAGAUUUGCUUUCUUUUGUUUGAGAAAACUUUUGUUUUUCAUUUUGGAGAAACUCGUUCAAGUCAUUAAUUCUUUUCUUUAACAAAUUCUGUUCCUCCAACAUUUUUUCAUAAAACUUUGUUUUCUCUUCCAACUUCCUUUUCAAAACAUUUUUUUGAUUUUUUAAAUCAUCAUUUUCCAUUCUCAAACAUUUGUUUUCUUGAAAGAGUUUGGAGUUUUCUUCCAACAAAUCAUUUAUUUUUGUUUUCAAAUCUUUAUUUUUAGCAUAAGAUUUUCUCAAACUUUUAUGCAUUUUAAUCAUAAGAAUUUUCACAUCAUCAUCUUCAUUAUCUUCAUCACAAGAAGAGUGAUAAGAACUUACCUCAUCUUCUCCAACGGCCAUUAGUGCCAUUUGGGCCAACUCUUCUUUUUCUCUUUUUGAAUUGCAUUCAUCCCAUGUAAUUUUGCAAUCUCCUCUUGAACAUCUCUUGUUGAAGAUCUUCUUGAAAUUUUUGAUGUGAGGAGUUAUAUCAUUGUCCACUUCCAUGAUUUCAUUACCCAUGAAGGAUGGGUUAUCCCCCACUUGAGAUGCUUUAAAAGCUAUGCCUCUCUUAUACAUUCUUGCAUUUUCUUCCUCUUGCACUUUGAAUUUCAGCUUUAAUUCAUAAGAGGUUAGGGUAUCCACAAGAGAUUCAAUGGACAUAGAAUUUAAAUCCUUUGCCUCUUCUAUAGCAUUUAUUUUGUUUUCCCAUUCUUUUGGCAAGGCAUUCAAAAUCUUUCUAUUUUUCUCACCCAAAGAAUAUUCUUUUCCAAGCAAUUUAAGAUCUUGAAUAAUGUCACAAAAUCUACUACACAUCUUAUCAACAUUUUCAAGAGGAUGCAUUUUGAAAAAUUCAUAUUGAGAAACAAGCAAAGAUUUCUUUUGUUCUUUAAUAUCUUGGUUACCUUCAUGAAAUACACACAAUUUAUCCCAAAUAUCUUUAGCUGAUUUACAACCUUUAAUCCUACUAGAUUCAUUUACAUCUAAUGCAUUGUACAAUAUACACAUGGCCUUGGCAUUCAAAGAAAGGUAUCUCUUGUCUUUUUCAUUCAAUUCUUGUCUAGUCUUUAAUCUACUCAAAUUAGUGUAGAGUCAAUUAUUCUGGCUUCAUAAGGACCAUCUUCUACCACAUACCAUAAUUCAAUAUAAACGGAUUGUAAGAAAAUCAUCAUUCUUUGUUUCCACAUGCUAAAAUAAGAACCAUUAAACAUAGGUGGUCUAUCAAUAGAUUGCCCUUCUAAAAAAGAAACUUUUAUGGUUGCCAUGAUCUUUACUCUAAGCGGUUAAGCUUGAUCAAAAGAGACCAAGCUCUGAUACCAAUUGUAAGGCCCGGUGCAACCCAAUGAGUACAAACAAUUUCACAAUGAUGCACAAAGAUAUAUCAAAUUUAAGCACAAUAAAGAAAACUUAAUUAAAGAGAAAAGAUAAGAAAUGCAAACCAAAUAUCAAUCCAAUAGCCUCUUCAAUAGAUGGCGAUGCUAACCAAGAUGUACAAGUGAAGGCUCACUCCUUCCUCACCCCAAACACACUUUGGUUGAGCCAAGGAGUUUUACAACUAUUCUAGUUAACCCUCAACAACCUACACUUGAAAGAUCACUCACCCAAUUAAGAACUAUUUUAUACAAAUGAGGCAACCUUCACCAAGGUUUUACCACUUCAAGUGAUAGGUUCACCUUCACCAAGGUUUUACUCCUCCUAGAGAGUAACCUUCACUUCAGCAACCUCACAACCCAACUUUCCCAACCCCUUAUACAACCAACAAAGAAUCUUUCUAUUCAAAAAUCUCACUUGUAAGCUUGUAUUUUGUGUUGGCAAAAGUCCCUUGUCUUCUUGUGCUUUGGGGUAUUUAUAGAAGGUGAGAAAUGGCUUCAAAAGGCUCUCUAACGGUCAAAUAUUAAAUGCUGUCAAAACUAGCCGUUGGCCUGUCGGACGUCCGAACCACCUGUCGAACGUCCGAACCCUGCGUCCAAACCACCUGUCGGACGUCCGAACCCUGCGUCCGAACGUUGACAGAGAGUCAUCAAAUCUUUGCGAAAUUUCUCGGACGUCCGAUGCGAUCGAUGUGCGUCCGAGGCGUGCGUCCGAUGCUUCCGGACGUCCGAUGCUUCCUCACGAGCGUCCGACAGAGUUUCCUUCUUGAUGUUCUUCAUCCUUUCGGACGUCCGAUAGCUUCCUUUCGGACGUCCCACAUGAGUGCCCUGUUUUUGCUUCUUCUAACAAAUUGCUCACAUAAAAACAUUAGCCCAAAUCUACAGUUUGGUUUGUUAAUCAUCAAAACCAAGGAUUGAUCGACCAAGGUCAACAAUCUCCCCCUUUUUGAUGAUGACAAACAAAAUGAAGAUUUCUUUUAUCAAAUAAGUUCAAAUAAAGCUCCCCCUUAGAAAGUGCCAACAUACAAAGAAAUUUCAAUAAAUCCUACUCCCCCUUUUGGCAUCAAUCAAAAACAAACUCCCCCUUUAUUUUUCAAAUCAAGACCAUAUUGAAUAUCAAAAUUUUCAAUUGUACUUACAACCAUAUAGCACUUCUUGGAUCAAAUCUUCAUGAUGUACCUAAAUAUGAGAAAUUUCAUUUGGUACCCUUUCUUUAUAGGGUCCUUGGGAGUUAAUACAAUAUGAUCUAGCAAUCCACAUGGAUUUCAUACCUUUUCUCAUAUUUUUCUUUACAUAGCAAUCAUUUUGCAUAUGUCCAAAUUUGUAACAAAAGUGACACAUGAUUGAAGUAUUUUGCACAUAGGUGGAUUUAAUGCAACUAAUUUUCUUACUUCUUAUCAUAGCAAACUUAUUUGUGCCUUGAAAAGAUUUGCUUUCUUUUGUUUGAGAAAACUUUUGUUUUUCAUUUUGGAGAAACUCGUUCAAGUCAUUAAUUCUUUUCUUUAACAAAUUCUGUUCCUCCAACAUUUUUUCAUAAAACUUUGUUUUCUCUUCCAACUUCCUUUUCAAAACAUUUUUUUGAUUUUUUAAAUCAUCAUUUUCCAUUCUCAAACAUUUGUUUUCUUGAAAGAGUUUGGAGUUUUCUUCCAACAAAUCAUUUAUUUUUGUUUUCAAAUCUUUAUUUUUAGCAUAAGAUUUUCUCAAACUUUUAUGCAUUUUAAUCAUAAGAAUUUUCACAUCAUCAUCUUCAUUAUCUUCAUCACAAGAAGAGUGAUAAGAAUUUACCUCAUCUUCUCCAACGGCCAUUAGUGCCAUUUGGGCCAACUCUUCUUUUUCUCUUUUUGAAUUGCAUUCAUCCCAUGUAAUUUUACAAUCUCCUCUUGAACAUCUCUUGUUGAAGAUCUUCUUGAAAUUUUUGAUGUGAGGAGUUAUAUCAUUGUCCACUUCCAUGAUUUCAUUACCCAUGAAGGAUGGGUUAUCCCCCACUUGAGAUGCUUUAAAAGCUAUGCCUCUCUUAUACAUUCUUGCAUUUUCUUCCUCUUGCACUUUGAAUUUCAGCUUUAAUUCAUAAGAGGUUAGGGUAUCCACAAGAGAUUCAAUGGACAUAGAAUUUAAAUCCUUUGCCUCUUCUAUAGCAUUUAUUUUGUUUUCCCAUUCUUUUGGCAAGGCAUUCAAAAUCUUUCUAUUUUUCUCACCCAAAGAAUAUUCUUUUCCAAGCAAUUUAAGAUCUUGAAUAAUGUCACAAAAUCUACUACACAUCUUAUCAACAUUUUCAAGAGGAUGCAUUUUGAAAAAUUCAUAUUGAGAAACAAGCAAAGAUUUCUUUUGUUCUUUAAUAUCUUGGUUACCUUCAUGAAAUACACACAAUAUAUCCCAAAUAUCUUUAGCUGAUUUACAACCUUUAAUCCUACUAGAUUCAUUUACAUCUAAUGCAUUGUACAAUAUACACAUGGCCUUGGCAUUCAAAGAAAGGUAUCUCUUGUCUUUUUCAUUCAAUUCUUGUCUAGUCUUUAAUCUACUCAAAUUAGUGAUAGAGUCAAUUAUUCUGGCUUCAUAAGGACCAUCUUCUACCACAUACCAUAAUUCAAUAUAAACGGAUUGUAAGAAAAUCAUCAUUCUUUGUUUCCACAUGCUAAAAUAAGAACCAUUAAACAUAGGUGGUCUAUCAAUAGAUUGCCCUUCUAAAAAAGAAACUUUUAUGGUUGCCAUGAUCUUUACUCUAAGCGGUUAAGCUUGAUCAAAAGAGACCAAGCUCUGAUACCAAUUGUAAGUCCUGGUGCAACCCAAUGAGUACAAACAAUUUCACAAUGAUGCACAAAAAUAUAUCAAAUUUAAGCACAAUAAAGAAAACUUAAUUAAAGAGAAAAGAUAAGAAAUGCAAACCAAAUAUCAAUCCAAUAGCCUCUUCAAUAGAUGGCGAUGCUAACCAAGAUGUACAAGUGAAGGCUCACUCCUUCCUCACCCCAAACACACUUUGGUUGAGCCAAGGAGUUUUACAACUAUUAUAGUUAACCCUUAACAACCUACACUUGAAAGAUCACUCACCCAAUUAAGAACUAUUUUAUACAAAUGAGGCAACCUUCACCAAGGUUUUACCACUUCAAGUGAUAGGUUCACCUUCACCAAGGUUUUACUCCACCUAGAGAGUAACCUUCAUUUGAGCAACCUCACAACCCAACUUUCCCAACCCCUUAUACAACCAACAAAGAAUCUUUCUACUCAAAAAUCUCACUUGUAAGCUUGUAUUUUGUGUUGGCAAAAGUCCCUUGUCUUCUUGUGCUUUGGGGUAUUUAUAGAAGGUGAGAAAUGGCUUCAAAAGGCUCUCUAACGGUCAAAUAUUAAAUGCUGUCAAAACUAGCUGUUGGCCUGUCGGACGUCCGAACCACCUGUCGGACGUCUGCGUCCGAACGUUGACAGAGAGUCAUCAAAUCUUUGCGAAAUUUCUCGGACGUCCGAUGCGAUCGAUGUGCGUCCGAGGCGUGCGUCCGAUGCUUCCGGACGUCCGAUGCUUCCUCACGAGCGUCCGACAAAGUUUCCUUCUUGAUGUUCUUCAUCCUUUCGGACGUCCGAUAGCUUCCUUUCGGACGUCCCACAUGAGUGCCCUGUUUUUGCUUCUUCUAACAAAUUGCUCACAUAAAAACAUUAGCCCAAAUCUACAUUUUGGUUUGUUAAUUAUCAAAACCAAGGAUUGAUCGACCAAGGUCAACAUGAAGACAUGUAACCAUCACCUAUUUAUGGUAAUGUCUAUGGAGUACCUAUAACUUUCAAUCAAAAUACAGAAACCUAAGAAAGACGCCAGACAAAAUUGAAAAGAACAACUUCAUGCAAUUCUUCAUUUUUGGUCAAGCGACUACCAACAUAAGAUUUACUCAACAUCAUAUAGACCCAGUAAUUUUGGAAUAACUAUGAAUCUUAAAGUAAGAGCAUCAUUCUAGACAUACGAUUUUUAACUGCAAAAAGAGAACAGGCAAGCUCAUAAAAUCAUGUUGUAUCUAAUGGAGCUAAGAUACAACUUCCAGAAGGGUGGUGAGUAGCUUGCAGAGGCCAACUAACAGACAAUAAGCAGUCAUAAAGACAGACUGACAAUUUUCUACAACUAAAUUGCAGCUAAUUUGCGAGGCAAGCAGUAUGAGACAGAAUAGCAAAUGAGGUCCAUAAUUGAUGAAUUACUACCUCAUGUCAUGGCCAACAGGUUGAAGGCAUCACAUUCACACCGUAGAUCUCAGGCUUUGGCCAUCUCAGUCACUUAGAAGCGAAAGAGAGUGUCAUUCUAUAUGUUUGUCUCCAAUUUGAAAAUGAUGUGGUUGAAGAAGGAAUAAUGGGAUAUUGAUACGUAUGGCAGUAAUUAAGCCAUUGAGGUCUCCCGUGAGCUCUCAGCAUAACACCACUGCAAAAUAGAAUACUCAAAACUCAAGACAGUGUAUAGAAAAUCAUAAAGCUAACUAGAAAAUUCGGGUAAUUGCAGGACAUUUCUGUUCAACAAAUCUUACAGAAAGUUAGAGAGAGAGAGAGAGAGAGAGAGAGAUUUUGUCAUUGAUAUCAAACCUAAAUUAGUAAGCAGAUACAAAAUCCUUCUGGUCAGUCUACAAGAACCAAGUAUUGUCAUGAAAAUUGUUCCAGUUUGUGCCCAAAACUCCAAAAAAUGACCGGUUGAGUAAUUUAAAAAAAUUUGUUGCAACCAAAAAACAUGACAAGCAGAGACAGCUCAAGAAUCUUCAUGAAGCGAAUUCCUAGAGAGUAGCAACCAAUUGCUACCUCAAGAAUCUUCAUGAAGGCAAAUCUUCAUCAAAAAGUCCUGGUGAUGAUAGCUGUUCAAAAACAUCCAAUAAGCUGGGGCAAGGAAUUUUUUCCGAGCAGCUCGCACAGGCCAGCUGACAGUCUUGAGCAAUCAAAAACAUAGACUGAAAACUUUCUGCAAUUAGGUAACAACUAGUUUCAAGGACAAGAAGUCAGGAAAACAAGAGAAAAUUUGUAGUAACAUAGCAGGUAAAUUCUUAUUGCUAGACCUCGUGACUGAAAUGGCAGAUUGACAGUGUGCAAGCUUCGACAAUAAGGAUAUUUGGCUAUUUGAGGCAGCAAUAUGAAAGAAAAGAGGGCCAUCAUAAACAUUUCUAUCCAAGAUACUGGGUUUGCAAUUGAAUGAGCAAUUACUGCUAGUUGUUCUAAACGUUGAUAGGUCAUUUGUAGGAAAUGCAGGCCAAUAGUUAUGGUGUAAAGAAGCUUCAAAAUUCUAACCUCUGUUCGUGAAGCUAUUCUUCCAUCAAUCCUACAAAAACAAAGCGUAGAACAGAAUACAAACAGAGAUACAGUAAAACAUGAAAGCACGAAACAGGAUAGGUGCUUGAGGUCAUUCUAAUUGAUAGUUGCAAGAGUAUUAUGUUGUAAGGAGUAAAUGAGGAGCAACAAUAUUUUGGACCUGAUAAGAAAUGCUAAUGCUGUAGCUUUGAAAGAUAAUAAAUGGAAUGAUAAAAAGGGAGAAGAGAAAAUUGUGAAAAUAACCACGUGGACUUUUUAGGUUUUCUCACGAGAAGGUUCAUCAGAAGGGGAGGUGAAGAGAAGGGGAGAUUGAUUGUAAAGCAAAUUAAGAAAGUUGGUAAGAGGCAAUCUUACAUGAUUGAAUUUGAUCUGAAGAUGAGUUGGUUAUUAAUCAACUUAUGCGUAUGUCUAGGUCUUGAAUGUGAGAAACUUUGGACCACUGGGAGUCGGGGCCGCUGCUCUCAGGAGUGCAUCUUUCUUUUAACAGAGGAGAACCACGAACCCUUAGACGUUUUAGUUUGGUGAGACUUCUCAUGGCAUCCUCAGAGGGUAGAUGUCCAAGCUCUUUGAAAUUCCAUAAAUAUAGUUCUUCAAGAGCAGCGAAGUUUCCGAACCAAUCUGGCAGAGCUUCUACAGCUCCAAAGUCAUAUAGCAAUAGUGACGUGAGAGUGGUCAAGUGUUGGAUCUGAUGUGGCAGUGACUCAAUGUAAGGCAACCCAAAUAAUUCUAAUCCACGGAGUGCGGAUGACGAAGAGGAGGAGGAGGAGGAUAUCAAUCCAGACCAAUCAAACUCAUUGUAAAUUGAAGAAUUUUCAUGAUCAUCACCAUCAUCUGAGAAGGGACCAAUUUCAAGCUCCCUUAAGCUGGUUAGGAAACCAAAUCCUUUGGGCGUCAACCUUGUUUUCAGUUUGGGACACUCGCAUAAUUCCAGCUCCGAGAGAGAAGGCGUUUGUUGCAAAUCAAGCGGAAAGGAGAUAAGAUUGUCAUAAUUAAUCACCCGAAGCUCCUGGAGAGAGGCACAAGAGUGUAGCAUGUCACCGGGCAGAUUCGUCAACCCAUCGCACUCAUCAAUCACCAGCUUUUUAAGAGAUGUAAAGUUUUGCAGGGGAAGGAGGUCUUUGCAUCUGUCGCAGGAAUAAAACUUCAAACAGACUAACUUGGGGAGUGUUGUUGCUGACUCGGGGAUUGUUGUUGUUGUUGGCAAAUCCAUUAACCAUCGAGGAAAUUGAUCGCCCAUAAAAUCGCAAAUUACCAACUCCUCCAAAUUUGGGUGGGGUCGAAGGCCAUCUAACACAUCUUCGUCAUUGUAGGUGUCGCCUUCUCGAUCACGGGCCCACUCAAGUACCAGCCUAAAUAGAUUUGCCUUCUCAGAUAGUUUUGCUUCCUCAGCUCCUUCCUUAUUCUUUACCAGUUCCAGAUUGCGUAUCUCCAAUCUGCCUCUGAGGUUCUUUAAGUUUCCAAGCUCUCCAAUUCGUCGACCCUUCUCUCGACCCACUUUAAAGAACUCUAGCGUCUGAAGGCAAGUCAGUCGCCCCAUCUCUAGCGGCAUUUGAAAUUCUUUAUAAUUAUUAUCAUAAUGGAGAUGUCUCAAGCUAAUCAAAUCGCACAUUCCCUUUGGAAGAACUUUAACUUCUGAAUAACUUAGCAUCAAUGUCUGCAGAUUGUAAAGCUUGCAAAGAGAGUCCGGCAAAAUACUGAUUGCAGCCCACGAAAGGUUAACAUACCGCAAAUGUAUCAGUUUGCCAAUUGAGACUGGUAGCUCUUGAGUUCUUCUUGCACGAGACAAAUUCAAAACAUACAAGUUCUUCAACUUCAUUAACAUAUCACCAGAUAAGUCACCAUUUACGAUGAAUAAUGUAUGAAGCGAAGUUGAUAUAUUCUCAAAAAGUUUUUCUGUGUCUUCUCUGCCACCAGCUGAGUCUACUGCAAGGUAACGAAUCUGAUUACUAUUGUCAAUUAUCUGAGCAUCCCCAUUAUUAAUAACUUUAGUAGACUUUGACAUUGACUCUGCGAGGUCGUGCACCAAAUCAUGCAACUUAUAAUAAUGUGUUUCCUCAUAACUUCUGGUUUCUUCAAACAACAAACUCUGUAAUAAAAUUCUUAGACAAUUCAUUCCAAUUUCCUCCAUCAUCAUUUGGCUGUUGAUGUCUGCUUGGAGGAAACCUUCUGCCAUCCAAAGUUCGAUUAGCUUAUCUCCUCUCAUCUCAGUAUCCUUAGGAAAUAUAGACCAAUAUGCAAAACAUUUCUUAAUGUAUGGAGAUGGCAAAUUAUCAAAACUAAACUUAAGUAUUUGCAUCACACCAUCUCCAUCUCCACUCAAACUCGAAAGCCUAUUCUCCAAAAUUGAUCGCCACUCCUCUUUUCUCUUUAAAGAUAAUAGACCUCCAAUUACACUUGCAGCCAAUGGUAGACCAUCACAUCUUUUGAUCACUCUCUCUUUAAUUGCUUUUAGUUCAUCAGGUUCUUCUUCCCCUCCAACUACUUUUUCUUUUACGAUAGACCAACAAUGAUCAUCAGGUAGUUUUCCUAAUGGAUAGCGUUCAUUUUCCAUCAUCCUCAAAACUCUAGACACACUAUGUGCCACUGGACCUAGACGAGUAGUGACCAGACACCAGCUUACAUUAGUUGGAUUGAGCCCCUUCAAGGUGGUGAAAAAGUCAUCCCACAAUGCCUGAUUAUCAUCCCACACAUCAUCAAGGACAAGGAAAUAUCUUUUUCCCUCUAGUUGAUUCUGAAUUUCUCCAACGAUGACAUUCCUAUCAUCCACUUUAACCUUUUCUUUUGUCAAUUGCACUAGUAUGAGUUUGAAAAGCUCUUCUAUUGGAACUUUUUUCGAUACACAAACCCAAAUCUUUAUGUCAAAGUGCCCAUCAAUUUGCUUGUUGUUGUAUAUCAAUUUAGCCAAAGUUGUUUUGCCUAGACCUCCCAUACCAGUUAUGGAAAGACAGGAAACAACCUUCUCGGAUGGGCUCAACAGCAUCUUCACUAUCUUUGAUUCAUUAUCGGCUCUUCCAAUCAUUGGAGCAACAACAGAGUCGGUCUGCCGAUUUCUUUUGUCUCUAGCAUCAGCAGCAGCAGGGAGGGCAACUGUCAUGACUGCCAUGCCGACCAGUCCCAAAUCACUAGCUUCUUGAUUGAUCUCAUUCAGCUUAAGUUUGAUGCCUCUGACCUUAGAAGCCAUUCUCCAACGGAAAGCAAGAUUAAUAUUAGAGAAGGAGAAGAAGCAGCAUACCUUUCGCUUGUGCUGGUUUCGGGACUCCACCUGGUGACGAAGAGAUUCAUAGUUGAGCUCAUCCAACACAUUGCCAGCAUCAUAAGCCACUUCCUCCAGACUCUUCAACCCUUCUUGCACUCCCCGGUCCUGGUUUUGUUGCCUUUCCACAGCAUCAGCCAAGAGAGCAUUGAUAAAGCGAAGAGAUCGAGUCAUGCUGGCCACAUCCUUCUUGAACCCAACUAACAUACCAAUCCUAUCAGUGGCAAGAGAUACUGCCGUCUCCAAGGUAACCUGAAUAGUGGCACUAAUGACAGCGUCAGCCAUUUUCCUUUCCUUGUAUGGAGCUUAAUUGCUAGGAUGUUUUGUGAAUAUCAGAUUGGUGAUUUCCUUGUAUGUAGCUUGCUAGGAUGCUUUUUGCUAUCAGAUUAUAAAGAUGGAGAUGGACAGAAGGGUAGAGGCCUUGGUCAAGGUUGUUGUAGAAAAGUUAUUAACAAUAGACUGGCAUUUCUAUCUAAAAUAUUGCUAACAAUAAAACUACUAGAACAGUAGUAUAUACAACUGGAUGGGUCACGUUUGUGUCUCGAGUCUCCUUUGUUAUAAUAUUAGGGCGGCUUGGCCAUCUCAAUUAUUGCACCUGCACCAACAAGUGUGUACAGAAAAAAACAAAGCUAAAGAAAUUAUCCAAUGAGGUUUUAUGAUCAGCCAAUUUCGUUCCAGCCAAAAACUUCAGAUCAGGAUGACUUUUGCAGCAUGGAAGGGAUCAGUAGCUCGGACUUACUCUUGACAAGUUGAAAUCCUCAUGGGAAAUCCUAAGGAUAAUUUCGUAUAGCUGCAAACAAAUCGCACAAAGUUUGACUCGGCAAUCGAGGUGAGUAUGCCGAAUGUAGAGAUACUCGACUCUUUAAGUUGGCUUGCUUUUACAUAUUUUUAAUGAUUUUUAUUGCACGCAUUUCUCUUAGAUUUUUCUUAUUUACUAGAGUGAAAUGUCUAAUUUACCUAUUUUAAAAUAUUAUAAAUACUACUUAUUAUCUUCAGUCAAGUUCAGUGUAUUCUUGUUUGAUUGGAACUUAAUGCAUCAUCAAAACAUCAUAUUGUGCACAGAAUGCAGAUAUCUUUGGAAAAUAAUUUAUCUAUGCAAUACAAAACCACUCACAACUCAGGACACCACAGAGCAAAUGAUAAGGCUAACUGGAAGAUGGCAUGACAUCUUUGUUUAGUCAAUUGAUUAUUCACAGAGCUAAAUAAAUAGUUGGUGUUGUUGUUGUGGUUUUCUAACCUGAAAUUAGUAAGCAGACACCAAUUCUUUCUGCUCGGAGUGUAGAGAAAAAUUGGACGAAGAUGGAGGAGAACAAAAGAAUAGAGUGAAAUGUCUAAUUUACCUAUUUUAAAAUAUUAUAAAUACUACUUAUUAUCUUCAGUCAAGUUCAGUGUAUUCUUGUUUGAUUGGAACUUAAUGCAUCAUCAAAACAUCAUAUUGUGCACAGAAUGCAGAUAUCUUUGGAAAAUAAUUUAUCUAUGCAAUACAAAACCACUCACAACUCAGGACACCACAGAGCAAAUGAUAAGGCUAACUGGAAGAUGGCAUGACAUCUUUGUUUAGUCAAUUGAUUAUUCACAGAGCUAAAUAAAUAGUUGGUGUUGUUGUUGUGGUUUUCUAACCUGAAAUUAGUAAGCAGACACCAAUUCUUUCUGCUCGGAGUGUAGAGAAAAAUUGGACGAAGAUGGAGGAGAACAAAAGAAUAGGGUCGAAGUUUUGGUCAAAGUUUCUUUUUCUUCUGUUUUUUCCCCUUACUUGGUAUGAAUUAUGAAGCCACUUGCUUAAUUACAUUAUACACAAAGCUAAAUCAAUAGUUUUCUCUUGGAGAUUAAGAAAGAAAUCUUGCUACAUAAACAAAAAUUUUUUCUUACUUGGUAUGAAUUAUGAAGGCACUUGCUUCUUCCUCGAAUCCUGCUUGGUUUUAGUUAAUUAUGAUUACAGAGACUGCUUAGUUUACGCUAAUGCUGGGGCCUUGGAUGCUCAAAAGGUCUAAUCCUUGGUAUUUAAAAAAAAUGCUGAAAACAAAGGUAGGUACAGUACAACUGGCAUUUCCACCUAAAAUAUUAGCAAUAACAAUAGAUAGACAAAUUCUCAAUUGUUAUAUUAGAGCGGCUUUGCUAUCUCAAUUAUUGCACCUAAAACAACAAGAAGUGGUCUUCUCAGCGUCGAAGAAGAGAGUGCUUCUUUUGACAAACUUGAAUGCAUUUUCCACCAAAAUCGACUGGCGUUUUACUCGAAUGUUUCUAAAUCAAUGCUGGGUUUUUUUGUUCUUUAUUACUUUUUUUGGAAAAAUCAUUUAAAAUGUUCCUCACAUUUCAUUAGAUGAAAUUUUUUCGUCCAUCAUUUUUAAAAGGGCAAAUUCCACUUUACCCCCUGUGGUUUAGUAUUUUUUAUAUAACCCCCUCUAUAAUUUUAAAAGUUAUACAUAACCCUUUCAUGAUUUGGAUUAAAGUGUCAAAGUAACGGAAAUGAUUAGUUGUAAUAGAAUCAUUUAAAAUGUCAAAAUACCCUUAUGCAAAGUUGAAAAUUUUUUAUUAACCAAGGGGGGUUAUGUGUAUAUUUUGAAACUAUAAGGGGGUUAUAUGGUAAAGUAUUAAAUCAUAAAGGGAUUAUAUGGUAAAACAUAAAAAUUAUACGGAGUUAGUGUAUCAUGUAUUUAUAAGGAUAAAUUCGAUAUUUUCAAAAGUUUCAUUAUGAAUGAUUAUUUUCAUUACUUUGACACUUUAAUUCAAACCAUAAGGGGGUUAUAUGGUAAAGUAUUAAAUCAUUAAAGGAUUAUAUGGUAAAACAUAAAAAUCAUAUGGAGUUAGUAUGUCAUGUGUUUAUAAGGGUAAUUUCGAUAUUUUCAAAAGUUUCAUUAUGAAUGACUAUUUCCAUCACUUUGACAUUUUAAUUCAAACCAUAAGGGGGUUAUGUAUAACUUUUGAAACUAGAAGGGGGUUAUGUAGAAAAAUAUUAAAUCACAAGAGGAUAAAGUGUAAUUUGCCCUUUUUAAAAUAUUGAUUUUAUGUCGCUUACAAAAUCAAGGCAGCCAAAUUGAGUUGCAACCUGGGCUUGUGACCACUGAAGACACGAAGUGAUCCACUACGUGAUCAUUGUUUUAGGUAGGGGUGGCAAUUCCUGCCACGACUCGAAAACACGACACGAAUCUAACACGAAAUUAAUGGAUUUGGGUUGAGGUUUCGGAGGUUUGAGUCAGAAACGGGUCGAACUCGAUGAACCCGAAAAGAAAACAUGUCAAUUUCGGGUCAACCCAUGGUGACCUGAUAUGACCCGAUGUGACCCGUUUACGAAUUAAAAAUAAGUUAAUAAAUAUAAAAAUUAUUUUAUCUAACUAAACUAAAUCAUUCUUUUUUUUUCAAAGACAUUAAUUACUUAAUCCUAAAUGAAUUUAUUUAACUUGUGUGAAAUUGAAAUUAUUAUAUUUGGACAAAUAAUAUAUUAUGUUAUUUUUUACUUUUAUGCUGUUUUAAUUUAUUUUAUAUUUGGUUUGGGAUAAAACACUUUUACGGUGUUUAAUUUAUUUUAGAUUUGGUUUGAAAUUAUUUAUUUAAAUUUUUAUUACUUGAUGAUGUAAUUAAUUUUGUGAGAAAUUGAUUUUAUUGGAAAUUAUAAUGAUAAAUUAAUAAAUUAAAAUUAAGUUUCGGGUCGACCCGCAAACCCGAAUUUUCGGGUUCGUAUCAGGUAUCCUGACCCGUUUCGGGUUGGCGGGUCAGGUUCGGAUCAGCGGAUUUUCUGUUAUAUUUGGACCUCAACCCGACCCACACAACAACCGAACCCGACCCGAUUGCCACCCCUAGUUUUAGGUGCAAAAACUAAUUUUUUCUAAAAAUUAAAAGAAACUUCAAAAAAAUUGAAAAAAAAAAUACUAGGAAGAAAGAGUAAGAUGUAAGAAACAUUUAAGUAGCCGGAGUUUUAAACCUAGGACCUUUAAUUCUUGUAGUUUCACCUUUAACUAAUUGACCAAGCCUCUUUCCCACAUAAAGGCUAUCACUUUUGGGCAUUAAUGUGAUUUCAUUAAAUUUUUGGACCGAAUCUUUGUGUUGUUAAACAUUUUAUACAUUCAUCUUGGGGAAACAAAUGUAUAGUAUAUCUUAAGUUCAAAGGGAUAAAGUGUUACUCAUGUCUCACUCCCAAGUUCGAAAUGUAAUCAAAGUGUAAUCAACCCUUAAAUUCAUUCAUCACAUCACUCUCUAUAUUCAAAACAACAAAUCACCAGUUUUGGCCAGCUGAGACAGAGAGAAUAAAAAGACAGUGCCGUGAUGCAGUUCAGCUAAGAAUCAAAUGAAUUCCAAAAGUAAAGGCAUUGUUUAGGGGCCAACAGGGUUUCCCUUUGAGCAUUUUAAUUAGCAAAAAUCACUGCAAAACAGACAAUCAAACUUAGGACACCAUAUAUAUAGAAAACCCAUAAAGCUAACUGGAAACUGCAUGACACUUUUUUGUUCAGUCAAUUGUUCAGAAAUCUAAAUCAAUAUCUCUGAUGAACCAAUGUUUUUUAUAUGUGUUGAAUGUUGUUUGGUUUAGUAAAUUAUCAUUCCAGCGAGUAGUUACUUUACGCUAAUGCUGGGGGCGCUUGGGUUGUUCAAGAUAUUUAAAAAAUACUGGGAAAAUGGUGGGCAGAGCUAACAUUUCCAGCUAAAAUAUUAACAAUGUAUAAUACUAGCCGGAGAAAAUAAAAUAUAUAUAGAAAUGGAUGGGUGACGGUGGAGUCUCAAUUGUUAAUUUGUUAUUAUAUUAGGGCGGCGGCUUUGGCCAUCUCAAUUAUUACCGCUGCACCCACGAGCGUAUGGAGAAAAAUCCUAAACAAAUCAUCCAAUGAGGGUUUCUGAGCUUAGAAAGAAGAGCGCUGCUUCUUUUGACAAACUUGCAAAUGCAUUUUCCACAGUACCAUCUAACAUUUCCAUCUAAAAUAUUACUAACAAUAAAACUACUAGAAAAGUAGUAUAUAGAACUCUCAAUUGUUAUUAUAUCAUAUUAGGGCGGCUUGGCCACCUCAAUUAUUGCACCUGCACCAACAAGUGCGUCCAGAAAAAAAAAAGCUAAAGAAAUUAUCGAAUGAGGUUUUAUGAUCAGCCAAUUUUGUUCCUGUGAAAUGAUAGUGUGUCUUUAGAUCAGGAUGACUUUUGCAGCGUGGAAGGGAUUAGUAGCUCGGACUUACUCUUGACAAGUAGAAGUCCUCAUGGGAAAUCCUAAGGAUAAUUUUAUUUUUUUCGACAGUCGAUAGUAGUUUAUUCUACACCUACUCCUACACCUAUUCUAACUUAUCCUUAAGGGGAGACCCGACUGGGCUAAUGGAUGGGGCCGACGGGAACCGAACCACUAUCGAACCAGACGGUUGCAAAGUAUGCCGAAUGUAGAGAUACUCGACUCUUUAAGUUGGCUUGAUUUUACAUAUUUUUAAUGAUUUUUAUUGCACGCAUUUCUCUUAGAUUUUUCUUAUUUAUUAGAGUGAAAUAUCUAAUUUACCUAUUUUAAAAUAUUAUAAAUACUACUUAUUAUCUUUAGUCAAGUUCAGUGUAUUCUUGUUUGAUUGGAACUUAAUACAUCAUCAAAACAUCAUAUUGUGCACGCACAGAAUGUAGAUAUCUUUGGAAAAUAAUUUAUCUAUGCAAUACAAAACCACUCACAACUCAGGACACCAUAGAGCAAAUGAUAAGACUAACUGGAAAAUGGCAUGACAUCUUUGUUUAGUCAAUUAAUUAUUCACAGAGCUAAAUAAAUAGUUGGUGUUGUUGUUGUGCUUUUCUAACCUGAAAUUAGUAAGCAGAUACCGAUUCUUUCUACUCAGACUGUAGAGAAAAACUGGAUGAAGAUAGAGGAGGACAAAAGAAAAGGGUUGAGGUUUUGGUCAAACUUUCUUUUUUUCCCCACCUUAUUUGGUGUGAAUUAUGAAGCCACUUGCUUAAUUAUACACAAAGCUAAAUCAAUAGUUUUCUCUUGGAGAUUAAGAAAGAAAUCUUGCUACAUAAACAAAAAUCUUUUCUUACUUGGUAUGAAUUAUGAAGCCACUUGCUUCUUGACAGGUGUCGAGUCUGUGCAAUAAUAAUUACUAAAAAGUCCUAGUUACCAUAACAAUUAAUUAUAGAACAAAUCCAAGUACUGGAGCAGGGAUCCUAGGUGUGUAAUGGGUUACUUGAUUCACCCUGUCCCGAAGAGUUUGUUUGAUCCGAUAUACCAGAAUUGUCUAUAAAAGUAUUAAAUUUGCGUACAAUGGCAAGUAGGAUCGAUUUCACAGGGAACGGGUAGGAAGUUGUUUCUUUCCAAAUCAAUAGAACAAAAUUGGGGGAUAUUUAAUGAAGUGAAAAUGAAAAUAAAAUAAACAAAAUUCAAAAGCUAAUUCACCAAGUACAAUUUACUAAAAUAGCAAUUAAUAAAAUUCUACCCAAAAAAUCAACUUUUCAGGCACGGUCCAAUUAAAUGAUCAUCGAUGCAAAAAUAUUUCAUUCAUUCGUCACUAGGUUGGUUAUAGCCACCAACAAGCUCUGACAGCCAAUUCUUCCUUACUUUUUCGAUAGCCAAGGUACGACCAUUGACUGCUUCUCUAACCAGAAAACAACCCCAGGUACGACCGUAGUGUUGAGUAUGUCUUUGUAUCCCACAUCGAAACUUUUAUAGAGAAGUAUCUCAUCUUGGUAGUUAUAAAUAUAGUGGACUUAAGUGAGUUUAAGUGUGCUAACAGCACCAGCCCAAGUGUCAUGUGCACCAGUCCAAGAGAGUUUUUAGGGGGUCCACGCCCCAGUCUAAGAGAGGUUUUGGUUUGGCAUCAAACCAAAAGAGCAAGUCAUAGGCUUUUGGGUCAUUAAGCAUUUAGCGCUAUUUAGGCUCUUUUGUGUUUUCAGUUUAGGUGCCUUUUGGACCUGGGAAUUAUUUCCUAAGGUUUUGUUCUCUCUUUCUAUUAUAGUAAAUCUGCUACCCCUUCGCCUGUGGACGUAGGUCAAUUGGACCGAACCACGUAAAUUUCAUGUUUCUCUAUUUGAUUUAUUUAUUUUGUUAUUAUCAUUAUUGAGUUGGCAAAAACUCUAUUGUUCUCGUUGGUCAAUUUUCUAGGACCAGACCUAACAAAUUAGUAUCAGAGCUUUAAGUUCCAGAUUCAGCUUCAGGUUUUGGAUCAUGGUCAGAUUUUGGGUUCUUGAUGACAAUAACAAGUUUUUGGUGCUACAGAGAGUGAAGAAAAAUUUUUUUUGUUGGAGUUCAGUUGGGUUUUUGAGAAGAGUUAUUUGGCCCGUUAGAACUCAUUGAAGGUUUUGAGAAGAAGGUGGAGCAUAACUACCAUAUUCGUGGUUUUUUAGCCUGUUGGGAUCUGUUGAACAUUUUGUAAGAUUUGGCCCGUUGGAACCUGUUGAACCUUUUGCAUCUUGGUUCAUUGGUGGUUCGUUGUGGUUCGUUGGGACUUUUAUGGUUCAUUGAGAUCCGUUGGGACUUUUAUGGAGAAGGUGGAGCUUGUUUUUAUUCAUCUGUUAUUUGCCGAUAUUUGAUACAUGCCAAGGUGGAGAUUUGUUGAGUAUGUCUUUGUAUCCCACAUCAGAACUUUUAUAGAGAAGUAUCUCAUCUUGGUAGUUAUAAAUAGUGGACUUAAGUGAGUUUAAUUGUGCUAAAGGCACCAGGCCAAGUGUCAUGUGCACCAGUCCAAGAGAGUUUUUAGGGGGCCCACGCCCCAGUCUAAGAGAGGUUUUGGUUUGGCAUCAAACCAAAAGAGCAAGUCAUGGGCCUUUGGGCCAUUAAGCAUUUAGUGCUAUUUAGGAUCUUUUCUGUUUUCAGUUUAGGUGCCUUUUGGACCUAGGAAUUAUUUCCUAAGGUUUUGUACUCUCUCUUUUGUACUCUCUUUCUGUUUUAGUAAAUCUGCUACCCCUUCGCUCGUGGACGUAUGUCAAUUGGACCGAACCACGUAAAUUUCAUGUUUCUCUGUUUGAUUUAUUUAUUUUGUUAUUGUCAUUAUUGAGUUGGCAAGAACUCUAUUGUUCUCGUUGGUCAUUUUUCUGGGACCAGACCUAACACGUAGGAAUUUAAUUAUCCAGUUGCAUUAAAACUAGAAGAACCCAACCCUAACCAAUAAACACGCUAAGAGGGUUUAUUUAAAUUAGAUCUUACGUUUCUCCAACACAAAGUCAAUUAUGAUGGUUGUCACUAGUUAUCAACUAAACGAACAAUUACGGAUUCAAUUUAGUUAACGUGACAGUAGGCUAUUAUAUUAAAUUAAAUAUCCGACCGUUGAUACUCAAUUAAUAAAAUAACCAUGAAUAAUUAAUUCAGGAAACGCACGAAUAGUAACAAAUUGGAAGAAAUAGUGAAAGUUCGAUUAGAUCUCACAGAUGUUAUGGACCGCGCCUUCGCGUUAAUCCUUAGGUAGAGGAGAAAACUAGCCGUUCCUCAUAUCUCGCGUGAUUUAAUUGAAAUCAUUCAAUUAAUUGCCAAAGAAUUGGGAAAAGUGAAAUAAUGAGGCUACAAACGAAAGGUCUUGCUUCCUUCUUGUUUCGAGUUCUUACAGGAGGAAAGUAAAGGGAAAGUCUCACACAAGUUAUCAGAAACCAAAACAGAGAAAGCAAUCAUCUAUAGGGAAGAAAACGAAAACUCAAACUACUAAACCCACGUGAUUCUGGCUUUUCUUCUAUUCCCUGCCGAAAAGAAAAACAUCCCACAGAAAAGCAAAAGCUAAUCUAUUCUCCCCCCCUGAAUCUGGCUUUCUUUUCUCUUUUGUAGCCGCCGCCAGCAGAACAAAAACGUCCCACAGAAAGCCAUUCUCUAGGAGUUUUAAUCCCCUGCACCCCCGCGGUCCACGUGAACCUGACUUCCUAAUUGCCCUCCUGCUACUAUCAAUCCCACGGGUCCGGCUUCUAGGUGUAUCUCUUUAGUUUUUGGCGUGGACACGCUAUGAAAUAAAGGGUCUUCUGGAAAUUCGCCUUAAGAGAGCACUUUUGACACCAACCACCUACAAUUUACACAAAUAUGAAAGAUGAGCAAAAUCUCAAUUCUUAGUACAGUAAGUAGCCAAAAUUACGACCAAAUAACAGCGCAAAAGGUGCCCAAUAAUUGCUCUAUCACUUCUUUCUCAAAUUUUACUUGGUUUUAGUUAAUUAUGAUUACAGAGACUGCUUAGUUUACGUUAAUGCUGGGGCCUUGGGAUGCUCAAAAGGUCUAAUCCUUGCUAUAUAAAUAAAAUGCUGAAAACAAAGGUAGGUAGAGUACAACUGGCAUUUCCACCUAAACUAUUAGAAAUAACAAUAGUAGACAAAUUCUCAAUUGUUAUAUUAGAGCGGCUUUGCUAUCUCAAUUAUUGCACCUAAAACAACAAGAAGUGGUCUUCUCAGCGUAGAAGAAGAGAGUGCUUCUUUUGACAAACUUGAAUGCAUUUUCCACCAAAACUAACUGGCGUUUUACUCGAAUGUUUCUAAAUCAAUGCUGGGUUUUUUUUUUGUUCUUUAUUACUUUUUUUGGAAAAAUCAUUUAAAAUGUUCCUUACAUUUCAUUAGAUGAAUUUUUUUCGUCCAUCAUUUUUAAAAGUGCAAAUUUCACUUUACCCCUUGUGGUUUAGUGUUUUAUUAAAUAAAUAUUUAUAGCUGAAUGUUUAAUAAGUUUAAUUUGACAAUUUUACCCUUAUAUCCUUUCAUUCAAAAAAGAAAUAGAAUCUAUGAUUUAAUUAGUUUAAAAUUGUAAGGUAUGAAAAUGACAAUAUUUAUUUUUAAAUCAAAUUAAUAUAAAAGAUGAAAUAUAUUAUAUGAGGAGUAUGGAGAGGAUGUGAAAGUCAUUAAAAAGGGAGAAAAGAGAAAUUAAAAAUCGUUAGAUUGAAAAUAUUAGGUUGUUUAAUUAGAUAAGAAUUUUGAGCAUAAUUAACAAACAAGGGUAGAUUUAGUAGAUAAGAUAAGGUAGUUGUAAAAAUUCUGUUGAAUCUUUUCAGAAUUAAGCAUUCAGUUAGGAUUCUUGUGCUGAAAAAAAUACACACAGGUUCAGCACUGCUUAACAAGUUCAGUAAAUAGAUUUUCAUUUAUCAAACACUCAAAAUAUCUGAAUAUUUGAAAAAAUUCAGAUUCAGCACUUUUUUAUGUUAUCAAACAAACCCUUAGUCUCCAGCCAUUGGAGCCUUUUGACGCGAACUCCAACAUUUUUCAGAUGAAGGAGCCUGGUUACUUAAUUCCUAUCGCUGUACGAUCACGUACUUAUAGAAAUUACUAUCUUUUGACGCGAGAAUCGACACUUUUGGUGAAGAACCCCAGUUAUUCAAUAGUAAUGACUAGCGGAGUACAGUCAAUUUUAUUUCACAGCCAGAUAACACAAUAACUCAAAAUAACAUAGCAAAAGAAAACAAAAAUAGUAGCCGUUAGCCUCAUUUCUUCAAAUAUGGAGAACUAAAGUUAAUACUGGACCAAUUUACAUGAAAUGCCAACAAUCAUUCCCUAUGCCUAGAAAAGUUAACAAAGAAAUCAAAAGAGUCAAGCAAUCAUUGAUAUUCACCAAAGAGAUGUUCUUGACUCAACCACAUUAACUAGAUACACUUCUAUUAUUAAAACUUGACAAUAGUAGAAUUAGAGUCAAUAAUCCAACAUCAAACCUUGGUAUUCACAUGAGAGCUAAGCACCAAAAAGAAAGAAAGAAAAUGAACGAAAGAUAGAUAAAUAACAAACUAGAAAUAAAGGAAAAACACCUAAAAACUAAAAACUACUAAAACUAGAACCACAACUGAUCCCCCCACACCUAAACGAUACAUUGUCCUCAAUGUAGCAAAUAAACAUCAAAAGUAGGAGAAAUGGCAACAAAACUUUCCUGAAGUUGGGUCAAAGUGGUGGGUGAUAACCAAAUUGAGGCGUAAGACCCGCAUGAUGCAUGAAUGCUACAUAAACAAAAAAAUUUUCUUACUUGGUAUGAAUUAUGAAGCCACUUGCUUCUUUCUCUAAUCUUGCUUGGUUUUAGUUAAUUAUGGUUACAGAGACUGCUUAGUUUACGCUAAUGCUGGGGCCUUGGGAUGCUCAAAAGGUCUAAUCCUUGGUAUUUAAAUAAAAAGCUGAAAACAAAGGUUAGGUACAGUACAACUGGCAUUUCCACCUAAAAUAUUAGCAAUAACAAUAGUAGACAAAUUCUCAAUUGUUAUAUUAGAGCAGCUUUGCUAUCUCAAUUAUUGCACCUAAAACAACAAGAAGUGGUCUUCUCAGCGUCAAAGAAGAGAGUGCUUCUAAACCACAAGGGGAUAAAGUGUAAUUUGCCUUUUUUAAAAUAUUGAUUUUAUGUCGCUUAUAAAAUCAAGGCAGCCAAAUUUAGCUGCAACCUGAGCUUUUGACCAUUGAAUACACAAAGUGAUUCACUACGUGAUCAUUAUUUUAGGUGCAAAAACUGUAUUUUUUCUAAAAAUUAAAAGAAACUUCAAAAAAUUGAACAAAAAAAUACUAGCAAGAAGGAGUGAGAUGUAAGAAACAUUUAAGUAGCCGGAGUUUUAAACCUAGGACCUUUAAUUCUUGUAGUUUCACCUUUAACUAAUUGACCAAGUCUCUUUCCCACAUAAAGGCUAUCAUUUUUCUGGGCAUUAAUGUGAUUUCAUUAAAUUUUUGGACCGAAUCUUUGUGCUGUUAAACAUUUUAUACAUCCAUCUUGGGAGCAAAUCGCAUAUAUCUUUUUUUUUUUUUUUUAAAUAAAUUGUAUAUAUCUUAUGUUCAAAAGGAUAAAGUGUUACUCAUGUAUAUAUCUUAAGUUCAAAGGGAUAAAGUGUUGCUUAUGUCUCACUCCCAAGUUCGAUAUGUAAUCAAAGUGUAAGCAGCCCUAAAAUUCAUUCAUCAUUCUCUGUACUCACAACAGCUAGUCACAAGCUUUGGCCAGCUGAGAGCCUGAGACAGAGAGAAUAAAAAGACAGCUAACAUUUAAAAAAUACCGGGAAAAUGGUGGGCACAGCUAACAUUUACAGCUAAAAUAUUAACAAUAUAUAAAACUAGCAGGAGAAAAUAUAUAUAUAUAUAUAUAUAUAUACGUGUGUGUAUAUAUAUAUAGAAAUGGAUGGGUCACGUUCGUGUCUCAAUUGUUAAUUUGUUAUUAUAUCAAGGCGGCGGCUUUGGCCAUCUCAAUUAUUACCGCUGCACCAACAAAUUAUCCCAAAAAAAUCCUAAACAAAUCAUCCAAUGAGGGUUUCUCAGCUUAGAAAGAAGAGCGCUGCUCCUUUUGACAAACUUGCAAAUGCAUUUUCCACCAAAGCCACUCGGUGUUAUACUCGAAAGUUUCUUCAUCAAUGCUGGUGCUUGAAUGAUGGACCUUUGAUUGUGGAAAAGAUCUGCAGUGCGGUUGUGACAUUGAUUAGGUUCAAGAUUUAAAUGUCUUUCAUUAGAUUUACCAAUUUAUUCUCCUUAUAACACAUUUAAUUAAGAAUUAACAAUUUUAUUAAAAUUACUCCAAGAGAAACUGUCAGUAUUUAAGAAUUCUUUUGAAGUAAUUAUUACUAAUAUAUAGUUUCCAUUUCUUAAUCUCUCCUAAAGAAUUGUUGCAAACUUUUUUGGUUUGUGCGUCACUUUGCAUCUAAGAAUUCUAAAUUUCACCACCAACUGAUAUAUAGUUACUUUAGUUUCCUUUUCUCUUCUAUUUCCAAUUUCUCCUUACUUAUGUUUCCUUGUUGCAAGGCUUGCCAAACUAUAUAAGAUAUUUGUUAUCGAUUUCUUUGAUUCCUAAAACACAAGAAAUUUUUCAUUCCUAAUAUGUAUUCUUUUUUUUUUAAUUGUUUAAUUGAUUUUUAAAAGAUAUUAGUAAAGAAUUUUAGAUCCAAUUUGGUGCAGUGCUCCUUUGACAAACUGAAUCGGUUUGCAUUUUCAAUUCACCUUUCUUAAUGGUAUGGUCGUUGCUGGUAUUCUUCAUCUGCUUUUGAUCCGCACGCUUAAAGAAAAUGCCAACCAUAUCAUUGAGACUCUUAAUAAAUCUCACGAUGAAUAAUUUCUUGGGACAUGAACGUACGAUGAUGAAUAAUUUCUUGGGACAUGAACGUACGAUGAAUAAUUUCAUCUAAAUGGCUGAUCCUUGGUGGAUCAGAUUUCAAACAUAAUUUAAGUACGCCUUACUUUUUGUUUGCUUUCUGCUAACAGUACUGUGGCGGUGUGGCUUAAAAUCCUCCAAUUUCUUUAAAUUCCAGAGACACCCAGAGUUCUCCAUUUCCCUUUUGUGAUUUUGCAACAUUAAUUACCUCAUUCUCUAAUCCUAGGGACAUAGGCUAAAAACUGAAAAAAAAAAAAAAAAUCGCUAGUUUAGUUAUCAAAGGCAUGAAGUGGAGCUAGUGAUCAGGCUUGACACGUAGCUACAUAAUUGGUCAGUGAUUGCGUGCUUUCUUAGCUUUUACAAUUGCAAAAUUUUCAAAAUAGUCUCUUGUAUUUCCAAAAGUUCUUUAGUGAUAGGGUGCAAAAUUACUAUUCAAUUUAUGAUUAUUUCCCCUUGAUUGUAACCAAAUAUUGUUUUAAUUAAUGGAUUCUACUUAUAUUUGGUUAAUGGUAUUAAUUGUAAGAAAAUGAGCAAAACGUAAUUAAAAAGGAUAAUUUUCAAGUUAAUUUGGUGGUGACACGAUCAGGACUUGCUUUCAAAUCUAGAAGACUCGAAAAUUUUCUACGCAAAGGUUUCCUAAUUUGAGUCAACUAUGAAUAGCUUUUGAAAGAUUUGGGAAGACGUUAUUUAUAUUUAUUAGUAGUAGUAUUACAUUAGGAAACAUGAAAUAUUAUUAUCUUUUGUAUUUUCUUUUUCUAAUGAGGCAAUGUGCUUUUGUUAUUAGUAGUAGAUAUCAAGUAGAAAAUUGAGGGAGAGAAAAAGCCGGCAUUUCACGUGAUUAAUACUUCGGGAAGCAAGAAACGAGAGGGGAGCCAUCGUGGCUAGUCCCGUGUCAAGGAGGGGAGCGGCUUGGCUUUUCUCUUGUUUUUCAGUUUCUUUAGUUUUUUUUUUUUUUUUAUCAAAGACUUAUGCAGCUUGCUUUGAGAAAAAUCGUGUCAAUUGUUCCAAUUGUUCAUGUGCAACUAAAUUCUCUUUUUUAGUUAAGAAAUAACAAAAGAUUUGGUUCAUCUACAUCUGUGAGAUCUAACUGUUUUUAUCUAUUUCUCUUAUUUGUUAGUAUUUGUAUGUUUUCUUAUUUAAUUUCUCAUGAUUGUUUUGUUGUUUGGAUAUCAUGGGCACCCGAUAUUUAAUUCAACUUAACAAACUGAAUCUAAUUAAGAUAGUUAAAUUUGUAAUUGUUUAAUUAUCUUAAAUUAGUGGCAAUUAACGUGAUUGGUGCCAUGUUAGGAAGACAUACGAUCUGAUUUAAAUAAAUUCUGGUAGUGUGUUUAUUGAUUAGAACUAGGAUUUUCUAGUUUCUAAUGCAAUCAAGAAAUUAAAUUUUAUGAGCGUACGGCGUACCUAGGGUUGUUUCUUGGUUAGAGAAAUAGUUAACGGGCGUACUUUACCUAUCGAGACACUAAGGAAAAACUGAUUGUUUAUUACGUAUAUGACAACUAUAACCUAUUUAUUAGCAAAUAAUUGAGAUAAUUAUGUGCAUCGAUGAUCAGUUAUUUGAACCACUUCCGGAGUUAUGUCUUUGGCUAGAGCUUAUUUAUUCUUAAGUUGAAUCUAAUUUGCUUUAGUUUAAUUAUUUUCAGUCACAUUGAUUAUUUACUUUUGUUUUAAUUCUCCAAACCCCUCUUCCCCCCCCCCCCCCACACACUAAUUAGCUUUUACUUAGAAAGAAAUAGAUUUUUCCUCUAAUUCCUGUGGAGACGACCCUACUUGUCAUUAUACCCGUUUAUAUCUUUUUGUGAGUAGAAAUUUAUUAUUGCACAGGCACGACUCUUGUCUUCUAGCACUUUAAAACAUCAGACAUUUCGAAGCAAAUGUCUUGUUUAUGGACAAUAUACAAAAUUUAAGUGGUGAGAAAUUUGAGGAGUUUGUAUAUUAUGAAAUAUUGGAGAUCCCUUGUUAUUUGUAUUCGUCUUAAUUUGUUCCUCCAUUUCACAAUUAGUUUGCAUGCAUUUUAAUGGUGAAUUUGUCCACAAUUUAUAAUCAUUUAAUAAAGCGUUUUGUAAUGACAUCGAAAAUACACUUUGAGGGAAAUUGAGGCAACUCUCUUUUAAAUAGAUCAUGAAAAAGAAAAUGCUACAGCUGAUUGACAGUUUGAACUUUGGAGGCACCAUAUUCAUAGCAACAAAUCACAAGCUUUGGUUUAUCCAGCUGAGACACGAAUAAAAAAGAUAGCGCCGAGAUGUGAUCCAGCUAAGAAUCAAAUGAAUUUCAAAAGGCAGUAUUACUAAUUAGGGGCCAACAAGGUCUAUCCAAUAAGCUUUCUCGAUCGGCUUAGAAAAAAGAGUACUGCUUCUUUUGACAAACUUGCGCGCAAUUUCCUCCAAAGCUCCUACUGGGCGUUUCACUUGAAAGUUUCCAAGUCAGUGCUGGGCUUUUCUGACUGCUUCUUUUCCUUUUUCGAAUUGUUUGCUCCUUUUGUGCUCGAAUGCCGAGCCUUUGAUUUGUGGAAAAAUAAUUUAGAGAGUAAAUUCCAGCACUUGGUUUUCAAUAUCAAAGACCUCAAAUGUUCUGGUGAUUCUUGGAGUAGAAAUCAAAAGAGGAAAACUAUUACGUCGAUCCUUAAUUAAUAAAGGAGUACAAUUAUCCUGUUUUGUGAGAAAUUUUAAGUGGCAUGGCACAAAUGUUAAAAUCCCAUGUUUCACCUCAACUUCUAAUGACUAGUAACAUGUCAUGUGUUUUGCACCGUGAUCAUAUUAACCUAACAUAUAACAUCAUUGAGAUACUAAAUUCUUUGUUAAAUUUUGACUUUAAGCAUCAAACUAGAGCAAUUCUUUUGGUUUUCAGUUUCUUUAACUAGUUCUUUGAAAAAUACUAGUUUAGGUGUACAUGUAUUGCACGCUGCAGUUGCUAUGACUAAUAACUUAUUCAAAAUUCUUUAAACAAUUGAACUUUAAGUAAAUGAAACAAACCUUCAACGAAGUACUAAAAUUCAUAUAUAAAUCAAAAUGCACUCUUCUAGUAACCACUCCAACACUAUAUAGCCUUGACAAAUAGACCAUAGAAUUCAAACAGAACAGUAAAAUGUAAUAAGAAAUAAAUGGGCUAAGGAGGUUCUGAUUUAAUGAUUAAAGUACUUCAAGAAUAAAAGGUCCUAGAUUCAAUUCUCUGAAUUUUUACUUCUCAUGUAUGAAAAUAAAGUAUGAACGUAAAAAUGAGCUAACCUAGUGUUUCAAAAAUAAAAACUACAAAGGAUCUUUGUAUACUCUUAAAACUUAUGCCUAUAAUUUCUUCUUGUUAAUUUGCAACCUAAACCUUUUAACUUUUUUAGUAUCUUUCCAUUUCAAAAAUUGGAGAUCCUUGAUAUUUGUAGUUGUCUUGACCGAUUCAAUAUCUUUCCUCCAUUUCAUAAUUAGUUUGCAUGCAUUUUAAUGGUGAAAUUAUCCACGAUUUGUAUAGAAUACACCUAGGGCUGUCAUUCCGUCUUUGAGCUUGGGGUUGCUUCAUUAAUUUUAAAAAAAUCUUAGGUCAAAUGAACUUUAGCAAAGAAUAAUUUGAAAUAUGCAUUUGCAACCUAAGAUUAAUUUGAAAUCUUAGGUUAAAAAUUUAUCUUCAUACCUUUUGCAAGGUCAUUGAAAACACACAUUGAAGGUACUUGACGUUACCCUGUUUUUAAAUAAAAUCAUUGGACAUUAGAAAGUAUAGAGGCAAGAAUUAUUACAGACGGAAAUUUAAGAGGUACUUUGAAGACAUCAAAACACACUUUGAAGGUCCUUGAGGUAAACCUUUUCUUAUAUAUAUAUAUAAAUCAUUAGCAUUAGAAAAUUAGGAGGAAGAAUUAUUAAAAAUAGAAAUAUUAAAAAAUCUACCUAAUAUUCCUUUUAGGAUAAAUUUUGUAUAUAUAUACAAGCGAGGCUGAAUACAUGCUACCUUUACUGUGGAAGAAAUAAGUACAUCAGCAAUUCUUUUUGUUCCUUGGAUACUUUUUGCAGUGGAAGGUUUUUGCUCUGGGCGGAAGCAGUAAGGAACUAUUCUUUGCUUUGUAGAAGCAACAAGACUUUGACAAACUUAUAUGCUUUUGCAACAGGGGAAGAGCUUGCUACUUGAUCCGGGGCCUCACAAUUUAUGUUUUAUACAAUUUCGUACAAGUUGAUCUUUGGUGUAAAUUAGUCGGAUUUCGGUGUGAAUCAGAUCCAGUUUAAUAUAAAUCAGGUGCAGUUCAGUGUAUAUUAAUUUGUUAUUAUUUGGUAUAAAUCAGAGACACUUAGAUAUAAGUUGAUUAUUACAAUUUAGUGUAAGUUAAGGUCAAUUUGAUGUAAAUUGAGAGUAAAUUGUUAAUUUACAUCAACUUAUACAUAAUGGAACUUGUGAGGCCUAUUUCUUGCAUAGAACUUGUGAGGCCUAUAAUUUUGGUAUCCAAAUUUUGACACCUGAGCAGUUUUAAUCCCCAAACUUUGGACAAAAACAAAUCCGGUACACAAACUUUCAAUAUUUGAGCACAUUUAGUAGCCUUAGUGUUUUUUUUUUUCAAAUUGUUACUUAAAAGAGUUGUGUGAUAGUCAUAUGUUCGACAAAUAUUAUAUAAAAAAAUGUUACAAAAAUGUAAAAUAUCUUUCUGACACUAAGGUGAAGAUGAAAUACAGCAAAAGAAGGAGAAAAGAAAUAAGAUGAGUGGAGUUGGGUAAGUGAUUAAAGUUUUUAAAAUAUCUUGAUACUUAGUGUCAGAAGGAUAUUUUACAUUUCAUUGGUAUUUUUUUUAUGCAAUAGUCACGCGAUUUUUUCCAAUAGCAUUUUGGAAAAAAAUUGUCAAAGGUACUAAAUGUGCUCAAAUAUUAAAAAUUUGAGUAUCAAAUUUGUUUUUGUCCAAAAUUUGGGGAUUAAAACUGCUCACGUGUUAAAAUUUGGAUACCAAAACUACAUUUUUCUCUACUUGUUUGUCCUUGUUGCUCGGGCCUUCAUCUGCUUUGGAUCCACAUGCUGGAGCCGUGCGUUGUGUAAAAUAUGACAAUCAAGGAUUUAAAAUACGACAAAACAGGAAAAAAGAAAGGGAAAAUGGCAAUCAUAAUUGCAACUUCGGCGACCAUUUUCUUUUUGGGUUAAAUACAAAAAACCUUCUUAUGAUUAAUCCAAUGUUCAAGUUAACUUCCUAUACUUUGGAAACAUACAUAAAAUCCCCUUAUGCUUUUGAUUAAAAUAAAGGACAAAUUACACUUUACCCUCUUGUGGUAUAACUACUAUUCACAUAACCCCCUGUAUUUUUAAAAGCUAUAUGUAACCUCUUUAUAGUUUGGACUACAUUGUCAAAGUGAUAGAAAUAAUCAUUUAUAAUAGAAUCUAUGAAAAUGUCAAAAUUAGCAAAAUAUAGAAAUAUAAUAUACAUGACACUCUAAUCCCAUAUGGUUUUAUAUUUUAUCAUACAACCCCCUUAUGAUUUAAUGUUUUAUCAUAUUACCCCCUAAUGAUUUUCAAUAUAUAUAUAUAUAAUCCCCUGUGGUUAAUAAAGAAUUUUCAACUUUACGUAGAGGCAUUUUUUAUUUUAGUUGUCUCCGUUAUGGAUUGCAAAUUCCGUCAUUUUGAUAUUUUAAUCCAAAUCAUGAGGGGCUUAUGUAUAGAUUUUGACACCAUAGUGAGAUUAUAUAAGAAAAUACUAAAUCCCAAGAGAGUAAAGUAUAAUUUGUCCUAAAUUAAAAUAUUAAGUUUUUUGUUAUAGUUAACAUUCAUAAAGGGUAAGUUGGUUAUUUGAUUAUAAGGCAAUUUAUAUUAUAUAAAAUGGGAAAAUAGAAAAUCUUUUUCUCUUCUUUCCAUCCAUACGCCUUACAAUGUAUCUCUUUUUUUGUAUUUUUUGGUUAAAACACUGUAUCUCCACCACUUGACCUUCCCUUAUCUUUCGUUCUUUCUUUCUUUUUUUUUUUAACUUUGUUCCUAUUCAUCUCUGAAUCACCCAUAAAUUUGUUAUUAUUUGGUAUAAAUCAGAUACACUUGGAUAUAAGUUGAUUAUUAUCAUUUAGUGUAAAUUGAGGUCAAUUUGGUGUAAAUUGAGAGUAAAUUAUUUAUUUAUUUAUUUAUUUUACUCGAGAACUUUCACUUACACUCCCUGCCACUUCCACCCAACCCAUCUCUCCCUCCAUAAAUUGUUAAUUUACACCAGCUUAUGCAUGAUGGAACUUGUGAGGCCCUAUUUCCUGCUUAGAAUUUUUGGUUAAAACAUUGUAUCUCCUUCUCACCACUUGACCAUCCCUUUUCUUUCUUUCUUUUUUUUUUUUUAAAAAAAACUUUGUUCCUAUUCACCUUUGAAUCACCCAUAAAUUAGUACUAUUCAAACCCAAAAUGAUGGCGUCUUCAAAAUUUCAGAAAUGAUGGAGUGCUUGAUCUACUUCUUCAUUUGUGCAUACAUGAUAUUUCUGUCCAUGGCGCCAGCCUAUUUAUGUCAAUUAAUUCCGUGCGGUGGCUGCUUGCGGUGCACAGGAGCGGUUAUCUGGAGAAGAUGAUAUGAGAAAAGAUGAUCAUAUCCUGUGAUUUGAUGUUUUACUACAUAACCCUUCUAUAGUUUAAAAACUUAUAUAUAACCACUUCAUAAUUUGGAUUAAAGUGUUACCAUCAUUUUUUUCAAUUAAAACUAACAGUCAAUAGCAAAAAUCAAAAUCAAACUAAUAAAUAAACAAAUUCACUACAUUUUUUUCCUUUCUUUCUUUCUUUCUUUUCUUUUCUUUCUUUCUCUCUCUUUUUUUUUGGAAGAGAAGUGAUGAUUUAAAAUCUGUACUUUGGCUUAUAAAAUCUUAAUUUUCUCCGGAUACAAAAAAAAGGAACGGAUAUGAAAAAUAAAUAAUUAAGAAAUAGAAAAGAUGGAAGGAAACUGAAAAAAUAAAUUAAUAAGAAACCAAAAAUGGAAGGGAAAUAUAAAACAAAUAAAUAAGAAACAAAAGGUACCAAAUCUUUAUUGACUGCAAAUACCAUUAUAGGCUUUCAGACCAAAUCUUUUAUGGUAUUUUAUAUUUAUUAUUUAUCUAUUUUUACUUAAAUUUAUUCUUUUUUGUAUUUGGAGGAAAAAAAAGGAAAGUAGUGAAAGAGUAAAUUUAUCAAUGUAUUAGUUUUGAUUAUUUUACUAUUGAUACCUAGAUUAAUAGAAAAACUAACGGUGAUGCAUUAGGUCAAACCAUGAGGAGGUUAUAUAUAGGUAUAUUAAGUCAAACAGGGCAAAGGGUACUUUAUCCUAAUUAUUAGGGCAAAUUACAUUUUAGCCCCUUGUGGUUUUCGCAAAAACCACAUAACCCCCCCAUCGUUCAAAAAGCUAUACAUAAACCCCCUGUGGUUUGGGUUGAACUGGCAAAUAGACGGAAAGCACCCACCGUAACGAUUCGUGGGCAAAAUGUCCAAAUUACCCUAAUAUAAAUACAAAAAGGAAGCAGAUGAGUCAGAUUCUUCCUUGUUCUGUCUUUGUCGUGAGAAAAGGAGAGAAAAACAUGACCACCGAAUGAAGGAGAGAAAUUUAACCCACAAAGAUCUACCAUUGAAGACCAAAAAGUAGCUGUGAAAGAGCAUCACGAAAGCUGUUGUUGCAUCUGGUAAGUUUUUUGACAUCAUUUUAGCAUAUAAGAUGCACUUGCAUGGUUUUUGAACAGAAACUAUCAGGCAUUGGAAAGUUAAUAAAUCAGUGAUUAUUUUGCUUAAGCGUUGAUUAAUUUAAAAUUUUGCUGCUUUGGGACAAUCUGUAUUAUCAUAUUUAAGCAUAGAAUAUUUUAUCGACUAGAAUUGAAUUUAUGCAUUAAGAUUAGGGUAAAGAAAAUUGCAUUCGGGAGUAAAGAAAAUCCCGCCUGCAUAAUAACGUUGAAACCCGCAAGCGGGAUUCUGUGUUUUUUCUAUUUCAAGGUUAGCUCGCAUGCGGGUUAAUGUUAUAUUUGAGCGCGAGAAGAAAAAAUUGGUAAUUAGGCUCUUUGGGCAUUAUAAGUAAAUAUUUAAAUUAAUGGCAGUUUUAUUACAUCAAUAUUAUUGUAUUAUCAUUAUUAUGAUUAUUGUAUUAUUUCUUAUGCAAAUAUAACAUUUAAUUAUUUAAAUUUGAUUUUAUUUUUACAAUUUAUAAAAUUUUUAUCACUUAUAUAAUAUUUUUAAAACCCUAAUACAUCUAAAUUUGAUUUUAUUUUUCAAAUUUAUAAGAUUUUUAUUUUAAAAAAUGGGAUACGGAUAAGAUAUCCGGUUGGUUCGAUUUGCAUAGGUGCAUAUGAGAAUAUCCGAAUACUCUUUAAACCCGCAUGCGGGUUUAAGGAGAUUAUGGCAACUCUCUGACACACUAGUUACCCGUCCAACUUGUGUGUAACUAAAAUAUAUUUAAAUAAUAUAUUUCAUAUUUUUGUUAUUUAGAGUUUAACAAAACAUUAAUAUUGGGUAGAUUUGAGGGAUAUGCAUAAUUUUGCAUAUUUGUAGGAAUAUUAGAAAAUGGAAAAUUUGGGUAAAUUCCCAAAUUUUGGAGGUAAGGUGCAAUCCAAGAACUAAAACAGUCAUUUAUAAAACCUUAACAGUCAUUUAUAAAAUAGUCAUUUCUAAAACCUUAUCAUCACUGCCUCACCAGUUGAACGAAAAUUGCAGGUUUGUUCAGCUUCUAUCUUCACGGCAUUUCUUCUUAUUUUUCUUUCGUUCUCUAUCUUGGGUUCCUUCACCAACUUUCAGUGCAAAGUCAGCAACAAAGUAUUUCGGAAGAUGGAAAGAGAUGAGGAGCACCCAUCUAGGCUUUAUUGGGUACGUCAAAUUGGUCAGGGGUAAUAUGGGUAUGUUUCCUACUGCUACCAGAAGAACAGGCGCGUUUUGCCCACGAAUCGUUACGGUGGGUGCUUUCCGUCUAUUUGCCAGUUCAACCCAAACCACAGGGGGUUUAUGUAUAGCUUUUUGAACGAUGGGGGGGUUAUGUGGUUUUUUCGAAAACCACAGGGGGCUAAAAUGUAAUUUGCCCUAAUUAUUAUUUUGUUUGCUUAAAAUCUUUGCGAAUUUGGUCAAAGUCCAGAGACCACAAAGUGAUCAUUUCCAUACUGCUUAUCUGGCCGGUUGUCCACCUCAAUAAUCAGACUCGGUCAUACAACCGUCAUAUAUGACUCUGAUAGAGCAAUUACUAAACAAAUAGUUCAGAUAAGUUUGCAAGUUCAUUAUCAAGAGGUCAAAGUUCAGAGAAACCAUUUCAUCCCCUUAGAAUCACAAUUUUAAAUAGAGUGAACUGACUUUAGCAAUAAUAAAUUAAAAUCCAUAGAAACAGACAUUUAAAAUAAACAAAACUAGACUGCUAGUUGUUUUAAACAUUAAUAGGAUAUUUGUAGGAAAUGCGGGCCAAAAGUUAUUGAGUUCCAGCCGUAUAGAUGUUACUGAAGAAGCUUCAAAAUUCUAACCUCUGUUUGUCUAAGCAAGCAGGGACGGAGCCAGAAAUUUAUUUUUGGGGGGGCUGAAGUGUAUUAAAAAUUUUUUUUUGUGACGAAAUAAAUAUAUUUAAUAAGUAAAAUUUAGAAUCAAUAAUUAUAAAAAUAAUAAAAACAUAUAAUUAUACAUACCCAAAAAUUUGUUAUUGAUUAACACUUGAAGUAUUGGUAGUUGUUGCACUCGAAUAACGAAGAGGAGGCAAUUGCAUUCUGCGAGUCUUCAUCCGUUGAAAACGUUGCAAUAUUUGCUCAUUUUCAAUUGUUGCAAAAAUAUCCUUCUCGAUGUAUACAACCAGACAGUCAUUCAUCCACUCGUCUCCCAUUUUGUUGCGCAAAUCAGUCUUGACAAUAUUCAUUGCAGAAAAUACUCUUUCAACAGAAGCAGUCGCAACUGGUAGAACUAAUGCCAACUGGAUCAGACGAUAAACAAAUGGAAAAACUGUAUUUUUACCAGUUUUAACCAUUUGUUGAGCAAGACUUCCCAAAUCUCCAACUUCUGAAAAUUGAGGAUCGCGUUGCACAUUAUAAAUAUAAUUUCGAAGUUGAGACUCAAGAUAUAAAUAAUCGUUACUUGAGAAGUCUUCAGGAUAUAAAUCAGCAAGACGGAGUAGUUUCUGCACAUUGAAUUGAGAGAAAGAACUUUUUGGAUCAAGACAUGCUAUGCAACUAAGCAAUUCCGUGCUAACUUCCGAGAAACGAUUAUUCAUCUCUUGUAUAAUUAAAUCAACAACCUGACAUCACAACAAUAAUAAAAUUAAUAACUAAGAAAAUCUGCUAACAAGUAACAAAUGUAAUGAAAUAAUAAUUUCAAAAAUAAUACCUCACAAAAAAUUUCCACGCGAUAAUGAUGAAAAUUAGUGAUGGUUUGACCUCUGCGACUGCGCCUGGCAUUGCCACGGAUUGCUAUACUGUCUUCCAUAUCAAUCACGGGAAUCAUAUUCAACUCACAAAAAUUGUUGACUUCAUCUAAAAUUAUUUGCCAUCCCUCUUCCCUAAAGUCUUGCAAUUGAGAUUUCAUAGUAUCAAUCAAACUCAUGGCUUGGACAAUAUUUUGAUCCCUUUGUUGCAAAACAAGUGACAAGUCAUUUGUGAUUCCCAAUAAAUACUUCAUCAGGUGCAAUGCAAAAACAAACUCAUAAUCAUUCAUUCUAUCAAUCAAACCCCUGGCCAUACCUCUAUUGUCAGAAGUGGAGGCAUCAUCUUGUAUAUUUCCCAAUAUUCCAAUCACCGAAGCCCACAUAGAGGAUAGACGAAGUAAUGUUAGAUAGUGUGAUCCCCAACGAGUAUCCCCUGGUCUUGCUAAACUAGUUUCUUGAUUUUUGCCUUUUCCACUAAUAAUAUCUCCACUGUCUAAAAGUGCAACAAUCUUAUCAUGUUCUAUUUGUCUUAAUUGAUCUCUCCUUUUACAUGAUACUCCAGUUAAAUUGACAAUCAUAGAGACAUAGACAAAGAAUUCACUGAUAAUGAUAUUUCCCUUAGCAACAGCAACAAUAACUAACUGGAGUUGGUGAGCAAAACAGUGAAUAUACAUCGCAUAGGGAUUUUCUUGUAAUAUAAGGGCCUUCAAACCAUUGAACUCACCUCGCAUAUUUGAAGCUCCAUCAUAUCCUUGACCUCUCAAUUUGGAUAAUGAUAAUCCGUGUUGCGCGAAUAAAGAAUCAAUUGCAUCUUUCAAACAAAGAGAUGUGGUGUCAGACACAUGUACAAUUGCAAGGAAACGUUCAAUCACACGCCCUUCUUUGUUCACAUAUCUCAAAACAACUCCCAUUUGCUCUUUCACUGAACUGUCUCGAGACUCAUCAACUAUUAGGGAAAAAUAAUUGUCUCCAAUAUCAUUGAUUAUAACACUUGUGAUCUCUGAGGCACAAGCAUGUGCCAGAUCUUUUUGAAUCAUUGGAGAAGUUAGUUGAUUAUUUGCAGGAGCAUUUUGAUUUACAACCUCAAAAAUCUCAGUAUUUCGCUGGCUAUACCACUCAAACAAUUCAAGAAAAUUGCCUCUAUUUGAAGAACUAGUUGACUCAUCAUUUCCACGAAAAGCCAAUCCUUGCUUCAAAAGAAAGCGGGUCACAUCCAGAGCAGCAGUUAAACGGGUGCGAUAUGCAAUAUCUAUUUCGCGCCCACAAGAUCGUAGCACAUUUGACACACUAUGCCUUUGAUCUUGAAAACUUUCAAACUGUAUUCUAGCAUCAUUAUGGCAACUAUUCACAGCUCCAAUAUGUUCAUUAAAUCUUUCCAUUGCCUUUUUCCAAUUAUUGAAUCCCGUUUUUGUAAAGGCAUCCUCUGCAUAUCGACCUCCCUUAUUUUGUGUUUUGAAAAGAAAGCACCAAAAGCAAAACGCCGCAUCUUUCGAUAUGCUAUACUCUAACCAUACAAACUUUUGAUACCAAAUAUCUUGGAAACUUCUAUGUUGUUGACCAAAUGAUGUUUUUGGAUACAUAUGGCCAAUCGGUUGGCAAGGUCCCCUAGUCAAAUACUCUCUUCGGACAUGGUCUCGAAGAGAAAUAUCAAAUUUCUCAACUGAUUUUCGUAAUCCCGGAUCACUAACAAUAUCAUUUAAAUUCAAUUCCACACAAGAUUGAUUUUGAACUGGUUCACUAAUAUUAGGCUCAUUUGAAGAUUCACCACUACGGACUCGUUUAGGUUUAAAGAAUCUCUCCAUUUUCUGUCACAAUUAAAUAAUUGUGGUUAAAUUCAAUAAAAUUAUGCAAUUCAAUAAUCAAUUAAUUUAAAAUUCAUAUAAAUAAUUCUUUAAUUUAAUAAUAAAUUCAUAUUACUUAUAUUUCUCAAUUUAUAAAAUUCAUUAUAUAAAAUUAUCAAAAAGUUAAAAUAAGGUACAACUAAAUACCCAUAUAAUUUCUAAUUCAAUCUCAUAAAAUUUUGAAUUUAUAUUUACAUUCAAAAUUUCUAAUUCACAUAAUUAAUUCUUAAAAUUUCAAAUAUAAAACUAACAAAAUUUUAAAAACUAAAUACAACCUAAAAUCUAUACAAUUUCUAAACUAAUUUCUAAUUUAAAUUUAAUAUCAUUAAAUUUUUUAAUGUAAUCUUUCAAAUUCUUAAAUUACAUUAACAUAAACUAAAUAAAAAUUAAUCUUAAUCAAAUUAAUAUCAAGAUACUCAAAAUUCAAAAAUAAUUUAAACAUAUAAUUAACAAAAAUAUAAAGAUGAAUAUUGUAAUUUAAACCAAAAAACUAACCUAAAAGAUUUAUGUGAAUGGAAUGGUGGAGAGUUGGAGUCUUGGAGCCUUGAAUUGAAGGCUUGAAGCAGGAUGGUAGAAUCUCAAGUUCUCAACUGAAGCUUCUUGGAGUUCUUGGAGCCUGGCGUGAGUGGCGUCUUCUUCUUGGAGUUGGAGACUUGGAGUCUUGUUUCAGUUGUUUGCCCUUUGGCCUUUGGCAUUGGCGGCGACGCGGCGUGCUUUUGCAUCAGAUGAAGCCUUAGGGCUUCAUCUGAUGUAUUUUUUUUUCCCUCAUUAUACAAAACGACGUCGUUCCACUAAAAGUGAAACGACGUCGUUUUGUAUUUAGAGGGCAAAAAAAAAAUUCAACAUAAAUUGGGUCAUCUUCUUCCUCGGACCUCAGCAGUCAGCAGACUCAGCAGUGCUGGCAGCGGCUUUCCAGGCCCAGCUAUUCUUGAGGUCCUCUGCAGCAUUCAUGGAGGCAUCAGGCAUGGAGCCAUGGACAUGGACAGGCACGGAUUUAAGGGGGGGCUGGUGGGGGCUGGUGGGGGCUGGCCGCCGGAAUCCCCUAUAUAUAGGGGAUUUUCCGGCGGCUUGGGGGGGGCUUAAGCCCCCACCAGCCCCCCCUUAAAUCCGUGCCUGUAAGCAAGAGACCAAAAAAAUCAGCUUGGAAAGUUUUGAAGAAAGGAGUGUCAUCAGCAUUGCUGAUCUAAAGACAUAUAGAAAAUGUUUCACAAAUUUUCUGCAUAUGCUAUGAAUAUAAAAUGCAAAUGCAUUUUCCACGGACAAAAGUGCAGAGAACUCAUUUCAUCCGGAUGCAAAUCGUGAGUUUAAAGCGAGAGCUAAUCUUAGAAAUAAUCUUGUACAUUGUUACUUGAUUAGUUAAUUUGUUUCACUUCUCUUUUAUGCAGAACUUGCUUUGGUCACCCAAGAAAAUCUUGUGCCUUUGGUUAUUCAUACACAAACAAGAUAUUAAGUCAAGCUUCCAUUGAAGACAUGCAACCAUCACCUAUUUAUGGUAAUGUUUAUGGAGUACCUAUAACUUUCAAUCAAGAUACAGAAACCUAAGAAAGACGCCAGACAAAAUUGAAAAGAACAACUUCAUGCAAUUGUUCAUUUUUGGUCAAGCGACUACCAACAUAAGAUUUACUCAACAUCAUGUAGACCCAGUAAUUUUGGAAUAACUAUGAAUCUUAAAGUAAGAGCAUCAUUCUAGACAUACGAUUUUUUACUGCAAAUGGAGAACAGGCAAACUCAUAAAAUCAUGUUGUAUGUAAUGGAGCUAAGAUACAACUUCAAGAAGGGUGGUGAGUAGCUUACAGAGGCCAACUAACAGACAAUAAGCAGUCAUAAGACAGACUGACAAUUUUCUGCAACUAGAUUGCAGCUAAUUUGAGAGGCAAGCAGUAUGAGACAGAUUAUCAAAUGAGGUCCAUAAUUGACGAAUUGCUACCUCAUGUCAUGACCAACAGGUUGAAGGCAUCGCAUUCACAACGUAGACCUCCAGCUUUGGCCAUCUCAGUCACUUAGAAGCGAAAGAGAGUGCCAUUCUAUAAGUUUGUCUCCAGUUUGAAAAUGAUGUGGUUGAAGAAGGAAUAAUGGGAUAUUGAUACGUAUGGCAGUAAUUAAGCCAUUGAGGUCUCCCGUGAGCUCUGAGCAGAACACCACUGCAAAAUAGAAUACUCAAAACUCAAGACUGUGUAUAGAAAAUCAUAAAGCUAACUAGAAAAUUCAGGUAAUUGCAGGACAUUUCUGUUCAACAAAUCUUACAGAAAGUUAGAGAGAGAGAGAGAGAGAGAGAGAUUUUGUCAUUGAUAUCAAACCUAAAUUAGUAAGCAGAUACAAAAUCUUUCUGGUCAGUCUACAAGAACCAAGUAUUGUCAUGAAAAUUGUUCCAAUUUGUGCCCAAAACUCCAAAAAAUGACCGGUUGAGUAAUUAAAAAAAAAAUUUGUUGCAACCAAAAAACAUGACAAGCAGAGACAACUCAAGAAUCUUCAUGAAGCGAAUUCCUAGAGAGUAGCAACCAAUUACUACCUCAAGAAUCUUCAUGAAAGCAAAUCUUCAUCAAAAAGUCCUGGUGAUGAUAGCUGUUCAAAAACAUCCAAUAAGCUGCGGCAAGGAAUUUUUUCCGAGCAGCUCGCACAGGCCAGCUGACAGUCUUGAGCAAUCAAAAACAUAGACUGAAAACUUUCUGCAAUUAGGUAACAACUAGUUUCAAGGACAAGAAGUCAGGAAAAAAAGAGAGAAUUUGUAGUAACAUAGCAGGUAAAUUCUUAUUGCUAGACCUCGUGACUGAAAUGGCAGAUUGACAGUGUGCAAGCUUCGACAAUAAGGACAUUUGGCUAUUUGAGGCAGCAAUAUGAAAGAAAAGAGGGCCAUCAUAAACAUUUCUGUCCAAGAUACUGGGUUUGCAAUUGAAUGAGCAAUUACUGCUAGUUGUUCUGAACGUUGAUAGGUCAUUUCUGUCCAAAAGGUAUGGUGUGAAGAAGCUUCAAAAUUCUAACCUCUGUUCGUGAAGCUAUUCUUCUAUCAAUCCUACAAAAACAAAGCAUAGAACAGAAUAUGAACAGAGAUACAGUAAAACAUCAAAGCACGAAACAGAACAGGUGCUUGGGGUCAUUCUAAUUGAUAGUUUCAAGAGUAUUACUAUUAUGUUGUAAGGAGUAAAUGAAGAGCACCAAUAUUUUGGACCUAAUAAGAAAUGCUAAUGCCGCAGCUUUGAAAGAUAAUAAAUAGGACGAUAAAAAGGGAGAAGAGAAAAUUGUGAAAAUAACCACGGAGACUUUUUUAGGUUUUCUCACGAGAAGGUUAAUCAGAGGGGGAGGUGAAGAGAAUGGGAGAUUGAUUGUAAAGCAAAUUAAGAAAGAGGUUAUUGAAGGC